RNAcentral lists this long non-coding RNA (193325 nucleotides) under Gossypium barbadense (sea-island cotton). RNAcentral describes it as "long non-coding RNA (GBAR_LNC013895)". The stretch from base 180632 to 180718 matches the Rfam family "MIR7486 microRNA precursor family". The record is from RNAcentral. Lineage: Eukaryota; Viridiplantae; Streptophyta; Magnoliopsida; Malvales; Malvaceae.
GGGUUCAGAUUGUUGUAAAUGGAAAAGAGUUGAGUGUAACACCACCACUAGGAGACUCAUAAAACUCUCCCUUAAUUCUACAAGAUGGUUUGACAAUAUGGGAUACGACAUGGAUAAUGGGAAUCUCAAUGCCUGGUAUCUCAAUACCUCUAUGUUUCUUCCCUUUGAGGAAUUGAAGAGUCUUUAUUUGUCAGGAAACGCCAUAGGUGGUGACCUUGAAAAUGAAGGUCGUGCCUUUAACUUUCCAUUAAUUACAUCUUUUAUUAUUCCACUACUCUCACCAUUGUUAAUUUGCAAUUACUUAUAUUUUAUUUUAUUUUAUUGAAGAAAAGUCACUAACUGCUUGUAUAUAUUUAAAAGAACACUUCUACAGGCUUUGGAAAACUAUCAUCCACAUUGAGUAAUUUGGAGAUCCUUGACUUAAGUUUCAAUUACUUGAAUGAUAGCAUUUUGUUAUCUUUGAGUGAGCUUUCCUCUCUCCGGUAUUUAGACCUAUCAUACAACCAAUUUGAAGGAUCAAGUCAUCCAAGAGGUAAAUUAAAUUUGGUCUGGUGUAAGUUUUUAUUUGUAUAGUAGAGUUUGAGGAUGGUCUUCUAGGCUUGGUACCUAGUUUUCCAUUCUUUUUAUCCGUUGUAAUUCCACUUUUGCUUUAGUAAAAUUUUCAUAUAGCUAAGAAAGAAAAAAACAAUUAACAAGUAAUUAUGUAUAUAUAUCAGGUUUUCAAUUGCUUUCAAGACUCAAUAACUUGGAAACUCUUGAUUUAAGUUGGAAUUCUUUGAAGAAUAGCAUUUUGUUCCAUAUGAGAAAUCUUUCAUCCUUGAAGACUUUAAGAUUGAGACGUAAUCAGUUGAAAGGAAGGCUGGAUCAUAUUCAAGGUAGACUGAUUUUACCUGUUUCUUUUCAACUUUAAAAAUCAAUAUGUAUAUUCAAGUUUGAUUUCAUCAUACGAUCAAUAUAUAACUAAUCAAUACUUGGGAUUGAAUUUUAGGGUUGAAUAAUUUGACAAACUUGAAAUACUUGGAUUUAAGUGACAACAGCAUUGAAAGCAUCUCAAACCAAGGUAUAAGUACAGUAUUUAUAUGUCAAUUCAUAUUAAAGGUAGACUGGUUUUAUAUGUUUCUUUUUUACUUUAAAACCAAUUUUUGUUUAAGGGACAGUUAAUGUUGCAAUAUUUCAAAAUAGAGUAAAUUAAGUAGGAAGGUAUCUCAAACAAAGUAUUUAUAUGUUGAAUCAAUUAAGUUUUACUUGUAAAAUGUAGCUUAUCAAUUCAUGGGAAAGCUUGUAAAUUGGCUCUUCCUUCUCAAACAAACAUUUUUCCUAGCUAUUUAUAUAUUGAAUGAUAUUAACUAUACUAAUUAUUUUCUUCCAAUGAUAGAUGGAACACAAUGGAGGCUAACAAACUUAGAGGAACUUGAUUUAAGUAAUAAUCUCUUUCGGAACAACACAAUUUCCUUUCCUCAGGGGCUUUCAAGCCUAAAGUACAACAACAGUUUGCAAGGCUCAUUAGAUACUAAAGGUACUAAAGCUAUAACUUUGUUUUUCUUGAUAAUUCUUUCUAGAACCUUUUAAAAUUAAUUGUUUCAAAUUUGAGCAUUCAGAUUUCACGUUUGAGGUUUUUCAUCUUCACUUCAAGUUUUAGAUAUACUUUUUUUUUAUUUCAUUAAAAUAUUAAGUAGAAAUUAAAAUUAUUAACAUAAUGAUUUUUUGAAUUGGACAUGGAUAUGUAUAGGAUUGAGAAAUUUAACAAAUUUGAAGAAACUCGAUUUACGUUGGAAUCAAAUUGAAAGCUUUCAAUCCUUUAAAGGUAUGCAUUUAUAUUUAACCAAUUACCUAAAUUCUUACAUAUAAUUAAAUUUUAUGCCAAUUCAUUUUAGUGAUGAAAUUAUAUAAAUCUUUUGUAGAUGGUGGUUCAAAAUUGGAGUUGACCCACUUGGAAGAGCUUAAUUUAGAUGCAAAUCUCUUCAAUACUAGUGUAUUUGCAUCCCUUAACAAGCUUUCAAAUUUGAAAUCUUUGAGCAUAAAGUUACAAUGAAUUGAAAGGAUCAAUAGAUACGAAAGGUAAAAAUAUUAGUUUUUUAACAAGAAUAUAAUAAUGUUUUAAGAGAAUAUAAUGAAGUUGAUUUGUUAAUUUUGUUUUCCUAGAUUUGGAUGCAUUUAUCAAGUUAAGGGAACUAUAUUUGAGCGACUAAUGAAUUGAAAGAUUUGGUGAUCCACCAAGGUAUCAUUUAAUUAAACUUCUUUUUUUUUCUAAUUUAGAAAUUUAGUUUUUAUCUCAGAUAUUAUAAUAACGGUUAUUGUCAUAAAUAUUAAUAAAGUUAUAUCAUAUCAUACUUGAAAGUAAAAUAUGAGUUUGGUGAAACAUUUUCUAAAUCCUCCAUUAUAAUGUGUUUCAACUUUAGUUUGAAAUUAAAAUUCUUUAAAAUUUUCUUAAUUUUAAAAUAUUAAUGUUUAUAAUUAUUUUGUUUGUAAAAAUAUAUUUUUUAAAAUAAUUUUUUUAAUUUUUAUGAGAUAAAAAAUAAUUAUAACAAUAAAAACAAUGAUAUUACAAAUAAAUAAAAACAUAUAUUUAUGAGAAAAUAUGUAAUAUAACUAUAUUUUAAUUUCAUAUUUUUUUAAUAGUAUAAAACAUAAAAAUACAUAUUAGAGUUACAUAAAUCACAUUUUUUUUGCCAAAAAUAAAUAAAUAUGAAUUUUGAAUAAUUUAAAAAAAUCUUCAAUUUUAUGAAAUUUAAACAUACAUUUAGAGGUGCUUAAACUUCCAUCGCAAACUUUUUAUAAAUUUCAAAAUGCACAUGAUAUUAACAUAUGUCUACAUACUCUUUAUAAAUUUGUAAUUUAAUUCUUAUACUUUUAUUUUUAGGAAUUUAGUCCCUCUAUUUUAAAAAAAAAAUUCAAAAUCCAAGUUCAAUAGUUAAAAUUGUUAAUUUUUUUUAAAAAUAAUUAGUUGGUGUGACAUUUUGAAAUAAAAAAACUUUGGUAGCAAUGUAACUAAAAAAUGACAUAAUGAAAAUGGAUUUAAUAAAACAAUUUUAACAGUAUUAAUAAUUAGACUUGAAUUUUGAAAUUGAGUAAAAUAAAUGGCAUAAAACAUAAAAAUACACGUUAGAGUUAAUUAAAUGGCAUUUUUUGGCCAAAAAUAAAUAAAUGUCAAUUUUGAAUAAUUUAAAAAAAACUUCAAUUUUAUGAAAUUUAAACAUACAUUUUGAGGUGCUUAAAAAUUUUUUUCCAAACUUUUUAUAAAUUUCAAAAUGCACAUGUUAUUAACUUUUUGGUUUAAAAAAUGUGAUAGGUCUACGUACUCUUUACGAAUUUGUAAUUUAAUUCUUGUAUUUCUAUUUUCGUCAAUUUCCCUCUAUUUUUUAAAAUUUAAAAUCCAAGUUCAAUUGUUAACAUUGUUAUUUUUUUAAAUUAAUUUAUUGGUGUUGACAUUUUGAAAUAAAAAAACCUUGGUAGCAAUGUAACUAAAAGAUGACGUAAUGAACAUGGAUUUAAUAAAAUAAUUUCAAUAGUAUUAAUAGUUAGACCUGAAUUUUGAAAAUUUAUUUUUGUAAAGAGAAAAAUAUGCACAUUAGAUUUAAAUAAAAAUAAUAUUUUUUUAGUUUAAAAUUUUCUAUUUUAUAAUAGAACCAUGAUUUAAAUAAAUGAAAUUUUGAAGAGUUGCCAAAAAAAACUAUGUAGGUGAAAUUUAAAUAGAGAAUUUGAGAAGCUGAAAGUCUCUUUCGGAAUUUAUAAAUUUUAAAAUUCAAAAGGAUGUAUUUUGACAAUUUUAGGGCAAUGAUUUAGUGCUUUAAAAUUUUGAUUUAAUAUGGAGAAUUUAAUUAAAAAUUUAUUUAUUAGAUUGUAAAAUAUUUCUUAACAUUUAUAAUUGAGUACAAAGUAAAUUAAGUUUAAGGGAAAAUAUUAGGUACUAUUAAUGAAACUCUUUUCUUUUAUCAAAUUUUUUUUAAAAAAAUCUGGUUUUUAAAAAAAAUCGGGGUGGUACUAUUAAUGAAAUUCUAAACUUGAUAAGUAGGAUUGAGAUAAUAACAAAUAUAUUAUAUGGUAUAAUAAAAUAUUAAAAAAAGAAAUAUUUAAAAGAAAUAGGUUACUGGCCAUUUUUUAACUUCACUUGUAGAGUUAAAAAACUCCAUUACUAGUACCAAAUACUAAUAUUAAGGAAUUAAAUGCUAAAUUAAUUUCAAACAUAUUUAAAUCUGAUAUGAAUCAAGAAAAAAUUUAUUUUGAAAUUAUAUUUUAUCUUAGAAUGCUAAAAAAGGAUUAGUUUAAUUAAUAAAAUGAAUAAAUAGUUAUGUUAAGAUUUGGACAUUCUCUAUUAAAAUUUUAUUUUAUUGAUGAAAACAAAUAUUUAUAUAUUUCUUUCACUUACAGAAAAUAAGGGAUUGAGAAAUUUGAAAGUUUUGUUUCUUUAUCACGCUUUCACCGAUGGAAGCAUUCCAUUACAAAAUUUAGUGGAGUCUUUCUCAUCAGUUAAAGCCUUUCAUCUACAAUACAAUUAUCUGAACAUGACUCUGGCUACUCAAGGUAAGUGAAAGUCAUUAUGUUCUUUUCCAAAACAGCUUACGUUUAUUAACAUCUAAUACCUCUUCCCAUCCUAUAGAAUUAAAUGUGUCGAGCAAUGUGGAGGAAUUAUAUUUUGACGGAUCUACUCUCAACACCAACAUUUUGCAAAGCAUUGGAGUAUUCGCUUCUCUUAAAACAUUGUCUUUACAUGAUUGUGGACUUAUCGGUCCCUUACCUAAUCAUGGUAAAUAAAUUUAUGGGUCAAAUUGACUUCUUUAUGAGCCUUCUGGGAUAUAAUAUCUCCUAUUCUGUUUAAUAGAUCAAAUUUAAUUAAAAUUUCUUCAAUGAAUUUAUAAAUUUUUCAGGAUGGUGUGAUCUAAGGAACCUUGAAGUGUUGGAUGUGAGUGGGAAUGCACUUGAGGGGAUGCUUCCUCAUUGUUUCAGUAACUUGACAUCUCUUCGUGAGUUACAUAUUUCAGCAAACCGUUUUCAAAUUCCACUAUCAUUCGCACCAUUUGCAAACCUUUCAAACCUCAAAGUCCUUUCCGGUGAUGAAAACAAGAUGGUAAUGGAACCUUCCUUUUAUACCUCAGUCCCAAAGUUUCAAUUGACCAGCAUCAGUUUGUCAAAGUGCAUUACAUCUCAACAACUCAAUCUUGAACUUCCUACCUUCCUUUACUACCAAUAUGACUUGAGAUAUGUGGAUCUUUCUCAUAACAAUUUCAGCGGAACAGUCCCAACUUGGUUGUUAGAAAACAACACAAAGUUAGAAGUUCUCAUCUUGAUGGGUAAUUCCUUUACUGGUCCUCUCUCAUUUUCGUCAGCUCUUAUUUCUAAUGUAUCUUCAAUUGACAUAUCUGAAAACAAAUUACAAGGUCAAAUUCCGACUAGUAUAUGUUCAACUUUUCCACAUUUGUGGCGGUUAUUCUUAUCCAAGAAUGCUUUUGAAGGUAAUAUCCCACUUUGUUUAAGUGUCAUGAAGGACUUAUCAUUUUUAGAUCUAUCAAACAAUCAAUUGUAUGGAAAAGUACCAGAAGAGUUGAUCGCGAAAGGCUCACUGACCAUUUUGAGACUAUCAAAUAACAAGCUCAGUGGAAAUGUAGUUCCUGUGGUUCUCAACUCAAAUGGGGUGCAGAAUUUAUAUUUGGAUGGAAACAAUUUUUCAGGAGAGAUGACAAAUGUUGAUUUGUCUACUUUUGAGUUUCCAAAUUCAAUAAGGGAAAUUGAUCUUAGUAACAACAAGUUGCAUGGAAAGCUCCCAAGAUGGAUAGGGAAUGCAUCGUUUUUGGAGAGAUUAGCUUUGUCCAACAGCGGUUUCGAGGGUUCUAUUCCAAUGGAAUUUUGCAAGUUGAAUAGGUUGGAAUUUUUGGAUCUUUCCCAAAAUCAUUUAUCUGGAUCUAUACCGUCAUGUUUUAAUCCACCAAACAUAGAGCAUGUCCACCUCCACGAGAAUAGACUGAGAGGUCCACUAUCACUUGCUUUUUAUAAUAGCUCCUCUCUAGUGACUUUAGAUCUUAGAGGAAACAAUUUGACAGGUAAUAUUCCAAAAUGGAUUGACACAUUUUCUUCUUUGAGUGUUCUUCUCUUGAAAGAUAAUCAUUUUCACGGUAAAGUUCCAAUUCAGUUAUGCAAGUUGCAUUCUUUAAGCAUCAUAGAUCUUUCUCAAAAUAUGUUUUCUGGUCCUAUACCUUCUUGUUUGGGAAAUUUAUCUCUUCCAAUGCAAACGAAGAAGAUUCUAGACAUUGGGAUCUAUAGGCAAUCUACAGAAGAGGAUGAAUCAACACGCAUUAUGAUAGCAAAUCUGGGACUGGAUUCUUACUACCCUUACAGCUACUUUGAAGAAGUAAUAGAGUUCACAACAAAGAGUGGGUUCUAUUCGUACAAGGGCGACAUCCUUUCAUAUAUGACUGGGAUUGAUUUAUCUUGCAACAACUUAACUGGUCAUAUCCCACCAGAAUUAGGGAACUUGAGUGAAAUCCAUUCUUUAAACCUUUCACACAAUAAGUUGACCGGAGUUAUACCCUCGUCAUUCUCAAAACUUCAUCAAAUUGAGAGUUUGGACCUUUCUUACAACAACUUGAGUGGUGAAAUCCCCAAUCAAUUGGUAGAGUUGAACUCUUUGGAGGUUUUCAGCGUGGCAUUUAACAACUUUUCAGGUAGUAUUCCCGAACCAAAAGCUCAAUUUGGGACCUUUAUUGAAAAUAGUUAUGAGGGAAAUCCGUUUCUUUGUGGAGUUAUAUUGCAUAAAAGUUGUUCCAAAACCGAUUCACCAUCAACGAUAUCAACUGUAUCAGAAGAUAAAUGAGAAGAUGGUUUGAUAGAUACUUAUGAUUUUUGUGUGAGCUUUUUGGUUUCUUAUGUAGUUGUGUUGUUGACAAUUUUUGUUGUCCUCUACAUAAAUCCAUAUUGGCGAAGAGCUUGGUUUUCUCUAGUUGGGAAAUGCAUUACCACCUGUCACUACUCAAAUGUGGGCAAUUCUUACUUAUCACAUUUUCAAGCGAUGUGUUUAGCUACUCAAAUUGCGAUUUGAUUUCCACACCUAAAUGUUUAAUUAUGCUAAGUUGAGCGAUAAUGAAUAUUUUGUUGAUUUUUGCAUUUUGAAUAAAAGCUCUUUUACCUUAUGGUUUUAUCAUUUUCAACCAACUAUUUCUUUUUUCUUCUAUGAAAUUUAAUGUAAAAUCAUAAUCCAUUAUUAUGUAUAUGUAAUAUCUCUUUAAAUUAAAUUAAAUUAAAUUAACUGCCAAGCGUUCACUAGUGCAUACUAAAAAGGAAAUCUAAUGUAAAAUUAAAUAACAUACUAGAAAAUUGAAUCUAAAACUGGAAUAUUUUAAAACCUCACAAAUAAUGCAAUUCUUUAUUCCUCUUUUCCUCUCAAGUUAUUUUGUAUCAUGUUAUAUUUUACAUAAUUAUUCGUAUCAUUGAAUUUUAAAAAAAAUUUAAUAUUUUGAUAUCAUGUUCAUAUUAUGCUUUAAUUCACAAUAUAUUUUGUAUAAUAUGUUAUAACAAUUCAAUUUAAAAAACAAGCAAUUAUCUUAUUUUUGCAUACCGUAAUAUACAUUUACAUGUUAAUAAUUCUUUGUACAUAAAUUUUGACAUGUUCGUAUAUUCGAGUCAUUAUAAUUUUAUUAUUUGUAAUAUGACAUGUUUUACUUACCCUUAAUAUUGUGUCAUGAUAAUUAUAACUCGAUUGGCAGUGUACCAAAUAUUUUUCUAAUAAAAAAUAGUAUUUUAUUCUAUUUACCAAAUCUUUAUCAACUUUAUAUUCUCACCAACAAAACAUACAUUCAAAGUUCAAAUAAGUUCCACACCCAUUUAUGCUCAUCAUCAGAAAGCUGAAAUAUUCCACUCUAAUUAACAUUAUGAUUCUGUAAACAACAAAAAAGUGUGAUCUUUUUUUAAAGCUCUUUUUUUUCUUUAAUGAAAUGGGAUUGGUAAAAAAUCCGCACAUGUGUCGUGUGUGAAGAAGGUCAGGUUGUCUAUUCAUUCUCUAAUAAGUAGCUAAUUAUAGUUGAUCCUACAAAAUCAAAAUUAAUUCAGGUAUCUAUAUAUUCUGAAGACUGGACAGACCUUAGAAGCUCCUUCAAAUUUGCAAGAACAUGUCGUGGUCCUAAACUCUUUACACCGAUGAAAUUCAAAAGUUGCUCUAUAUCCUGCAAUCACAGUAAAGAUUAUGCAAGCUUUUCAGAACGAAUAACAUAACAAGCAAAAGGCAAUCAAAAUACUGUGAUCUCGAUAAUGUUCUUUGCCGAAAAGGAACAUAAACAUAACCUGAAAACAUCAGUGAAGGCUCAUCAGAUUUGCUUAGCAACCUUACAUACACAUGUAAAAAGCUUUGCUUUUGGAUGUAAGGUGUGACUAUCAUCACAGUCUUUCCUAAUUAGCUGAUAACCCUAUAUCUAACAUUAAUCAUGGCUAAGCAAAUUAACAUACAUAAUGUAAAGGAAUUUGACUAUAAGAUCCAACAUAAAACUUAAUAAAAGAUAAUCAACAUAGAAAGUUAAAAGGCAAUGCAAACUUAUUACAAUGAUGCAAGUGGAUCAAAAGAAAGCACUCUAUAAGGAAUUUGCAUUUAAGGCAUUGUAAACAGAAAAAAAAAAUAAAACUUUUUGGAAAGUAUUUUCAAAGAGGAGACAAACAGGGUAGAAAAAAUGUUUGGUCCUUCCUUUUUCUAUUUCUACUGUGGUGAAAAAGCCUUUUUGGGUUAAAAGUGUUUUUACACUGCAGAAGUGUUUUUCCACUGCAGAAGUGACGAAGAACACAUAGCUUUUGUAGUCAAAAACCUACUGCUUUUGGCUUUUGCAUUUCGAAGUGAAAAUUAUAAAAAUACUCUUAGAUUAAUUUAUAUUUUAUAUAUUAUUAUAUUAAUUGUUUAAAUCUUAUUUAUUAUUAUAUUUAAUUUUUUUCAAAAUAUUUUAUAUAUCAUCAAUUUUAUAAAUAAUUUAAAUUAAUUACUUAAAAGGUAUUUAAAAGUUAUAUUUCAUGUAUCAUUAUAUUAAAUUAUUUAAAUAUCAUAUAACUUGACUAAUUUUUUUCUUUCUACCAUCAUGUCUAAAAAAGACAUUUUAACUUUCAACUGCAAUUUUUGGCAGCAAUGAACAACACUAAAAACUAACAAACACACUUUUCCGCACCACAUUUCAACAACACUUUUUUCUAAACGCACUUUUGAACUAGUCCUUAGUCUAUCAUGCAUCAACUCUUCAUUUUUCUUUAACUACCCAUGUCCGACUUCGAACAUGGAUAUGGAGAUAUGACCAAGUCACAGUGACAUAGUUUUUAGUUAUGGGGAAUGGGAUUCGAGUGCUGGACCUCCUUUUAGAUGCAUGGUGGGACUUCAUCACAUUUUUCAAAUUUGUUGAUAAUCCUUCACCUAAUCUGCCGGUGAAGUUUAUAGAUAGUCUUAAGUGUCUAUCACAAGAACCUAGAUAUUGUAAAUCCAAUAUCUUCCAAACAAUUCAACCAUGAUAUUAAUGAUGAUGGAAGCAAGAUUAUCCACUAUCAAUGACAUAAAAUGAGCUGUAAAUGCUGACGAACAAACAUGCACUGUUUUUCCAACCUGUGGAUUGAAGAGCAUUGACAAGCUAACUUUGCAGACCAUUUGAAUCCAAUACUAUACAUAAAAAUGCCAAAGGAGAAUAAUUCAUCUUGGAAAAAGAAUUACUAAUAUGCAAAAGCUUACCUUGUUUAACAAGAAAACAGCAUAUGCUGCUCUUGUCGUGUCUUGACCUUCUAAAAACAGCGGAAAUUCUGCCAGCUUUACAUUUGCUGAAAGUGUUGUAUCCAAUGACAAAUCAGAAGAUGCAGGGUCUAUUGAAGACGCAUGGUCAUUAAUAUAUGAGCGAGAACCACCCAAGCGCAGAGGAUAACGCAAGGGAACUUGUAAAUAGGAUGCAAUUAGUGAAACAGCCUGCAAAUGAUGAAAUAACAGGAAACAAGAAACAAUAAUAGGUAUGAUUAAAAUUAUAGCCUCAGCAUGAGAAACAAACAAUCAAGAUGCAACCCACUAUACCAUAUUACCAUCCUAGCAAUUAAAAAUUACUACAGCAUCUUCAAGCAACAAGGGAUUGUAGGUGGUAGGUCAAAAAACUUGAUAUCCACAGCUUGAUAUUAUCAGAAAAAACAAAUUCAGUAAUAAAUGAUAACUUCACAGAAGAAAUAGAACGCACAUGUGCAACAUAUCCCAAGGCAGUUGCAGAUCUCUGAACCUCCUUUUUGUCAGUGAAAAAACUCAUCUUUGUAAAAGGAAGCAAGGUGAGAUUCAGACCUAAAAUUGUCAACGAUCCUUGAUUGACGGGCUUUGAUGCAGAAGGAUUCCCUAUUGAAGACAGGAACAAAGGAACUUCAUAUCAGUACAUCACCAGACACCACCUCUUUGUGAAAGUCAAAAGAAAAUUCAAAAAAAUAUCAUCAUGAAAGUAAGAGAUAUGUAAAAAGCUCAUAAUAUUCAAGAGCAAAAAAAAAUUGUUUUGAUAUGAGGAGAAUUGAAUAGUAGAUUGCUAAAAGAGGAAUAACUGAAUACAACCAUUAUAACCAAAAGAAGAGUCAAGUGAUAGGUAAUGGUACUCCCUAAGCUGUUUAGGAAUCAUAAAAGACUUGUCCAGUCGACAAAAAUAACUCAUUUUAUUCUCCCCUAGUAAAACAUCAUAUUGGACCAACCAUAUUUGAUAUCAAAGGAUAUGCAUAUCCAGGCAUGCCAUUUAUAGAUAUUCCCAGUGUUACAAGAAGGAAUUGUUCAAGAGAAAGAAGCUGCUAUUGUUGGUAAAGUUUUCCUCAAACCAUUUUGAACAUCCAAAAUCUCAAGAACAAAAAAGAAAACGUAGGAGGAAAUAUAACAAGCAUCACAACGGGUUCUCGAUGAUAUAAGUGAGAGGAUAAAUGUUAAUUAAGAUUAUAAAAAUAAACCACAAACUAAACAGGAAAGACAUGGAUUUCAAAACGAGGAGACUGGCUGCUAAUUAAAACCAUAUGCGGCGUUGUCUAGGGCGCAAGGCACAUUCUAGGUGCUAACCUUUAUAUUGCCUCAAGCACAAGGCACAAAAGGAAGCGCUAGCCUGAGUGCAGUAAAGCGCAAUACGUAUAUGUGAGAGUUUUUGCAAGUCUGUGUGUCUAUAACAUAAAAGUUUUAAGAUAUAUGGUAAACUCUAAAGUGUGGUCUGGUUUAUCCACAAAACUUGCAAAAUUUUUAUAGGUGAAUACUUAAAUAUUGAGAAUUAUAGAGUUUGAUAUUAUCCCUUUCUUAUUAGUAAAGGUGUAUCAAAUGAAAACAGUAGAAAAUAAAAUAAAAUAUUGAGAAAUUCAACAAGGCAGGCUUUUUCUAAUGCCCAUUGCCUUACAAAAAAAGUGUGCCUAGGUGCACCAGGCAUACGCUUGAUCAAAUGGACCUCACCUGGAAGGGUCCAAGGCGUUUUGUUGUAUAAAACUAAGGCGUAGGCACGCCUAGGCGCAUGCCUUGACAACACUGACCAUAUGUUGGCUUUAUUGCAAAGCAUUAGCAAUCCAAAACUACUAGCACAUUACCUAAUCUACUACUGCUAGAAUAGGACUCAAGUUCUUGCUCCUGUGCAGGUCCAACCAAGAUCUUUACAGGAUACAAUAAUGAAACUUGUGAUAUCAUAUAUUGUUGCCUUGCUCGAAGCUUCCUUUGCACAUUUUUAAGUUUAACACAACCCCUUUCUUCAGUGAGUAAUCUAUUUGCUUCCUGUGAUAAAAACAACAUAUAAUCAAUCAUGCCACGCAUGCAAGACUACCAACCAACUAUCUAAUAAAAGAGACAAAGAAGUAGGAGAGCAAGAAGGGGAUAACCCUUGACUAUGCAAAGGAAUUCAUAGAAUGAGAAUCAUCUCAUCUAAGCCCCUCAACCACCUUCACAGGGGGUGGAGGUGCAAAGAGAGAGGUCUUAUUGAUCCGAGAGGAGAAUAUAUAACAUCUAAAGCUGAAUAAGAAGAAACCUUCAAAUAUAUCAUAAAUUCAGAAUUCAUGAUAAUAUAAAAAUGAAAUUCCAAAGCUAAUUUAAGCUAGAAUAAAAAUGCUUCACCUGUAAUCGCUUCCUUGCUACAGAAAGAGAGGUACCAGCAACCAACAAUGAUCUUACUUCAGUACUCAGCAUUUCCUCCUGUUUUUUAGCAUCCUCUGUUGCAACUUUGCAACGAGUUGACAUGUUUGCCAUAACUACUUUCCUUGCCUCUAGUCUCUCACGCAUUUCCUCAAGCUCGUUCAGUUUAUUCAAAGACUCAUUUUUUACCUGCACAGCAUGUUCCCACCCAUUAAUCAGUGGGCCAAUUAAUUAGGUCACAGAAGACAAAACUAAAUUAUCACUCACCAGGUCCCCUUGAAGUGUCAUAUGGCUUUAACAAUUCAACGUGCAAUAUCUAGUAAAAGUGAAAUAAACAUAGAAGAAUGCAAAUGCAAUUCUUAAACGCCUUUAAAUGGACAACAUGAAACAGUUUAAGAGCCCUAUAAAACAGAAAAGUGGAAAAAAAAUCUGAAAAGGAAAAAAAAUGAAUUGAAACAAUAAAUCCAUCUGGUACAAACAGCAACAAAUCUCGAAAUAAGCCUUGGCUUUAGCCCAUUAAAGCCCGGGCAUCCGGCCGAAUAAACAGUGACUGCCAUGUCAACUUUUUGAGACGGUAGAAAAGAGCUCAAAAAUCUCAAUUUCCAAAAUUAAGGACAUAAGAAGGAAAACAAUGUACUUAUUCUUACAGUAGAAGAGCAAAAUGAAACUAAAUGAAGGAUAAGGGAACUGAUGCGAAUUGACAUUGUUAUUUUUGGGACUAAAAAGAAUACGCAGAUUGAAUAUUUAAGAUUUUGUAAGGGAAAAGUUCCAUUCACCAACACAAUUAUCAUCGCCCUUUAUCCCAGUAAAGCUUAAUUGACAAUUUUUCUGUCUCGUGUUCUUGCUAAAGCAUUUGAGCAACCCAACAGAAAUCAUUAUAUGUCAAACUGAAAUGAUUGGCUUUAUCAAUUUCACAACCUAUACUGCCCAACCUAGUAAGUAAUUUAGGUGCAGACACCAGAAAUCUAUUUUCUUUGCACUCUACAACCAAAUAGCCUACCACUUAUCAAUCAAACACAGCUGAAAACUUCAGUGAGGAAACAUUAUGUAAACUGAAAAAACUAUAACUUCAACUUGAUUCAUAGCUCGGUAAGUUCAGGGAACUUGGACUUCUACCACCAUGAUCCAGUUCGAUGUGAAACAGUGAUCCAUAUCACGCAUAUCAGUUCCCGCAACAAGAGGUAAAACAGCAAAUUAGGUAAACAAUGAUCCAACUAUAUUUCAGAAUAGCAACAUUGAGCAUGAAAGCUAAAAUUAUAGCAUAUUAUGGGUCCUUGCUCCCUACAACUACAUAUAAAAUUACUAAACAAUAUUACUACAUUAAGGAUCCAGAAAAACUUGGUUUCAAUUGUUGAUCACUUGAUCCAACUAUUUUAGAAAGUUUAUUCUUCUUUUUCCUUUCCCUUAUUUUCUAAAUCAGGAAAAACAGUAGCAUAUAAACUGGAUUACUACUCCAAUUAAGUUUCUAAAAUUUCAGCAAUAUCCCUUUAACCUUUUCACUCAAGUCACUACCCCCCCCCCCCAAUUAACAAAUAUAUUCCCAGUUUCCCUUUCACUUCAAACCCCCCCCCUUUUUUUUUUCUCUACCCAAAUUCAGCUUACGUUCAAAAACCCAAAAUUGGUUUGCUAAAAAAACAUAAUUUUCAAACCCAAAGGUAACCUAAUUUUAAUCAGAAAAAAAAAAGAAGCAUUACCUGAAUUAGUGAAUGGAGUUUCUCUUGAAGACUUUAUUUUAAAAUUAUCUUAUACUAUUUGCUUUAAAUCGAUUUUUAUUAGUUAUUUGAAACUCGUUUUCAUGUACUAUUUAUUUUUUUAUCACUUAUUUAAAUUGUUUUACAUAUCUAUUUUUUAAACCCUAUUUUAUUAUAUUUUACUUAUUUUAACUUUUUUACAUAUUUCAUUAUAAAUAUUAUUAAUUAUCUAUAUUGAGUUUUUCAUUUAUGUAUUACUUAUUUAGAUAAAUAUAUACUAUUUUGUGUAUUACUUAUUUUGAUUUUCUUCUUAUACAAUAUUACUUUAAAAUUCAUUUAGAUAUUAUUAUUUCACAUAGUAUUUAUUUUUAUCUUCAUUUUUGAUCUAUUUCAAACUCAUAUAUAUUGUUUAUUUUGAAAUUUUAUGCACAUGAUUUAUUGUUUAUAUUGAUGAUUUUAAAUUUCCUUUCUUGUAUUUUUAUUUAUUUAUUUUAAAACUUGUUAUACUUUAUUUGUGUUAAUUUGCUUAGUUUUUCUUUCAAAAUUAACUUAUAAUUCAUUAGCUUUUAAUGUUAGUAUUUGCAUAAUAUGUGAUAUAAGAUUAUUGCUCUCAUGUAUUGCUUAUCUGUAUAUAUUGAUUAUUUGUCAUUCAUUAGUAUAUAUUUUGUUUUACGAAUUAUCACUUCUCGCGUUGUACAUUAUCAUUUCCAUCGCGUUUUAUUUGCUCAAAAAUUAUGUUUAAUAUGGCUUAAGUUUUGAAAUCAUUUUAUCCAAAAGCUUCCAAUAUAGCAUAACACUCGGUGUUUGGGAUUUUUGAAAAGAUCGUACUCUAACUUACGAGGUCUCGAUUUUUUGAUAAUUUCAAAUAUACGAACCUUUUUAAAAAAAAAAACAAGACACAUUUACUUAAAAAUUAUCUCAAGAAUCAAAAAAAGAUCGUGUCCCAACUUACCGGAUAUGAUUUAUUAUCUGAAACCGAUAUGAUCAAGAUUUUUAAAAAUAAAUAAAUUUUGGUGUUUAUUCUCGUUUCGGGAUUUAAGAUAUUGUGUCCUAACUCACGGGAUAUAAUUUUUUUCUCGAUUAACGAGAAAUACACCCUUCUUUAAAUUUUAACAAAAUGGUCAUUUUUUUAAAUUUCUUUUCGAAAUUUUAAUUUUUCGACAUUAAGACAUUAAUUAAUCGAUUAGGUACUAAUUUUGGGCAUGACGGGGUGCUAAUCCUUCCUCGCAUGUAACUGACUCUCGAACCCGUUUUUCUUAAAUUCCAUUGACCAAAAUCAUUGUUUUAAUAAAAUCAAAAUGUUUUAUCAAAACGAUUGAAUUGCAAGGUGAUCCAAUCACACAUAAAAAAAAUGUCGGUAGCGACUCCCUUUUUUUCAUUUUCAAAAUAAAAGUCAACACUAUUUUUGUUUUCAAAAAGUGGUUUCGACAAAAUUGUUUAAAUCUUACUUAUUAUUAUAUUUAAUUGUUUUUCAAAAUAUUUUAUAUAUCAUCAAUUUUACAAAUAAUUUAUAUUAAUUACUUAAAAGGUAUUUAAAAGUUAUAUUUCAUGUAUCAUUAUAUUAAAUUAUUUAAAUAUCAUAUAACUUGACUAAUUUUUUAAUUUCUACUAUCAUGUUUAAAAAGAACAUUUUAACUUUCAACUGCGAUUUUUAGUAGCAAUGAACAACACUAAAAACUAACAAACACACUUUUCAGCACCCCUUUUCAACAACACUUUUUUCUUAAAGUACUUUUGAACUAGUCCUUAGUCUAUCAUGCAUCGACUCUUCAUUUUUCUUUAACUACCCAUGUCCGACUUCAAACAUGGAUAUGGAGAUAUGACCAAGUCAGAGUGACAUAGUUUUUAGUUAUGGGGAAAAGGAUUCGAGUGUUGGACCUCCUUUUAGAUGCAUAGUGGGACUUUCAUCACAUUUUUCAAAUUUGUUGAUAAUCCUUCAUCUAAUCUGCCGGUGAAGUUUAUAGAUGGUCCUAAGUGUCUAUCACAAGAACCUAGAUAUUGUAAAUCCAAUAUCUUCCAAACAAUUCAACCAUGAUAUUAUUAAUAAUGAUGAAAGCAAGAUUAUCCACUAUCAAUGACAUAAAAUGAGCUGUAAAUGCUGACGAACAAACAUGCACUGUUUUUCCAACCUGUGGAUUGAAGAGCAUUGACAAGCUAACUUUGCAGACCAUUUGAAUCCAAUAAUAUACAUAAAAAUGCCAAAGGAGAAUAAUUCAUCUUGGAAAAAGAAUUACUAAUAUGCAAAAGCUUACCUUGUUUAACAAGAACACAGCAUAUACUGCUCUUGUCGUGUCUUGACCUUCUAAAAACAGCGGAAAUUCUGCCGGCUUUACAUUUGCUGAAACUGUUGUAUCCAAUGACAAAUCAGAAGAUGCAGGGUCUAUUGAAGCUGCAUGGUCAUUAAUAUAUGAGCGAGAACCACCCAAGCGCAGAAGAUAGCGCAAGGGAACUUGUAAAUAGGAUGCAAUUAGUGAAACAGCCUGCAAAUGAUGAAAUAGCAGGACAUUAGAAACAAUAAUAGGUAUGAUAAAAUUAUAGCCUAAGCAUGAGAAACAAACAAUCAAGAUGCAGCCCACUAUACCAUAUUACCAUCCUAGCAAUACCUGCAAAACUUUCAUCAAAACGGUAAUAACACUUUUGGACAAUGUGUCCUAUUUUACCACACAACUGGCAUUGGGGCCGAUUGUUUGAAAAACCACCCUCACGGCCUCAUCCUCGAUGGAAACCUCUAUUGCAUUGAAAACCACCUCUAUGUGCCUGUUUGUUCCCUUGAUAGCCACUGUUAUAAUCAUAACACUUGGUCCGAUCACCCUCAUCACAAUCUUGUUUACUAGCUAUGUUAGCUUGUUCGAGAACACUAUUCAAGAACUCAAGUUCUCGAGCUUCACAAUCAAGCAGCAUCUCAAUCAACAGACCAAGCGACACAGCAGUAGCUGAAGCUACUACCCGUACUGAUUCACACUCAACUGGCAACCUUGCAAGAAUGAUGCUAACCAUUUCUUGAUUUGAAAUCAAACAACUCGUUGCAACCAACAUAUCACACAUGGACUUGAUCUUAGACAAAUAUUCUUUAACAAACAGAUGACCCUUUUUCUGUGAAUACAACACAUGAUGCAUACUGGACAAUUUUACCGUCGACUUAGUCGCAAGCCUUUUUUUCAAUAGUUUCCCAAAUAUAAUAACUAGUACGAGCACUAGUAAGAUAGGCUAGAAUUUCAUCACUAUCAGUUGAAAGUAACCAAGAAGCCAAUAGCUUAUCUUGUUGCACAUGUAAAACAGAAUCAGAAUCUUCUACUAAUCUCCCAUAUUUAUCCACUACAAACUGUGCUAGUACACUAAUAGCACCCAAAACAAACUCAUGCAGACCGUAUCAUUCAAGGAUCAACAUAAUUUGGAGCUUCCAUAAAACAAAAUUAUACUCACCAAGCUUUAUUGUAUCGUGCUUAGGAAAUUGUUGAAGACAUCUACAACUGUUGAGGUGGGUUUUCUUUAAACAUACUCAUUCCAACAAAAAAAAAAUCUACGUUAGUAUGAUUAAUUAGAAAGUGAUUAAUUCAUUAUUUAGUUAGAAGUGAUGGCCUUAAGAAAAAAAAUGACAUUAUUUUAUUUGGCAUUGUUAAAAGUGUUAGUUACUGAAAUAAUUAAUGAGAUUAUAAAAGUGAAAGAAUCAAAUUAUGUCAAAAGUAAAGUAGAGGGUUUUAAUCCUAAAUUUGGGUAUAAUAAAGGGACUAACACCAAAUAAUUAUAAAAUUUUCAAAUAUUUUAAAAUUAAUUUUAAAUAUUAAUUAAAUACAAAUUAUAAAAAAAUAAAAUAAAAAUCCCCAGCGCAGUGAGGGACAUAUUCGAUAUCAAUAAUUAUAAAAUCUGUAGUUGUAAUAUUUAAUUGAUAUAAUAUAUAAAAUUUGAGGGUUAAAUUUGUUAUUAUACAAUUUUUUUAACUGCCGUGUCACUUUGCAAUUUUUUAUUUUAAGGAGUCAUCAAAAUAACUAAACUAUGUAAUGUGAGUGCUUAAAUUACAAAAUUUUUACUUUAAUGUGAGUGCUUAAAUUACAAAAUUUUUACUUUAAGUGUUUAAAUUUUUAAAAAAAAUUAUAAUUAAAUAACAAUCUAUAUGUAGUUUGCCCAAAAAUUUUAUAACCCAAACUACACAAUUUUAUGGCCAUCUCCCACUUUUGAUAUCUCUUUGGCCAUUAGUUAAGAUGGGAGGGGAAUGACUUAUUCAAGAUUAGUGUCAACAUUAGAUUUAAAACCUACGGAAGUCAUGUUUCAAUUUUUUUAUAUAAUAAUAUAACAUUUAAAAUUAUAUUAUAUCUAUAAAAGAACUCAUUGGAUUAGGGUUUUUUUUUUUAAUUAACUUUCCAUUUGUUAUUAGAAAACAAAACUAAAAAUGCAUCAAACAGGGCUCUGAUAAAAAAUUAAAAAAAAACCAAAAUGUUUAGGUUUGGUAUCGUUUUACUUUUACUUUAAAAUCAGUCUAAUCUGUAUCAUGCUCACACCAAACAUAUGAAGAAAAAAAAAAGUGAAAUAGUAAGGAUAUUAUUAAUUUCAUUCCAAGACAAAUUUUAGCAUACCCAAUUAGGUCCUUGGGUUAAUCUUAUGUUUUUUGUUUAGGCAUUCAGCAUUCUUGGCGUUUAGUUUAGUUAGAAUUUUAAAUUAUGAUAGAUCUGAAACUUUGGUAUUUUUGUGCAAAACUCAACCUCAAAGCUUUAUUUGUUGUCUAAAUUAUUUUAUUGAAGCCUAGGAAUUGUUGUUAUUGUUUCGGCUAAUUGACCUUAAAGCAUCAAAUGCCUUUUUUUGGAUGGUCAUAUUCCUUCCAAGGGCUGAAUUACUAAAAGCCCAUGAAGUAUCCUUCUUUUUCUUAAGUGAGCCUCUGUUUCAAUGCCGCCAAAAUUUUCUUUAUCCACAUGGAAGCUGACCUGCCAUGAUGAUGUGGUAAAAAAAUGAACAAUUUGUAUUUUUUGAAAAAUAUAACACUUAAGAACUUUCUUUCUUCUUGCCUCCCAAUUCUCACCACCAAUUCCUUAGCCCAAAUCAGUUUUGGCCUCCGACAUUGAUCAUAACAAAAGUAAACUUUCUAUUAGAAAUAAUUUCUUUUAUGUACAAAUUAAAGGGUAAGAUAUUGUUUGGGUACAAAAAAAGCAUAUGAGCUUACUUUAGAAAAGUGACAACGUUGGGCUCUUUUAGUAUUCUAUCCUCCCACCAACUUUGUCCAAUGUUUUUUGCCUUAUCACCAGACAGUAAAAGGGCCUUUGACCUUUUCAGGCUAAGCGCUGCCUGGUGCAUGUAGGGGGAAAAGGCCUUCUAAUUGAAGUUCUCUUUAAUAUCUCUUUAAUUGUUUCUUAAUUGUAACAAAGGGAUAAUAUCGAACUCUCUAUUUCUCAAUAUUUGAGUAUUCAACACCAGGCAUGGGAUCAUAUGGAAAUAUGCAUAUGGUUGACAAAAGAAAGAAAAUUUGGAAAUGUUUAUUUAAGUAGUAACUGCUGGUUUUCUUGGAUGCUUUCUUGUUAAUGACUACUGUUUGGGCAUGUUUAUUUAAGAAUUGCCCCCAAGUAGUUUCUUGAAUCAUCUAAAAUUGGAAAAAAUAGUCUUAUGGUAACUCAUUAAAGUAUUUGAAAGUAUGCACAAGCUAAUAACAUUUUAGAAAUUAAAAUUGAAGAUCGGUUUUUAGGGUAUCAUGUCCAUAUUAAGCAUCAUCUUUCCAGAUUACUGUUCUCUCUCUCUCUCCCUCUCUGUGUGAUAUAUUUCUCAAGUGAAAGGUAACCUUCUUCACUUGAUUUUGACUUAAUUUUGCAGUCACCACGAUUGUAUAAUGUGUACAAGCAAAUGGGAAUUGUAAAAUCUUUUCAGAAUAUUCUGGACAAUGUUUUCAUUCCACUAUUUGAAGUUACAGUUGAUCCGAAUUCUCAUCCUCAACUACACGUGUUCCUAAAAAUGGUGAGUUCUAUGUUCAUCGGAGAACAUACUGUGCUAUAAUAAGAGAUUUCGGAAAAUAUAGUUAAAAAAUGCUUCUUUAUUGGAAUGACCUGCAUUAUAGCAAGCUGAAUAAAUGAUGCCUUAACUUUAUUCAUUGUGUUCUCAUAAUUCUUUAAAACCAUUCGAAAAUUCUAUUGAGCCACAUUAUAUGGUUAAUUUUUGGGUCUGUACUGCAUACUGAACAUGUGUACAUCCUUGCGAUUUUAGAUGGAUGGAGUUGGACAGCAAAGCAAUUGAAAAAAACCCAAUUUAUGGUUUCUAAAUGUUAGAUCAUUUAUGGUUUCUAGUUUCAAUUUAAAAAAAAAAAAUCCAAAUCAGCCAACUAAUGAAAUUUUCAACGAUGUUAGUUAUUUUAACUAAUCCAUAACAUGUUUGCUUCUUCUUCUUUUUUUUAGCCUAGCAGCAAUGUUAGCCUCUGGACUAGUUACCGCCCUCCUUUUUCCCCUCCCUAUUAACCCUUUUUAUUUUUCUUCUCAUUCACUCCAUGAGUCUUCGUUCUUUUCAGUUUACAGAUUUAUUUUGUGAGUAUUUUUGUUGUCUUUACAAGUUGUAAUGGACAGUUGACAAUGGCUAUCAUCAUUGAAACACCACCGACCACCAACACUUUCUUUUAGAAAGUGGGUACCUCUUCGUUGACUACUUAAUUUGUUUAUAUUUUGAGAGUUUCAAAAUAAUAAAUGAUUUCAUGACUCGGUUUAGACUCAUGUUUUUUUUCCAUUGUUCAAUAAGUUUUUACUUUUAAAAGUUUUUUUCUACUCUUAUAGUAAGCUUUUUAGUCUUGCUUUUGCGAGUAAUUUUAGGGUUGGUUUUGUCGCCAUCCCCUCUAGUUUGGUGGAUGCUCAGUUCUUUUGCUGAUUUAUGCCCGCCGCUUUGGACCAUCCGGGGUUGAUUUUCUUACUAUAUUAAGUGCUUGUAAUCACUUCUGAUAUGUUGUGCUUGAGUUGUGAUAGAGCUGAUUUCAACAUGCCAUAAUGUUCUAUUAAUGUUGAAGCUAAAGCUUUUGUUAUAUUGAUGGAGCUUGUCCUUUAGCGAGUACAACAAGUGUUUGUUAUUUCCUCCCCCCCCCCGAAUUGUAUGGUAUUAUUCAUUGAAUAAAUUAAUGAAGUUGUCUUAAAAAAAACUAAUCCAUAACAUUAACAUUAAUAAGAGAACAAAAUAUAUCAAAUUAAAAAAGAAAAACUGAAUCUUUAAUUCAAUUGAGAAAUUAUAGGGAUUAAAACUAUAAAUUGAUCUAUAAUAAUUUCUCAGGCAUUAAUUGUAAGAUUAAUUCCAUAACCUAAAUUAUUGUAGGGGCUAUAUAAGCUCAAGGUUGACGCAAAAGUCAAUAGUCAGCGUCUGAAAGUUAAUGCAAUUAAUUAUGUCAUUGUUGAUAUAUUUAACGCAAAUAUAUUAUCAUAUGUGUAAUGUCAUACCAUCUUAUUAUUUCCAUAUGUUACUAAAAAUCUAGUUAACGGACUAAGGAUUGUCAUUUGUAUCAAGACUGAAAUUUUAAAUUUUGAAAAAUAUAGGUACUUAGAAUAAUCCAAUUAGAGAGUAUGGACUAAAUCAACAAUUAUACGCAUAAUAUAGGACUAGUAAUUGGUUUUAAUUAAAUUGAUUUAACUCUAUUGUUUGGAUCACAACUAAAAUUUUAAAAUUCAAAAUGUAUAGGGAUUAAAAUUGAUCAAAUUGAAGUAAAUAGACUAAAUUUACAACUUUCACAAAGAACAGUGACCAACAGCAGAAUUUAACCAAAUAAGCUCACCAAAGUCAAUAGUCAAUCUUUGAAAAGUAAUGCAAUUAAUUAUGUCAUUGUAGGAACGCUUUCCUGACAUAAAAUUCCACCAACUAAGCCUUUUGCGUAAAUAUUAGCUAUGAAAAUUCAACCAUUGAUAUUAAAUUCAAGACCCCACAAAUGACAGACAUAUAUGUUGGAAAAAUCUUUGUGUGAACAUUUCUUUCGGUCAUACUCAUGUCGUAUAAGUUAGAGGAGCACAAGUCUAGAUUCAUCCAAUUUUUGAGGAAUUAAUUAAUUAUAUAUUAGUUUAAAAUUAUAGUGAAUUAGUGAGACGCCAUAGGUCUUGCUUGCAUAUAAAUAAGAAGCUUAGGCUUCUUCAGAUUAUUUACAUAUAAAAGUUUAAAAAGUAACAUAUAGCUAAGAGAGAAGAGGAAAACAGAAAGAUGAUGAUGAUAAUGAUGGAGUGGAAAUGGUUAUGGUUUAUAAGGAUGGCAGUAAUGUUGUUGGUGUUAGAAGGGUGCAGGUGGUGUACUGCUGAUGCUUGUUUGGAGCAUGAGUCGCCUUCUUGCAUCUCAAACCUUUCUUCAAUUAUGAUAAUCAAUUGAAAAGUUGGAUUGAGGUGAAGGGUUCAGAUUGUUGUAAAUGGAAAAGAGUUGAGUGCAACACCAUCACUAGGAGAGUCAUACAACUCUCCCUUAAUCAUACAUCAUCCAAUAUAUAAAUGAAUUAAUGAAUUUACCUUUCAAAAGAGAAAAAAAGAAUUCAUAAAUUUUGAAAUACAAAAUGAACGUGUUUUGAUAUUUUUAGGGCAAUGGUUUAGUGGUUCAAAAUUUUGAUUUAAUAUGGUGAAUUUAAUUAUAAUUUUUUAUAUAUUAGAUAGUAGAAUAUAUUUUACCAUUUAUAAUUAAGUACAAUUAAGUUUAGGUUAAAAUAUUUUAUUAAAUUUUUGUACUUUUCACAAAUUUUAAAUUUAAUCUGUUUACUUUUAUUCUAGAAUUUAAUCUCUCUGCAUGUAAAGGAGGUUAUUAUGGCAAGGGGAAUUACCAUGGCAGAGGUAGCCGAGGCUGACGAAGAGAUGCUGGAUAUGCUGAAGAAAGAUAGAUGGCUGAGAAACAGAAAAACUUUAGGAACAAUAUUCAGUGUUAGAAGUAUGGGGAUGUGAAGGCAGAUUGUUGGAAAAGGGGAAACAAGCAAAUUUUGCGGAAGAUGAUGAAGAGAUUUAAAUUAUUUAUGAGCUGUCUAGAUGACACUAUAGCUUCAACUAACAUUUGGUUUCAAGGGCGUAUAUCUCAUGAUGAAGAGAUCGUCUCUCUUCUUUUUUCUCAUAACAUAUUACACGCCAUGAUAAUAAAUAUUGAUAUGCCUAUAAAUUUGAGUUUCUAUUAUUUGUAGUCAUGAUUUGGUUCACUCCAUAAGUUACAUAAAUUUAUUAUAAUAAUUCAAUUAAUUUUAGAUUAAUUUUACAUUUUUGCCCGAACUUUAGUUUUUAAUAAUUCAAUCAUCCCACCAUUAUAUUCAAUUAAAAGUGUAAUACGAUUUUGCGUCAUCCAACCAUUAUUCUUAGUGUAAUUUUUGGUAGUGAGCAUAGAAGGACAGCGAGAACAAAGAAAGAAUGUAUCCAAUAACCCACUCCCCUUAUAGUCAAUGCUUAAAAUGAAUAAGAAAAUAGAAAACAAACGUGGCAAUGCCAGCUAAUUUGUUAUUACUAUUCACCGUAUAACUAAGGACAUUACGCACCGUUUUAAUUAAAACAAACUCACCGUUUAAGACCGUUACUUCUAUGCAUCGUUUUAAUCAUAUGCGUCAGUUCGAACAAAUAGGUGAACAUGAAAGCUUUUCGCAAAGUUUAGAUGUGUGCUUAAAACUCAAACUUUGUGUUCUGUAAAAAUAUUGAUUUUGUUGUAAUUGUAGGUUGAACUUUGUGAGUCCAAUUACUUUCUUUGGCAUCGGAUAUUUCGUGGAACUUUCGUAUGAGAUAUUUACUUCAUAAAUAGAAGAUUACAAAAUUUGGAUAUUAAUAUAUUUUUCAUGAUUUAAUUUUCUUUUCCUUUUUUGGGCUAAAAUAAUUAAUAACGAAAACACGUCUUUUGCUAGCACCUAUAAAUGCCUUAAAAAUGUAAAUUAAUAUUCCACAAUAAUUAUUAAGAUGAAAAGAAUUUUAUAAUCUAAACUUACGAUUUCAUGUGAAUUUAAUGUUUAGUUAUAGUUUUAAUUACAAAGUUAAAUUGGUAUCUUUGUUAUUGCAAUAAUUAAAAAAAGAUGAGUCCAAAUGACGUUGAUUUUCUGUUUUUUAAAAGUGAAUGCAAGAUGGGACGGCUGGAAUUUUUUUUAUUAAACAGUAAGUAUGAAACAGUUAUGGUAAUUGCUUGCUCCAUCUCACUCCACUCCACUAUAUAAAAUUAUCAUUUCAUUCUUUUAUAUAUAGAAAAAAAUUAAAUAUUUUAUGAAAAUAAUCAUGUUUAAAUUUCCAAGAAUAAAAGCAAACUGAAGACUUAAAAUUUCCAUUAAUAAAACCAAAAUCAAAGAAGUAAAUUUCCCAUGAAUAAAACAAAAAAUGAAGAUCUAAAUUUUCCAUUAAUAAAGCCAAGUCAAGACUAAGUUUGUAUAAGUGUAAGAAGGGUAUAAAUGAAACUCACAAGAAAGCCACAUGAAGAAUUUUAUAACCCCAAACUACACGAUUUUAUGUCCACCUCUCACUUUUCAUAUUUUUUUGGCCAUUCGUUUUUCAAGAUUAACAUCAGCAUUCUUGUGGUCCGUUCAUCCUUUUCUAAUGAAUUUCCACCAAGAGUUUUAUUUUUCAAAAUGUUAAAUUAACUCAUGAUAUUAAUUAAAUCAAGAAAUUUUAUAAUAAUAGAGAUGAAAAAACUAAAUUUUCAAAAUCAAAACCUAAAAUGUGCAAGAAUAAAAGCAAACUGAAGACUUAAAAUCUCCAUUAAAAAAAUCAAAAUCAAAGAAGUAAAAUUUCCAUGAAUAAAACGAAAAAUGAAGACCUAAAAUUUCCAUUAAUAAAUCCAAGUCAAGACUAAGUUUGUAUAAGCGUAAGAAGGGUAUAAAUGAAACUCACAAGAAAGCCACAUUAAGAAUUUUAUAACCCCAACUACACGAUUUUAUGUCCACCUCUCACUUUUCAGUUUUUUUGGUCAUUAGUUAUUCUAAGAUUUAACAUCAACAUUUGAUUUCAAAUCAACGUUAAACCAUGUUUAAACUCUUUUUCUUAUAUAAUAAUUAUAUUAUAUUUAAAAUUGAAAAAACUAACCAGCCAAAUAUAUAUUAAUUAAUUAAUAGAAUUUUUUUUGCUCAUCGAUUAAAAUAAAUCAAGAAAGACGUUGGAACCACCAACCUCUCUUUAAGAACAACAGGAAUACAAGAACCUAUGCACAACAAGUACUAAAAUGUAUUAAGUAAAUUCAUCACCAGGCCUUAAAAAAAGAAGAUCUCGAUAUACCUGCUUUUGCCAAAGCAUCUGCCAUACCAUUACUUUGCCAGUGAAUAAUUCUGAACUGAAACUUAGCCAAUUGAGUGAUAUUAAUUAUAGAAAUGGUUCUUCUUGCAACCAUAGAUGAAACACCACUGAGACUAACAAACUUGGAGAAACUUGAUUAAAUCAAACUUAUGCAAAUUUCUUGAAUAUUUAAGUUAAGAGUUAACGUCAAAGUCAAGAGUUGAUAAGGAUUUUGUGGUCCAUUCAUAUCUUUAUUACAAUAUAUAUAUAUUCAAGAAAUUUGCAGCAAGUUGGAGUUUUGCAAUAAGGAAUUUCCACCAAGAGUUUUGGAAUAAGGAAUUUCCUCCAAGAAUUUUGCAGGAAUCAUAUCUCUAACAAAAGAAAGACCUUCAUUUGACUAAAUUUUUUAGUAUUUAUUUUAACUUCCAUUUUAUUAAAAAAAAACAGAGGUAAAAAAUAUGCCGAACAGGGUCUUUAGGUUACUUUUCUUAGAACUAUAUUAUGUUAUAGUACCGUAUAAGUUAGAGGAGCACAAGUUUAGAUUCAUCCAAUUUUUGAGGAAUUAAUUAAAUAUAUAUUAUUUUAAUAUUAUAGUAUACAGAGGCAAUGUUAGAAAAAAAUUUUGUGGAGUCGAAAUUAAAUUAUAGUUUUAAAAGCAUAUAUCUUUAUAAUUUUUAAAGAAUUAAAUCAAAUUUUUAUCAAUUUUAGGGGGUCAAUGUGCAAUUUUAUCUUUACUAAUUUAAAAUUUUAAAACAUUUAAAGGACCUAAAUAGGAAUUUUUCUAUUUUAGAGGCGUCUGAGACGCCUGUCUAGCUAUGCCCCUGAUAGUGAAUUAGUGGGAUGCCAUAGGUCCUGCUUGUAUAUAAAUAAGAAGGUUAGGCUUCUUCAGAUUAUAUACAUAUAGAAGUUAAAAAUUAACAGACAACUGAGAGAGAAGAGAAAACAGAAAGAUGAUGAUGAUGAUGAUGAUGAUGGAGUGGAAAUGGUUAUGGUUUAUUAGGAUGGCAGUAAUGUUGUUGGUGUUCGAAGGAUGCAGGUGGUGUACUAUUGAUGCUUGUUUGGAGCACGAGAGGAUUGCUCUCUUGCAUCUCAAACCUUUCUUCAAUUCUCGUGAUGAAUUGAAAAGUUGGGUUGAGGUGAAGGGUUCAGAUUGCUGUAAAUGGGAAAGAGUUGAGUGCAACACCACCACUAGGAGACUCAUACAACUUUCCCUUAAUUAUACACAAUGGGAAUUCAACGUGGAAUAUUGGUAUCUCAAUGCCUCUAUGUUUCUUCCCUUCGAGGAAUUGAGGAGUCUUUAUUUGUCAGAUAAUGCCAUAGCUGGUUGCAUUGAAAAUGAAGGUCGUGCCUUUAAUUUUCCCUCAGUUACAUCUUUUAUUAUUACACUAUUCUCACCCUUGUUAAUUUGCAAUUACUUAUAAUUUAUUUUAUUUUAUUGAAGAAAGGUCACUAAAUGUUUGUGUAUAUAUUUAAAAGAACACUCUUACAGGUUUUGGAAAGCUAUCAUCCACAUUGAGUAAUUUGGAGAUUCUUGACUUAAGUUACAAUUACUUGAAUGAUAGCAUUUUGUUAUCUUUGAGUGAGCUUUCAUCUCUCCGAUAUUUGGAUCUAUCAUACAACCGAUUUGAAAGAUCAAGUCAUCCAAGAGGUAAAUUAAGUUUAGUCUGGUGUUAGUUUUUAUUUGUAUUGGGGAGUUUGACAGUGGUUUUCCAUUGUUUUAUUCCCUCUAACUUAGUUUUUGCUUUUAUGGUUGAGAGGAAAAAGAAACAAACAAGUACUUACUCAAAUUAACUAAACAAUGGAUUAUUUUUUUUAUGUUUUGCAGUAACUAAUUCUAUGGUAUAUAAAUCAGGUUUUCAGUGGCUUUCAAGGCUCACUAAAUUGGAAACUCUUCAUCUAAGUGGGAAUUCUUUGAAGAAUAGCAUUUUUUUACAGAUGAGAAAUCUUUCAUCUUUGAAGACUUUAAGUUUGGGUGACAAUCAGUUGGGAGGAAAACUGCUUCAUAUUCAAGGUAGACUGAUUUUACACUUUUCUUGUUAACUUUAAAAUAAAUUCAGUAUGUGAUUUGAUUUUAUCAUAUCAUGAAUAUAACUGAUCAAUAUUUGAGAUUGAAUUUCAGAAUUGAAUCAUUUGGCAAACUUGAAGUACUUGGAUUUAAGUAGGAACAGAAUUGAAAGCAUCUCAAACAAAGGUAUAAGUAAUAAUUUGUGCAUGACUUUCCUGACAGACUUCAAAUGUAUUUUCUUUGUUUUUUUCCUUUUCAUAUGGUUGAGAGGAAAAAAGAUCCUUAUAAUCUUAAAGAGUUGAUAUUGAGAGUUGGUCAUGAGAGAAUGGGUCCUUAAAAUCCUUAAGACCAGGGAGUUUGUGUCCACAGUUGAGUAUUCCAUUUGAAAACUGAAAAUUAAAUAUUCUAUUGCUUUAUUUCUUUUAAAAGAAAGAUUGAGUUUGGAUCUCCGACUGCUUUAUUUUUUUCAAAGAAAGAAAUAUGUUUAUACUUUUGCGCAGAAGAUAUGAAGAAGUCUUAUUUUGUUCUCGCUUUUGUGCAAGUGAAACUUAGUUAUCUCAAAUAUAUAUAUAUAUAUAUAUAUUGUAGUUAUCAGUUCACUACACAAUAGCAUGUAAACCAGUUCCCCCUUUUCAAAUUUAUGAGUGGGAGUUGUCCAUGAUUUUCUUUGUGAUUUUCUUUUCACGUUUUAGGAUUUUCAUCUUCACUUCAAGUUUUAGAUUUACUUUUUUUCAUUUUUAUUUCAUUAACUUAAAAAAGGAAUGCUGGAUCAUAUUCAAGGUAGAUUGAUUUUACAUGUUUCUUUUUAACUUAAAAAAUCAAUAUAUGUUCAAGUUUAAGUGACAACAACAUUGAAAGCAUCUCAAACCAAGGUAUAAGUAUUUGUGCGUAGUAACUUUCUUGACUGACUAUUAUUCCAAAAGGCAAUGACAGACUUCAAAUGUAUUUUCUUUAGUGAAUUUUUAUUGCAAAAAUGGAGUAUUAUUAUUUAUUUAAGUUUUGUAGUAACUAAUUAUAUAAUAUAUAAAUGAGGUUUUCAAUGGCUCAUUAAAUUGGAAAUUAUUGAUAUAAGUUGGAAUUAUUUGAAGAAUAGCAUUCUUUAAAAUAAAUUCAUGUUGAAGGAAAAGUUGUUGCAAUAAGUCAUUUGAUUUUAUCAUAUCAUGAAUAUAUAUAACUAAUCAAUAUUUGGGAUUGAAUUUCAAAAUUGAGUAAUUUAAGUAGGAAGGUAUCUCAAACAAAGUAUUUAUAUAUUGAAUCAAUUCAUCGGAAAGCUUGUAAAUUGGCUCUUCCUUCUCAAACAAACAUUUUUCCUAACUAUUUAUAUAUUGAAUGAUGUUAACUAUACUAAUUACUUUCUUCCAAUGAUAGAUGGAACACAAUUGAGGCUAACAAACUUAGAGGAACUUGAUUUGAGUGGUAAUCUCUUUCGGAACAACACAAUUUCCUUUCCUCAAGGGCUUUCAAGCCUAAAGUCUUUGACUUUGUACAACAACCAUUUGCAAGGCUCAUUAGAUACUAAAGGUACUAAAGCUAUAACUUUGUUUUUCUUGAUAAUUCUUUCUAGAACCUUUUAAAAUUAAUUGUUUCAAUUUUGAACAUUCACAUUUCACGUUUGAGGAUUUUCAUCUUCACUUCAAGUUUUAGAUUUACUUUUUUUUUCAUUUUUAUUUCAUUAAAAUAUUAAGUAGAAAUUAAAAUUAUUAACAUAAUGAUUUUUUGAAUUGGACGUGGAUAUGUAUAGGAUUGAGCAAUUUAACAAAUUUGAAGAAACUCGAUUUAAGUGUGAAUCAGAUUGAAAGCUUUCAAUCCUUUAAAGGUAUGCAUUUAUAUUUAACCAAUUACCUAAAUUCUUACAUAUAAUUAAAUUUUAUGCCAAUUCAUUUCAGUGAUGAAAUUAUAUAAAUCUUUUGUAGAUGGUGGUAGAAAAUUGGAGUUGACCCACUUGGAAGAGCUUUAUUUAGAUUACAAUCAGUUCAAUACUAGUGUAUUUGCAUCCCUUAACAAGCUUUCAAAUUUGAAAUCUUUGAGCAUAUGGGACAAUGGAUUGAAAGGAUCAAUAGAUAUGAAAGGUAAAUAUAUUAGUUUUUUUAACUAGAAUAUAAUCAUGUUUGAAGAGAAUAUAAUGAAGUUGAUUUGUUGUUUUUGUUUUCCUAGAUUUGGAAGCAUUUAUCAACUUAAGGGAACUAGAUAUGAACUAUAAUGAAUUGAAAGAUUUGGUGAUCCACCAAGGUAUCAUUUAAUUAAACUUCCUUUUUUUUUUAAUUUAGAAAUUUAGUUUUGAUCUCAUAUAUUAUAAUAACGGUUAUUGUCAUAAAUAUUAAUAAAGUUAUAUCAUAUCAUACUUGAAAGUAAAAGUUUGGUGAAACAUUUUCUAAAUCAUCCAUUAUAAUGUGUUUGGACUUUGGUUUGAAACUAAAAUUCUUUAAAAUUUUCAUCAUUUUAAAAUAUUAAUGUUUAUAAUUAUUUUGUUUGUAUAAAUAUAUUUUUUAAAAUAAUUUAUUGAAUUUUUAUGAGAUAAAAAAUAAUUAUAACAAUAAAAAAUGAUAUUAUAAAUAAAUAAAAACAUAUAUUUAUGAGAAAAUAUGUAAUAUAACUAUAUUUUAAUUUCAUAUAUUUUUAAUAGUAUAAAACAUAAAAAUACAUAUUAGCGUUAAAUAAAUGGCAUUUUUUGGCAAAAAUAAAUAAAUGUCAAUUUUGAAUAAUUUAAAAAAAAUCUUUAAUUUUGUGAAAUUUAAACAUACAUUGAGAGGUGCUUAAACUUCCAUUGCAAUCUUUUUAUAAAUUUCAAAGUGCAUAUGUUUUUAACUUUUUGGUUUAAAAAAAUAUGAUAGGUCUACGUACUCUUUACUAAUUUGUAAUUUAAUUCUUAUACUUUUAUUUUCAAGAAUUUAAUCCCUGUUUUUUUAUAAAAAAAUCAAAAUCCUAGUUCAAUUGUUAAAAUUGUUAAAAUUUUAAAAUAGUUUGUUGGUGUGACAUUUUGAAAUAAAAAAAAACUUAGUAGUAAUGUAACUAAAAAAUGACGUAAUGAACAUGGAUUUAAUAAAAUAAUUUUAACAAUAUUAAUAAAAUAAUUUUGAAUUUUGAAUUUUAACUUAACUCUAUUUUUGGGCCAAGAUUUAAUGCUUUAAAAUUUUCAUUUAAUCCGCUGAGUUUACUUAUAAUUCUUUUGAGUUUUAUUUAUUGGUGAGUAAAAUACCUAUUUGAUUUUUUUAUAUACUAUUGGCAUCUUUAAAGGUAAUAUAAUAAUUUUAGUGUAGACGUGUUUUAUUUUAUAAAUAUUAUUUAUAGUGUAGACAUGUGAAUUUUGAAUAAUUUAAAAAUAUCUUCAAUUUUAUGAAAUUUAAACAUACAUUUAGUGUAGACAUGUUUUAUUUUAUAAAUAUUAUUUAUAGUGUUGUUGAUUGGAGUUUGAAAAUUAUACAACUUAGCUAUAUCAGUUAAUUACUUAUAUUAAAAAAUAAUAUAAGAAAAUACUAAAAAGAAAAAAAAUAGUAUAAUUAAUAAAAUGGAUGAAGAGUUAUAUUAAAGUUUCAACAUCUUCUCUCUAUCAAAAUUUAUCUCGGAUAAAUCAUGAAUAAUCUAACUCAUAAAAAAAUAUAUAUAUAUUUAUAUACUUCAUUUCAUUCACAGAAAAUAAAGCAUUCCACUUAAUAGAGGCUUUCUAUAAUGCCGUUAUCUAAUACCUCUUGACAUUGCUUAGAUUCAAAUGUGUCGAGCAGUUUGGAGGAAAUAUAUCUUGACUAUUCUACUCUCAACACCAACAUUUUGCAAAGCAUUGGAGUAUUCGCUUCUCUUAAAAUAUUGUCUUUAUCUAAUUGUGGACUUAUUGGUCCCUUACCUAAUCAAGGUAAACAAUUUUAUGGCUCAAUUUGAUUUCUUUAUGAACUUUCUGUAAUAUAUUAUCUCCUAUUCUGUUUUAUAAAGCAAAAUUUAAUUGAAACUUCUUCCAUGAAUUUAUUUAUAAAAUUUUCAGGAUGGUGUGAUCUAAGGAACCUUGAAGUGUUGGAUGUGAGUAGAAAUGCACUUGAGGGGAUGCUUCCUCAUUGUUUUAGUAACUUGACAUCUCUUCGUGAGUUAGAUAUUUCAAGAAACCAUUUUCAAAUUCCGCUGUCAUUUGCACCAUUUGCAAACCUUUCAAACCUCAAAGCCCUUUUGAUUAAUGAAAACAAGAUGGUAAUGGAACCUUCCUUUUAUACCUCAAUCCCAAAGUUCCAAUUGGAAGUCAUCAGUUUGUCAAAGUGCAUAACAUCUCAACAACUCAGUCUUAAACUUUGUACCUUCCUUUACUACCAAUAUGACUUGAGAUAUGUGGAUCUUUCGCAUAACAAUCUCAGUGGAACUGUACCAACUUGGUUGCUAGAAAACAACACAAAGUUAGAAGAUCUCAUCUUGAAGGGUAAUUCAUUUACAGGUCCUCUCUCACUUUCGUCGGCUCUUAUUUCUAAUGUAUCUACAAUUGACAUAUCUGAAAACAAAUUACAAGGUCAAAUUCCAACUGGUAUAUGUUCAACUUUUCCACAUUUGAGGCAGUUAUUCUUAUCCAAGAAUGCUUUUGAAGGUAAUAUCCCACUUUGUUUAAGUGGCAUGAAGGACUUAUCAUUUUUAGAUCUAUCAGACAAUCAUUUGUAUGGAAAAGUACCAGAAGAGUUGAUCACGAAAGGCUUACUAAUCAUUUUGAGACUAUCAAAUAACAACCUCAGUGGAAAUGUAGUUCCUGUGAUUCUCAGCGCAAAUGGGGUGCAGCAUUUAUAUUUGGAUGGAAAUAAUUUUUCAGGAGAGAUGACAAAUGUUGAUGUGUCUACUUUUGAGUUUCCAAAUUCACUAAGCGAAAUUGAUCUCAGUAACAACACUUUGCAUGGAAAGCUCCCAAGAUGGAUAGGGAAUGCAUCAUUUUUGGGGAGAUUAGAUUUGUCCAACAAUGGUUUUGAAGGUUCUAUUCCAAUGGAAUUUUGCAAGUUGAAUAGGUUGGAAUUUUUGGAUCUUUCUCAAAAUAAUUUAUCUGGCUCUAUACCGUCAUGUUUUAAUCCACCAUACAUACAGCAUGUCCACCUCCACGGGAAUAGACUGAGAGGCCCACUAUCACUUGCUUUUUAUAAUAGCUCUUCAAUAGUGACUUUAGAUCUUGGAGGAAACAAUUUGACGGGUAGUAUUCCAAAAUGGAUUUACACGCUUUCUUCUUUGAGUUUUUUUCUCUUGAAAGAUAAUCAUUUUCAUGGUAAAGUUCCUAUUGAGUUAUGCAAGUUGCAUUCUUUAAGCAUCAUAGAUCUUUCUCAAAAUAUGUUUUCUGGUCCUAUACCUUCUUGUUUGGGAAAUUUAUCUCUUCCAAUGCAAAGGAAGAAGAUUCUAGAACCUGGUUUCUAUGGGCCACCUAUAGAAGAGGAUGAAACAACACGCAGUACGAAACUAAAUUUGGGAAUGUAUUCUUACUAUCCUAAUAGCUACUUCGAAGAAGUAAUAGAGUUCACAACAAAGAGUGGGUUCUAUUCAUACAAGGGCUACAUCCUUUCAUAUAUGAAUGGGAUUGAUUUAUCUUGCAACAACUUAACUGGUCAUAUCCCACCAGAAUUAGGGAACUUGAGUGAAAUCCAUUCUUUAAACCUUUCACACAAUAAGUUGACCGGAGUUAUACCCUCGUCACUCUCAAAACUACAUCAAAUUGAGAGUUUGGACCUUUCUUACAACAACUUAAGUGGUGAAAUCCCCAAUCAAUUGGUAGAGUUAAACUCUUUGGAGGUUUUCAGCGUGGCAUUUAACAACUUGUCAGGUAGUAUUCCCGAACCAAAAGCUCAAUUUGGGACCUUUAUUGAAAAUAGUUAUCAGGGAAAUCCGUUUCUUUGUGGAGUUAUAUUGCAUAAAAGUUGUUCCAAAACCGAUUCACCAUCAACGAUAUCAAUUGUAUCAGAAGAUAAAGGAGAAGAUGGUUUGAUAGAUACUUAUGAUUUUUGUGUGAGCUUUUUGGUUUCUUAUGUAGUUGUGUUGUUGACAAUUUUUGUUGUCCUCUACAUAAAUCCAUACUGGCGAAGAGCUUGGUUUUCUCUUGUUGGGAAAUGCAUUACCACCUGUCGCUACUCAAAUGUGGGCAAUUUUCUUACUUAUCACAUUUUCAAGCGAUGUGUUUAGCUACUCAAAUUGUGAUUUGAUUUCCACACCUAAAUGUUUAAUUAUGCUAAGUUGAGCGAUAAUGAAUAUUUUGUUGAUUUUUGCAUUUUGAAUAAAAGCUCUUUUAUCUUAUGGUUUUAUCAUUUUCAACCAUCUAUUUCUUUUUUCUUCUAUGAAAUUUAAUAUAAAAUCAUAAUCCAUUAUUAUGUAUAUGCAAUAUCUCUUUAAAUUAAAUUAAAUUAAAUUAACUGCCAAGCGUUCACUAGUGCAUACUAAAAAGGAAAUCUAAUGUAAAAUUAAAUCAAACAUACUACAGAAUUGAAUCUAAAACUGGAAUAUUUUAAAACCUCACAAACAAUGCAAUUCUUUAUUCCUCUUUUCCUCUCAAGUUAUUUUGUAUCAUGUUAUAUUUUACAUAAUUAAUCGUAUCAUCAAAUUUUAAAAAAAUUUUAAUAUUUUGAUAUCAUGUUCAUAUUAUGCUUUAAUUCACAAUGUAUUUUGUAUAAUAUGUUAUAACAAUUCAAUUUAAAAAACAAACAAUUAUCUUAUUUUUGCAUACCGUAAUAUACAUUUACAUGUUAAUAAUUCUUUGUACAUAAAUUUUGACAUGUUCGUAUAUUCGAGUCAUUAUAAUUUUAUUAUUUGUAAUAUGACAUGUUUUACUUACCCUUAAUAUUGUGUCAUGAUAAUUAUAACUCGAUUGGCAGUGUACCAAAUAUUUUUCUAAUAAAAAAUAGUAUUUUAUUCUAUUUACCAAAUCUUUAUCAACUUUAUUUUCUCACCAACAAAACAUACAUUCAAAGUUCAAAUAAGUUCCACACCCAUUUUUUUACUGCAAUACUCAAGAAUAUGCUCAUCAUCAGAAAUCUGAAAUAUUCCACUCUAAUUAACAUUAUGAUUCUGUAAACAACAAAAAAGUGUGAUACUUUUUUAAAGCUCUUUUUUUUUCUUUAAUGAAAUGGGAUUGGUAAAAAAUCCGCACAUGUGUCGUGUGUGAAGGUGGUCAGGUUGUCUAUUCAUACUGUAAUAAGUAGCUAAUUAUAGUUGAUCCUACAAAAUCAAAAUUAAUUCAGGUAUCUAUAUAUUCUGAAGACUGGACAGACCUUAGAAGCUCCUUCAAAUUUGCAAGAACAUGUCGUGGUCCUAAACUCUUUACACCGAUGAAAUUCAAAAGUUGCUCUAUAUCCUGCAAUCACAGUAAAGAUUAUGCAAGCUUUUCAGAACGAAUAACAUAACAAGCAAAAGGCAAUCAAAAUACUGUGAUCUCGAUAAUGUUCUUUGCCGAAAAGGAACAUAAACAUAACCUGAAAACAUCAGUGAAGGCUCAUCAGAUUUGCUUAGCAACCUUACAUACACAUGUAAAAAGCUUUGCUUUUGGAUGUAUGGUGUGACUAUCAUCACAGUCUUUCCUAAUUAGCUGAUAACCCUAUAUCUAACAUUUAUCAGGGCUAAGCAAAUUAACAUACAUAAUGUAAAGGAAUUUGACCAUAAGAUCCAACAGAAAACUUAAUAAAAGAUAAUCAACAUAGAAAGUUAAAAGGCAAUGCAAACUUAUUACAAUGAUGCAAGUGGAUCAAAAGAAAGCACUCUAUAAGGAAUUUGUAUUUAAGGCAUUGUAAACAGAAAAAAAAUAAUAAAACUUUUCGGAAAGUAUUUUCAAAGAGGAGACAAAAACAGGGUAGAAAAAAUGUUUGGUCCUUCCUUUUUCUAUUUCUACUGUGGUGAAAAAGCCUUUUUGGGUUAAAAGUGUUUUUACACUGCAGAAGUGUUUUUCCACUGCAGAAGUGAUGAAGAACACAUAGCUUUGUAGUCAAAAACCUACUGCUUUUGGCUUUUGCAUUUCGAAGUGAAAAUUAUAAAAAUACUCUUAGAUUAAUUUAUAUUUUAUAUAUUAUUAUAUUAAAUUGUUAAAUCUUAUUUAUUAUUAUAUUUAAUUUUUUUCAAAAUAUUUUAUACAUCAUCAAUUUUACAAAUAAUUUAUAUUAAUUACUUUUAAAAGUUAUAUUUCAUGUAUCAUUAUAUUAAAUUAUUUAAAUAUCAUAUAACAUCACUAAUUUUCUACUUUCUACCAUCAUGUCUAAAAUAGACAUUUUAACUUUCAACCGCAAUUUUUGGCAGCAAUGAACAACACUAAAAACUAACAAACACACUUUUCCGCACCACAUUUCAAAAACACUUUUUUCUAAACGCACUUUUGAACUAGUCCUUAGUCUAUCAUGCAUCAACUCUUCAUUUUUCUUUAACUACCCAUGUCCGACUUCGAACAUGGAUAUGGAGAUAUGACCAAGUCACAGUGACAUAGUUUUUAGUUAUGGGGAAUGGGAUUCGAGUGCUGGACCUCCUUCUAGAUGCAUGGUGGGACUUCAUCACAUUUUUCAAAUUUGUUGAUAAUCCUUCACCUAAUCUGCCGGUGAAGUUUAUAGAUAGUUGUUGACACCAUUUUUUUGAUGAAAACGGGAUCGACUUGGAUUUUGAAAAAAGAAUGAAAACGGGAGUCGCCACCAAUCCUUUUUGACGAGGUGUGAUCGGGUCACCUCAAAAUGUGGUUGUUUUUAAUAAAUGAUUUAAUUUUAUUAAAACAACGAUUUUGGUCUACGAAAUUCAGAAAAAUGAGUUCGGGAGUCGGUUACACACGAGGAAGGAUUAGCACCCUCGAUACGCCCAAAAUUGGUACCUAGUUGAUUAAUUAGUGUCUUAGUGUCGAAAAUUGAAAAUUUGAAGAGUUUUAAAAAUACGAUCCUUAAAAGAAAUUCUGAUAACGUGAAUUGAAAUAUAAGAUUCUCUUGUUCCGAAGGAAUAUCACAUCCAGCACGUUAGGACACGAUACUCUAAACCAUCGAAACCAAGAUCAUCUUAUAGUUUAAUGAAACCACACUUUGAAGCUUUAAGAGGAUAUUUGGCUAUUUAGUCGAACGAGAAAUCGAAACCCAGCACGUUAGGGCACGUUUUCUCGAUUUUCCAAACGCGAAAUAUCGCCUUAUUUAGAAAAAUUUUCCUUUUGAUGUUUGGUGUUAAUGCUUGACAAAACAAUAACGAAUACGACAAGGUGAGCAAAGUAAAGUGAGUAACAACAAUACAAUAGGCAAAAUGAAAUGACGAGGCGAUUACAUAAACAAAGCAUACAAAUAAAUAAAUAGAACUAACAUUUAAAAAAAAGCAUAAGUGUACACGAAUAAAUAAACAAACACCAAAUAACAAUGAUGACAAUAAAUACAAUUAUGUAAAAAUGUAUAUACAUGUAUAAUUUUAAGCCAUGAAAUAAGAAACGCAUAUAAAUUAUAGAAUAUGAAAACAUAGAUAAAUAUAUACAUAUGUGUAAAAAAUAAUAUUAUAAAAAGGGUACGUAUAUAUGUAUAAAAAAAUAAAUGUAUUAACAAUGAAUAUAAUAAGGGUAAGAAAACAAGUAUAUACACAAUAUAUAUGUAACGUGGUACUAAGGAUAUAUAUAUACAAUACAGUAUUUAAAAUAAUAUUUACGUAAUAUAAAAUAUAAUAUUAAAAGGUAUAUGUACAUACGUAAUAUAUAAAUACAUAUAUAAUAUAAUGUUAAAAUAUUUACAUAAUACUAAAAUAUUUAGGUAAUAUAUGCGUAUAUUGAAAACUAGUAAUAAUAUUAUCGAGGUAUAUACAAAUAUAUCAAGUAUAUACACGUAUUAUAAAUAUAUAAAUAUAUGACAAAGCAUAAACUAAUAAAAAUAAUAAGAAUAAUAAUAAUGAUAACAUUGGAAUAUAAAAGAAACAAACAUAACAUUAAUAAAAUAUUAAAAUAAAGUGAAAUAAAAAUAUUAAAUAUGAGAAUAUAUAUAGGUAUACACGUACAUAAUAAAAAUAUAUACUAAUACAUAAUAAUAAUAAUGGUAAUACUAAUAAUACUAAUAAUAUAAAAAUAACAAGGAUAUUUAAUAAAGAUAUAAAAAUCAACAAAAAAGGACUAAAAUUGAAUUGAAAGCAAAGUUGUGGGGCCAAUUUGAAAUGAAAACAAAGAAAAAGGACUUAAUUGUAACACGCAUGCAACUUGGAGGGUCAAAAGCGCAAUAAACCCAAGUAUUAAAAACGCUGCGCAGCGUGGGGGACCAGAAUGAAUUCGGGGCAACACCAUGGAGCCAAAUUAAAAAUAAAAAAACCUUGAUUGUAAACUCCCAGAAAGGCGGAAGGGCUAAAAGUGCAAUUAGCCCUUCCAAAGAAAAAAACACGCGGAUCUUCCUUGGUGCAGGUCGGGUCGACCCGACCCGUGUUCAAAACGACGUCGUUUCAUUUAUUUAAACCGGGGGUCCAAAACGGUGCGUUUUGACCCCCUAUAAAAGUCAAAAAAACUUCAAAAAAAAAUCAUUUGUAACGCUGAGGGAAAAAAAAGAAAAGGGAGAGAGGAGAGGGGAGCCCGGAGCGAUUUCCGGCCAAGGGAGGGGUCACCGGACGGCCACCGGAGGCUCGCCGGCGUCAGCGCCGGCCACCGCACGCGGUGGCCGGAAAGGUAAAAUUUUUUAUAUUUUUUUUAUAUUUUUUUUGUUAUUUAUUCUUGGUCUUAGAAUGUAUAGAUUUUAGGUUUAUAUUAAUAAAAAAGGUAUAGAUAUGUAUAUAGAAAUCGAAAGAAAAUGGAUGAAAACAAAAAGGUAACCUUUUCCGUUUGCCUUUCCUUUUUCCCGAAUGCUUGCUAUCUCAGUACUGAGAUCUAUGUAUUUUUUUUAAAAUUUUAGCUUCUGUUUUUUUGUAUUAAAAUGCCAAAAAACAAACAAAAAGAAGAAAGAAAAAAAACCCCCUGAUACAAUUUUUGAUUCGGGUUUUUAUAACCCAUUUUCAUCUAAUUUCCUAUUGUUUCUGUUUUGUCUCUUUGCAUGGGAUGGGCACGAUGGAGGUGACAGAGGCAUGGUGGUACAGAGGAGCAGGUGGCCGACAUGGUGGCAUGGAGAGCUGGGCGUGGCAGACAAGGAGGCCACGCGAGGCAUGCGGCGCUAGGGUUUGGGGGGCAUCUUUCUUCCGAAAAUGUUAAUGUUGUCUGGGCUGGGUUUUUAAUUUUUGUUUCGGGCCAUGGGCUACAUUGGGCUUGUUAUUUUCCUUUGUAAUUGGACUGUUGUUUAUCUUGUUUUAAUAUUCGGGCCUGGGCAUAAAAUUGGGCCUUACAGCUGCCCCUCUUUGCUUGUUAUCGUGUAACGAGAACAGAGCAAAGACUAAAAAAGGCCAAUUUGGCCCGGGCUCACCGAGUUUUGACUUCUUUUGGUGCUUCCUUUCUUCAAGCCUCAUUCUAGUCCACUGCGUCUUAUGAUUCUUCGAUCUGCUCUACUGCAACUUCAGAUACGCCUUAUAGCUUCAAUCUACUCUGCUACGACUCCAUGGGGAUGAGAUUUGUGUUUUUAGUCUGCUUCACUACUACUUAGGGAGAUAAGACUGUGGUUUCGUCUGCUCCGCUACUGCUUAGGGAGAUAAGACUGUAAUCUCCGAUCUAUUCCACUGUCAAAUACAGGGAGAUAGAGUUAUCAGCUUCAAUGUACUCCACUGUAGUCACAGGGAGGUAAAAUCUGCCAUCUUUGAUCUUCAAUCUAUUCCACUGCCAAAUACAGGGAGAUAGAGUUAUCGGCUUCAAUGUACUCCACUGUAGUCAGGGAGGUAAAAUCUGCCAUCUUCGAUCUGUUUCGCUGCCAAAUACAGGAAGGCAAGAUCUGCAAUCUUCGAUCUACUUCACGCCAAUACAUGAAGAUAAGAUCUGCUUUCUUCGAUCUACUUUGCCACCAGUAUGGGAAGACAAGAUCUGCAUCGUCGAUCCACUUCCUACCAAUAUAGGAAGACAGGACCUGCUAUCUUCGAUCUACUUCACGCCAAUACAUGAAGACAAGAUCUGCUUUCUGCGAUCUACUUCGCCACCAAUAUGGGAAGACAAGAUCUGUAUCUUCGAUCCACUUUCUACCAAUAUAGGAAGAUAGGAUCUGCUACCUUCGAUCUACUUCACGCCAAUACAUGAAGACAAGAUCUGCUUUCUGCGAUCUACUUCGCCACCAAUAUAGGAAGACAAGAUCUGCAUCUUCGAUCCACUUCCUACCAAUAUAGGAAGAUAGGAUCUGUUAUCUUUGAUUUACUUCACGCCUAUACAUGAAGACAAGAUCUGCUCUCUGCGAUCUACUUCGCCACCAAUAUGGGAAGACAAGAUCUGCAUCUUUGAUCCACUUCCUACCAAUAUAGGAAGAUAGGACCUAUUUACGCCUAGUGUUUAGGAUGACAUGAUCAGAAUGAAUCAAAUGCUCCUAACUAGAUGCGUAUGUAUUAUAUUUGUAGAAUGUCAUGAGAAUGAUCCAUUUUUAAUGCUUAGGUUGUCAUUCUUCAUUGUUCAUCAAGGUUCUAUCACUGAUGCCUUCUUGUUCAGCCAGUACCUUUGACAGAAAACCUAAAGAAAUAGACGCUAUUUAGACUAUCAUUUCUCAAAUGUUUCCAACCCUUAGGUUUGGUUAGUUCUAAACAAUAGUCCUGUUUCAGGUCAUCGUAUUAUUUAGAAACUUUCAGAGUAAUAUGCAGAACUCCUUCUGCAUGUGUAUUGUCAGUCCAUUAAUCGUUAUUUCAAUGAAAAAUGCUUGAAAAAGAUUAUCAAAAUGGACAAAAUGGAAUUUUGUUGAGAGCAAAGCUCUAAACAAACAAAUCAAGAUAGCAAAUUUGCUGAGAUACGAGAUGAAUAAGAUGAAAAAGAUUAUCACAACGGAUAAGAUGAAAAUUUGCUGAGAGCAAAGCUCUGAAUGAACAAAUUAAUCAAGAUAGCAAAUGUUGCUAGAAUACAAAACGAGAAUAAAUUAAUCAAGAUGAUGUAUUUUGUCAAAAAUACAGAAAAUGAAUAAAAUGGAAAUAAGUGCCCCAGAUAUCGUAGCAUGAGCUUCUCUGCCCCAAACUUCUUAAGGACCCUUUUGAACUUGAUAUGUGUUUAGAAGUCCUAGAAGGCUUUGUUGAUGCCCCAUCUUUGAUCGAAAACUACUUUAUGCCUCAUCCUUGAUCGAAAAUUUGAAUUGCCCGUUCCUGGGUUUUCAAUUCAAAACCCCUUUGGUCUCAAGGUGCCCUUUGCGGGUUUUCGCCUUGGCCUCUCCUCUUUUUUUUUUUUAGGCAAAGUACCUCUUCACUGAAUCCGAAUUCACAGGAUUGGGCAAGCUUUUGCCAUCCAUCCUAGUUAAAAUUAAUGCCCCUCCUGAAAAGGCCUUUUUUACUACAUAAGGUCCCUCCCAGUUUGACAUCCACUUUCCUCUGAAGUCUUUUUGUAUGGGAAGGAUCUUCUUCAGUACCAAGUCCCCUUCAUGGAAGUUUCUAGGACGAACUUUCUUAUUGUAAGCUCGCAUCAUUCGUUUCUGGUAUAUUUGACCAUGACGGAUAGCUCUUAACCUCCUUUCCUCAAUCAAGUUCAGCUGAUCAUAUCGGGAUUAGACCCAUUCUGCUUCGUCUAACUUUAGUUCUGAAAAAACUCAGAGGGAGGGAAUUUCAACCUCAAUUGGUAGCACUGCCUCCAUUCCAUAAACCAAAGAGAAUGGUGUUGCCCCGGUAGAAGUCUUGACGGACGUUCGAUAAGCAUAGAGGGCGAAUGGCAACUUCUCGUGCCAAUCUCUAUAGGUCUCAGUCAUUUUCCCCACAAUCAUUUUGAUAUUUUUAUUGGCUGCCUCCACCGCACCAUUCAUCUUUGGACGGUAUGGCGAUGAGUUGUGGUGCUUGAUAUUGAAUUGACUACAAACUUCUGCUAUCGUGCUAUUAUUCAAAUUUAAUGCGUUGUCAGAUAUAAUCCUUUCGGGCAUUCCAUACCGACAUAUGAUUUCCUUCUUUAAAAACUUGCUGACAGCUGCCUUUGUGACGUUGGUGUAAGAAGUAGCCCCUACCCACUUAGUAAAGUAGUCAAUCACUACAAAAAUGAAACGAUGUUCGUUUGAAGCCUUUGGCGAUAUCGGCCCAAUGACGUCCAUGCCCCACAUGGAGAAAGGCCAUGGGGAAGUCAUGACGUGAAGAGGUGAUAGAGGCAUAUGGAUUUUGUCUCCGUAAAUCUGGCAUUUAUGGCACUUCUUAGCAUAUUUGAUGCAGUCUCCUUCCAUGGUAGACCAAUAAUAUCCAAAUCUCAUGAUUUGUCUGGCCAUUGUGAAACCGUUAGCGUGUGUUCCACAAAUACCAUCAUGGACUUCUUCCAAGAUCUGUUUGGCCUCCAUAGCGUCCACACAUCUUAACAGCACCUGAUCUUUUCCUCUUUUGUACAGGAUCUCUCCAUCUAAGACGUAAUCACUGGCCAGCCUCCUCAACAUUCUCUUGUCAUUCUCAGUUGCUUGGUUUGGGUAUUCACGAUUUUUUACGUAUCGCAAUAUAUCCUGAUACCAAGGGUUUUCGUCCUUUUCUUCUUCUUCGUCAAUGUUACAACAGUGGGCUGGAGCAUCAUAAAUGCUCAUUUGGAUAGGCUUCACAUCCUCUGGUCUAUUUACUUUGAUAAUGGAAGCCAAUGUAGCUAAAGCGUCGGCCAUCUGAUUCUCGUCUCGUGGAAGAUAACAAAAAGUGAUGUCGUCAAACUCCUCAAUCAAUUCUAGGACUAUCCUUCGGUAACUAAUCAACUUAGGUUCUCUUGUUUCCCAUUCGCCUUUGAGCUGAUAAAUUACCAAUGCCGAAUCCCCAUAUACCUCAAGUACCUUGAUUUUGCGUUCUAUAGCCGCGCGGAUUCCCAUGAUACAUGCUUCAUAUUCCGUCAUGUUAUUUGUGCAAUCAAAAUCUAGUUUACUGGUGAAAGGAUAAUGAUCACCGUUUGGAGAUACCAAGACUGCCCCAAUCCCGUUGCCCAUGGCAUUUGAGGCUCCGUCAAAAUUUAAUUUCCAAGUAUUGCCUUCUUGUGUGCUUGCUUCAGUAGUUGCCACAUACAUCAGAUCCUCAUUUGGAAAAUCAAAGUUCAAAGGCUCAUAAUCGUCCAGGGCUCUACUUGCUAGAAAAUCUGCUAUCGCGCUCCCUUUUACAGCCUUUCGAUUCACAUAGGUUAUGUCAAAUUCAGAUAGUAGAAUUUACCAUCGGGCCAUCCUUCCGUUUAGAGCAGUUGACUCCAUCAUGUAUUUCAGAGGGUCUACCUUUGAGAUUAACCAAGUCGUAUGGUACAACAUGUAUUGUCUCAAUCUUCGAGUAGUCCAAACCAAUGCGCAACAUAAUUUUUCAAUUGGCGAAUACCUCGUUUCGCAUUCAGUGAACUUUUUACUGAGAUAAUAGAUCGCUCUUUCCUUUCGUCCUGACUCAUCAUGUUGGCCGAGCACGCACCCCAUGGAAUUCUCAAAUACUGCCAAGUAUAGUAUCAAUGGUUUGUCAGGGCAAGGUGGUAUCAGUACUGGGGCGUUGGACAAGUAAUGUUUAACUCUUUCGAAAGUUUUCUGGCACUCUUCAUCCCAUACACCUGGAUUGUGUUUCCUAAGAAGACGGAAUAUGGGGUCACAUUUCUCGGUUAAUUGUGAAAUGAAUCGAGCGAUGUAAUUUAGUCUUCCUAGGAAACCCCGAACUUCUUUUUGAGUACUUGGCGGAGGUAAUUCUUAUAUGGCCUUAACUUUGUCUGGGUCAAUUUCAAUUCCCUUUUCGCUGACUAAAAAUCCUAGCAAUUUUCCUGAUCUAGCCCCGAAAGUACACUUGGCUGGGUUAAGUUUUAGCUGGAACUUCCUUAACCUCAGAAACAGUUUUCUCAGAACUUGCACGUGUUCCCUUUCUGUUCUGGAUUUUGCGAUCAUGUCAUCAACAUAAACUUCUAUCUCUUUAUGCAUCAUAUCAUGGAAUAAUGCUACCAUGGCUCUCUGAUACGUUGCUCCCGCAUUUUUCAAUCCAAAAGGCAUCACUUUAUAACAAAACGUCCCCCACAUCGUUAUGAAUGUGGUCUUCUCCCUGUCUUCAGAAAGCAUCUUAAUUUGGUUGUACCCGGAGAAACCAUCCAUGAAAGAGAGCAGUGAGUAUCCGGCCGUGUUGUCUACCAAGGUAUCGAUAUGAGGAAGUGGGAAAUUAUCUUUUGGGCUGGCUUUGUUCAAGUCUCUGUAGUCCACACACAUUCGCACCUUCCCAUCUUUCUUAGGAACAGGGACUAUAUUGGCUACCCAUUCUGAGUACUUGACCACCUGUAAGAAACCAGCAUCAAAUUGCUUCUUAACUUCUUACUUUAUUUUUAGCAAGACAUCAGGCCUCAUCCUUCGGAGCUUUUGUUGGACUGGUUUGCAUUCUUCCUUUAUAGGCAAUCGGUGUACCACGAUAUCAGUACUUAACCCUGGCAUAUCUUGGUAGGACCACGCGAAGACAUCUUUAAACUCUUGAAGCAACUCAACAAGGUCUUGCCUUGUUUCCUUGGCAAUGCAAGCGCCAAUUUUUACCUCUCUGCUCUCUUCUAAGGUCACAACUUCUACUGAUUCCUUAUAGGGUAUAAUUUGUUUUUCUUCUUCUUUCAUCAUUCUUAACAAAUUCGGAGAUAAAACGCUGUCUUGGUCACCUUUAAAAUCUUGAGGAUCAUCUAUACUCAUGUCUUGCUCAAAUAGAGACUCUGAAUUAGUAACAGAGUCGCUCAUCUCGUUGAUAUUUGAAGACCUGUUAUUGGAACAAAUGGAGGCCCAAAUAAAAGGAUCUAAGAAUACUUGUAUGCAUAUUAUGAUUAUAAAGGGAAUGAAAAGAAUGAAAGAAUACUUGCUCAAGAUGAAACUGAAUGAUAAGUUUUCACUGAAAUUAGAUUUUGAACAUGUGCAUUUUACAAAAGAUUCUUAUCACCCCCAGGCUUAGGGCAACAAGUGUUCUGAAUAUUACUCUGAAUUAGUUCUAAAUGUUACAGGGAUCUCUUCUGCAGUCCAGUUAUUCGGAACACUUCCAGGUUCGUAAGGACGAAUGCCCGAUAAAUUCCUUUCCACCCUUUCUUCCGCGGAUAUGGCAUUGAUGUCCAACCUCUCAAUCCUUCCUUCUGUAACCUCAUCCUUCUCUUCAGGGUGGACAAUUCCCCCUGAAACAAAAGUCUUAGAUAUAUGAGGAAAGGUUAUCGGUCCCCACUUGGCUUCUAUCCCGCCCAAAUGUGCUCUUCUCCUUUCUUGUCUUUUCUCCAUCUCCUUCCUCCUUUCCCUCGCAAUAGGCUUAUAUCCCAAACCAUAACGGUCCUGUUUGUUAACUAGGAUCGGUACUCCGACCCUUCCCUGGAGGUAUUUUCCAAAUCCUCUUCCAGGCAAUGCUCCCUUUCCCACCGUUAAGUUCAUUGACGUAGCUUUGGAUAUCUUAGGCUCUGGGAUUUUGCUCAUCUCAAUGACAAAUAUGGCAUUUACGAAUUCCAAUGAUCGGAAUGAACAUUCUAUCGCUUCACUAUCAGCCUCUAUGUAUGGCAUAUCAUCGGUGACUGAUGCAAUGAUGUCUUCUUCUGCACCUAUAGUCACCAAUCUACCCUCUACCACCAAUUUUAACUUUUGGUGAAGUGACGAUGGUACAGCCCCUGCAGAAUGGAUCCAAGGCCUCCCUAAUAGGCAAUUGUAAGAUGGUUUAAUAUCCAUUACCAAAAAGUCUACCUCGUAUGUAUUUGGACCAAUCAAUAGAGGUAUCUCGAUUCUUCCCAUCACUUUUCUCUCAGUGCCAUCAAAUGCUCUCACUAUAUUUUGGCAUAAUUUCAUGUGAGAACUAUCCACAGGUAGCCUGUUUAAUGUGGACAGGGGUAAAACAUUCAGGGCCGAUCCAUUGUCAACGAGUACCGCCGGUAGUAUACACCCCUUGCAACGGGCAGUGAUGUGCAAGGCCUUGGUAGAUCCCAUACCGCCUGGCGAGAUCUCAUCAUCGUUGAAGAAGAUGAAGUUAUCGGCAUUUAUAUUGUUAACCAGGCAAUCCAAUUUGUCCACUGAGAUAUCUUUAGCGACAUAAGUUUCAUUUAGCACUUUUACUAACGUAUUACGAUGUAUCUCUGAACUUAGAAGUAACUCGAGCACUGAGAUGCGAGCCGGUUACUUAUGCAGUUGUUCCACCACGCUAUACUCGCUAUGCUUCAAGAAUUUUAAGAAUUCUCUAGCCUCAUUUUCAGUCACCGGUGUAUUAAUAUGCGGUUCAAUUCCGGUCUUCGUUUUAUCUUGUUCAACCGCCAAGGCUUUUCCUUUUAUAGGCCCCCUUUUUGUAUUUCCCGGGUCGCAACGUUUUCCACUACGCGUAUAAAAGCCUGUGUCAUUACCCUCUUCUGAAGCAUUUAUCGGGUUCUCCUCUCCCGUGAUCAUCACAUUGCAGUCAUAAUUCUAAGGAACCUUUUUACUAUCCUUGUAAGGAAAGGCUACAGGUUUUUGGAUUAUGACCCUUGGCGCCAGUUGUAUUCCAGAUCCUGUGCUUGUUGGCCUUGAAAUAAUCACCACCGGGUGAUUUUGGGCCUUUCUCGUAGGCCCCUCCUCUGAGGCAUAAACUUCUCCUUUCUCAAGUCCUUUGAUCUCUUCAUAAAAUUCUAACUCUUUGUUGUUCAUCAGAUUUUGUAACAUGGCCUUGAAAUCAGUGCAAUUUUGAAUGUCAUGGUCUUCUUCAGCAUGAAACUCGCAGUACGUCUUCGUUCCUUCGGGCCUUUCUUUUGAAUCUUGUUUGAUGAGACCUCCUUCUAUCAUUUGUCUCCAAACCCAACUCAAUGGGGUUUUUAUCUCUGCAAUGUCGGUUUUGAUUCUCUUUCUCCCACCUUCGAUUAUUGCGUUUACCCCUUUAUCAGCAUGAUCGGGUAACGGAUUCGCUGCUACAUUUGGUCCUAAUGGGUUGUCAAACUUCACAAUCCCCAUCUUAAUGAACCUUUCCACCGCCUUUUUAAACCCAGUGCAGUUCUCAAUUGAGUGCCCCGGUAUCCCUGCAUGGUAUUCACAUUGGGCAUUCGCGUCAUACCAUUUGGGAUACGGAGGUUGCAUGGGCUCUAGAUAAAAUGGAGAUACUAUGUGUGCAUCAAAUAACUUCUGAUACAGUUCCCCGUAUGUUAUUGGAAUGGGCGUGAAUUAAAGUCUCUCUGUGUUAGUCCUUGUGUUAGGCCUCGUGUUGGGUUCCUGCCUUGAGGGGGCUUGGUGACUAGUGGUUAUCAUUUUUGGAGGGCCAACAGUAAUCAGUUUUGAAUGGCUCUUGCUAUAUGUGCAUACGUUGUUUACUUCGCCCUCUUUUUUUCUUCGGGCUGGUCUUUUGAAGUUUUCCCCAGUGUCAAUUUUACCGCUCCUUACCGCGUUCUCAAUCAUUUCACCAGACAUUACCAUAUCCGAGAAACUCUUGGUAGCACUCCCCAACAUGUGGUUGAUGAACAGGGCUUUCAAAGUGUUGAUAAACAACAUGGUGACCUCUUUUUCCAAAAGGGGUGGCUGGACUUGUGUUGCCACUUCUCUCCAUCGUUGGGCGUAUUGCCUGAAAUUCUCGCUAGGCUUUUUUUCCAUGUUUUGUAACGUAAUUCGAUCGGGUGUUAUAUCCAUUACAUGACUGUAUUGCUUCAUAAAAGCUUGCGCCAAGUCUCUCCAUGAACUAACUUUAGCACGACUCAGUUGGUUGUACCAUUUGGCUGCAGAUCCGAUCAAACUGUCCUGGAAGCAGUGGAUUAACAGCUGAUCAUUGUUGACGUAUCCUGUCAUUCUUCGACAGAACAUAGUUAUAUGAGCUUCAGGACAACUAGUCCCAUUAUAUUUUUCGAAUUCUGACAUUUUGAACUUAGGUGGGAGUACUAAACCAGGGACCAAACUCAGAUCAUUGACGUCAACCCCGCGAUGACAGUCGAUGUUCUCCAUGGCUCUAAAUUUUUCCUCUAACCAUCUACAUCGGUCCUCCAGUUGUUUUGGCAGGUUCAUUCUUGUUUUUUCUGUUUCUGCCACGUCAUCGAGGUCCGGGACCACCAGAUUAGUGGGAUUAUCCCCGGGAUUAAAACCCGAGCCCAUUUGAAAAUGCACUGGUACCGAGGUACCAGCCAGAUAUUGAGGUCCUAUGGUAACUGGUACCCUCUGUGGGUACACCUCUGGUUGUGCUUGGAUGUUAGUUGGGGUGAAACCUGGAGGAUAAACAGGGUCAUCGUGAUCCUCCCCAGCAUCAAUUACGGGGUCUUUUCCUUUGUUAUUCCCUCCAGCCAAUAACUGCUUUAAUUGGUUCAUCACGGUGUUCUGGGAUUCUAACAUGUCCUGCUGGAUUUUUUCCAGUCGUUCAUGCAUCUGAUCUUGCAUCUCUCGUUGCAACUGUUCCAAUCUUUCCAACCUUUGAUCCAUUGCUUUUGUUUGGCGACGAGUACCGUAGUGAUAUUUGAUUAGAUUUUUGUUGGUUUCCAGGGUAACUGUCAUAAUUUAAUUUUAUUAGGGUCAUUUUAUGAGAUGUAAUGCAAAUGUAUGAGAUGAAUGCAAAAAAAAGAGGCAUUGAUUCGAAUUCAAUUUCAUUAGAAAACUCAACUAGAAAGCAAAUUUCUUUACAUAAAAUAAAUUACAUAUACGGCUUCGCCUUUAUACCCAAAGCCUUAACCUUCCUAAGAAGCCAACUAAAUCUCGACCUCGGCUUGAUUCUGACUCAUAUUUUAAACUCAAUACAUCGGCCUGAAUUGCUAAUGUUUGCAGAUGAUCAGCCACUUCCCGCACUUGAGUCACAGCUUCGCCCAUAACGUAAUCUCUAUCUCUAAUCUGACUUUGAGAAUGAUGGAAUUGCUCUUGCCAUUGAUCAUUACUCCUCUCAAGAAGCUCCAUUCGUAGCUCAGAAUUGUGUAAUGCGUCCUCAAGCUCCUCUACCUUUCCUUUCAGUUCUUCGAUCUUAUUUAAGCUUGCUCUUAAUUCGAUCAUGGAGUUGCGACUACGGUACGAGUGAAGUGACUUUUCUAGCUCUGCCACCUUGGCCUUUAAUCCUGCCUUCUCAUUUCGGCACUCUAACAAACUCCUUUCCAAAGCGUUUUCUCGAGCUCAAGCAUCUUGAAAUUUCUUUUCCCACUGAUCGGCCCUAUUCUUUUCCUCAUUGAUCUCUUGUCGCCAUUGCUCUGACGUUUUACCCAGACCGACAGUUCUCAUUGACAAUCGCAGCUUCUUGUAAUCUAUUUUUAGACUAUCCAAAUCCUCUUCAGCCUUGUUCUUUCCCUUCUUUAAUUUCUCGGCUUCUAGCUUGUGGAUAUCGAUGUCUAAUCCCAAAUGCACUCUUUCUUCUUCUAGCUGUUCUAUCCUCUUUCCCAACUCAGAAUUUCUUUUCUCAAAGUCUCGUUUGAUGAUCUCUAAUUCUGACGGAACUACUUGUAGAUGCUCCUCUAUAGACUGAACGCAAUCUUCCCUCGGCUUAGGGAUGUUGUCAUUGACUCUUUUACUCCACCACCCAUAAUAUUCUGAAGUUGUCAUCGCUCCUACGGUAAAUCUUUUCAUUCGGUGAACCUGUUUCCAAGCGUUAGAUAUUUCUCGAGUUUUUCUCUUGUAGUUUUCAUCCUUAUAAGAAAACUCACAUUGAGCCAGCCCUUGUGUUGCUGGUAUGAACUGUCUCGAUCUAUAUUGUCUUAAUACGAGUAAAGGGGCAUAACCGACAGCUCCCCAAAUUUCGAGUAAAGGGACCCAGUCGAAAUCCCCACAUCGAUACAGGAUCUCGUCGGGUACCAUCCAAGGAGCUUUCCAUUCAACGUCAUCCUCCUGAAGAUUUUGGAGAAUCGUCAUCCACUUCUCUUCCGUGAUGUCGUCUCGUCUUGGUGUAGCAACUUGUUCCUUCAAUGGGGAAUAGUCUUCUGAGAAGACUCGAUAGGAGACAUUUUCCACCUUCCAAAAGUGACUAUGGAACCACACUAAUAGUAGCUGUGCGCAUCCGAUGAACCUUCCCUCCCCUGCUCUUCGACAUGCACUUAGAAAUCUGAAGGUUUCUGCUAAGAUUGCCGGGAUGGGCGUGACUCCUUUACUAAGCCGAUCGAACAAAUCAGAGACGGCCUCAUCUACGUGCCCUAAAGCUCUAGGGAAAAUUACCAAUCCAUAGAUACCUAGAGCGAAGACAUCCACUCUUUUCUUCACAUCAGGGUGUGCUAAUACUAAAUCUCGCAAGCUUUUCCAAGGAACGCAUUUACUGUCUCCUUUCUGUUGGAUUCGGGCAGCGACCCACUGUUCGCUCAUCCCUGUAAUGCUCAUCAAUUUUUUUAAUAAUGUCGGGACACUAGCAGCUCUAGAAUAGGCCUUGUCAAUUUGAAUCUUUGGACACCGAAGCAAGGUCGUAUAUUCUUCCAUGGUGGGCACCAAGUCCACUUUUCCAAAAGUGAAACAACUGUAAGCAGGAUUCUAAAACUGGGCUAGGGCUCGGAAUAAAUGCUUGUCCACUUUGACACCAAGUAGGUAAGGCAAGUCCCCGUAGUCACAGUAAAACAUCUGCUUGGUCCCAUCGUCCCAUUGAUCCCAUAUUUCCUUCAUUUCUCGAAGAUCAUUUUGGAUUACGCUGAUACGGGUGAAGUCCCAUAACUCUGAUACGUACCCUUCUGCAAGACUAUCGCCUUUCUCUCUCCACAUCGUCUCAGCCCACACUCGUACAGCUGCAUUGUCUUCUACUUUAUCAAGAAACCUCUUUUCCAUGAUAAGCUUUCUAUCUAUACUGAACGUGAAUCGACACCUUUUGAAAUGAAAAUGCCAUGCAAUCAUAAACAAAGCAAAUCAGAGCUAGGAUUUAAAGUAAACAAUAAUAAAUAAAGCAUCUAUUCGGUAAGCGCUAGGGUUUGGAAUAGCUCUAUCUCGGUGGGUUCUUACGGCUCGCUAUAUGUGGUUUAGUUCUAAAGUAAGGGUACCUGAACCAGCAGAUUCCUCGAUCCUCACCCAUUAUAGGCUCAUGGACCGAGUUCAGUUCAGGGGAAUACAUUUCCCUAUGGCCAUGCGGAGAUGAAAAUCUCACGAAGACAUAGGUACGGAUGUAUCCCGGAAGCGAUUCACUAUCCCAUGCGGAGGUGAAAACCUCACGAAGGCGUAGUUUCUCACUCCCACUUAAAAAGGUAUGACCAGCGAUCAUGCAAUUCAAUGUGCAGAGGUAUAAAAUAAAAUACAGAACACGAUAAAAAAUAUAACUCAAAACAAAAGAGAUGCAAUGAAAGGAUCGUAAAUUUAAAUCAAAUUUUCCACUUUCAACAAAAAGACAAGAAAUAAUCAACACGUGGCUUGACUCUCUUUCGUUCCCCAGUGGAGUCGCCAAGCUGUUGACACCAUUUUUUUGAUGAAAACGGGGUCGACUUGGAUUUUGAAAAAAGAAUGAAAACGGGAGUCGCCACCAAUCCUUUUUGACGAGGUGUGAUCGGGUCACCUCAAAAUGUGGUUGUUUUUAAUAAAUGAUUUAAUUUUAUUAAAACAACGAUUUUGGUCUACGAAAUUCAGAAAAAUGAGUUCGGGAGUCGGUUACGCACGAGGAAGGAUUAGCACCCUCGAUACGCCCAAAAUUGGUACCUAGUUGAUUAAUUAGUGUCUUAGUGUCGAAAAUUGAAAAUUUGAAGAGUUUUAAAAAUACGAUCCUUAAAAGAAAUUCUGAUAACGUGAAUUGAAAUAUAAGAUUCUCUUGUUCCGAAGGAAUAUCACAUCCAGCACGUUAGGACACGAUACUCUAAACCAUCGAAACCAAGAUCAUCUUAUAGUUUAAUGAAACCACACUUUGAAGCUUUAAGAGGAUAUUUGGCUAUUUAGUCGAACGAGAAAUCGAAACCCAGCACGUUAGGGCACGUUUUCUCGAUUUUCCAAACGCGAAAUAUCGCCUUAUUUAGAAAAAUUUUCCUUUUGAUGUUUGGUGUUAAUGCUUGACAAAACAAUAACGAAUACGACAAGGUGAGCAAAGUAAAGUGAGUAACAACAAUACAAUAGGCAAAAUGAAAUGACGAGGCGAUUACAUAAACAAAGCAUACAAAUAAAUAAAUAGAACUAACAUUUAAAAAAAAGCAUAAGUGUACACGAAUAAAUAAACAAACACCAAAUAACAAUGAUGACAAUAAAUACAAUUAUGUAAAAAUGUAUAUACAUGUAUAAUUUUAAGCCAUGAAAUAAGAAACGCAUAUAAAUUAUAGAAUAUGAAAACAUAGAUAAAUAUAUACAUAUGUGUAAAAAAUAAUAUUAUAAAAAGGGUACGUAUAUAUGUAUAAAAAAUAAAUGUAUUAACAAUGAAUAUAAUAAGGGUAAGAAAACAAGUAUAUACACAAUAUAUAUGUAACGUAGGUACUAAGGAUAUAUAUAUACAAUACAGUAUUUAAAAUAAUAUUUACGUAAUAUAAAAUAUAAUAUUAAAAGGUAUAUGUACAUACGUAAUAUAUAAAUACAUAUAUAAUAUAAUGUUAAAAUAUUUACAUAAUACUAAAAUAUUUAGGUAAUAUAUGCGUAUAUUGAAAACUAGUAAUAAUAUUACCGAGGUAUAUACAAAUAUAUCAAGUAUAUACACGUAUUAUAAAUAUAUAAAUAUAUGACAAAGCAUAAACUAAUAAAAAUAAUAAGAAUAAUAAUAAUGAUAACAUUGGAAUAUAAAAGAAACAAACAUAACAUUAAUAAAAUAUUAAAAUAAAGUGAAAUAAAAAUAUUAAAUAUGAGAAUAUAUAUAGGUAUACACGUACAUAAUAAAAAUAUAUACUAAUACAUAAUAAUAAUAAUGGUAAUACUAAUAAUACUAAUAAUAUAAAAAUAACAAGGAUAUUUAAUAAAGAUAUAAAAAUCAACAAAAAAGGACUAAAAUUGAAUUGAAAGCAAAGUUGUGGGGCCAAUUUGAAAUGAAAACAAAGAAAAAGGACUUAAUUGUAACACGCAUGCAACUUGGAGGGUCAAAAGUGCAAUAAACCCAAGUAUUAAAAACGCUGCGCAGCGUGGGGGACCAGAAUGAAUUCGGGGCAACACCAUGGAGCCAAAUUAAAAAUAAAAAAACCUUGAUUGUAAACUCCCAGAAAGGCGGAAGGGCUAAAAGUGCAAUUAGCCCUUCCAAAGAAAAAAACACGCGGAUCUUCCUUGGUGCAGGUCGGGUCGACCCGACCCGUGUUCAAAACGACGUCGUUUCAUUUAUUUAAACCGGGGGUCCAAAACGGUGCGUUUUGACCCCCUAUAAAAGUCAAAAAAACUUCAAAAAAAAAUCAUUUGUAACGCUGAGGGAAAAAAAAGAAAAGGGAGAGAGGAGAGGGGAGCCCGGAGCGAUUUCCGGCCAAGGGAGGGGUCACCGGACGGCCACCGGAGGCUCGCCGGCGUCAGCGCCGGCCACCGCACGCCGUGGCCGGAAAGGUAAAAUUUUUUAUAUUUUUUUUAUAUUUUUUUGUUAUUUAUUCUUGGUCUUAGAAUGUAUAGAUUUUAGGUUUAUAUUAAUAAAAAAGGUAUAGAUAUGUAUAUAGAAAUCGAAAGAAAAUGGAUGAAAACAAAAAGGUAACCUUUUCCGUUUGCCUUUUCUUUUUCCCGAAUGCUUGCUAUCUCAGUACUGAGAUCUAUGUAUUUUUUUUAAAAUUCUAGCUUCUGUUUUUUUGUAUUAAAAUGCCAAAAAACAAACAAAAAGAAGAAAGAAAAAAAACCCCUGACACAAUUUUUUAUUCGGGUUUUUAUAACCCAUUUUCAUCUAAUUUCCUAUUGUUUCUGUUUUGUCUCUUUGCAUGGGAUGGGCACGAUGGAGGUGACAGAGGCAUGGUGGUACAGAGGAGCAGGUGGCCGACAUGGUGGCAUGGAGAGCUGGGCGUGGCAGACGAGGAGGCCACGCGAGGCAUGCAGCGCUAGGGCUUGGGGGGCAUCUUUCUGCCGAAAAUGUUAAUGUUGUCUGGGCUGGGUUUUUGAUUUUUGUUUCGGGCCAUGGGCUACAUUGGGCUUGUUAUUUUCCUUUGUAAUUGGACUGUUGUUUAUCUUGUUUUAAUAUUCGGGCCUGGGCAUAAAAUUGGGCCUUACAAUAGUCUUAAGUGUCUAUCACAAGAACCUAGAUAUUGUAAAUCCAAUAUCUUCCAAACAAUUCAACCAUGAUAUUAAUGAUGAUGGAAGCAAGAUUAUCCACUAUCAAUGACAUAAAAUGAGCUGUAAAUGCUGACGAACAAACAUGCACUGUUUUUCCAACCUGUGGAUUGAAGAGCAUUGACAAGCUAACUUUGCAGACCAUUUGAAUCCAAUACUAUACAUAAAAAUGCCAAAGGAGAAUAAUUCAUCUUGGAAAAAGAAUUACUAAUAUGCAAAAGCUUACCUUGUUUAACAAGAACACAGCAUAUGCUGCUCUUGUCGUGUCUUGACCUUCUAAAAACAGCGGAAAUUCUGCCAGCUUUACAUUUGCUGAAAGUGUUGUAUCCAAUGACAAAUCAGAAGAUGCAGGGUCUAUUGAAGACGCAUGGUCAUUAAUAUAUGAGCGAGAACCACCCAAGCGCAGAGGAUAACGCAAGGGAACUUGUAAAUAGGAUGCAAUUAGUGAAACAGCCUGCAAAUGAUGAAAUAACAGGAAACAAGAAACAAUAAUAGGUAUGAUUAAAAUUAUAGCCUCAGCAUGAGAAACAAGCAAUCAAGAUGCAGCCCACUAUACCAUAUUACCAUCCUAGCAAUUAAAAAUUACUACAGCAUCUUCAAGCAACAAGGGAUUGUAGGUGGUAGGUCAAAAAACUUGAUAUCCACAGCUUGAUAUUAUCAGAAAAAACAAAUUCAGUAAUAAAUGAUAACUUCACAGAAGAAAUAGAACGCACAUGUGCAACAUAUCCCAAGGCAGUUGCAGAUCUCUGAACCUCCUUUUUGUCAGUGAAAAAACUCAUCUUUGUAAAAGGAAGCAAGGUGAGAUUCAGACCUAAAAUUGUCAACGAUCCUUGAUUGACGGGCUUUGAUGCAGAAGGAUUCCCUAGUGAAGACAGGAACAAAGGAACUUCAUAUCAAUACAUCACCAGACACCACCUCUUUGUGAAAGUCAAAACAAAAUUCAAAAAAAUAUAAUCAUGAAAGUAAGAGAUAUGUAAAAAGUUCAUAAUAUUCAAGAGCAAAAAAAAAUUGUUUUGAUAUGAGGAGAAUUGAAUAGUAGAUUGCUAAAAGAGGAAUAACUGAAUACAGCCAUCAUAACCAAAAGAAGAGUCAAGUGAUAGGUAAUGGUACUCCCUAAGCUGUUUAGGAAUCAUAAAAGACUUGUCCAGUUGACAAAAAUAACUCAUUUUAUUCUCCCCUAGUAAAACAUCAUAUUGGACCAACCAUAUUUGAUAUCAAAGGAUAUGGAUAUCCAGGCAUGCCAUUUAUAGAUAUUCCCAGUGUUGCAAGAAGGAAUUGUUCAAGAGAAAGAAGCUGCUAUUGUUGGUAAAGUUUUCCUCAAACCAUUUUGAACAUCCAAAAUCUCAAGAACAAAAAAGAAAACGUAGGAGGAAAUAUAACAAGCAUCACAACGGGUUCUCGAUGAUAUAAGUGAGAGGAUAAAUGUUAAUUAAGAUUAUAAAAAUAAACCACAAACUAAACAGGAAAGACAUGGAUUUCAAAACGAGGAGACUGGCUGCUAAUUAAAACCAUAUGCGGUGUUGUCUAGGGCGCAAGGCGCAUUCUAGGUGCUAACCUUUAUAUUGCCUCAAGCACAAGGCACAAAAGGAAGCGCUAGCCUGAGUGCAGUAAAGCGCAAUACAUAUAUGUGAGAGUUUUUGCAAGUCUGUGUGUCUACAACAUAAAAGUUUUAAGAUAUAUAGUAAACUCUAAAGUGUGGUCUGGUUUAUCCACAAAACUUGCAAAAUUUUUAUAGGUGAAUGCUCAAAUAUUGAGAAUUAUAGAGUUUGAUAUUAUCCCUUUCUUAUUAGUAAAGGUGUAUCAAAUGAAAACAGUAAAAAAUAAAAUAAAAUAUUGAGAAAUUCAACAAGGCAGGCUUUUUCUAAUGCCCAUUGCCUUACAAAAAAAGUGUGCCUAGGUGCACCAGGCAUACGCUUGAUCAAAUGGACCUCACCUGGAAGGGUCCAAGGCGUUUGGUUGUAUAAAACUAAGGCGUAGGCAUGCCUAGGCGCAUGCCUUGACGACACUGACCAUAUGUUGGCUUUAUUGCAAAGCAUUAGCAAUCCAAAACUACUAGCACAUUACCUAAUCUACUACUGCUAGAAUAGGACUCAAGUUCUUGCUCCUGUGCAGGUCCAACCAAGAUCUUUACAGGAUACAAUAAUGAAACUUGUGAUAUCAUAUAUUGUUGCCUUGCUCGAAGCUUCCUUUGCACAUUUUUAAGUUUAACACAACCCCUUUCUUCAGUGAGUAAUCUAUUUGCUUCCUGUGAUAAAAACAACAUAUAAUCAAUCAUGCCACGCAUGCAAGACUACCAACCAACUAUCUAACAAAAGAUACAAAGAAGUAGGAGAGCAAGAAGGGGAUAACCCUUGACUAUGCAAAGGAAUUCAUAGAAUGAGAAUCAUCUCAUCUAAGCCCCUCAACCACCUUCACAGGGGGUGGAGGUGCAAAGAGAGAGGUCUUAUUGAUCCGAGAGGAGAAUAUAUAACAUCUAAAGCUGAAUAAGAAGAAACCUUGAAAUAUAUCAUAAAUUCAGAAUUCAUGAUAAUAUAAAAAUGAAAUUCCAAAGCUAAUUUAAGCUAGAAUAAAAAUGCUUCACCUGUAAUCACUUCCUUGCUACAGAAAGAGAGGUACCAGCAACCAACAAUGAUCUUACUUCAGUACUAAGCAUUUCCUCCUGUUUUUUAGCAUCCUCUGUUGCAACUUUGCAAUGAGUUGACAUGUUUGCCAUAACUACUUUCCUUGCCUCGAGUCUCUCACGCAUUUCCUCAAGCUCGUUCAGUUUAUUCAAAGACUCAUUUUUUACCUGCACAGCAUGUUCCCACCCAUUAAUCAGUGGGCCAAUUAAUUAGGUCACAGAAGACAAAACUAAAUUAUCACUCACCAGGUCCCCUUGAAGUGUCAUAUGGCUUUAACAAUUCAACGUGCAAUAUCUAGUAAAAGUAAAAUAAACAUAGAAGAAUGCAAAUGCAAUUCUUAAACGCCUUUAAAUGGACAACAUGAAACACUUUAAGAGCCCUAUAAAACAGAAAACUGGAAAAAAAAUCUGAAAAGGAAAAAAAAAUGAAUUGAAACAAUAAAUCCAUCUGGUACAAACAGCAACAAAUCUCGAAAUAAGCUUUGGCUUUAGCCCAUUAAAGCCCGGGCAUCCGGCCAAAUAAACAGUGACUGCCAUGUCAACUUUUUGAGACGGUAGAAAAGAGCUCAAAAAUCUCAAUUUCCAAAAAUAAGGACAUAAGAAGGAAAACAAUUUACUUAUUCUUACAGUAGAAGAGCAAAAUGAAACUAAAUGAAGGAUAAGGGAACUGAUGCGAAUUGACAUUGUUAUUUUUGGGACUAAAAAGAAUACGCAGAUUGAAUAUUUAAGAUUUUGUAAGGGAAAAGUUCCAUUCACCGACACAAUUAUCAUCGCCCUUUAUCCCAGUAAAGCUUAAUUGACAAUUUUUCUGUCUCGUGUUCUUGCUAAAGCAUUUGAGCAACCCAACAGAAAUCAUUAUAUUUCAAACUGAAAUGAUUGGCUUUAACAAUUUCACAACCUAUACCGCCCAACCUAGUAAGUAAUUUAGGUGCAGACACCAGAAAUCUAUUUUCUUUGCACUCUACAACUAAAUAGCAUACCACUUAUCAAUCAAACACAGCUGAAAACUUCAGUGAGGGAACAUUAUGUAAAAUGAAAAAACUAUAACUUCAACUUGAUUCAUAGCUCGGCAAGUUCAGGGAAUUGGGACUUCUACCACGAUGAUCCAGUUCAAUGUGAAACAGUGAUCCAUAUCAUGCAUAUCGGUUCCCGGAACAAGAGGUAAAACCAGCAAAUUAGGUAAACAAUAAUCCUACUAUAUUUCAGAAUAGCAACAUUGAGCAUGAAAGCUAAAAUUAUAGCAUAUUACGGGUCCUUGCUCUCUACAACUACAUAUAAAAUUAGUAAACAAUAUUACUACAUUAAGGAUCCAGAAAAACUUUGUUUCAAUUGUUGAUCACUUGAUCCAACUAUUUUAGAAAGUUUAUUCUUCUUUUUCCUUUCCCUUAUUUUCUAAAUCAGGAAAAACAGUAGCAUAUAAAUUGGAUUACUACUCCAAGUUUCUGAAAUUUCAACAAUAUCCCUUUUACCUUUUCACUCAAGUCAUUACCCCCCAAUUAACAAAUAUAUUCCCAGUUUCCCUUUCCCUUCAAACACCCCUUUUUUUUUCCUCUACCCAAAUUCAGCUUAUGUUCAAAAACCCAAAAUUGGUUUGCUAAAAUAACAUAAUUUUCAAACACAAAGAUAACCUAAUUUUAAUCAGAAAAAAAAAGCAUUACCUGAAUUAGUGACUGGAGUUUCUCUUGAAGACUUUGUUUCUUCUCAUUAGCUUCCUUAAGGGCAGAAGUUAAACUCCACAAUCUAGCUAGCUCGUUGUCGAAAUCUUCCCAUUCAAUUAGUUGCACAUUUUCAUGUGCAGCAUUGAUUUUCUUCGGGUCGGUAAUUAGGGUUUUGACUCGGGCUUGUUCUCGAUUUUCCAUGAAAUAAUUGAAGAGGAAAGCUUUCGAUUCUGUAAGUUUAAAAAGGGAUCAUAGAUCGACCUCAUGGUACUGGAUCUCGCCCGGUUAGAGUGUUCUUUUUCACGCCGAUCGAAUCAUUUUCUCGGGAAACUUUGCUAGCUAGGGGUAAUUUUCUCGGGAAAAUGGAGGGAAAAACAGAUUCGGGAGUUUUUAUUUGGGGGAGUCUAAGGUAUAACGGAGAAUGACAGGUGGCGGUUAACGGAGGAAUCUCACGAUUCAUGUCAUUUUCACUUUUUCGAUUUAGAAAUUGCUUAAAUACUUUUAAAAAUAGAUAAUAAGAUAAACUUUCUUUUUGAAUAAGAUAAAACUUUCAUUGAAAAUAAAUAAAUAAAUUAAAAAAUAUUUGAUGAUUUUUAAGUUGGUAAUUUUUUUUUAUAAAAAUUUGGUAACUUCUUUGAAAGUUGAUAUAAAAUGUAUCACGACCCGACUUGAGAUUUAAUUUGUCCUCGUCAGAAGUCCGACCCAAACAAGGGAAUAUGACUUGCCACUCACCAAUUUUUUAACCUUCCAACUUGCCAGCUUUAUGGAGUAACUCGGCACCUUGCGACACUACCUAACAUACCGUGAGAUUUAAGUACAAAUAUCUCUAAGGGUAUGUGUCAAGCUUAAGAGAAAUAACAUAUUAUUAUACAUAUUAUUUAGUUACCCCUAACAUGUCACGUCAAAAAAUCAUACUAUAAAAAAUAGUCCUCACAAGAUAGGAUAGAAAAAAAAAGUCAUCAACAAAAGUAAUUAAGUAACCUUUUUAUAAAACAAAAAGAUUUAUUUUAUUUUGAAAUAAAUUAAUUCUCUAACUUAUAUAAGAAAUUAAGUAAAAUCUUUUUAAAUAAUAAGACAUAAUUUCUCGAAAAAAAAUAAUCAAAUGAGAGCUAAUCAAAAUAAUUUAUUUUUUUAGGCCAAACAAUUUUACUUCAACUAUUUAUAAACACUUUUUAAUCAAUUUUAUUUUAACUCCCAUUAUAAAUUUUAUAAAAAGGAUAAUAUAUUAAAAAUACCCUUAAAUUAUUAGAUUUUGUAUAAAUAAACUCUUAUUUUUUUUAGUUAAAUAAACUCCUAAAUUAUUAAUUUAGUCAUGAAAAUGUUGAUAUAAAAGUAUGAGAAUAAUUUAUUAAAUAAAAAAUUAAUUAUUUUAAAAUAUUUAAAAUAUUUAUAUACAUAAUAAACUUAAUUAAAUUCUCUAGAAAAAAAAUUUAUAUUCUUUUAAAUUUUAUGUUGAUAUAUUAUUUCUAUUUGUCUAAUAAAGUGCAUAACGAGGCAAUAACUAUUUUUUAUGUAUAAAUUAAACAAUACUACAACUUCCGAAGUUAAUAAGAUUAUAUCUAUACUCACCAUCACAAUUAGAGACAGGGGUGAGUAUUCGAUCGAAUUGAGUUAAAAAAUUUUGAAUUAGUCGAGUUAACAAAUCUUAUUUUAGCAAUCGAAAUCAAUUUAAAUUUUUUUAAAUCAAAUCGAAUCGAGUCAAAAAAUUUCAAGUCGAAUUAACGAAUCCUAUUAUUUAUACUCAAUAUUGCGUUUAUAUGGGCUGAUUAUUUAACUGGUAGACGAAGUACAAGAUUAUUUAACUAUAUAAACAAUAUAAUGGUUUUGCAUUGUAACUUAAUAGGUAAACAUUUAUCAAAACGAAAUAAUUUUACCUUUUAAGUUAAUGGUUUUGACUUUUAACUUUUAACUUUAAAAAAUAUAAACAUUUAUCAAUACGACGUAAAUUUACAUUUUCGUAUUCGGAUUUUCGAAUAACUCGAAACGUGUAAUUCAUAUUCGAGUUAAACUAAAAAUUUUAAUUUUUUUAUUUGAGUUAAUCUGAAUAACUUGAUUAAAUCGAAUAACUCGAAUUGUUUAAUUUGAAAUUUGAUUUUUUUAUCGAAUUUUUCAAAUCAAAUCAAAAUUUACUCACCCUUAAUUAGUCAUCAUAACUAAAUUAAAGUUGCCCCAUUAUGCAAUUGCAAGUCUUCAAAGCCUAAAAGUUGUAACAAUUCAAAAUUUCAAUGGAAAUUAAAAUUAAUAUUUUUAUCAUAUAUUAGUCAAAGUUUAUUGCAUCAACAAUAAGUUAAGAUAAAAACCUCAAAUUUUAAAAUAUUUUUACCUCAAUAUAAAAUUUAAGAGCUUUCAUGUAUAAAAACUAAAGGUUAGAGCUUUCAUGUUUAAGGGCUUAUUUAUACUUCAUCUUUAUAAAAAAACACUUAAAUAGUAGUUUAAAUUAUAUAGUUAAUCACUCAAUUUUAGUAAAUUUUCAUUUUAGUCACUCGUUGUUAAUUUGGCUAAUGUAAAUAUUACAUUACACUGAUUUUAGUCACCUAAUUUUCAUAAGAUAGAAUUAAUUUUAUUUUUCGGUAAAAAAGAAAAGAAAAACUCAAAAUUUUACAAGCAAGUACCUAGGUUUUUAUAGAAAAAACUUGGAGUUUUAUAUGAAAAACCUACGUUUUUAUUGGAAUAGUCAUAUUAUCUUUUUUUAUUUCAUUUAUUUUUUUCAUUUAUAAAAUUAAUUUUAGCUUUUUCAAUGAAAAGAAAACCUAAUUUUUUACUAAGAAAAUCAUUUUAUCUUUUUAAUUUCUUUUACUUUCAUAUUUAGAAUUAAUUUUAAUUUUUUUUCCAAUAACAAUGAAAAAAAACUUGGAUUUUUACAAUGAGUUUGUUGGGUUUCCACGAGAAUUGCUUGAGUUUUAUGAAUAACUCAAUUCCUUAAAAAAUUCUAAAAAAAAUUAGAAAAAUAAGAUUAAUUAAAAAAAAUGGAGCAAAAUGAAAAUUUACUAAAAUUAGAUGGCUAAAAUGAAUAUACAAUUGCAUUUUCGUUAGCCAAAUUAACAUGUGAUCAAAAUGAAAUAUUAUUAAAAUUGAGUGAUUAAAAUGAAAAAACUAUUUGAUUUAUUUACACCCUGAUUUUAUGAGCAAAUUCCCCAGCACAAAGCCUAUUUUGACAAUAACAGUUCAAAUGAAAAGUCUUCGCUUACUCUUUGAACGAAACUCUUCUCCCGCUAAAACCACCUCUUCUUCCUCCAAAUUCAAACGCCCAAAGCUUUCUUCCAUCUCUAAUGGCUCUGAUUCAUCACAAUCAUCAUCAUCUCAAGAUCCCCUUAAAACCCAUUUCUCCUCUCUCAUCAAAUCCUCCGAAACCACCCUACAACUCCGGCAAAUCCACGCUCAAAUCCUGCGCCGCCACCUCUCUUCCAGUGCCAAUCUCACCACCCUCUUAAUCUCCGUUUCUUCUUCCUUCAAAUCCAUACCUUACGCGCUCUCUAUUUUCAACUAUUCUCACCACAAAAGCUUAUUCCUUUUCAAUGCUUUGAUUCGUGGCUUGACGGAGAAUUCCCAUUUCCAAUCCUCAGUUUCACAUUUUCUUCUCAUGUUGAGACAUAGAGUUCGCCCUGAUUAACUUACAUACCCUUUCGUGCUCAAGUCUAUUGCGGGAUUGGGUCUUCAUUUCCUUGGUCUGAUCCUUCAUGGGAGAAUCAUAAAAUCUGGGGUUGAGUUCGAUUCGUUCGUUCGGGUUUCGUUAGUGGAAAUGUAUGUGAAGCUCGAGGAAAUGGGUUUUGCGUUGCAAGUGUUUGAUGAAAGUCCUGAGAGAAACAAGAGUGAGAGUAUAUUGUUGUGGAAUGUGUUGAUUAAUGGGUGUUGUAAAGUGGGGGAUUUGGAGAAAGCUAUGGAGUUUUUCGAGGCUAUGCCUGAAAGGAAUAUUGGGUCUUGGAAUAGUUUUAUAAAUGGGCUAAUGAAAAAUGGGGAUUUGAACAAAGCAAUGCAGCUUUUUGAUGAAAUGAAGGAGAAGGAUGUGGUUUCUUGGACUACAAUUGUUAAUGGGCUUUCACAGAAUGGAGAUCAUCAGAAGGCGUUAUCCAUGUUCUUUAAGAUGUUGGAGGUCGGUUUAAGGUCGAAUGAUCUUACUCUUGUUUCAGCUCUUUUCGCUUGCGCUAAAAUUGGUGCACUUGAAGUUGGAGUCCAUAUCCAUAACUAUUUUGUGGAAAAUGGGCUUCGGUUGAAUAAAGCAACUGCUGCUGCUUUGGUUGAUAUGUAUGCAAAGUGUGGGAAUAUCCUAUCUGCUAGUAAGGUUUUUGAAGUAACUGUUGCGCGGAAGCGUGUGAAAGAGUAAAAUUAUUGUACUGAAAAAUCACACUAAGUUCAAUUCCCAGGAAAGAGAGGUGGAUCACGAGGAUCGCUUACAUACCAGAUCUUUCCUAGCCAGAAUAUCCCUCUAUCGUAAUUUAAUAGCACAAUAAAUCACUACAAUGACACUUGCAAAAUAUGCAGAACAAAAAAUAAAGAACACUAGAAUUUUAACGAGGUUCAGCAAAUUUUGCCUACGUCCUCGGGCACUACCAAAUAUAUUUCACUCCAAAAAAUACAAGUGAAAGUUUACAAAUAGGGAGAGAGAACAAUUGCCUUAAGUAGAGAUUGGCAAGUGUGGGAUGAAGAAAGUAAGAAAUGGUUAGGCCUAUUUAUAGUUGAGGUUCAAGGAUCAACUUGCAAUGUCCCUAUACAAUUAGGGACCAAAAUUGCAAUUAUCUCAUGCCAACUUUUAACCCAACUUGCCAACCAAUUUUACUUUCUACUUUCGGUGACCACCCUUUUUGACUUUUCAAACAAUGGGUGGGUUCCAAUAAUCUCCACCUUGAAGAUUUGAUUAGGCUAAUCUUAUCUUCACACAAUUCUUUCUGCCUUUGACAACAAUACUUGAUAGUGCCUUCUUCAACUGUUAAACUUGCAGGAUAUUAAUCAAGUUCAAACAAUGUUCGAACUUGGUUGAUGUUACCACCUUGCUCAUCAUAUCUGCGGGAUUAUCUGCAGUCUUGAUCUUCUGAAGACAAAUUUUCCCCUCUUCAAUAAUUUCCCGCACAAAAUGGAAUCGUACGUCGAUAUGUUUUGUACGUGCAUGAUAGACUUGAUUCUUUGCUAAAUGAAUAGCACUUUGACUAUCACGAUACACGUUAAUAUGCUCCUGAACCAACCCCAAGGUUUUAGCCAUACCUUGUAACCAAAUAGCCUCCUUUACAGCCUCUGUUACAGCCAUGUACUCGGCUUCUGUGGUUGACAAUGCAACUGUAGACUGUAGUGUAGACUUCCAACUUAUUGGUCAUCCAGCAAGUGUAAACACAUAACCAGUGGUUGAUCUUCGAUUGUCCAAAUCACCGGCAUAGUCAGAAUCAACGUACCCAAUAACACCUUUACCAAGUGUAUUAUCCUGCUUGAACAGUAAUCCAACAUCCACGGUCUUCUGAAUAUACCGUAGAAUCCAUUUCACAGCUUGCCAAUGUCCUUUUCCAGGAUUAUGCAUAUACCUGCUCACUAUACUAACUGCCUGUGAAAUGUCAGGUCUUGUACACACCAUUGCAUACAUCAAGCUACCCACUGCAUUAGAAUACGGAACUUGCAACAUGUAUUCUCGUUCCGUAUUCGUCGAAGGAGAUAGUUGUGUAAAAAGCUUGAAAUGAGAAGCCAACGGGGUACUUACAGGUUUUGUCUGCUCGUUCAUGCCAAACUGCUGUAGUACCUUUUUCAAAUACUGCUUCUGAGACAAGCUAACUCUAUCAUGAGCUCUAUCUCUCCAUAUUUCCAUGCCGAGAAUCCUUUUAGCUUCUCCUAGAUCUUUCAUCUCAAACUCGAGAUUGAGUUGAGUCUUCAAUCUUUCAAUUUCAACUUUGCUCUUAGAUGCUAUUAGCAUAUCAUCAACAUAUAAGAGCAAGUAUAUGAAAGUUCCUUCUUGUAGCUUCUGAAAAUACACGCAAUGAUCAAAUUUACUUCUUGUGUACCUUUACCCUUUCAUAAACUGAUCAAAUCGCUUGUACCACUGCCUCGGAGAUUGCUUCAAUCCAUAAAGCGACUUUGUCAGUUUGCAAACCCAAUUUUCUUUUCCAGCAACCUUGAAUCCAUCUGGCUGAGUCAUAUAGAUUUCCUCUUCCAAAUCACCGUGUAAAAACGCGGUCUUCACAUCAAGCUGAACUAGUUCAAGAUCAUAUUGCGCAACCAAGGCUAGCAAAAUCUGAAUAGACGAAUGCUUCACAACUGGAGAAAACACUUCAUUGUAGUCUAUUCCUUCUUUCUGAGCGUAACCCUUUGUUACUAAUCUAGCCUUGUAUCGAAUUUCAUUUUUAUCAGGAAAUCCUUCCUUCUUUGCAUAUACCCAUUUGCAUCCAAUUGCCUUCUUUCCCUUGGGUAGUGUCACCAACUCCCAGGUCUUAUUUUUCUGAAGAGACUGCAUUUCUUCAUUCAUUGCUUGCUUCCACUUUACACCAUCAGGGUUACUUAUUACUUCUGUGUAAGUAGAAGGAACAUCAUCAUCUGUAUUUGGAAAUGCAUAGGCCACUAUAUCAUCAAAGCGAGCAGGCUUACGAAUCUCUCUUCUUGGCCUUCUAUAUGCAAUUGAAUCUUGUUGCUGUAGAGAUUCUUGGGUAGGAACCUCUUCAUCAUUUGUCCCUUCAAUAUUAGCUGGAUCAUCGUUAACCUUUUCAAGCUCCACAUGCUGCAAAGUACUAACGGUUUUGUCAUCCUUUUGUGAAUCCUUGUACUUCAACAUGGUUGAUUCAUCAAAAGUCACAUCUCUACUGAAAACAAUCUUCAUUGUAUCAGAACACCAGAGACGAUAUCCUUUUACUCCAUCAGUUAUACCCAAGAAUAAUGCUUUCUUUGCUCUUGGGUCUAACUUAGAUUCUUUUACAUGAUAAUAUGCAGUGGAACCAAAUACAUGCAAAGAAUCAUAAUCAGUAGCAGAUUUACCAGUCCACAUCUCUAUAGGAGUUUUUCCAUUUAUUGCAGCUGAUGGCAAACGGUUAAUUAGAUGGCACGCAUAUGUAACUGCCUCAGCCCAAAAUUCUUUGCCCAAUCCAGCAUUGGACAACAUACAUCGAACUUUCUCCAGUAUAGUUCGAUUCAUUCGUUCUGCCACCCCAUUUUGCUGUGGUGUAUCCCGAACAGUGAAGUGUCGCACAAUGCCCUCAUCUUGGCAUACUUGUAGAAAUGGAUCGUUUUUGUACUCAGUACCAUUAUCUGAUCGAAGUCGUUUGACCUUUCGACCAGUCUGAGUCUCCACCAUCUUCUUCCAUUUCAGAAAUGCAUCCAAAACUUCACUUUUUCUUUUCAUUAGAUACACCCAUACUUUUCUUGAAUAAUCAUCAACAAAAGUAACAAAAUAGUGCAUACCUCCCAAAGAAGCUACUUUGGUAGGUCCCCACACAUCACUGUGAACGUAGUCCAGAAUUCCUUUCGUAUUGUGAAUUGCUGGACCAAAUUUUACCCUCUUCUGCUUGCCCAGAACACAAUGUUCACAGAAUUCCAUUUUGCAAGAAUUUGCACUUUUCAAUAAGCCUUGCUUCACCAAUGUCUGCAAAGCUUUUUCACCAGCAUGUCCCAAUCGCAUAUGCCAUAAUCUGGUAGCCUCUGAAUCUACAUCUUUUGUAGAAACUGUUGAUGUUGAUCCAAUAACUGUACUUCCAUUUAAAAAAUACAAGUUAUUUCUUCUUGUGCCUUUCAUCACCGUCAGUUGCCCAGCUACUACUUUUAGUAAUCCAUCUCUCAAAGUGAUUGUGAGCCCUUUAGAUUCUAGGGCACCUAAUAAGAUGAGAUUUUUCUUCAGGCUAGGUACGUAGCAAACAUCUGUCAAGACUUGGAUUGAGCCGUCGUGAUUCUUCAAUUGGACUGUACCCACUCCCAUUGUCUUACAAGCACUAUCAUUGCCCAUAAGAACAAUUCCACCUUCUAGCUCUUUAAGACUAGAAAACCAGUCCUUAUUAGGACACAUAUGGUAAGUACAUCCUGAAUCCAAAAUCCACUCAUCCGUUUGACAUGCCAUUGCCAUGCCAACCAAGCUAAAGUCUGACUCCUCAUCAUGCUCCGCUACACAUGCAUUAGAAAUAGCCUUGCCCUUUUGUAGCUUAGGACAAUUCUUUUUCCAAUGCCCUUUUUCACGGCAAAAGGCACAUUUAUCUUUGGCGGGUCUCCCUUUGGACUUUCCUCUUCUACCAGAUUUGCUGCUGUGUGAACGACCUCUUACUGUUAAGACUUCUGCGGUUGUAUCUCUGUGAUCUCUUUUAUCUUUCUUUCGAGUCUCAGAUCUAUACAACGCACUACAGACUGCAUCAAAUGUGAUCGUGUCCUUCCCAUGAAGCAAUGUGGUGGUAAGAUGAUCAUAUUCAUCAGGAAGGGAAUUCAACAACAAUAAUGCAUUGUCUUCAUCUUCAAAUUUCUCAUCCAAAUUUAGCAAGUCUGCUAAAAUUUUAUUGAAUGAGUUCACAUGGUCAUUCAUCGACAUACCGGGUGCAUACGUGAAUCGAUAAAGUUUCUUUUUCAUAUAAAGCCUAUUUUCAAGACUUUUCGUUAGAAACUUUUCUUCCAGUGUAUCCCAUAACUUCUUCGCUGAUGUCUCCCUCAUGACAGAGUACUUCUGCUCUUUGGCCAAACAUAGGCGGAUUGUACCACACGCCUGUCUAUUGAUUUUGGCCCACUCCAUGUCAUCCAUCUUGUCAGGUUUUUCUUCAAAUGCUAUAUCUAGCUCUUGCUGACAUAAGACAUCCAGGAUCUCACAUUGCCACAUACCAAAAUUAUUGGUACCGUCAAAUUUCUCUACUUCAAAUUUUGCAUUUGUCACAGUAGUCCUUGCUGAUGACGAUGCUGCUGCCAUUUUUCUCCUCAAUCCCAACUACUGUAUACGUGAACAGUACUGUAUACGUGAAUAGUACCGUAUACGUGAAUAGUGCCGUAUACGUGAAUAGUACUGUAUAUGUAAAUAGUACCGUAUACGUGAAUAGUGCCGUAUACGUGAAUAGUACUGUAAACGGUCGUAUUCCCCAAGUACGAACCUGGCUCUGAUACCAAUUGUUGCGCGGAAGCGUGUGAAAGAGUAAAAUUAUUGUACUAAAAAAUCACACUAAGUUCAAUUCCCAAGAAAGAGAGGUGGAUCACGAGGAUCGCUUACAUACCAGAUCUUUCCUAGCCAGAAUAUCCCUAUAUCGUAAUUUAAUAGCACAAUAAAUCACUACAAUGACACUUGCAAAAUAUGCAGAACAAAAAAUAAAGAACACUAGAAUUUUAACGAGGUUCAGCAAAUUUUGCCUACGUCCUCGGGCACUACCAAAUAUAUUUCACUCCAAAAAAUACAAGUGAAAGUUUACAAAUAGGGAGAGAGAACAAUUGCCUUAAGUAGAGAAUGGCAAGUGUGGGAUGAAGAAAGUAAGAAAUGGUUAGGCCUAUUUAUAGUUGAGGUUCAAGGAUCAACUUGCAAUGUCCCUAUACAAUUAGGGACCAAAAUUGCAAUUAUCCCAUGCCAACUUUUAACCCAACUUGCCAACCAAUUUUACUUUCUACUUUCGGUGCCCACCCUUUUUGACUUUUCAAACAAUGAGUGGGUUCCAAUAGUAACAAAAGAGAAGGACAUUCGUACCUGGAGUGUCAUGAUAUGGGGUUGGGCAACCCAUGGGUUUUAUGGACAAGCUAUCCGAUGCUUCAAAAAGAUGAUGUUUUCAGGUGUGGACUUAGUAGUUUUCAUUGAGCUCAACCCUUUAUUCUAAUCUUUCUGAAUAAACUCAAGUUUGUCGUAUUUGCAGGAAUAAAACCCGAUGCGGUGGUCUUUCUUACCCUCCUGACUGCAUGCUCACAUUCUGGACAAGUAGAUCUUGGGCUUAACUUCUUUGAUAGCAUGAGGUUUGAUUACUCCAUUGAGCCAACCAUGAAGCAUUAUACGUUGGUCGUUGAUUUGUUAGGCAGGGCAGGCCGACUGGAUGAAGCAAUGAAGUUCAUACAAAGGAUGCCUAUAAGUCCUGAUUUUGUGGCAUGGGGAGCACUUUUUGUGCUUGCAGAGCUCACAAAAAUAUUAAAAUGGCAGAACUAGUGUCAGAAAAGCUCCUUCAGCUUGAACCUAAACAUCCUGGGAGCUAUGUUUUCUUGUCAAAUGUUUAUGCAGCAGUUGGUAGAUGGGAAGAUGUGGAGAGGGUAAGAAUGUUGAUGCAGAAUCAAGCUGUUGGCAAAGAUCCGGAGUGGAGUUAUAUUGAAGUCAAUGGACAAGUGCAUAGUUUUGUAGCUGGUGAUCAUGAUCAUAAGCGUGCAAGAGAAAUAUACUUGAAAUUAGAGGAAAUAGUGUCUGGUGCAAGAGAGCAAGGAUAUAUGCCUGAAACUGGGUGGGUUCUUCAUAAUAUUGAGGAAGAAGAGAAGGAAGAUGCAUUAGGAAGUCACAGUGAGAAAUUGGCGCUUGCCUUUGCCUUAAUGAACACUCCUCCGGGGACAACUAUUAGGAUAGUGAAGAACUUAAGAGUAUGUGGAGAUUGCCAUUCUUUGAUGAAAUGUGCUAGUAAGAUGAGCCAAAGAGAAAUCAUAUUGAGAGAUAUAAAGAGAUUCCACCAUUUCAAGUAUGGGGUCUGCUCAUGUGGAGAUUAUUGGUAAAAUGGUAAGUAACAGCAACAUUAAUUUGCUUUGCUGUUAAUAGCACAUGAUUAGUGCUUCUACUUGGUUUAUUUAGAAUAAUGCUUUUAGUUAAAACAUGGAUGUAGCUACAGCAACACAAGUUUUUUUGUUUGAUAAUUGGUAGCAAGUACAUUAAAUUUCUCCAAUGGACCUUUCUGCACAUAUAUAUUAAACUUGAAACUCAUUAGUUAAGUUUGUACUUUAUUUAGGUAUCUAAUUAACGUUGUUAGAUUUUUUCAAUUUCAACUUAUCAUCUUGUGCCACUUCUUUCUCUUCCCUUUAGUGAAAUUUAGCACUUUAAAAGAUGGGUUGCAUUUUGCUCCCUCUGUCAAAAAAAAUGGACAGAUUAAGCUAUACACGUUAGAUCAAAGAGCAAAUAGGUCUUUUUGUUUAAAAAUCCAUCAAUUUUUGUUGUUAAAAAUCAAUCCAUUUACAUCAACAUAAAAUAUAUAACUGUUUGGGUAUCUCAUCAUCCAUGUUAGUUUUUAGCAAUACAAAUGGAUAGAAUUUUUAACAAAAAAAACCAGUUUAUUGUUUGAUCUAACAUACAAUGACUAAUUUGUCAAUUUUUUAAGUAAAUAAAGCAUAAUGCUAAUUGACUCUUAGUAUAAUAUCUCUAUGGUACUUUUAUCAAUACUAUCUCUAUUUAUGAAAUUAAAAAUACUUAAAUAAUUAGAUUUAUUGUAUAUUGUGAUAAAAAAUUAUGUAAGAAAUGCAUUUAUUAAAAAUCCAUAUAAAAUCUAAAUGAUGAUUGUAAAGUUAAAUGUUCUGGUGCAAGAGAGCAAGGAUAUAUGCCUGAAACUGGGUGGGUUCUUCAUAAUAUUGAGGAAGAAGAGAAGGAAGAUGCAUUAGGAAGUCACAGUGAGAAAUUGGCGCUUGCCUUUGCCUUAAUGAACACUUCUCCGGGGACAACUAUCAGGAUAGUGAAGAACUUAAGAGUAUGUGGAGAUUGCCAUUCUUUGAUGAAAUGUGCUAGUAAGAUGAGCCAAAGGGAGAUCAUAUUGAGAGAUAUAAAGAGAUUCCACCAUUUUAGGUAUGGGGUCUGCUCAUGUGGAGAUUAUUGGUAAAAUGGUAAGUAACAACAACAUUAAUUUGCUUUGCUGUUAAUAACACAUGAUUAGUGUUUCUACUUGGUUUAUUUAGAAUAAUGCUUUUAGUUAAAACAUGGAUGUAGCUACAGCAACACAAGUUUUUUUGUUUGAAAAUUGGUAGCAAGUACAUUAAAUUUCUCCAAUGGACCUUUCUGCACAAAUGAUAUAUGUCCCCAUAAAGAACUUGGUGCUCACGGUAUUGCAUGACAGGUAGCCAUAGGUUAUUCGCUCUCUUGAUUGGUAUCUUACAUUCCUCAAGGUCCAAAAGUUGUUCCUUCUUUUUGUCUGAAGUCCAAACCUAAGAAAAGCAUUGAUGGGCCUUUAAAACUUUGCUCAUUUCACUACAUGAACUAUUGGAUGUUUUGUGUUCAAAUUAGUUUAUGCCAGUAGUGAAAGUACAUCUCUUUCUCCUUAUCCAGUUAUUCUUUUCAGUUGUCAUCAUCUUUCUGUGUCUUGCCUUCUGAAGUGUUUAGAUGACUGCAUUUCUCAAUAUAAUUUUCAUUUGACCUAAAUAGUUGAAAUUAAAGUCCCUUAUCAUGCCAUUCAUUACUUUGCUUCUAUAUGGUAGUUAUUCUUCAAUGUCCAUGAAUUGACAUAUAUCACUGGAAGCAUAAUCUUACUUCUAAGCAUGGGAUUGACCUUCUUUAAUGCAGGUUCUUCUGUAAGACUCAAACCAUAGAUGGGCAAGGCUUGAGAAAAUAAAGUUGUAAGUGUUGAACCAGGAAGGACGAUGUUGGCCAUGUUAUAAACAUUCCUCCAGAAUGACUAAACAUCGAGGAAAAGGUUCAACCAUGAGUGGUCCACUGAAACGUGCUUGGUCGAACACGUGCCAAUUAUCAGCUACGUAUCAAAUCCCACAAUUAUAAAUGUAGAUUGGGUUCCAUGCUCUGGUUAAUCCAUUAGAUGACACGGUCCAUUGAAAAGGUACUAAAUUACUGAUGUUUGGUCCAUAUAUGAAUCUGUUUAUUUAAUGGCCAGCAUUAAUUGUUAAUUCUCUUGUUUGCGGGUGACUUUUCCUCUAGCAUGCCUUAUGGAAAGAAGUGUCAGUGACAACCUUUUAAUCAACAGCAACUUACCCUACUAAUGAGCAUUUGGAGCAUUUCAUAGCUCGUUCAGUUUAUUCAAAGACUCAUUUUUACCUGCACAGCAUGUUCCCGCCCAGUAAUCAGUGGGCCAAUUAAUGAAGGAGAGGAUAGUUUGCUAGACACAUGUUUUUUGUGUGAGCUUUCUGGUCUUUUAUGUAGUUGUGGUGUUGACAAUUUUUGUUGUUCUUUACAUAAAUUCUUAUUGGCUAAGCGCUUGGUUUUCUUUUAUUGGAAAGUGCAUCACAACCUGUCGUUACUCAACAAUGGCCAAUUUUCUUGCAUAUCACAUCUUCAGGCAAUGUGAUUAUGUUGAAAAUUGGCCUACCAUGCUUGCUGUAAUACUUCCGGAUGAAGUACGUGCUAGCAAUUGUUCAUGCUGCAGCACGUAUGCUUGCUGUAACAGCAAGAUUUUUGUUUUAGUUUCACUGUAAUCAGCCUAGUUGGAAAUGAACAAGCUGAUGACAGCUUGAUAUGUUUAGGUGUUGAAUGACUAAUUUAGGUGGCUUGUUUCUGUGUACAAGCAAUGUUUUUAAAGUUAGUAGGCUACUUAGUGGUAGUAGGUAGUAAUAACUGAUGUAGUUGGCUAUAAAUGUAUUGUUUUUUUAUUGAAAAAUUAAGCAUAUCAGUGGUUAAAACAGAUUGCUUCCUUGCUGCACGUUUGUGAGCAAGUAAAUUAUUCUUGCAGCUUGCUUCAUUGUCUUGUUCUGUUCUCUGUUUUCUUCCUCUGCUGUCAAAAAACCCAACAGAUUAGCUAUCGUGAAGAUUUCAACAAAGUCGGUUCGUGUUGAUUCAAGGAAAAAAAGAUAUUACGAUUUGAUUUCCUCACCUAAUUGUUUUACUAUGCGAAGUUGGAUUGUGAGGAAUAUUUUGUUGAUUUCUGCAUUUUGAAUAAAGAGCUCUUAGGUUUGUGUGGCCGACGUUUAUAGUUUUAUCUUUCGAUUUUAUCUUUUUUUUUGUAUGAAAUUUAAAGUUUAAUCAAAACUAAUUGUUAUGUGUAUGUAAUAGCUAUUUGAAUUAAAUUAAAUUGACAAAUCAACGUACACUAGUGCAUACUAAAAAAAAUGUAAUAUAAAAUUAAACCAAAAUUGAAUCUAAAACUUAAAUAUUUUAAAACCUCAAACAUAUGGCAACUCUUCACUCCUCUUUCCCUCUGAAGUUAUUUUAAUUUAAAAUAUAUUUUGUAUAAUGUGUUAUAACAAUUCAACUAAACAAAGUGAUUCUCUUUGCAUAACAUAUUAUAUGCUUAUAUAAACUUUUACACAAUUUGUUAUAGAUACAUUUUUAAUAAUUGAAUGAUGACUCCAUUAAAAAUGCAAUAUCAUAAUAAUUCUACAUUUCUUGCAUUAAUAUAAAAUUUUCCUUUUUUUUUCCUCCAAGCCUUGUUUAUUAUCUUUUGUUUUGCCAAAUGGCAGUGCCAGCUUUCAGGCUAGCUAUCGCCCGCCUUUUUCUCCCUCCCAUUAAUCCUUUUUUUCUUUUUUCUUCUCAUUCACUCCACAUGUCUUCUUUCUUUUCAGUUUGUAGAUCUAUUUUAUGAGAAUCUUUAUUUUCUUCACAAGUUGUGAUAGACAGAUGACGACGCCUAUGUUCGUUAAAACUUCAUCGGCCACCAAUAAUUUUUCAGAAUAAUAAAUAAUUUCAUGAGUCGAUUUGGAUUCUUGUUAUCAUAAGUUUUAUAUAUUUUUUAGUUUGUUUUUCAUUGUUUAAUAGGUUUUUAGUUUUAGAAGUUUUUGUCUACUCUUGUAACACGUUUUUUAGUCUUGCUUAUGCAUGUAACCUUAGUUUUACAAGUGAUUUUAGAGAUGGUUUUGUUACCGUCUUCUCUAGUUUGGUGAAUGCUCAAUUCUUUUGUCCAUUUUUGCUCGUCACUUUGGACCAUUCGAGGCUGAUUUUCUUUAUCGCAUUAAGUGCUUGCGAUCACUCCAAAUAUAUCGUGCUUAAGUUGUGAUAAAGCCUGUACAAGCCCAAUUUUUAUGCCCGGGCCCAAUUGACCCAACAAAACCGAACGGCCCAACAGACUAAGGCCCAAACCCAACAAAGACUAGGGUUUCAGAACCCUAGCCCCUCCAUCAGCGCCGCAUGCUAGGGUCUCUGACUUCUGCCCCGUCGGCGCAAACGGCGCACCUACCCCGUCCGUGUCACGUCUCCUCCAUCGCCCUACACCUGCAAACAAUAAAGAGAGAAGCAGACAACACAAAACAGGGGAAAGAUUGAAUCUUUUUUUUUUGUUCUUUCGGUUAUAAAGCCGAACGUAUCAAAUAAGAAAAAGGGGGGAUUUUUUGCAAAAAAAGAAAAUCACAUCAGAAAUAAGAAAAGGAACAAAGGUUGCUGUGUUCUUCAUUUUAUUCUUUUUUGAUUCGUUUACUUUCAUUUAUUUUUAAACAAAUCCGUUAAAAAAUAUAUCAAUAAAAAGGAAAAGAAAAAAAGGAGCGCACCUGAAUCGCUCUCUGGCUCCGUCGACGGAGGUUCUCUCGCCGUUGUCGGCCCGGAUCUGAAGGAGGGAUUCAGAGCCCUUGUCUCGGCGCUCGUAGGGGUUCAAGGACCCGAUUUUCAAAUCGCCCGAAGGCCAGGCUUUUUAAAAACCCUUUGUUGCGCUUCGUUGGCCGCCGUUUCGGUGGCGGUGCGACGGACAGACGGACGAUGGUGAAAAGCCAAUCGUCGGAGGGCAUGAAGAGAGAGUGGGGGAAAGAGUUCUGAAUUUUUUUUUUUAAAAGAGGGAUGAAAUGAUUUUUUUAGGGGUUUUGAUUUAUAUAAGGAUCCAAAACGGCGCCGUUUUGGAAGGGUCAGAAAGCCCCUAAAACGACGCCGUUUUUGCAUAAGACCCGAGACCCAACCCGUCUGCCUUAGGGGAUCCGCGUGUUUUUUACGGAAGGGCUAAUUUCACGUUUAAUCCUUCCGCUUUUUAAUUAUUUUAAAAUUAGGUUCUUUUGAUCUUUUUAAUUUUACCCGGAAAUUGUUUUCGUUUUCAAUUUGAUCCUUACCCAAACUACGUCGUUUUAAAGAAAGGGCCAUUUCUUUGUUGGUCCCUCCAUGUUUUAUGCUUGUUUAGAGCAGUCCUUCCCUUUUCGUUUAUUUGCGUUUUGAACCCCCCGAAUUUUGUUUUAAUGUUUAAUCUAAUCCUUCUGCUAUUUUGUUUAUUUUCUUAACAAAUUUAUUAUUAUUAUUAUUAUUACAUAUUCAUUUAUAACAUCUAAUUUUAGAUUUAAUCAUAUAUAUAAAUAUACGUCCAUGAUAUAUACCUACUUUUUAUAUAUACUUUAUAAUUUAUAUAUACAUAUACACAUUUUAAUUUAUGUACAUAUCUACACAUAUUUUUCAUACUUUACUCAUAUAUAUAUACAUGUACUUAUACAUAUUCUUUAUAUCUUAAAAUCCAUAUUUUUCUUAUGUAUAUAUUUUAUAUUUUAUAUUUUAUAUAUAUGUGUUUAUAUAUUCUACGAUAUAUAUUUAUAUGCAUAAUAAAUACAUAUCUAUAUACGUUUCGAUUUUUAUAAACACAUAUAUAUGUAUGCAUACCUUUAUAUUUCUUAUAUUAAAUACAUAUAUAUAUAUUUAUAUAUCCCUUUAUACUUCUAAAAUCAUAUAUUUUGUAUAUAUUCUUUAUAUUUUAUGAUUCCUAUAUGUACCCACAUAUAUACUUUUUGUAUUGUAUGAUUGUUAUUUACGUAUAUGUACGUACAUACAUACUUACACCUAUUUUCAUGUAUAAUAGCCUUAUAAUAUGUGUACAUACAUGUAUUUUUCAUAUUUCCAUAUACAUACACAUAUAUCUUUUUAUUUUAUAUAAUCUUACUCAUUUUAUUUAUUUAUUUAUUUACAUGUCUAUUAUUAUUAUGCUCUAGUUUUUAUUUAUUUAUUUAUUAUUUGUUAUUGUGCUUGCUUGAUCCUUUUAUAUAUUAAUCUUAUUUUUUAUUUUUAUUUUGAUCAUGUCAUUUUACUUACAUUAUCAUCAUCAUUCCGUUACACUCAUUUUUUUGUUUAGAUUUCAAAAAAAAAAAGAAGAAAUUUUAAAAAUAAGUAACACUCGGUAUUUUGGAUCUUCGAGAGAAUCGAGUCCUAACGUAUUGGGUUCCGACUUUCUUCGUUGAAUUUAAAUAAUCGAGAUUACUCUUUUAAAAAUGAUAAAAAAGCUCGUUAUCGAGAAUUCAAUACGUUGUGUCCCAACGGAUUGGACGUAACACGGUGUUUUCUCGAGACGAGGAUUUUUCGAAAUAAACGUAAUAUUCAAUGUUUAAUCUUUUGAGAAAUUGUGCCCUAACGUAUUGGGUUGUGAUUUCUUCAUUUGAUUUAAACAAUUGAAUAUCCUUUUAAACUUUAUUACAUGGAUCUUUUCAAACUCAAGUUUUAAACAACCUCGGGAAUUAAAAGAGGAUCGUGUCCUAACUUACUGGUCGUAAUCCCUUUUUUAAUUCGAGAUCGUUAAAUAUCUUUUAAAUAAGCUUUUUUCAUUCGCGUAUUGGGAAUUCGACAUAUUGUGUCUUAACUUGCUAGAUAUGAUAUUCUGUCUCGAAUAACGUGAAAUAUGCCCCUUUUCCUGAAAAUUUUCAACGUUUUAAUACAAGGAUCGUAUUUUUAAAAUUCUUCUAAGUUAUCAAUUUUCGACACUAAGACAUUAACUAAUCAACUAGGUACCAAUUUUGGGCGUAUCGAGGGUGCUAAUCCUUCCUCGUGCGUAACCGACUCCCGAACCCGUUUUUCUGAAUUUCGUAGACCAGACUUGUUGUUUUAAUAAAAUUAAAUUGUUUAUUAAAAACAACCACUUUUCGAGGUGAUCCAAUCACCCCUCAUAAAAAAGGAUUGGUGGCGACUCCCGUUUUUUUAUUUUCGUCAAAACCCAAGUCGACCCCGUUUUUCAUCCAAAAAAAUGGUGUCAACAAAGCCAAUUGUCAACAUGUCAUAACGUUCUAUUUAUGCUAAGGCUAAAGCCUUCGUUGGGUUGUUGGAGCUUGUCAUUUACCAUCUACGACGAGUGCUUAUUUUUUUCCCUGAAUUGUAUGAUUCCAUUCAUUGAAUGAAUUAACGAAUUUACCUUUCAAAAGAAAAAAAAUUCAUAAAUUUUGAAAUACAAAAUGAAUGUGUUUUGAUAUUUUUAGGGCAAUGGUUUAGUGGUUUAAAUUUUUUUAUUUAAUAUGGUGAAUUUAAUUAUAAUUUUUUAUUUAUUAGAUAGUAGAAUAUCUCUUACCAUUUAUAAUUAAGUUUAGGUUAAAAUAUUUUAUUAAAUUUUUGGACUUUUCACAAAUUUUAAAUUUAAUCUGUUUACUUUUAUUCAAGAAUUUAAUCUCUCUGCAUAUAAAGGAGGUAAUUAUGGCAAGGGGAAUUACCAUGGCAGAGGUAGCGGAGGCUGAGGAAGAGAUGCUGGAUAUGCUGAAGAAAGAUAGAUGGCUGAGAAACAGAAAAACUUUAGGAACAAUAUUCAGUGUUAGAAGUAUGGGGAUGUGAAGGCAGAUUGUUGGAAAAGGGGAAAACAAGCAAAUUAUGCGGAAGAUGAUGAAGAGAUUUAAGUUAUUUAUGAGCUGUCUAGAUGACACCAUAGCUUCAACUAACAUUUGGCUUCAAGGGCGUAUAUCUCAUGAUGAAGAGAUUGUCUCUCUUCUUUUUUCUCAUAACAUAUUAUACGCCAUGAUAAUAAAUUUUGAUAUGCCUAUAAAUUUGAGUCUCUAUUAUUUGUAAUAUGACAUGUUUUAAUUAUUUUUUAUAUUAUGCCAUGAUUUGGUUCACUCCAUAAGUUAUAUAAAUUUAUUAUAAUAAUUCAAUUAAUUUAAUUUAGAUUAAUUUUACAUUUUUGUCCUAACUUUAGUUUUUAAUAAUUGAAUCAUCCCACCAUUAUAUUCAAUUACAAGUGUAAUACGAUUUUGCGUCAUCCCGCACCAUUAUUCUCAGUGUAAUUUUUGGUAGUGAGCAUUGAAGGGGAGAGAGAGAGAGAACAAAGAAAGAACUUACUGUAAUUUUUGGUGUAUGUAAUCGAUAACCCUCAAUGCUUAAAAUGAAAAAGAAAAUAGAAAACAAAGGUGGCAAAGUUAGUUACAAUGCCAGCUAAUUCGUUAUUGCUAUCCACAUGAAGAAUUUUAUAACCCCAACUACACGAUUUUAUGUCUACCAGCUCUCACUUUUCAUAUUUUUUGGCCAUUAGUUAUUCUAAGAUUUAACAUCACCGUUAAGCCAUGUUUAAACUCUUUUUCUUAUAUAAUAAUUAUAUUAUAUUUAAAAUUGAAAAAACUAACCAACCAAAUAUAUAUUAAUUAAUUAAUAGAAGUUUUUUGGUCAUCGAUUAAAAUAAAUCAAGAAAGACGUUGGAACCACCAACUUCUCUUUAAGAACAACACGAAUACAAGAAUCUAUGCACAACAAGUUCUAAAAUGUAUUAAGUAAAUUCAUCAUCAUGCCUUAAAAAAAGAAGAUCUCGAUAUAUCUGCUUUUGCCAAAGCAUCCGCCAUACCAUUACUUUGCCAGUGAAUAAUUGUGAACUGAAACUUAGCCAAUUGAGUGAUAUUAAUUAUAGAAAUGAUUCUUCUUGCAACCAUAGAUGAAACACCACUGAGACUAACAAACUUGGAGAAACUUGAUUUGAGUUUUAACAUCUUCAGGAACAACACAAUUUCGUUUCUUGAAGGACUUUCAAACUUAAAUUAGUCCUUGGAUAUGCAUAAUAACACUCUGCAAGGCUCAUUAAUAGAUAUUAAAGGUACUGAAGCUAUAACUUUUUUUUCUUGAUAAUUCUUUUUAAAAUAUUUCAUAAUUAAUUGUUCUGAAUUUGUACAUUCACUUCUCACAUUUCUGGGUUUUUUUUGUCCUCAACUAAAUUAAACUUAUGCAAAUUUCUUGAAUAUUUAAGUUAAGAGUUAACGUCAAAGUCAAGAGUUGAUAAGUAUUUUGUGGUCCAUUCAUAUCUUUAUUACAAAAAAAAAAUAUUCAAGAAAUUUGCAGCUAGUUGGAGUUUUGCAAUAAGGAAUUUCCACCAAGAGUUUUGGAGGAAUCAUAUCUCUAACAAAAGAAAGACCUUCAUUUGACUAAAUUUUUUAGUAUUUAUUUUAACUUCCAUUUUUAUUAAAAAAAAGGUAAAAAAAUAUGCCAAACAGGGUCUUUAGGUUACUUUUUUUAGAACUAUAUUAUGUUAUAGUACCAUAUAAGUUAGAGGAGCACAAGUUUAGAUUCAUCCAAUUUUUGAGGAAUUAAUUAAAUAUAUAUUAUUUUAAUAUUAUAGUGUAUAGGGGCAAAGUUAGAAAAAAAUUUUUGUGGAGUCGAAAUUAAAUUAUAGUUUUUACAAUAGUUAAAAAAAAUAAUUUCACUAUUUUAAAAGCAUAUAUGUUGUAAGCACUAAAUUUUUGUCCGACUAGAGUUUGUGUUUAAUUUUCAAAAUUUCAAAAAAAAAUUUUAAAAAUAAAAAUUGCAUUUUGACCCCUAAAUUUUUCCUAAAUUUCAUUUUGACCCUUAAACUUUCAUUAAAUUUCACUUAGACCCCUAAACUUUCAUUAAAUUUCAUUUUAAUCCUAAAUUUUCUAAAAAUUACAUUUAGCCCCAGAAGUUUUGCUGUAUUUGUGAUUUGGUCCUUCAGACACGUUACGUGAUUUGGGGCACCCACUUCCCAGAUUUUCAGGCCACAAUCACCCACUACCUGCAAACAAUGAGAAAGAGGACAAAAUUUGGAGCUUUUAAAAAGAAAAAAAGAGAAGAGGAAGAAAAAAAGGAGAGAAAAAAACAAGCAGAAUUUUUAGAGAAAAAUAAAAAAAGAAGCUCUCAAUCCGGCCGAUUGCCUCCACCGCCACCACGUCCGUUGCGCCACCACCAUUGUCAUCUCACCAUCGAGUCCUAAACGCAAACAAAACAAAAACAAAGAAAAAAGCAAGCAAAAGAGAAAAGGAGAAAGUGCAAAGAAGAAAAAGAAAAAGGAAAAGGGGAGAGAGCAUACCUCCGUGCACGCCAUUGUCGGCCGUCGCACCAGGCGGAGGGACAUCACCGGCGAGACAAAGGAGGUGCUGCUGAUCGGGGAGAAAGAAAGGAAGAAAAAGAAGAAGGAAAGAAGAAAAGGGGAAGAAGAAAGAAAGAAAAAAGAAAAAAAAACUAAAAAAAAUAGCAGGCCAUUUUGGUGGACCAGAUUCAGCCCAACAAGAAGCAGCCCAAACCAGUCCUUUGGCAGCCAAUAGCAACAGCCCAACAGCAAAAAAAAUAAUAAAAGGGGAGGCCCAAAAUUUAAGCCCAUAACUUUGGGCUUUUGGGUAAUUUUUUUUCUUUUUUUCUUUUUAAUCUAUUUUAUUUUAUUUUAUUUAUUUAAAUGGUGUUUUAUUUAAUUUAAAUUAGUAUGCUUUAAAACAGUUUUCAUAAAUAUUAUUAUGUCAUUUAAUUGCAUAUUUUUUUUAAAAAAUAAUAAUAUUUUAAUGCAUAAGGCAACGAACCGAUUUAGCAUCGAGUCAUCGAAUUCAUCGCUAUGUUGGAUGGAUAUCGAUAGCUCGUGUUAAAUUCGGGACACCCUUUUAAAAAUAAAAAUAUUCAAAAAUCCUCGUAUUUUAAUAAAAAUUCUCGUGUUUUAUUAGAAUCCCGAUUAAAUAUUAAAUUGAAUUGAGUUAACAUUAAUUCGAUGGUUUCAUCGCCAUAUCGGGAUGAAUAUCAUCGAUUCGUGUUAAAUACGGUAUUUUUUAAAGAAAAAUUGUGUUUCAAAAAUUUUCAUGUCUUCAAAAUUUCUCGUGUUUCGUAUUUUAUCAAAAAAUUUAUGUUUUCAAAAACAAAUUUUCUGUUUUAAAAAUUUUCGUGUUUCAAAAAGAAGAUUCGUGUUUUCAAAAAUAAAAAUAAAAAAUCUCGUGUUUUAAAUUCUUCGUGUUUUUUAAAAAAAAAUUUUGUGUUUCUAAAAUUCUUGUAUUUUAAAAUUUUCGUGUUUUCAAAAAAGAAAAAGUUGUUGCGCUUUAAAAUUCUCGUGUUCAAUCGGAUCACGACUAAUAUUAAAUUGAACUCGUAUUUUUGAAAAUGAAGACAAUGCGCGUUUAACGAGAUACCAAUUUUGGGCGUUGCGAGGGUGCUAAUACCUUCCUCGCGCGUAACCGACUCCCGGACCCUAAUUUUCUCUGGAUUUUUACGUGGACCUAAAAUUACCUCUUUUUUAGAAAAGUUUAAAAAUAAAUUUUUCUUCUAAAAAGAGAAUUUUAUAGGUGUCCGAUCACACCUAGAAAAAAUAUCGGUGGCGACUCCUUUUUCAAAUAAAAUCGAGAUUCAGUUUUCAAAUUUACAAUAAUUACUUCGACUAGCGCCCGUGCCGAAAUUUUUAGGUCGCUACAGCUGGCGACUCCGCUGGGGAACCUUUUUGAGAGUCGAGUCGAAUUAAACUCGCGUUGUCAAAAUUUUCAAAGUUUCUUGUUCAAAUUAACAUUUAGUCGUGAUCCUUAAAUUUUUUGUUUUCAAAAAAAUCAUGCAUUUGCAUCGUGUUGUAUAUAUUCUAACUUGUUUUAUCAGGUUGUUUUUCAGCUUUAAAUUUUUGCGGUUUUAGUUUUGGUUUAGUUUUUCUAAAUAAAACGUAAAGGUUUACAAGUUUCUCCCCACACACCGUGCACGUGCAUUUAUGUUGCAUAACAUGAGCUCUAUACCCGGGCUCUGUCCCUGUUAAGAGAAAGUAAAUGCUACGCCUUCGUGAGUUAACUCGUUCCUCCGCACAGGCUAGUGAAUACUUUCGGGUUACAUAUGACUUAUGCUUUCGUGAGUUAACUUGUCCCUCCGCAUAGGCAUAAGUAAAUGUAAUCCCUCGAAUUGAUCUCGUAAGCCUAUGAUGGGCCAUGACCGAGGCUCUGUACUAAUCUUAGUAGAUGACAGUGCAGACGAUUCGAGUACCCACCUAGAACCAAAACCGCAUAUAGUGAACCAUACGAGCUAUCCAAUUAGAGUCAUGCCGAACCUCUGUCCGCUUAUAGUCAUCAAAAUAAGUACACGGGGAAAAUGCCUUUUGCCUUUCAUUUACACUGUUUAUGCAAAAUAAUUGGAUUGGGUAGUUUAAUUUGUUUUUCAAAUUAUAUUUGUUGUGUUUACUAACCAAGUUUGUUUGUUUUUACUUUUAUUUUCAUCAUGCAUCAUAGGCAUCAUAUUAGGAAGGUGUUGAUUAAAAGUUGGUUGCCAAAAAACGGGUUUCUGAUGGAAGAGUCAAUUACACAAAUAACCGAGAAGAAUGCCGUGGUUCGGGACUGGUCUCUAAAAAUUCAGAGAGAAAAGAGGGAUAGUCUAGUGGAAGGGUGUGUCACUAAUUUGCCCGAACAUAUAACUGUAAAUGUUCGCCAAAAUAACUUUGAGGAUUUGGUUCAAAUUUGGAAUCAGUGGGAUUCAGACACUAGAGACAUUUUCACUCAGAGGUAUGGAGAUAUAGCUCACCUGAUCAUCAUCCAUGUAGACGAACAGUUGAUUCAAGCCAUGGUUCGGUUCUGGGACCCAGCUUAUCAGUGUUUCACCUUCAAUCAAGAAGACAUGACUCCAACCAUAGAAGAGUAUGCUGCUUUACUCCGCAUCGACAAUGUACAAUUCGGCAAAAUAUAUGUGAAGGAGCCUAAACCGAUGACCUUCAAGAAAAAGUUAGUGAGACUGACAGACAUGACUGAUGCAUGGGCCGAAAAACAGAUAAAGAAGAAGAAUGAAACCAUUUGCAUUCCAUGGUCCUCCCUACGAGAUUUGGCUCUGAACCAUCCCAACAUGCUGAAAAGGGUAAAUCUAUUCGCUUUGGCCAUUUACGGUUUGGUCAUUUUCCCAAAAGUUCUCGGACAUCUCGAAGUUGCAGUAGUUGAUUUCUUCGAAAGGUUAAAACAAGGAAUCAACCCUGUCCCGACCAUCCUAGCCGAGACCUUCAGGUCCCUGAGUAGUUGUCGAAAAAAAGGGGAGGGACGAUUUAUCAGAUGCGCGCAGUUGCUCAAUGUUUGGAUUUUGAGUCACUUCUGGAAGGUAGAGCGCACUCCGUUCCAUAUGUUUUCUAAAACAUUCUCCCCGCUAGAAGCUUACCUCAAUAAAGAAUGGCCGAAGGAAGUCACCGAGCAACAUUGGGUAUCAGUUUUUCAAAAUCUUCGCACCGAGAAUAUAACAUGGAGAGCACCCUGGAUCCGUCCUUCAGUUCUGCUAUACAAAUGUGGAAGCCAAGAUUGGGUACCUCUACUCGGGUUUUGGGGAGGAGUUGGAUAUGCUCCGCUAUUAGUCCAAAGGCAAUUUUCUUCGCGACAAUUCCUCCCCGCAACUGGAGGAUUAGCACAGUUCGAGUUCGCUUUUGCGGGUGAAGGAUAUAUGAAGAGAGUCCGAGACACUGCAAAGUAUUGGAAGGAAAUUCAUUUCAUGGAAUUAGCUUUGUAUGUUGAUACCCUUACCCAAGAUUACGACAUAUGGAGGAAGCAACGGGUAAAUAGUCAGCAAAUCUCAUCAACAAACUACACCAUCCAGAAUCCUUUCUCGGAGAAAACGCCGUCUGAGCUAGAAAUGGCAAGACAAGAAUUCGAACGAGAAAAGGCCAAGAUGUCUCGGGACCUUAGUGCCCUUCAAGAAGAAAACUAUCAACUGAAGAUUGAAGUUCAGGUUGAAAGGUCCAGGACUGAAAAGUACAAAAAGAAGCCGAGAUUGUGAGAAACGACUUAAGGGACCUUCAUUUGGAAAACAAGAAAUUAAGAAACACUAUAAAGAAUAGCGGGUUGGGUAAGUCGACAGCAGAAUGGAAGGAAGAAAUUAGCAAUAUCAAGGGAGGAAUGGAGUUUUGGAAGGGAAAAGUAAAGAAAGAGGAGGAAAAGGCUGCGCGCGCUGUGAUAGAGUUAAGAAGGAAGAACGACGAGUAUGAAAUAGUGACUGCAAAAUUUGCGAAUAGUCAGUCUGAAUAUCAAGAAUUAAAAAGGAAAGCACGAGAUCUAGAAAAUAUGCUGCAAUCUCGUCAACAACAAUUAGAUAACCUCCUGAAGGCUCUAGAGGAAAAGCAUGAUCAGUACGAUAGGGACAUUCAGGCGUAUGAAGGAACUCUCAAAGAAAAAGAAAUGCAACUCGACUUCUUGAUCAAUGAAAUUCGUAAAGCGGCUAUGCAAGUUGUUCAAUUAUCAGAUGAAGCCGAAGUUAUCAGUUGCCAAUUCCCUCCGAGCCAAAGAUCGAGCAUAUCAGAGUUUUUAGAGCAAGUGAAUAAACAAGGCAAUGUGGCUAGGAAAUUUGUGUAACUGUUGGAAAAAUGAGAACUUUGUGUAAUAGACUAUGUUGAUAAAUGAAAUGCCUAAAUAUGGGGCUAUCUUGAAAUCAACACCAAAUUCUUGCAUGUUUACUCAUAACUAACAUUUAUGCAUCAUUUAUUCUUUGGACAUUCAUCCAUUCAUAUACUCAUUCAUUCAUUCAUCACGAGUACAUAUCACCAUAAUCAUCCACCGAAACUAAAGAACCGUAUAAUCCGCAGUUGCAAGAUUUCAAAUCUGGAACCACGCAAUUCCUAUAAAACGCGCCGACAAGCUAGAGUAAUGGAGGAUGAAUUCAAUGAGAGAAUUGAAAGGAUGGAAAGGGCUCAAAAGGAAUUACAAGAGUAACUGGCCAAAUCGCAGCAAGAGACGAGAGACCUAAUGGUGAGAUCUCGAGAGGAAUCACUCGAGCAAAGAGAUCAGAUGGCUAAAAUGAUGGAGAUGAUGACAACUUUGGUCAAAGGAAAAGGACCCAUGCAGAACUCCGAUGUUAUGGAACCUCGGUCAAGAAUUCACCAUGAUCAGGAUCCACUUUAUCCCCCAGGAUUUACUCCACCUCAUGUCCACGCAAUACAACGAGGAUACCCCCAAAGGGAACCUACAGGCCUAGAACAACAUCUUGCUCCGCCCACUAAUUUGGGGCAAGGAAUGUUAGCGUCGAACCUUGGGGCUAGUCCUGCUAAUCCACUAGUUCCAGAUCUGGAUGACCUAGCAGAGGCAGCCAAGUUGAAAUUGGAUAACCAUGACGCAAAAUAUAGGAGUCUAGAGGAAAGACUCAAAGCAAUAGAAGGCACUGAAGUCUUCUCCGCACUAGGUGCCAAGGAACUCAGUUUGGUACCUGAUCUAAUUUUGCCUCCGAAGUUCAAAGUGCCUGAUUUUGAGAAAUAUGAUGGGACAAGGUGCCCAAAAGCACAUCUCAUUAUGUUCUGUCAAAAAAUAACCGGUUAUGUGAACGAGGAUAAGCUACUCAUACAUUGCUUUCAAGAUAGUCUAACAGGGUCAGCUCUUCGGUGGUACAAUCAACUUAGUAGAGAAAAGAUUCGAUCCUGGAAGGACUUGGCGUCAGCAUUUUGCGAACAGUACAAGCAUGUAUCGGAUAUGGUGCCAGACCGUAUGACCUUGCAAAUGAUGGAGAAAAAGCCAUCAGAGACCUUUAGACAGUAUGCGCAGAGAUGGAGAGACGUCUCAGCUCAAGUGGAACCCCCACUAACAAAAACGGAGAUAACCGUUCUCUUUAUCAAUACUUUAAAGGCACCGUUUUAUGACAAAUUAGUGGGAAGUGCCACGAAAGAUUUCGCGGAUAUUGUAAUAUCCGGUGAACUCAUAGAGAACGCCGUCAAGAGCGGUAGAAUGGAAGGAUCAGAAGGCUCAAGAAAAGCAGCACCCUUAAGGAAGAAAGAGCCAGAAGCCCUCAUGGUGGGAACUGGGAGUCGUUACAUUCCCAAUUCAUAUCCUAAUCAACCCCGACCUCGAGAUUAUCCACCCUCGAGUUUCCAUUAUCCCCCUCAAACCCCUUGCUACCAAGCACCACAUCCGUCCUGCCCCGUAUACGCUACGAACAACCAAAGACCCGUCACCACUUUCCCACAAAACACGGUACCCACCCAAAGCCAACCCAGAAACGAACCAAGACCAUCAAGGCAUAAUCCUGAGAGACCGCAAUUUACCCCCAUCCCUGUGUCGUAUGGGGAAUUGUACCCAAAACUUUUAGAAAAAUAGCUAAUUUCUCCCCAUUACAUGGCACCCCUUAAACCUCCAUACCCAAAGUGGUACGAUCCAAACGCUAGUUGUGCAUACCACGCAGGGAACCAAGGGCACUCUACUGAGAACUGUCUCACUUUCAAAAGGAGAGUUCAAGGACUCAUUGAUGCGGGUAUCCUACGAUUCGAUAGUGCUAGUAAAGCCACGGAGAACCCGUUCCCUAACCAUACCGAAGGGAAUGUGAGCACAGUGGGGAAAGAGGAUGAAUGGAAGGUCAGAAGAUGUGUAUCAGAAAUAAGGACGCCUCUGCAGAAAAUCUGGGAGGUAUUGGUUAAGAAAGGAUUGCUCUGUCACUCUGAUAGAAUUUUUGGAGAAGAAGGUCAAAGUUUUUGCAAUUUUCAUGGGAUUGUUGGGCACGACAUUCAGUCGUGCGAGGACUUUAAAAGGUUACUUCAAGACUGGAUGAAUAAUAAAGAGAUCAAGGUCCUUAACAAGAGUGAAGAUGCCAACGAAAGAGAAGUAUGUGUCUCUGAUAGCCAAUCACCAGGUCCCCCUUAUAGUGCUGAUCGACCGUUGGUAAUUUAUUACGACGCGAUGAGAGAGCCCUUGAAACCACAGAUGGUAAUUGAAGUACCAUCUCCUUUCCCGUAUAAGGACAACAAAACAGUACCGUGGAGAUAUGAUGUUAAUAUCGUUACACCGGAAGUUGAAAAGUCCAAAGCCAUAAUUGAAGAUGUUGGGGAGGUAGGUCAUUUUACUCGAAGUGGACGAUGUUAUUCUAAAGAAGUUGAAUCGGUAAAGAAAAGUAGCGACUCGAAGCAAAAAGGAAAAGCAGUGAUGCACAAGGUCGAAGUCGAGCAAGAAAUUCCACCCGUGCAAGAAACUAAAAAGCUUGUGAAUGAGGAAGAAGCUCAAGAAUUCUUGAAAUUUAUUAAGCACAGUGAAUAUAGUGUGGUGGAACAAUUGAGCAAGCAGCCAGCACGAAUCUCAGUUCUAUCUCUACUGUUAAAUUCAGAGCCACACCAGAACGCUUUAUUGAAGGUGUUAAAUCAAGCUUACGUGGCCAACAACAUAUCUGUCGAAAAGCUUGAUAGGUGGGUAAACAAUCUGAAUGCGGACAACUUCAUCUCUUUUAGUGAUGAUGAGAUACCGCUAAAUGGUAGAGGUUCGGUGAAAGCGCUGCAUAUCACGACCCGCUGCAAGGGCUACAUAAUACCGAACGUACUCAUCGAUAAUGGGUCAGCGUUAAAUGUUAUGCCAUUGGCUACACUUUCCAAAAUACCGAUGGAUUUGUCCUACUUAAAGCCCUGUCAUUCCAUGGUAAGGGCAUUCGACGGGACGAAGUGCAAAGUCAUGGGAAAGAUCGAAAUCCCUUUGGAAGUGGGCCCCUACAUCUAUGAGGUCGAAUUUCAAGUUAUGGACAUUACACCCUCUUAUAACUGCCUUUUGGGAAGACCUUGGAUUCAUUCUGCAGCAGCAGUCCCAUCAUCCCUCCAUCAAAAAGUGAAAUUCAUCAUGGAUGGCUGUUUGGUCACAGUCGAGGGCGAAGAAGACAUUAUCGCAUCUAUCUCUGUUGAUGCGCCAUACCUGGAAGUAAGCAAGGACGUAGUGGAAUGUUCCUUUCGAUCCCUUGAAUUCAUCAAUGCCACUUUCGUCGCUGAGGGAAAUAGAAUUUCGAUGUCAAAACUGUCGAGAAAUACCAGAAUGGGUGUCAAGUUGACCGUAGGAAGGGGAGCUUGUGCGAGAAGAGGUUUAGGGAGACAUAUGCAAGGAAUAGUGAGGGCUUUAAAGCCAGUGCACCACAAGGCCUGAUACGGUUUGGGGUUCCAGCCUGACAUGCGCCAAAGAAGAAGACAGUGGAAGAAGGAUCAAGAAAGAAGAAUUGCAAGAACUUUGGGCCGAGAACCAGAAUGGGAACCAAUAGAGUACCCUCCUUUGUCAAAAACAUUUACAUCUGCGGGAAUGAUGUACCCUGGACAAGAGGAUCCACGAAACAUGCUGGGAUUAAUUGAAAAGGAUUUUCAGAAUGUUAGUAUAAAUGUCAUUGACAAAGAAGCUGGUGCAAGUAAAGAUGUCUCGAGGAUACGCCAUUGCCCUCCUGGUUUCAUGUUGAACAAUUGGAUAGCUGAGGAGCUUCUUGUAGUUUAUAAGCCUUCAGAGUAAUGCUAAACAUCAACCUUCUAUUGUGUCCUUAGAUAUAAUAGAGUUCUUUUGUAAGAGUUUGCAUUCGCUCUUUAUCAUUUAAAUGAAUAUCAAUGAAGAUGCAUUUUGUCACGAUUUUUCGCAUUAUCACUAAUUUCAUAAUCAUUUUCUCAUUUCAUAGCCUAUCCUUACAUUUGCCUCAUUGCCAUGACAUAAAAUUUUGUUUGUUGUUUCCAAUACUUGGAUGUCCCCCGAUAGCUUCCUUUUCCAUUCAACUUUCAGGUGCUCAGAUAUUGACGACAUGAAUAAGCCCGUUACGAAUCUUGAAAUUGAUUUUGAGAAGGCUGUUUGCUUAGGAGAAUUUGAAGCCGAAGAAAAUGCUGAAGAUUAUGUCUCGUCUCUUGAAUUGUUAAGAAUGGUGGAACAAGAGGAUAAACAGGUUCUGCCUCAUGAAGAAUCUGUAGAAACAAUAAAUUUGGGCACUGAAGAGAGGAAACAAGAAGUGAAGAUUGGGACUUCUAUUUCAGAAAGUACCAGACGUAGUUUGAUCACUUUACUCCGCGAAUACAAAGAUGUUUUCGCGUGGUCAUACCAGGACAUGCCAGGGCUAGAUGAAGAUUUAGUGGUCCAUAAGCUCCCAUUAAAGCCAGAAUGCAAGCCCAUCCAGCAAAAAUUAAGACGGAUGAGGCCCGAAAUCCUGUUGAAAAUAAAAGAGGAAGUCAAGAAGCAAUUUGACGCUGGCUUCCUACAAGCCUCCAAAUAUCCAGAAUGGGUGGCUAACAUAGUCCCGGUACCAAAGAAAGAUGGAAAAGUACGAAUGUGCGUGGAUUACCGUGACCUGAAUCGAGCAAGCCCAAAAGAUAAUUUUCCCUUGCCACAUAUUGACACGUUGGUGGACAACACAGCAAAACAUUCAUUGUUUUCUUUCAUGGAUGGAUUCUCGGGGUAUAAUCAGAUCAAGAUGGCUCCUGAGGAUAUGGAGAAAACUACCUUCAUAACAAUGUGGGGAACGUUCUGCUACAAGGUGAUGCCAUUCGGGUUAAAGAAUGCUGGGGCAACAUAUCAGAGGGCUAUGGUGACAUUAUUCCAUGACAUGAUGCAUAAGGAAAUAGAGGUCUACGUCGAUGAUAUGAUUGCUAAAUCUCGAGGAGAAGAAGAGCAUGUAAUGAACCUCAAGAAGUUGUUCGAAAGGCUGAGAAAGUUUCAGCUAAAGCUUAAUCCAGCCAAAUGUACAUUCGGGGCUACCUCGGGAAAGUUGCUAGGCUUCAUUGUCAGUGAAAGAGGUAUCGAAGUUGAUCCAGAUAAAAUAAAAGGCAUCCAAGAAUUACCACAUCCGCCACGCAAAAGGAAGUUAGAGGAUUUUUAGGGAGAUUAAAUUACAUCGCCCGAUUUAUCGCUCAACUUACCAACCAAUGCGACCCAAUCUUUCGGCUUCUUCGAAAACAUAGCCCGGGAGAAUGGAACGAGGAAUGCCAAGUGACCUUUGAUAAGAUAAAACAAUAUUUGUCCAGUCCUCCAGUGCUAGUACCGCCAACUCCGGGAAGACCAUUAAUUUUGUAUCUGACAGUGUUCGAAAGUUCAAUGGGUUACGUACUGGGACAACAUGACGAGUCAGGAAAGAAAGAAAAGGCGAUCUACUACCUCAGCAAAAAGUUCACUGAAUAUGAGGCAAAAUAUUCGUCCGUUGAGAAAUAUUGUUGCGCUCUGGUUUGGGUAGCUCGGAGACUCAAACAAUAUAUGUUGUAUCACACGACAUGGCUAAUUUCAAAGCUGGACCCAAUAAAAUACAUGAUGGAAUCGCCGGCACUAUCAGGAAGAAUGGCACGAUGGUAGCUCCUCCUUUCGAAAUAUGACAUUGCCUAUGUAAGUCAGAAGUCAAUAAAAGGGAGCGCAAUAGCUGACUUCUUAACAACUCGAACGACAGAGGAAUAUGAGCCUUUAAGAUUCGAUUUCCCAGACGAAGACUUAAUGUGCAUCACAGAAAUAGAAUCCGAGUCAUCAAAAGAGAAGUCAUGGAAGAUGUUCUUUGAUGGUGCGUCAAAUGCUUUAGGGCAUGGAAUUGGAGCAAUCCUGGUAUCACCAGACGGGAAUCAUUAUCCGUUCACUGCAAGACUGAACUUCUUCUGUACCAAUAAUAUCGCAGAAUAUGAGGCCUGUAUCAUGGGGUUUCGUGCAGCUAUCGAACGAAACAUCGAGAUCUUAGAGGUGUACGGGGACUCAGCCCUAGUGAUUUACCAAAUCCGUGGAGAAUGGGAAGUGAGGGACUCAAAAUUGAUUAAGUACAGCGAUUUAGUGGCUGGAUUGAUCAAGGAAUUCAAAGAAAUAACUUUUCAUUACUUCCCACGAGAAGAGAACCAACUGGCUGAUGCCCUAGCCACUUUGGCUUCAAUGUUCAAAGCAAGUAGAGAAGCAGAAAUAAUGCCCCUCAAAAUGAGCAUAUACGAGGUCCCUGCACACUGUUGUAGCAUUAAGAAAGAAGUAGACGGACGGCCUUGGUUUCAUGAUAUCUUAGAAUAUAUCAAGAAUCAAAGGUAUCCCGAACAAGUAAAUGAGAACGAUAAAAGAACAAUUAGAAGAAUGGCAGCGGGAUUUGUUCUUGAUGGGGAUAUCCUGUAUAAAAGAGGAAAGGAUCAGAUGCUUUUGAGAUGUGUGGAUGAUGUUGAAGCCAGAAAAAUACUUGAAGAGGUCCAUGAGGGAGUUUGCGGAACGCAUGCCAAUGGUUUCAAUAUGGCCAGAAAGAUCAUGAGACUCGGUUAUUAUUGGCUGACAAUGGAAAGUGACUGCAUCAAUUUUGCCAGAAAAUGCCACAAAUGUCAAAUCUACGGCGAUAAAAUUCAUGUAGCCCCUUCACCCCUUCAUGUCAUGACUUCUCCGUGGCCUUUUUCUAUGUGGGGCAUGGAUGUCAUAGGGCCAAUUUCUCCAAAAGCUUCAAAUGGACAUCGAUUCAUUUUUGUGGUUAUCGAUUACUUCACAAAAUGGAUUGAAGCCGCUUCAUUUGCCAAUGUGACGAAGACUGCAGUGUGCAAGUUUUUGAAAAAGGAAAUCAUUUACCGAUAUGGUUUGCCUGAAAGAAUCAUCUCAGAUAAUGCCACGAAUCUGAACAAUAAGAUGAUGAAAGAAGUGUGUGAGCAGUUUCAAAUAAAGCAUCAUAAUUCCUCGCCCUAUCGCCCAAAGAUGAACGGGGCUGUUGAAGCAGCUAACAAGAACAUUAAGAGGAUCAUUGGGAAAAUGACUGAGACAUAUAAAGAUUGGCACGAGAAACUUCCAUUUGCUUUGUUUGCAUAUCGUACAUCUGUGCGAACAUCUACGGGAGCAACUCCUUUCUCUCUAGUCUAUGGAAUGGAAGCUGUGCUACCUAUCGAGGUUGAGAUCCCCUCUCUGUGAGUAUUGAUGGAAUCAAAGUUAGAAGAAGCAGAAUGGGUUCGAGCUCGAUAUGAUCAGUUGAACCUCAUUGAAGAAAAACGUCUAAGGGCAAUUUGUCAUGGGCAAAUGUACCAAAAGAGAAUGAUCGCAGCCCAUGACAAGAAGGUACGACAAAGAGAGUUCCAUGAAGGAGAACUCGUUCUGAGAAAGAUUCUCCCAAUACAAAAAGACCUGCGAGGAAAAUGGGCACCAAAUUGGGAAGGACCAUACGUUGUAAAAAAGGCAUUCUCGGGAGGAGCUUUAAUCCUUACCAAGAUGGAUGGGAAGGAGUUACCGAAUCUGGUGAAUUCGGAUGCGGUGAAGAAAUAUUAUGCUUAAGAUGAAAACCCGAAAAGGGCAUCUUAAAAAAAAAGGGUGAAAACCCGAAAAAGGUGUCUUGAUUAGUACAAAAAGAUUAGGAUGAAAACCCGAGAGGGCGUCCUAAUGAAACAAACCUGGCGGUCAAACGAUAGGUCAAGUAGUGAGACUACAGUAUUUGAAGCACUUCUGAAAGCUCGAAAUUUUCUACGCAAGAAGCCAUGCUCGAAAAGAUAAUUGAUUGAGGAACGUAGAAGAGUUCAUGUGUUGAAUAUCUAGAGCAUUAGUAUCCGUUGAAUACGACCUUUUCUUUCUUUUUGACAUUUUUACUCUCAUUGGUUAACUUUCUUUGUUUGCCACACUUGAAAUAAAGGAAUAUGAGAUAUCCUUUGUGUCCCUACCUGACCAUUUUCAUGCAUCUCAUUAUGUGUUUAUUUAAUGAUAAAUAGUGAAAUGACAUACUCUAAACAAAAGAAAUGUCAAGCAUUACCCGGAUAAGAAUUUGAUAAGUGCAAGAUCUUCAAAGCAAGAACAAAGUUUAACCAAGGGCAAAAGGGUGAUAUCUGAGAAACGUCGAUUACUCGUAAAGCUCGAAGACAGGUAUGAGGCCUGAAGAGAAGGUCGAGAAUCAAAGCAAUGAACGCAGAUCCUCAAAAAUCAUGGCAAAAAUGACAUACGACCAAUAUGCUUAAGGAGCACUGCAUAAUCAUGUAGGCAUAAAGGCAUUUAAGACAAACAUGUGCAUAUCAUGAUGACUUCAUGCAUGGCAUAUACAGGUAAUCCAGUAAAGCAAGAAAUCUUGAAUCGCACAGAAUCAAAGGAAAAGAUACCCGAGUUCUACCAAAGGACUGGUUUUGGUAUUUUGAUGUUUAAUAUUCAUGCUUUCCAAGGAAAAUCAACUCAUAUUGCGAGAAAUGAGUUGAGCCUCAAGACACGUUGAGCUAUUUUUAAUUUUUUUAAAAAUCAACUCAUAUUGCGAGAAGUGAGUUGAGCCUCGGGGCACGCCGAGGUAUUUUUAGUUUAUGUUUUAAAUUGACUCAUAUUGCGAGAGGUGAGUUAAGCCUUUUAAUUUUUGUUUCUCAAAAUUCAACUCAUAUUGCGAGAAAUGAGUUGAGCCUCAAGACACGUUGAGGUAAUUUCAAUUUUUGUUUUCAAAAUUCAACUCAUAUUGCGAGAAAUGAGUUGAGCCUCAAGACACGUUGAGGUAAUUUCAAUUUUUGUUUUCAAAAUUCAACUCAUAUUGCGAGAAAUGAGUUGAGCCUCAAGACACAUUGAGGUAUUUUCAAUUUUUGCUUUUCAAAAUUCAACUCAUAUUGCGAGAAAUGAGUUGAGCCUUAAGACACGUUGAGGUAAUUUCAAUUUUUGUUUUCAAAAUUCAACUCAUAUUGCGAGAAAUGAGUUGAGCCUCAAGACACGUUGAGGUAAUUUCAAUUUUUGUUUUCAAAAUUCAACUCAUAUUCCGAGAAAUGAGUUGAGCCUCAAGACACGUUGAGGUAAUUUCAAUUUUUGUUUUCAAAAUUCAACUCAUAUUGCGAGAAAUGAGUUGAGCCUCAAGACACAUUGAGGUAUUUUCAAUUUUUGCUUUUCAAAAUUCAACUCAUAUUGCGAGAAAUGAGUUGAGCCUCAAGACACGUUAAGGUAAUUUCAAUUUCUGUUUUUAAAAUUCAACUCAUAUUGCGAGAAAUGAGUUGAGCCUCAAGACACGUUGAGGUAAUUUUCAAUUUCUGCUUCUCAAAAUUCAACUCAUAUUGCGAGAAAUGAGUUGAGCCUCAAGACACGUUGAGGUAAUUUCAAUUUUUGUUUUCAAAAUUCAACUCAUAUUGCGAGAAAUGAGUUGAGCCUCAAGACACGUUGAGGUAAUUUCAAUUUUUGUUUUCAAAAUUCAACUCAUAUUGCGAGAAAUGAGUUGAGCCUCAAGACACGUUGAGGUAAUUUCAAUUUUUGUUUUCAAAAUUCAACUCAUAUUGCGAGAAAUGAGUUGAGCCUCAAGACACAUUGAGGUAUUUCCAAUUUUUGCUUUUCAAAAUUCAACUCAUAUUGCGAGAAAUGAGUUGAGCCUCAAGACACGUUGAGGUAAUUUCAAUUUCUGUUUUCAAAAUUCAACUCAUAUUGCGAGAAAUGAGUUGAGCCUCAAGACACGUUGAGGUAUUUUCAAUUUCUGCUUCUCAAAAUUCAAUUCAUAUUGCGAGAAAUGAGUUGAGCUUCAAGACACGCUGAGGUAAUUUCAAUUUCUGUUGUUAAAAAAAAAUCAACUCAUAUUGCGAGAAAUUAGUUGAGCCUCAGGACAUGCUGAGGUAAUUUCAAUUUCUGUUUUCAAAAUUCAACUCAUAUUGCGAGAAAUGAGUUGAGCCUCAAGACACGUUGAGGUAUUUUCAAUUUCUGCUUUUCAAAAUUCAACUCAUAUUGUGAGAAAUGAGUUGAGCCUCAAGACACGUUGAGGUAUUUUCAAUUUCUGUUUUUCAAAAAUCAACUCAUAUUGCGAGAGGUGAGUUGAGACUUUUAAUUUCUAUUUUUCUAAAACCAACUCAUAUUGCGAGAGGUGAGUUGAGCCUUUUUCUGUUUUUCAAAAAUCAACUCAUAUUGCGAGAGGUGAGUUGAGCCUUUUAAUUUCUGAUUUUCAAAAAUCAACUCAUAUUGCGAGAGGUGAGUUGAGCCUUUUAAUUUCUGUUUUUCAAAAAUUAACUCAUAUUGCGAGAGGUGAGUUGAGCCUUUUAAUUUCUAUUUUUCAAAAACCAACUCAUAUUGCGAGAGGUGAGUUGAGCCUUUUUCUAUUUUUCAAAAAUCAACUCAUAUUGCGAGAGGUAAGUUGUGCCUUUUGCAAAUUCUGUUUUCAAAAAUCAACUCAUAUUGCGAGAAGUGAGUUGAGCCUUGGCUCACGUGCUGAGCUAUUUUCAAUUUCUAUUUUUAAUGUCUAGUUUUAANNNNNNNNNNNNNNNNNNNNNNNNNNNNNNNNNNNNNNNNNNNNNNNNNNNNNNNNNNNNNNNNNNNNNNNNNNNNNNNNNNNNNNNNNNNNNNNNNNNNNNNNNNNNNNNNNNNNNNNNNNNNNNNNNNNNNNNNNNNNNNNNNNNNNNNNNNNNNNNNNNNNNNNNNNNNNNNNNNNNNNNNNNNNNNNNNNNNNNNNNNNNNNNNNNNNNNNNNNNNNNNNNNNNNNNNNNNNNNNNNNNNNNNNNNNNNNNNNNNNNNNNNNNNNNNNNNNNNNNNNNNNNNNNNNNNNNNNNNNNNNNNNNNNNNNNNNNNNNNNNNNNNNNNNNNNNNNNNNNNNNNNNNNNNNNNNNNNNNNNNNNNNNNNNNNNNNNNNNNNNNNNNNNNNNNNNNNNNNNNNNNNNNNNNNNNNNNNNNNNNNNNNNNNNNNNNNNNNNNNNNNNNNNNNNNNNNNNNNNNNNNNNNNNNNNNNNNNNNNNNNNNNNNNNNNNNNNNNNNNUAGAUAAUGUGAAUGUAUUUAGAGGUGCUUAUAUAGUAUUCAAAACUAUCAUAUAAAUUCAAUUUUCAACCAUAUAUAAUUGACAUUAUGGGAGUUGGAAAAUGAUAGGGGGCACUAUAGCAAAUGUUAUAGUUGUAUAAAAUUAGGACUUUGUGAUGGAAUAGUUUAGGGCAUAUUGUUUGAAUAUUCCAUAAACAUUAAAAAAAAAACCAAAUUUGUAAUGGAAUAUAAGAUUGGGUUUUCUUUUAUUAUCAAUUUAAAGCCAUGAGAAUCUUUAUUAUUUAAAAAUUAAUGUAAUUGUUAAAUUGAAAUUGCAGGGGAAUUUCAAAUAGGAGAAAAUAUAAAAGAAAUGGAUCCAAAAACAGUGGGAAGUAGUGUUGUAAAAUAUGGGAGGUGGAGAUUUGGAAUGACAAAGAAAGCAAUGGGGCAUUCAUUAGUUUAUAGCCAACUUUAUCCAUUUAAAGGCCUCCAAAAUUAUACCUCUGGAAUUAUUCACCAUGUUCGCCUCACUGGUAUUUCUCACCAUUUCUUCCCUUAUUUAUCUUCUGCAAAUUUGUUUUCUUACCAUUUCUUUCGCAUUAAUACUAACUUUUUUAAUUUACAAUAUGGUAGCCAAUACUGUUUCGGUAUUAGUAAUAUUAGUCGAUACAUAUCACUUUUAAGGGUGAGUUUAAAGGGAUAGGAACAAUUCCGUGUGUUGACUUAAUAGUCAGGGUGUUCACCGUUCUAGGUAUGGUUUGAGUUCAAGUUAAGUUGUGCUAGUCACGUUACUGUUAGGGUUUUGCCCUUCUCUUGUAAUUCAGCAAAAAGAAAUUAAUAUAUGGUGAAAUUGCACUUUAACUCCUCCAAAAAUGAAAAUAUUUAUAUUUAAUUCCUUCAACAAUAAUGAAAUCGUAAGUUAAUGCAAGAUAAAUGACACUUUAACUUAACAAUCUCCGCUCCCCUUAAAAAAAAAAUCCUAACUUCACCCUUAAUCAUCUUGAUUUUAGAUUGGUACCAAGUAGAUUAAAUUUUGUUCUUAUUAAAACAUUGGUGUGUUUCCUUCUGUUUCAGCUAAUACCAACUUAUACCGAUAUGUACCAAACAAUAUUGGUAGGACUGAGAAAGAAAUCAAAAAAUUGAACUAAUUUUUAUUUAUAAUUUUAUUUAUAAUUUAAAAAUAAAAAUAUAUUUAAACAGUGACAAUAACUCAAAUUUUAUAUAAAAACUAUUUAAAAAUAUUAUCAUAUAAGAGUUAUUAAUUUAUUUGAAAAUUAGUUUCUUUUAAAAAUAUUUAUGAAUAUUUUUAAAAAUUUUACAAAAUAAUAUCCAAAAUUCAUAGAAUAAUUUAUCAAGAUAAGUUCAAACACCCAAAAUUAAUAGAUCUUGAACCAAAUAAAUCCAACUAAAAUAAACCCAAAAUUAAUAGACCGAGAAUCAAAUUAUCAUAGAAGAUAUACCAUACACACUAAUACCCAUAAUUACCCAAUAAUUCUUCUCACACUUUGCAGGUUUAAAACCCAACACCUUCUAUUACUAUCAAUGUGGAGACCCUUCAAUCCCAGCAAUGAGCGAUGUUCAUUAUUCACCAUGUUCGCCUCACUGGUAUUUCUCACCAUUUCUUCUCUUAUUUAUCUUCUGCUAAUUUGUUUUCUUACCAUUUCUUUCGCAUUAAUACUAACUUUUUUAAUUUACAAUAUGCUAGUCAAUACUGUUUCGGUAUUAGUAAUAUUAGUCGAUACAUAUCACUUUUAAGGGUGAAUUUAAAGGGAUAGGAAUAAUUUCGUGCGUUGGCUUGAUAGUUAGGGUGUUCACCGUCCUAGGUGUGGUUUGAGUUCAAGUUGUGCUAUUGUAAUUCACCAAAAAGAAGUUAAUAUAUAGUGAAAUUGCACUUUAACUCCUCCAAAAAUGAAAAUAUGUAUAUUUAGUUUUCUUCAACAAUAAUGAAAUCGUAAGUUAAUGCAAGAUAAAGGACACUUUAACUUAACAAGCUACGCUCCCCUUAAAAAAAAUCCUAACUUCACCCUUAACCAUCUUGAUUUUAGAUUGGUACCAAGUAGAUUAAGUUUUGUUCUUAUUAAAACAUCAGUGUGUUUCCUUCUGUUUCAACUAAUACCAAUUUAUACUGAUAUGUACCGAAUAAUAUUGGUAGGACUGAGAAAGAAAUCAAGAAAUUGAACUAAUUUUUAUUUAUAAUUUUAUUUGUAAUUUAAAAAUAAAAAUAUAUUUAAAUAGUGACAAUAACUCAAAUUUUAUAUAAAAAUUAUUUCAAAAUAUUAUCAUAUAAGAGUUAUUAAUUUAUUUGAAAAUUAGUUUCUUUUAAAAAUAUUUAUGAAUAUUUUUAAAAACUUUACAAAAUAAUAUCCAAAAUUCGUAAAAUAAUUUAUCAAGAUAAGUUCAAAAACCCAAAAUUAAUAGAUCUUGAACCAAAUAAAUCCAACUAAAAUAAACCCAAAAUUAAUAGACCGAGAAUCAAAUUAUCAUAGAAGAUAUUUACCAAACACACUAAUACCCAUAAUUACCCAAUAAUUCUUCUCACACUUUGCAGGUUUAAAACCCAACACCUUCUAUUACUAUCAAUGUGGAGACCCUUCAAUCCCAGCAAUGAGCGAUGUUCAUUAUUUCCGAACAAUGCCGGCCUCCGGUCCAAGGAGUUAUCCGGGAAGAAUUGCAAUCAUCGGAGACUUGGGGCUCACGUAUAACACAACUUCAACAAUUGAUCACCUUAUGAGCAAUCACCCGAACCUGGUGCUGUUAAUCGGCGAUGCAAGCUAUGCCAACUUGUAUCUCACCAAUGGCACCGGUGCCGAUUGCUACUCUUGCGCUUUCUCCGACACUCCUAUUCACGAAACGUAUCAGCCUCGUUGGGAUUAUUGGGGAAGGUAAAUUUUAACGAUGUUUCAUGGAUUUAAAUAGCGGUCACAACAUGACAUUACGAUAGUAUUUGUUAUAAAUGUGCAGGUUUAUGCAGCCUUUGGUGUCCAAGGUUCCCUUGAUGAUGAUAGAAGGGAACCAUGAAAAAGAAGAACAGAUUGAGAAGAAGACAUUUGCGGCUUAUAGUGCUCGAUUUGCAUUUCCAUCGGAGGAGAGCGGAUCAUCGUCGACAUUCUAUUAUUCUUUUAAUGCAGGUGGCAUUCAUUUCGUGAUGCUCGGUGGUUACACCGACUAUAACAAAUCAGGGGAUCAAUACCAGUGGUUGAAGAAGGACCUUGCAAAAGUUGAUAGAAAAGUGACUCCAUGGUUGGUUGCAACAUGGCAUCCUCCAUGGUACAGUACAUAUACUGCACAUUAUAGAGAAGCUGAAUGUAUGAGGGUAGAAAUGGAAGAUUUAUUAUACAAAUACGGAGUUGAUAUAGUCUUCAAUGGACAUGUAAGUCGUGCUUUAUAAUGAAUUAAUUCAAUUACAUUCACUCGAAGAGCUGAUGGUCGUGUUCAUUUGGUGAUAAUCAAUAGGUUCAUGCCUACGAGAGGUCGAACCGAGUGUAUAACUACAACUUGGAUCCUUGCGGUCCUGUUCAUAUUACGAUUGGUGAUGGUGGCAACCGAGAGAAAAUGGCAAUUACACAUGCUGAUGAACCCGGAAAUUGCCCCAAACCAUCGACAACUCUGGAUAAAUUUAUGGGUGGGUUCUGUGCAUUUAACUUCACAUCAGGGCCGGCAAGUGGUAAAUUCUGCUGGGAUAGGCAGCCUGAUUAUAGUGCAUAUAGAGAAAGCAGCUUUGGACAUGGAAUCCUUGAGGUAUAUUAUGCAGAUAUUUCAUUAAGAUUAAUUUCUAUGGACCGUAAAAAGGACACAAAGGGUACUUUAAUUAUACAAAAAAAACAUUAACAGCAAGUGUUUUGCAGGUGAAAAAUGAGACUCAUGCACUGUGGACAUGGUACGGUAAUCAAGAUGCUUAUGGGACUACUGGUGAUGUGGUUUAUAUAGUUAGGCAACCUGAUAGAUGCCCUGUUGAACCCGACGUAAUUAAUUAAGAGUAAACUCCAAAGCUUAAUUAAGUUGAUUCAUCUGCAGUCACCAUUAAAAAGUGAUGCCAAGAAAGUUUAGGUUUGAAUCUCGGCAUCUGUCCUCAGACUAUGAUUUCUUUUGUACCAGUAAAUAUCUUUCAAAGCUAUAAAUACAUAUUAAACAUCAAAAUCAGACAGCUGAUAAAUCACAAAGGGAUUAUGUACGUAUGUAUGCAUGCAUGUAUGUUGGCUUCUAAAGAUUGAAAAGUAAAUAAUUAAGGAUUCAAAAGGAACAUUAUUGUGAUAUGAUUUGCAGGUUCGUAAUUUUAAUUAAAUGAAAUAAGUUUGAUGUAACUAUGCAAGUAGUACUUAGAAUCCUAAAAGUUUGAAAUAAAUAUUUGUAACUUUGUUGAAUGUUUUCAUGAGAGUUCCUUUCUCAUGGAGGUCAAUUUCUUUGUUAUAAGAUACGGUCCCAUGGUUUGACAUACUAAGAUUAAAUAGGCUCUUAUGUAGGCUAACACGUAUCCUACUUUAGGGUCAACACGUGUCUCUUGAGUAUGGGUUUGCCUGCAUGGUGGUGUGAACCCAUUAGGUGCGGACUUAUACAGACGAACUAUAUGGUUUGGUUAACUAUAUCCGAAAUAAAAGGGGUCAGAUCGGUCUUAAUCAGAAAACAAAUAAUUUAUGGCGGACACUACAACAAACUUAAUAAUCACAUUUGUUAAUAACAAAUAAUUAAUUUGUUUUGAUAACGUAAUUACAAGACAUAAUUUGAAAAUAAUAUAUGCUUGCUUAGAUACCAUUAUUCUCAGUACUCCAAGUAACAUAAAUAUUGAAAUGAAUUUGUGAGAGAGCUAAGAUGGUUGUAUUCUAAUAGAGAGAUUUCUAUUGCUGGUAAAGAAGACUUUAGCUCCACUAUCGUGCGGCCGUGACAUUAGCUUAAGCUCCUCAUUAAGCUAAUUAAAUGUGAUCUCUAGAUUAACCAACAAUGUCUUCAUAAAGUAGACAACUAAAUGAUCGAUACCACCAGCAUCCUUCCAUAAAUAGCUGCGAAAUAGGGCUUCAACUUCUAACAAAAACGCCUCUUCCUAUCAUUGGGGUCAUGCAUCAAGGUUUAAAAAGUUCCAUAUUGGAUGCAAAAUAAAUGAUAGAACAAGUAAGAGCAGGAUAGACAUUGAGCUUGUGUUGAGUGUACUAUCAAAUGAAGCUCUAGAGAGAAAUGGAGGGCUGAAUCCAGGGUAAUUGAGCCCCGGACCGCCACCUCCGCCAUUGAUCGGUGUGGUUGUCGUAGUUGGCACAUUCGGAUUGUUCCACGACCCUGUUUUUGGCAUAGCUGUCCCUCCGGAUGUGCUGGAAAUUUCAUAACUUAAGCUUUUAAAAUCAAUAAAAUAACAGUGACAAAAACUACAAAUAAUGAUGGAAUCCAAUUUGGUUGGUAAUUUUCAAAAAAUAGGCGAAAGGAGCUAUUAUUAGCUUUUGCUGGAACCCAAUAGAGGUGCUCAUGGGCCGGGCCGGGCCGGGCCCAGAAAAAAUUUCGGCCAGUGUCCUAGACCCUGGCCUGGCCGAGGCUGAAAUAUGAGCCUAAAAUUUUAUCUAGGCCAGGCCUGAAAAAAAAUUCAUAAGCCCGAGCCCAGCCCGGCCCAUUUUUUAAAUAAACACCAAAAAAAAUUUAAAAAUAAAAAAAUUUAUUUUAAAAAUAUUUUAAAAAAUAAAAAUAAAAAAUAUUUUAAAAAUAAAAAAAUAAAUAGAUUUAUUAUAUUUGGGUCGGGUCGGGCCGGGCCAAAAAAUGUUAUGUGAGGCCCGGUCCAUUUUUUAAAUGGGCCUUUUUUUUUGUCUAAUGUCAUAUUUCGGGCCUAUUUUUUACUUAAACCCUCCCAUAUUUUGGGCAGGCCAUUGGGCCGAGCCGGGCCGCCCGGCCCAUGAAGACCUCUAGAACCCAGCAAUGCGCCCAUGGAUAGAGAUGACAACAAGGUGAGACGGGACGAGUUUUUGCUCGCCUCAAUUUCGACUCGAUUUUUAUAUCCUCUACUUCGAUUUAUUCUGAGCUCGAUUUUAUUUAAAAAUGUAAAAAUAAUUAUAAAAUUAAAAAAAAAGUGUUUUAGUAAGUAAAUCAAGGCAGACAAAUCGAAUUUUCAUCUAAAUCUAAACUCGAAUUGAUCUUGAACUACCCAUGUAUGACUCCAGUAUCCAAAUAUCUAGAGUGUUUUUUGACCGUUGGAUGUCUUUCAAGAAAAGAGUACCCAUCCAACGGUUGAAAAAGUCUCACCUAAACAAGACGGUAGGAAAACAUUACAAGUAAAGAAGUGGCCAACAGACAUAAAUAAGCCUGGAAACGUAAAAGGUGUAAACCUUCACAAAGUGACGACUGCAUGUAGGAUACGAAAAUGGACGGUUAGAGAUCAUGCCGAGAAACACGUGUCAGACAUCUACUCAAUUACAGCAUCACCAUGAAAGGCUCACACCCACUUGAGAAUCAAAGGAUUAUGCAAAGUUGAUUCAUGUUAGUUAAUUAGGAUUUAAACAAUAUCUUAUUUUGCGCCUUUUUGUUUUUCUGUCUUUGAUCCUCUUACAAGCCACAAGGGUUUCAAUAAUAAAUUACACCCAACUUCAAAAAGUUAUUAAAUGAGCAAUAAAUUAUUCAAAUUUUUUUAUUUAAGUCACUAAACUAUUUAAAAGUUUUUAUUUAAUUUACUGGGCUGUUAAAUUUUUUUUUUAAAAAGGAGGUUCAGCUAGUGAACUCCAAGCAACAAUUUAACAAUCGGUAUGGUGGAUAAAUACCCGCUGACGAGUAGAUCCAAGUUGAUCUAACGGUUAGUGUCGGAGAUCGGAGAAUGAAGAGAAAAACUGUUUGGAUUUUAGUUUAUAGAUUUGUGACGUUAAAAGUUAUUUCAUAAAAAAAAAUUAAACUGUAAAAGAGAAGGGAAAUUAAAGCUUUUGAGUGUUGCAAGCAAUGCAGACAAAGAAAGCCGUACAACAGUAAUUUUAACAACCCGAUGACUUAAAUGAAAAUUUUCGAGUAGUUCAAUGAAAGAAAAUACAAAAAAUUCUCUCUGCUGCGUUGUUUUCGUCUUCUUUGCAGGUAAGGAGGCUAGCUGGCGUAAGGAGGUGGUGGAUGUGGCACAGCACACGCGGGGAAGGCCUUGGUGGCUGCGGCGCCGGAAGGAGGGCUGUUGCAGCUAGGGUUUUCUGAUUUUUUUUUUGUUUUGGGCUAGGGUUGUGUUGAUAGUUGUAUUGGGCUAGGUUUUUGGGCUGGGUGUAGUUGGACUAGAUGCAUCUGACUUUGGGUUUGUACCGGGUCACUGUAAAUGGGUUUGGUUUUUAUUGUUAUUGGGCUGUGAACUAUUUGAGUUUUAAUUAAUUUUUAUUUAUUUGGUUUUUUAUUGUGGGCUGGGCAAAUUGGGUAUUACAAUCAGCUAAUUAGGAAAGACUGUGAUGAUAGUCACACCUUACAUCCAAAAGCAAAGCUUUUUACAUGUGUAUGUGAGGUUGCUAAGCAAAUCUGAUGAGCCUUCACUGAUGUUUUAAGGUUAAGUUAAUGUUCCUUUUCGGCAAAGAACAUUAUCGAGAUCACGGUAUUUUGAUCGCCUUUUGCUUGUUAUGUUAUUUGUUCUGAAACGAUUGCAUAAUCUUUACUGUGAUUGCAGGAUAUAGAGCAACUUCUGAAUUUCAUUGGUGUAAAGAGUUGAGGACCACGACAUGUUCUUGCAAAUUUGAAGGAGCUUCUAAGGUCUGUCCGGUCUUCAGAAUAUAUAGAUACCUGAAUUAAUUUUGAUUUUGUAGGAUCAACUAUAAUUAGCUACUUAUUACACUAUGAAUAGACAACCUCACCUUCUUCACACACUACACGUGCGGAUUUUUUACCAAUCCCAUUUCAAAGGAUCACACUUUUUUGUUGUUUACAGAAUCAUAAUUAAUGUUAAUUAAAGUGGAAUAUUUCAGAUUUCUGAUGAUGAGCAUAUUCUUGAGUAUUGCAGUAAAAAAAUGGGUGUGGAACUUAUUUGAACUUUGAAUGUAUGUUCUGUUGGUGAGAAUAUAAAGUUGAUAAAGAUUUGGUAAAUAGAAUAAAAUAUUAUUUUUAUUAGAAAAAUUAUUUGGUAGACUGCCAAUCGAGUUAUAAUUAUCAUGACGUAAAACAUGUCAUAUUACAAAUAAUAAAAUUAUAAUGACUCAAAUAUACGAACAUGUCAAAAUUUACGUAAAACGAAUUAUUAACAUGUCAAUGUAUAAUACGGUACGCAAAAAUAGGAUAAUUGCUUGUUUUUUAAAUUGAAUUGUUAUAACAUAUUAUACAAAAUACAUUGUGAAUUAAAGCAUAAUAUGAACAUGAUAUCAAAAUAUUAAAUAUUUUUUAAAAUUUGAUGAUACGAAUAAUUAUGUAAAAUAUAACAUGAUACAAAAUAACUUGAGAGGAAAAGAGGAAUAAAGAAUUGCAUUGUUUGUGAGGUUUUAAAAUAUUCCAGUUUUAGAUUCAAUUUUCUAGUAUGUUUGGUUUAAUUUUACAUUAGAUUUCCUUUUUAGUAUGCACUAGUGAACGCUUGGCAGUUAAUUUAAUUUAAUUUAAUUUAAAGAGAUAUUGCAUAUACAUAAUAAUGGAUUAUGAUUUUACAUUAAACUUCAUAGAAGAAAAAAGAAAUAGACGGUUGAAAAUGAUAAAACCAUAAGAUAAAAGAGCUUUUAUUUAAAAUGCAAAAAUCAACAAAAUAUGCAUUAUCGCUCAACUUAGCAUAAUUAAACAUUUAGGUGUGGAAAUCAAAUCACAAUUUGAGUAGCUAAACAUAUCGCUUGAAAAUGUGAUAAGUAAGAAAAUUGCCCACAUUUGAGUAGCGACAGGUGGUAAUGCAUUUCCCAACAAGAGAAAACCAAGCUCUUCGCCAGUAUGGAUUUAUGUAGAGGACAACAAAAAUUGUUAACAACACAACUACAUAAGAAACCAAAAAGCUCACACAAAAAUCAUAACUAUCUAUCAAACCAUCUUCUCCUUUAUCUUCUGAUACAGUUGAUAUUGUUGAUGGUGAAUCGGUUUUGGAACAACUUUUAUGCAGUAUAGGUCCACAAAGAAAAGGGUUUCCUUCAUAACUGUUUUCAAUAAAGGUCUCAAAUUGAGCUUUUGGUUCGGGAAUACUACCUGACAAGUUGUUAAAUGCCACGCUGAAAACCUCCAAAGAGUUUAACUCUACCAAUUGAUUGGGGAUUUCACCACUUAAGUUGUUGUAAGAAAGGUCCAAACUCUCAAUUUGAUGUAGUUUUGAGAGUGACGAGGGUAUAACUCCGGUCAACUUAUUGUGUGAAAGGUUUAAAGAAUGGAUUUCACUCAAGUUCCCUAAUUCUGGUGGGAUAUGACCAGUUAAGUUGUUGCAAGAUAAAUCAAUCCCAGUCAUAUAUGAAAGGAUGUCGCCCUUGUAUGAAUAGAACCCACUCUUUGUUGUGAACUCUAUUACUUCUUCUAAGUAGCUACUAGGAUAGUAAGAAUCCAUUCCCAAAUUUAGUAUCAUACUGCGUGUUGUUUCAUCCUCUUCUAUAGAUGGCCCAUAGAACCAAGUUUCUAGAAUCUUCUUCGUUUGCAUUGGAAGAGAUAAAUUUCCCAAACAAGAAGGUAUAGGACCAGAAAACAUAUUUUGAGAAAGAUCUAUGAUGCUUAAAGAAUGCAACUUGCAUAACUCAAUAGGAACUUUACCAUGAAAAUGAUUAUCUUUCAAGAGAAGAACACUCAAAGAAGAAAGCGUGUAAAUCCAUUUUGGAAUACUACCUGUCAAAUUGUUUCCUCUAAGAUCUAAAGUCACUAUUGAAGAGCUAUUAUAAAAAGCAAGUGAUAGUGGGCCUCUCAGUCUAUUCCCGUGGAGGUGGACAUGCUCUAUGUAUGGUGGAUUAAAACAUGACGGUAUAGAGCCAGAUAAAUUAUUUUGAGAAAGAUCCAAAAAUUCCAACCUAUUCAACUUGCAAAAUUCCAUUGGAAUGGAACCUUCAAAACCAUUGUUGGACAUAGCUAAUCUCUGCAAAAACGAUGCAUUCCCUAUCCAUCUUGGGAGCUUUCCAUGCAACUUGUUGUUACUGAGAUCAAUUUCGCUUAGUGAAUUUGGAAACUCAAAAGUAGACACAUCAACAUUUGUCAUCUCUCCUGAAAAAUUAUUUCCAUCCAAAUAUAAAUGCUGCACCCCAUUUGCGCUGAGAAUCACAGGAACUACAUUUCCACUGAGGUUGUUAUUUGAUAGUCUCAAAAUGGUCAGUGAGCCUUUCGUGAUCAACUCUUCUGGUACUUUUCCAUACAAAUGAUUGUCUAAUAGAUCUAAAAAUGAUAAGUCCUUCAUGCCACUUAAACAAAGUGGGAUAUUAUCUUCAAAAGCAUUCUUGGAUAAGAAUAACCGACUCAAAUGUGGAAAAGUUGAACAUAUACCAGUUGGAAUUUGACCUUGUAAUUUGUUUUCAGAUAUGUCAAUUGAAGAUACAUCAGAAAUAAGAGCCGACGAAAGUGAGAGAGGACCUGUAAAUGAAUUACCCUUCAAGAUGAGAUCUUCUAACUUUGUGUUGUUUUCUAGCAACCAAGUUGGUACAGUUCCACUGAGAUUGUUAUGAGAAAGAUCCACAUAUCUCAAGUCAUAUUGGUAGUAAAGGAAGGUAGGAAAUUUACGAUUGAGUUGUUGAGAUGCUAUGCACUUUGGCAAUCUGAUGACUUCCAAUUGGAACUUUGGGAUUGAGGUAUAAAAGGAAGAUUCCAUUACCAUCUUGUUUUCAUUAAUCGAAAGGGCUUUGAGGUUUGAAAGGUUUGCAAAUGGUGCAAAUGACAGCGGAAUUUGAAAAUGGUUUCUUGAAACAUCUAACACACGAAGAGAUGUCAAGUUACUAAAACAACGAGGAAGCAUCCCCUCAAGUGCAUUGUUGCUCACAUCCAAUACUUCAAGGUUCUUUAGAUCACACCAUCCUGAAAAAUUUAUAAAUUCAUGGAAGAAAUUUUAAUUAAAUUUGGUCCUAUUAAAUAGAAUAGGAGAUAUUAUAUUACAAAAGCUAGUAAAGAAAUCAAUUUGAGCCAUAAAAUUAUUUACCUUGAUUAGGUAAGGGACCAAUAAGUCCACAAUGAUAUAAAGACAAUGUUUUAAGAGAAGCGAAUACUCCAAUGCUUUGCAAAAUGUUGGUGUUGAGAGUAGAAUAGUCAAGAUAUAUUUCCUCCAAACUGCUCGACACAUUUGAAUCUAAGCAAUGUCAAGAGGUAUUAGAUAACGGUAUUAUAGAAAGCCUCUACUAAGUAGAAUGCUUUAUUUUCUGUGAAUGAAAUGAAGUAUAUAAAUAUAUAUAUAUAUUUUUUAUGAGUUAGAUUAUUCAUGAUUUAUCUGAGAUAAAUUUUGAUAGAGAGAAGAUGUUGAAACUUUAAUAUAACUCUUCAUCCAUUUUAUUAAUUAUACUAUUUUUUUUCUUUUUAGUAUUUUCUUAUAUUAUUUUUUAAUAUAAGUAAUUAACUGAUAUAGCUAAGUUGUAUAAUUUUCAAACUCCAAUCAACAACACUAUAAAUAAUAUUUAUAAAAUAAAACAUGUCUACACUAAAUGUAUGUUUAAAUUUCAUAAAAUUGAAGAUAUUUUUAAAUUAUUCAAAAUUCACAUGUCUACACUAUAAAUAAUAUUUAUAAAAUAAAACAUGUCUACACUAAAAUUAUUAUAUUACCUUUAAAGAUGCCAAUAGUAUAUAAAAAAAUCAAAUAGGUAUUUUACUCAACAAUAAAUAAAACUCAAAAGAAUUAUAAGUAAACUCAGCGGAUUAAAUGAAAAUUUUAAAGCAUUAAAUCUUGGCCCAAAAAUAGAGUUAAGUUAAAAUUCAAAAUUCAAAAUUAUUUUAUUAAUAUUGUUAAAAUUAUUUUAUUAAAUCCAUGUUCAUUACGUCAUUUUUUUAGUUACAUUACUACUAAGUUUUUUUUUUAUUUCAAAAUGUCACACCAACAAGCUAUUUUAAAAUUUUAACAAUUUUAACAAUUUAACUAGGAUUUUGAUUUUUUUUUAUAAAAAAAACAGGGAUUAAAUUCUUGAAAAUAAAAGUAUAAGAAUUAAAUUACAAAUUAGUAAAGAGUACAUAGACCUAUCAUAUUUUUUAAAACCAAAAAGUUAAAAACAUAUGCACUUUGAAAUUUAUAAAAAGAUUGCAAUGGAAGUUUAAGCACCUCUCAAUGUAUGUUUAAAUUUCACAAAAUUAAAGUUUUUUUUUAAAUUAUUCAAAAUUGACAUUUAUUUAUUUUUGCCAAAAAAUGCCAUUUAUUUAACGCUAAUAUGUAUUUUUAUGUUUUAUACUAUUAAAAAUAUAUGAAAUUAAAAUAUAGUUAUAUUACAUAUUUUCUCAUAAAUAUAUGUUUUUAUUUAUUUAUAAUAUCAUUUUUUAUUGUUAUAAUUAUUUUUUAUCUCAUAAAAAUUCAAUAAAUUAUUUUAAAAAAUAUAUUUAUACAAACAAAAUAAUUAUAAACAUUAAUAUUUUAAAAUGAUGAAAAUUUUAAAGAAUUUUAGUUUCAAACCAAAGUCCAAACACAUUAUAAUGGAUGAUUUAGAAAAUGUUUCACCAAACCCAUAUUUUACUUUCAAGUAUGAUAUGAUAUAACUUUAUUAAUAUUUAUGACAAUAACCGUUAUUAUAAUAUUUGACAUCAAAACUAAAUUUCUAAAUUAAAAAAAAAAAGGAAGUUUAAUUAAAUGAUACCUUGGUGGAUCACCAAAUCUUUCAAUUCAUUAUAGCUCAUAUCUAGUUUCCUUAAGUUGAUAAAUGCUUCCAAAUCUAGGAAAACAAAAACAACAAAUCAACUUCAUUAUAUUCUCUUAAAACAUUAUUAUAUUCUUGUUAAAAAACUAAUACUUUUACCUUUCAUAUCUAUUGAUCCUUUCAAUUCAUUGCCUCUUAUGCUCAAAGAUUUCAAAUUUGAAAGCUUGUUAAGGGAUGCAAAUACACUAGUAUUGAAGUGAUUUCCAUCUAAAUUAAGCUCUUCCAAGUGGGUCAAUUCCAAUUUUCUACCAUCAUCUACAAAAGAUUUAUAUAAUUUCAUCAUCUACCAUCACUAAUUUCAUCUACCAAUUUGUUAAAUUGCUCAAUCCUAUACAUAUCCACGUACAAUUCAAAAAAUCAUUAUGUUAAUAAUUUUAAUUUCUACUUAAUAUUUUAAUGAAAUAAAAAUGAAAAAAAAAAGUAAAUCUAAAACUUGAAUUGAAGAUAAAAAUCCUCAAACGUGAAAUGUGAAUGUUCAAAUUUGAAACAAUUAAUUUUAAAAGGCUCUAGAAAGAAUUAUCAAGAAAAACAAAGUUAUAGCUUUAGUACCUUUAGUAUCUAAUGAGCCUUGCAAACGGUUGUUGAACAAAGUCAAAGACUUUAGGCUUGAAAGCCCUUGAGGAAAGGAAAUUGUGUUGUUCCGAAAGAGAUUACCACUCAAAUAAAGUUCCUCUAAGUUUGUUAGCCUCAAUUGUGUUCCAUCUAUCAUUGGAAGAAAGUAAUUAGUAUAGUUAACAUCAUUCAAGAUAUAAAUAGUUAGGAAAAAUGUUUGUUUGAGAAGGAAGAGCCAAUUUACAAGCUUUCCGAUGAAUUGAUUCAAUAUAUAAAUACUUUGUUUGAGAUACCUUCCUACUUAAAUUACUCAAUUUUGAAAUUUAAUCCCAAAUAUUGAUUACUUAUAUAUAUUCAUGAUAUGAUAAAAUCAAAUGACUUAUUGCAACAACUUUUCCUUCAACAUGAAUUUAUUUUAAAGAAUGCUAUUCUUCAAAUAAUUCCAACUUAUAUCAAUAAUUUCCAAUUUAAUGAGCCAUUGAAAACCUCAUUUAUAUAUUAUAUAAUUAGUUACUACAAAACUUAAAUAAAUAAUAAUACUCCAUUUUUGCAAUAAAAAUUCACUAAAGAAAAUACAUUUGAAGUCUGUCAUUGCCUUUUGGAAUAAGAGUCGGUCAAGAAAGUUACUAUGCAGAAAUACUUAUACCUUUGUUUGAGAUGCUUUCAAUGUCGUUCCAACUUAAAUCCAAGUACUUCAAAUUUGUCAAAUUAUUCAAUCCUGAAAUUCAAUCCCAAAUAUUGAUCAGUUAUAUAUAUAUAUUCAUGAUAUGAUAAAAGCAAAGACAUAUUGCAACAUUAACUGUCCCUUAAACAAAAAUUGGUUUUAAAGUAAAAAAGAAACAUAUAAAACCAGUCUACCUUUAAUAUGAAUUGACAUAUAAAUACUGUACUUAUACCUUUGUUUGAGAUGCUUUCAAUUCUGUUCCAACUUAAAUCCAAGUAUUUCAAGUUUGACAAAUUAUUCAAUCCUGAAAUUCAAUCCCAAAUAUUGAUUAGUUAUAUAUAUUCAUCGUAUGAUAAAAUCAAACUUGAACAUACAUUGAUUUUUAAAUCAAGGAUGAAAGAUUUCUCAUAUGAAACAAAAUGCUAUUCUUCAAAGAAUUCCCACUUAAAUCAAGAGUUUCCAAGUUAUUGAGUCUUGAAAGCAAUUGAAAACCUGAUAUAUAUAUUUACUUGUUAAUUGUUUUUUCUUUCUUAGCCAUAUGAAAAUUUUACUAAAGCAAAAGUGGAAUUACGACGGAUAAAAAGAAUGGAAAACUAGGUACCAAGCCUAGAAGACCAUCCUCAAACUCCACUAUACAAAUAAAAACUAACAGCAGACCAAACUUAAUUUACCUCUUUGAUGACCUGAUCCUUCAAAUUUGUUGAUUGAUAGAUCUAAAUACCGGAGAGAUGAAAGCUCACUCAAAGAUAACAAAAUGCUAUCAUUCAAGUAAUUGAAACUUAAGUCAAGGAUCUCCAAAUUACUCAAUGUGGAUGAUAGUUUUCCAAAGCCUAUAGAAAUAUUCUUUUAAAUAUAUACAAGUUAGUGACUUUUCUUCCAUAAAAUAAAAUAAAAUAUAAGUAAUUGCAAAUUAACGAUGGUAAGAGUAGUGGGAUAAUAAAAGAUGUAAUUAAGGAAAAACUAGAGGCACGACCUUCAUUUUCAAGGUUACCACUUAUGGCAUUCCCCCGCAAAUAAAGACUCUUCAAUUCCUCAAAGGGAAGAAACAUAGAGGUAUUGAGAUACCAGGCAUUGAGAUUCCUAUUAUCCGUUUUGUAUCCCAUACUGUCAAACCAUCUUGUAGAAUUAAGGGAGAGUUGUAUGAGUCUCCUAGUGGUGGUGUUACACUCAACUCUUUCCCAUUUACAACAAUCUGAACCCUUCACCUCAACCCAACUUUGCAAUUGAUUUUGAUAAUUGAAGAAAGGCUUGAGAUGCAAGAGAGCGAUUCUCUCAUGCUCCAAACAAGCAUCAGUAGUACACCAUCUGCAUCCUUCUAACACCAACAACAUUACUGCCAUCCUAAUAAGCCUUAACCAUUUCCACUCCAUCAUCAUCAUCUCUCUGUUUUCACUUCUCUCUCAGUUAUAUGUUACUUUUUGUUAACUUCUAUAUGUAAAUAAUCUAAAGCAGCCUAACCUUCUUAUUUAUAUACAAGCAGAACAUACUGGAUCCCACUAAUUCACUAUAAUGUAAAAAUAAUAUAUAAUUAAUUAAUUCCUCAAAAAUUGGAUCAAAAUCUAGGCUUUUUAUUUACGUAAAUUCCUUAUUGCAAAAACUCCUGGUGGAAAUUCGUUAGGAAAGGAUGAAUGGACCACAAGAAUGUUGAUGUUAAUCUUGAAAAACGAAUGGCCAAAAAAAUAUGAAAAGUGAGAGGUGGACAUAAAAUCUUGUGGUUGGGGUUGCAAAAGUCUUCAUGUGGCUUUCUUGUGAGCUUCAUUUAUACCCUUCUUACACAUAUACAAACUUAGUCUUGACUUGGCUUUAUUAAUGGAAAAUUUAGGUCUUCAUUUUUGGUUUCAUUCAUGGAAAUUUUACUUCUUUGAUUUUGAUUUUGCUUUUAUUCUUGCACAUUUUAGGUUUUGAUUUUGAAAAUUUAGUUUUUUUCAUCUCUAUUAUUAUAAAAUUUCUUGAUUUAAUUAAUAUCAUGAGUUAAUUUAAUAUUUUAAAAAAUAAAAUAUUACAUUCACUAUUUUUAAAAAAAUAGGAGUAACUAUAAAAUUUAAUUAUUUAUAUAAUAUUUUUAUAAAAAAACUAUUUAUUUCUACUAGACCACUACUUUAAAACUAUCAAUUAUCAUAUAACUUCUCUUUAAUAAUUCACUAUUCUUUGAACAUUCAUUAGUUUUUGAAACAUAAAAUUUAUAAAUAAUUAUUUUUAAAAUGACUUGAGUUUUACUUGAAUCAUUUUUGUAAUUAGUUAAUUAAAUUGGGUUAUUUUUAAAAAAAAUCCUCUUAACUAAUAGCAAAAAAAAAAAAAGAAAAAAAAAAGCCAUCAUGUAGAAAAUUCUGGUUUGUUGGAAAGAUAAAGACUUGCACCAUUACUUUAAAUUUUGAAAUGUUCAACUUGAUAUUGACAUCUGAUAAUAUGUACAAAUUUCUCAUUGUUUUGAAUUUUAGUGAUAUUACACAUAUGAUAAUAUGUUUGUCACACCAAAUUUUGAAAUAGUAGAACUUAAUGAAUUUAACAAAUACUUAAUGAAUUUAAGAAAUAUCUAAAAUAUCAAAUUAAAGUCUAGGAAUUAAAUCUACAACUUCAGUAAAGUACAAGAACUAUUGUAGAAUUAAACCUUUAUAUAAUAAUUUCCUUCUAUGAACCACAAUUCAAGUGCACCCCACAAGCAACAUUAAAAAAUUGGCAUGUGUCUAUUUUUUUAAAAAUAUUUAUUUUUUUAAUAUUAUAUACUACACCUCUAUAGGAUACGUGUCAAUCCUUUAACUCUCCUUAUGGAAUUUAAAAACUCCACUAACAAUGUACCAAAUAUUAAUCCUAAUUAUUAUACUAUUCAUGGAUAAAGAUAAAAUAUAAUAUUUGCUUAAAAAUCUCAAUUAUAUAUAUUUGGUCACCCAUUGUGAUGUAAUAUAGCACCGUCUACAAAAUAGUUGGAGGAAAGUGUUAAGAAAAUAUCAUUACAUAUAUCAACAUUCGCAUAAUUCAUUGCAUUAACUUUCAAAUGUUAACUAUUGACUUCUGCGUCAACUUUGAGCUUAUAUAGGUCCCCCUCAUGGAAAUUGAGAAAAACAAAUUAAUAUGUAUAUUCUUGUGGGUGGAAAUUUAGUGGAGAUGCCCAUCAUCUUUCCUAAUUAAUAAAAAUGAAGACUUAGAAAAUGUGCAAUCAUAAUCCUAGUCGUCGUUAUGGCCCCAAGAAUAGUUAUCUUAAUUUGUCUCUCUUCAGGAUUAAAGAUAAAAAAUAAAUUUUAUAAAGUUAGAACUAUAAUUUUAUAAUUAUAUUAACAUAUAAUUUCAUAAAAUUUUAAAAAUGUAUCUUUUAAUUUUUUAAUUAAAUUGAUAAUUCGUUAACUCAUAAUAUUAUUUUAUUUUUCAAAAUAUUUACGAGAACGAGUUCGUAUUCUAUUGUGUGGAAAAUUUUAGUACAGAUUAUUAAGUUAUUGGAGAAGCCAAAUCCAACUUGUUUGACCAAGAAAGUUUUUGUCGCGUGGAAAAUGGACAUUACCAUUUCCUUGAAUGACCUUCAAUUUAAUGUAUUCACACCAAAUUUCAUUAAUGAGUAAAACAAAUAAUGAAUAAUAAUGAAAAUUGGAGGAAAUUGUUAAGAAAUUAUUAUUACAUAUAUCAACAGUCACAUAAUUCAUUGUAUUAACUUUCAAAUGUUGACUAUUGACUUUUACAUCAACCUUGAGCUUAUAUAGGCCCCCCUCACGGAAAUAAUCUCAUAAUUAAUGCCUGAAAAAUUAUUAUACAUCAAUUUACAGUUUUAAUCCCUAGACUUACUCAAUUGAAUUAAAAUUUUAGUUUUUAUUAUUUAAUUUGAACUAUUACUUUAGAUUUUGAAAUGUUCAACUUGAUAUUACAAAUUUCUCAUUCUUUUGAAUUUUAGUGAUAUUACACCUAUGAUAAUAUGUUUGCCACACCAAAUUUAGAAAUAGUAGGACUUAAUGAAUUUAAUAAAUAUCUAAAAUAUCAAAUUAAAGUCUAGAAAUUAAAUCUACAACUUCAGUAAAGUACAAGAACUAUGGUAGAAUUAAACCUUUAUAUAAUAAUUUUCUUCUAUGAACCACAAUUCAAGUGCAUCCCACAAGCAACAUUAAAAAAUUAAAAUGUGUCUAUUUUUUUAAAAUAUAUUUUUUUUAAUAUUAUAUACUACACAUAUAUAGUAUACGUGUCAAUCCUCUAACUCUACUUAUGGGAUUUAAAAAAUCCAGCAACAAUGUACGAAAUAUUAAUCCUAAUUAUUAUACUGUUCAUGGAUAAAGAUAAACUAUAAUAUUUGCUUAAAAACCUCAAUUAUAUACAUUUGGUGACCCAUUGUGACGUAAUAUAGCACCAUCUACAAAGUAGUUGGAGGAAAUUGUUAAGAAAAUAUCAUUACAUAUAUCCAACAGUCACAUAAUUCAUUGCAUUAACUUUCAAAUGUUGACUAUUGACUUCACGUCAACUUUGAGCUUAUAUAGGCCCCCUCCUCAUGGAAAUAAUGUCACAAUUAAUGCUUGAGAAAUUAUUAUACAUCAAUUUAUAGUUUUAAACCCUAUACUUACUCAUUUGAAUUAAAAUUUUAGUUUCAAUUUGAUAUAUUUUGUUCCUCUUAUUAAUAUUAAUGUUAUAGAUUUAUUAAAAUAACUAACAUUAUUAAUUCUCUAACAUUUAAAAAUUAAAAUUAUGUGGUUAUUAAAAUUAUGAUGCUAAAUUGAGAAUUAAAAAUUAUCAAGUUUUAAAUGAUCUCGGGAAUUAAGAAGAGAUCGUGUCCUAACUUAUUGGGCAUGAUCCUUUUUUUUCUCAAGUUUUAAAUGAUCUCAGGAAUUAAGAAAAGAUCGUGUCCUAACUUACUGGGCAUGAUCCUUUUUUUUUUAAAAUCUAAGAUAGCUAAAUAUUUUUUAAAUAAGUAAAUUUUUGGCAUUCAUUCGCGCAUCGGGAAUUCAAGACAUUGUGUCCUAACUUACUGGAUAUAAUUCUCUUUCUCGAUUAAUGUGAAUUAUGGCUUUUUCCCGAAAAUUUUCAACAUUUCAAUAAAGGAUCGUAUUUUAAAUCUCUUUAAAGUUUUCAAUCUUCGAUACUAAGACAUUAAUUAAUCAACUAGGUACCAAUUUUGGGCGUAACGAGGGUGCUAAUCUUUCCUCGUACGUAACCGACUCCCAAACCUGUUUUUCUGAAUUUCGUGGACCAAAAUUAUUAUUUUAUUAAAAUUAAAUUGUUUAUUAAAAAUAACCACUUUUCAAGGUGGCCCGAUCACACCUUAUCAAAAAGGAUUGGUGGCGACUUCCAUAUUCGUUUUCAUUUUUUAAAAUCCAAGUCGACCCCGUUUUCACAAAAAAAAAAAGUGUCAACAAUUAUAUUAAUAUAUAAUUUCAUAAAUUCUUUAAAAAAAAUUGUAUCUUUUAAUUUUUUAAAUUAAUUUAGUAAUUCAUUAACUCAUAAUAUUAAAUUUUUUAUUUUUCAAAAUAUUUACGAGAACGAGUUCGUAUUCUAUUGUGUCGAAACUUUUAGUACAGAUUAUUAAGUUAUUGGUGAAGCCAAAUCCAACUUGUUUGACCAAGAAAGUUUCAGUCGUGUGGAAAAUUUUAGUUUUGUGGAAAAUAUAGAUUAACUUCUAUAUAUGUAUGUAAUCUAAAGAAGCCUAAGCUUCUUAUUUAAUUAUAUACAAGCAGAAGAUAUUGCAUCCCACUAAUUCACUAUAAUAUAAAAAUAAUAUAUGAUUAAUUAAUUCCUCAAAAAUUGGAUCAAUCUAGGCUUCUUAUUUACGUAAAUUCCUUAUUGCAAAAACUCUCGAUGGAAAUUCGUUAAGAAAGGAUGAAUGGACCACAAAAAUGCUUAUCAACUCUUGACUUUGGCGUUCAAUGCUAAGUUCAUUUUAAAAUUCUUUCAUGGAGAGAAGAUGGGAUGACAAGAAUGAUAAGUUUUAAGUCAUUUAAGUUUACACAAAAUUUUAAUCACUCACAAAAAAUCAGUCUUGAUAUUCUAUUAAAAAAUUUAAACAUGGCUUAACGUUGAUUUUAAAUCUAAUGUCGAUGUCAAUCUUGAAAAACGAAUGGCCAAAAAAAUAUGAAAAGUGAGAGGUGGACAUAAAAUCGUGUAGUUGGGGUUAUAAAAUUCUUCAUGUGGACAUAAUAUAUUUUUUAUGCCCUUCUUACACUUAUAUAAAGUUAGUCUUGAUUUCGCUUUAUUAAUGGAAAUUUUAGUUCUUCAUUUUUUGUUUUAUUCAUGGACAUAAUAUUUAUUUUUAUUUUUUAUUUUUGUGUUAUGGUCUAUGUUCGAGGUUUAUGGCUAUCCCCUUUCAACAACGUCGUCUCAACGGUUCAAACAUACACUUGCAGGUAAAAUAAUACUUUUUAAAAUCACAAAUAUUUGAAAUAAUAUAUUGCAGCUAUAUAAAUGCUUUCUUGUUUAAGAUACUAAUAAAGUAAUUAACAAAGUAAUUAUUAUACCUAUAAUAAUUCAAAAUGCCACUUGUUAUCUAAUGAAGUAUAGGGGUGCAAAUGAGACAUCCGUACCCGCAAGCUAUUCGAAUUCGGCUCAAAAAAUUUUGAAUUUGAUUCGGUAAUUAUUGCGCCGAGCUAUAGGUCGAUCCGGAUUCAAGCUUAGUAAUACUUGACUCGAGUAGUUUGGGAGCCUUAUUGAACUUUUCAUAUUUUUAUAUUAUUAGAUUACAUUAUUGCCUUUAAUAUAUAUUGUUAACCCUAAGUUUAAUUAUUGAGGCGAGCUCGAACUCGAGUACAAAAAUUGAUAAACAGAUUUAAUUUCGAGCUUAAAAAUAUAUGUUCAAUCGAGUAUCAAGCUUUGAAUUUCAAAUUAAACUUGAGUUUAACCGUAUUGAGUUCGAAUAGAUUCAAUUACACCCUACAAUAAAAUAUACCAACAAAACCUACAUUCCAUAUUUGCUUAAAAACUUUGCUGUAAAUUUUAUAUAUGUGUGUGUUUAACGUGAGUUCCAUCUAUGUCCAACUUGAUGACGAUGAAAGUUCCUAUGGUGUAAAAAGUUUUAGUUAUGUGGAAAAAUAAGGUCUUCUCUUCACACGUUUAAUAUGCUUACUUGUGACGGUCAUUUCGGGCUUGACAUCAAUUUUCAAAAUGUUCUAAUUGGUGGAAAACUUACGUCUGCUUUUAUGAUUCUUUCAAGUCAAUUGGAGAAUGCCUCUGUUACACUUCAAAAGAAGUAGAUUUUGAACUCAACAUGAACCUGUGAGAUUUGAUGCCUAAAAUAUAGGUAUAAGGUUUCAAUUCAAGGAAAUGUUGGAAGUCCAGGAAAUUUCUUAGUCUCCUCUCUUUGGAUGUUUUUGAACAAAAAUGUUUUAAGUCUCUUCCGAUGCUAAACUUCUGAUUGGUCGUCGGUUCACUGACCCUUUGGUACACAGCAAUAUGAAGCAUUGGCCAUUCAAGGCCAUUGCUGGUCCUGGUGAUAAGCCAAUGAUUGUACUACUAUAGAUUUGAAAUGAUUGUACACAUCUGAUCGGCUCUUUGUAAAUUUAAAUCUUACAAAUUCGGAUAAUAUUCGAAUUUAAAUAUUUCAAUUACUAUCUGCAAUAGAUUAAAAACAAACGUGAUUAUCAAUCCUUGGAUAUCCACAUACAGAUUAUGCAAUACAAUCUCUUAAGGCAUAUAGAAUUUGGGUCUUAACCAAGCUAUGUUGCUUAAAAGCUUGCUAAAAGCACCCCUAACAAAGGGGUAAAUAAAUAAAAUAUCAAGCACCAGUUAUCAAAGCAGAUUGACCACCUUAUAUCUAUGUAUGCUACUACAAAACUUGCACCAUUAAAAUCUCAAGCUGGUAAUUGGAGCUUCAUGUUAUUCUUGCAGCUGCAGGCAUAAUAAUCAAAUAAGUUGCAAUCAUUCACAUAGGUACUAUGAAGUGCUUUCCAGAGCGUGAGAAACCUCUGGAAGUAAUAGUAGAAGAAAUCAGCAUAAAGCAAUGUCUGGACAAGACCGCAAAUCCAAGCUGAUCAAAGGCAUCAAUCAUGUAAACUAGGUGUUAGAAAUAACAAAUAUAGCAUAGAAUAUAACAAAUAAUGAAUAACAAUGAAUAGUACACGUUACCAUUUCCUUGAAUGACCUUCAAUUUCUCCAUUGAGAUAUAGUAAGAGGGAGUGGAAUAGAUGUAAGGUAAUAUUUGAUGUAUUCGGUAAAUGAAUAAUAACACCACAUUCCAUUAAUGAGUAAAACAGAUAAUGAAUAAUAAUGGAAGUUUUAUAAAAUAAAAAUAAAUUAAAUCAUAUACAUAUAAUGUAUUAAAUCUUAUUCGUGAAGUUCACAAUGAACAAAAUACUAAUCCAUAAUGGAGAAAAAUAACCUAAACUUUAAACAUUUGUUCAUUACUAUAAACAUAUGUACAACUUUUUAAAGGUUUUAUAUAAACUAUUAAAAGGUAUAAACACUCUCAUAAAAAUAUAUUAUUAAGUACGUCUUCUUUUACUAGGAAAGUUCCUAUCCUGUAGAAAAAUGUAGUUUUGUGAAAAAAGGUCUUCUAUGCACUAAUUUGUGGCAAUCACAUGGGGUUUGGGAAUUUCAAUUUUGAUAGCCAACCGAGAUUCACUAAAUUUAAAUUUUAUUAUGAUUAAUUACGCUCUUCGUUUUGGAGAAAUAGGUAAUCACAACAACUAAUUUAAUUAAAUGUAAUUUAAUAAUUAAUUUUUUUAUAAUUUAAUUACAUUAACUAUAUUUAAAUUUAAUAUUUAGUAUUUAUAUUUUAAUUUAACAUAAUUUAAUUCACUUACUUUUAUAAUAUUAUUAGUUCGUCUAAAUAGUUGACACCUUUAAUUAAUUCUUAUUAAAAUGUUAAAAAUGUUUAUACUUAUUUUCCAUGUUAAAAUAUAUAUUUUUUUGUGCUUUUAAAAACAAAAUUUCACAAUAUCAUUUCCCGAUAUAAAAAUUAAAUCUCAAAUUAAUUUAUAUUUUUGUAUUUUUUUAUAACUAAUGUUAUCAAGAACUCUUAAUAGUGCAACUGAUUCCACCAUAAUAUUUAUAUUCUUUAAAUAUGAUUUACAAUUUAUGUUUGGAGUUCGUGACUGUCAUUCUUAAUAAUGUCAUUUCUAAUGUUCGAACAUGCAUCUCCCCUUGAGAAUGCAAUAUUCAUUACUAUUGCACCUAAUUAUUUUGAUAAUUUAAUUUUAAAUAUUGACAUAAAAAUAUUUUUAAAUAUAUUAUUAAUAAAUUUAAUUAAGAUUAUAAAACUUGAGGUUUUUUUUAAUUCUUCAAAAAUGUCAUUUAUUUAUUUUUGGCCAAAAAAUGCCAUUUAUUUAACUCUAAUAUGUGCUUUUAUGUUUUAUUUUAAAAAUAUAUGAAAUUCUAAUGAUAGUUAUAUUACAUAUUUUUUAAUUUUAAAUAUCAUUGUUCUUUUAUAAUUUGUUUCAAGUAUGAAAUGAUAUAAUUUUUUUUAGUAUCUAUCACAAUAACCUUUACUAAGAAUUGAAACUAAAUUUCUAAAUUUUGAACAAAAAUGAAAGUUUAAUUAAAUGAUACAUUGGUGGAUUCAUUACCCCUCAUAUCUAGUUCCCUUAAGUUGAUAAAUGUUUCCAAAUCUAGGAAAACAAAAAACAACAAAAUCAACUUCAUUAUAUUCUCUUCCAACAUUAUUAUAUUCUUGUUAAAAAUCUAAUAUUUUUACCUUUCAAUCCAUUGCCCCAUAUGCUCAAAGAUUUCAAAUUUGAAAGCUUCUUAAGGGAUGCAAAUACACUAGUAUUGAACUGAUUUCCAUCUAAAUAAAGCUCUUCCAAGUGGGUCAACUCUAAUUUUCGACCACCAUCAAUAAAAGAUUUAUAUAAUUUCAUCACUAAAAUGAAUUGGCAUAAACUUUUAUUAUAUAUAAGAAUUUAGGUAAUUGGUUAAAUAUAAAUGCAUACCAUUUAAGGAUUGAAAGCUUUCAAUUUCAUUCCAACUUAAAUCGAGUUUCUUCAAAUUUGUUAAAUUGCUCAAUCCUAUACAUAUCCUCAUCCAAUUCAAAAUCUGAAAUUAGUAAAGAUAAAAUUGCACAUUGACCCCCUAAAAUUGAUAAAAAUUUAAUUUAAUUCUUUAAAAAUUAUAAACAUAUGUAGCGACCUAAAAAUUUCGGCACGGGCGCUAGUCGAAGUAAUUAUUGUAAAUUUGAAAACUGAAUCUCGAUUUUAUUUGAAAAAGGAGUCGCCACCGAUAUUUUUUCUAGGUGUGAUCGGACACCUACAAAAUUCUCUUUUUAGAAGAAAAAAUUAUUUUUAAACUUUUCUAAAAAAGAGGUAAUUUUAGGUCCACGUAAAAAUCCAGAGAAAAUUAGGGUCCGGGAGUCGGUUACGCGCGAGGAAGGUAUUAGCACCCUCGCAACGCCCAAAAUUGGUAUCUCGUUAAACGCGUGUUGUCUUCAUUUUCAAAAAUACGAGUUCAAUUUAAUAUUAGUCGUGAUCCGAUUGAACACGAGAAUUUUAAAGCGCAACAACUUUUUCUUUUUUGAAAACACGAAAAUUUUAAAAUACAAGAAUUUUAGAAACACAAAACUUUUUUUUUAAAAAAAACACGAAGAAUUUAAAACACGAGAUUUUUUAUUUUUAUUUUUGAAAACACGAUUCUUCUUUUUGAAACACGAAAAUUUUUAAAACAGAAAAUUUGUUUUUGAAAACAUAAAUUUUUUGAUAAAAUACGAAACACGAGAAAUUUUGAAGACAUGAAAAUUUUUGAAACACAAUUUUUCUUUAAAAAAUACCGUAUUUAACACGAAUCGAUGAUAUUCAUCCCGAUAUGGCGAUGAAACCAUCGAAUUAGUGUUAACUCAAUUCAAUUUAAUAUUUAAUCGGGAUUCUAAUAAAACACGAGAAUUUUUAUUAAAAUACGAGGAUUUUUGAAUAUUUUUAUUUUUAAAAGGGUGUCCCGAAUUUAACACGAGCUAUCGAUAUCCACCCAACAUAGCGAUGAAUUCGAUGACUUGAUGCUAAAUCGGUUCGUUGCCUUAUGCAUUAAAAUAUUAUUAUUUUUAAAAAAAAUAUGCAAUUAAAAUGACAUAAUAAUAUUUAUGAAAACUGUUUUAAAGCAUACUAAUUUAAAUUAAAUAAAACACCAUUUAAAUAAAUAAAAUAAAAUAAAAUAGAUUAAAAAGAAAAAAAGAAAAAAAUUACCCAAAAGCCCAAAGUUAUGGGCUUAAAUUUUGGGCCUCCCCUUUUAUUAUUUUUUUUGCUGUUGGGCUNNNNNNNNNNNNNNNNNNNNNNNNNNNNNNNNNNNNNNNNNNNNNNNNNNNNNNNNNNNNNNNNNNNNNNNNNNNNNNNNNNNNNNNNNNNNNNNNNNNNNNNNNNNNNNNNNNNNNNNNNNNNNNNNNNNNNNNNNNNNNNNNNNNNNNNNNNNNNNNNNNNNNNNNNNNNNNNNNNNNNNNNNNNNNNNNNNNNNNNNNNNNNNNNNNNNNNNNNNNNNNNNNNNNNNNNNNNNNNNNNNNNNNNNNNNNNNNNNNNNNNNNNNNNNNNNNNNNNNNNNNNNNNNNNNNNNNNNNNNNNNNNNNNNNNNNNNNNNNNNNNNNNNNNNNNNNNNNNNNNNNNNNNNNNNNNNNNNNNNNNNNNNNNNNNNNNNNNNNNNNNNNNNNNNNNNNNNNNNNNNNNNNNNNNNNNNNNNNNNNNNNNNNNNNNNNNNNNNNNNNNNNNNNNNNNNNNNNNNNNNNNNNNNNNNNNNNNNNNNNNNNNNNNNNNNNNNNNNNNNCUCUUUUUACUUAAUUAUUUAUCAAUUUACACUAGUUCGAGUUUUUGUAACAGUAUCAUGGAGACUUAUGUACUAGGAGUUAGAUUGUAUUUUGCCUCUUUUACUCAAAAAAUGAGUAAAUUAAUCCUUGUACGUUAAAUCAAUGAGCAAACUAGUCCUUUUAGUUAACAUUUUCAUUCAUUUUUACUAUUAAAAAUUGGAGUGACUAACGAAAUAACCAGAUAGUUACACAUUACAUGCCAAGGGUGAAGCCAGAAAAUUCUUUUAGGGGGCCGAAAUUAAAUUUUAAUUUUUAAUAGCUUAUAUCUUUAUAAUUUUUAAAUGAUUAAAUCAAAUUUUUAUCAUUUUUAGGAGGGGACUAAAGUGUAAUUUUAUCUUUACUAGUUUAAAUUUCUAAAAUUUCUAAAAAGCCUAAAUGGAUAAUUUUCAAUUUUAGAGGGGUCAGGGCCCUUGCCAGCCUCCCUAGAUACGCCACUGUGGCAUGCCACAUGUACCUCAUGUCAGCAUACAUGAACCCGUUUUUAACAGUUAAAAUGGAUGAAUUUUUUAGUAGAAGGAUUAAUUUUCUCAUUUUUUGAGUAGAGGAAAGAAAAUGCAAUCCAAUGCCUAAUACAAGGGCCUCUAUGUCUUUCAUUAUUACUCAAUUAUUUGUCAUCAAAAGUUGUAUAUGUUCAAAUAUAAAUACAAUAAAACACAUAUGUAGUUAUUAAACAUAUCAUGCUAAUGUCAUUGUUUCUUCUUUAUCCAAAAUUAUUGGACUUAUAAAAUUCUUGAGAAUAAGAAAACCCCAUUAAACUUCCUUUUAAGUAAAACGUGUGUUCAAAAUCUUGAACUAGGUUUAUGCAGCAAUAGAAAUUCACAAGCUGUUUUUUUUAUACAUGAGAUGUGAAUCUCAAAAUUUUAGGGUUUCUGAUCUCAUAUAUUUUGGGUCCAGAUUUAAUGCUAAGGAUUUGUUGAGAAAGUUGAAAGGGAAGAAAAUGAUGUUCAUUGGGGAUUCACUAAGCUUGAAUCAAUGGCAGUCUCUAACAUGCAUGUUGCAUGCAUUUUUGCCACAAUCAAACUACACUGUUCACAGAGAAGGGAACCUUUCGACCUUUUAUUUGCCUGUGAGUUGCCAAAUCUAGUAGCUAUUUUAUUUCCUUCUUAUAAUUAAAACUUUUCAAUGUCACCUUUAGAAGGUAGCUGCAUGAAUCAAAUGAGUUAAAUCAAAUAGACUAAUUACUAUUGUUUGGCAAAAAUACCGAGUAGACCUUUUUAAAAAUAGUUAUUAUACUUUUAUUACAACAAAAUAAGCAGGGGUGAACCUAAAAUUUUUUUUAGCAGGAUAGAAAUUUAAUUAUAAUUUUUUCAUAGAUCAAAAUAUAAAUUUAUUAUGAAUUAAUUUAUAAUUUUAUCAUUUUUAAAGGGAUUAAACAGAAAUCAUUUCAUUUUUAUGGGGGUUAAAGUGUAAUUUUACUAUAUAUUAAUUUAUAAUUUCUUUAUUUAUAAGACUAGAAAAAAUUUUCAUGGGGGCCAAAGUACAAUUUUACUAUAUAUUAAUUUAUAAUUUCUCUAGUUAUAAAAGAACUAAAUUAAAAACUUUUCAUUUUUUAGGGGGGCCAAGGCCCUGCCUACCCCUUUCAGAUUAUUCGCCUCUGAUAAUAAGCCAUUAAACUUUAAUUUAUAACCGUUACCAUUAAUUUUUAACUUAUAUCCAAAUAACCCCUUACCAUUUUAUUUAUACUCAAAAUAAAAUUUAACAUAAAUAAAGGUGAGAGAGGGGCCUUGGCCUAUUGGUUAAAAUAGAAAAUUUUCAUUUAGGUCCAAAGGUAAAGCCAAAAAAUCAUUUUAGGGGGUUGGAAAUGAAUAAUAAAUUUUUGGGGAGACUAAUAUUGCAAUUUUAUCAUUAUAUCAACUUAUAAUUUCAUAAAUUUUGAAAAGAUUAAAAGACAAAUUUAUCAAUUUUUGGGGUUGUCUACUCUCCUGAGUUGGUCUCUAUUGAAAAUUAAUAAUUCCAUAAAAUAUAGCUUUCCUAAAUUUAUAAUUUUAGCUCGACCCUAAAUAUAAAAUUCUUUGCUUUACCCCUGAUAUUAAAUCAAAAGAUAGAAACUUAUUAUGUUACUAUAAGAAUAUAGGGAUUUAUUUAGCAAAAGCAAACUAUUUCAAGGACUUUUUUGGUAGUUUGCACUUAUAGUUGGUAUUAGUUAGAAUUAAGUGCCAAGAUUAAGUUUCCUUUGAGAUAUAUAGUUGGUUAAGCAAUUUAAUAUAAGUGGAAAUUUAGACCCCUAAGUUAUACCCUUCAUGCAUUUGGACAACUGUGUUGAGCCAAAAAAAAAAUUGCAGGAGUAUGAAGUUUCGUUGAUGCUAUCACGCAAUGCAUUUCUUGUGGAUAUUGUCCAAGAAAAGAUUGGCACCGUUCUGAAGCUUGAUUACAUUAAAAACGGCGAAUCAUGGAAAGGAUAUGACUUUCUCAUCUUCAAUACCUGGCAUUGGUGGCUCCACACUGGAAGAAAACAACCGUAAGCAAAACAUAAUUUCAGCAAUUAAAACCCGAUUUUUUAAUUGCAUCCCGAGUAGAUUUGUAAACAAAUACAACACUCGAAUUGGGUUGGGUUUGAACCGGAAUAUCAUUCCUAUAGUUUUGAUUAGACCUGUAGUUUAAAAGUUAAUUAUUUAUUUAAGUUUGAAAAUUCGUUUGAAAUUUAGAAGAAUAUUUAGAUAAAAAUAUUAGACUUCAUAAAUGAGCUUGAGUAAAAAAAUUAAACCCGUUUUUAAUAUGGGUUAAGCUUAAGCUCAAAAAAGUUAAGGAUCCAGACAUGUUGAUGAACUUAAAAUGAAUUUGCGAUAACUAUUUACAAAUAUUAGUAUGUUGGAGCAAAAUUUUAAGCCAUUGUUUGGUCCAACUAAAUUUAGGCAAAUAUAAAGUGCGUUAAUAUCAUGCUUAAAAUUGAUUCAAACUGAUCCCAACCCAUAACCACUUCUAAUUCUGAUUAGUUUGACUCAACCUUUUUAUUCUUUUAAAUACUUAUAAAAUCUCUUAUCCAAUUAUAUUUAUAUUUGAGCAAAAAAUGAUGUAUGUAUGUAUGUAUGUAUGUAUGUAACUUGAAAAAUGAAUUGGAUAUUAGAUGGGAUUUCAUUGAAUCAAGAGGAAAGGUGAAGAAAGACAUGGAUCGUAUGGCUGCAUAUAGAGAGGCACUAAGAACAUGGUCAAAAUGGGUGGAUUCCAAUGUUAACACUACAACUACCCAAGUGUUUUUUCAAGGCAUUUCUCCGACUCAUUUCAAGUAAGCUUUAGCUCUUCUCUUCUCUUCUCUUACCAUUUGCAUUAACUUCCUUGUUCUUAUUUUACUUAAAAGAAAUGGAAUUAUGAAAAAAAUUGAAAGCCAUUUUUUUUCCAAUAGAACUUAAUUCAUUUUAAUCCCAUCAGAUUUGGUUCAAAUUAGAGGUGUUUAUAAGUUGGUGAGUCAAUCGGCUUAGUUCGCUUUAGACUGCACUUGAAGUUAAGUUUUCAAGUUUCGAGCCAGAUUAGCCUUACUUGUUUUAUUAGUCGAAGAAAACUAUUUUUAAUUGUUUUAUAAACAAUGAAAAUGGACCAUUUAGGUAAGCUUAAGUUUGGAAAAUUUUUGAAAUUGGGCUUAAACUUGACUUGGAAAAUGAACACUUAUAGUUGAAAGAAACUCAUUUGUCAUAAAGCACAAAUACUUUUAUGAUUAGAGACGUUAAUGGGCUUGAACUUAAAUUUUCUUUUUGGUUUAAGCUUGGUUCGAGUUGAAAACUCGUAUUGUUUAAAAUAUUUCUAAUAUAUUAUUGUUUAAAAUAUUUCAUAAAUAUUUUCAAAAUGAAAUAUGUGUAAGAAUCAUAAAUUCAAGCUGUAGUGUUUCCUCAUAUAAAUUAUGAAUCACUCUAAAUAUCUCAAAGAGAAAAUGACAGUUCAUUGACAUCUAUAUAAAGAUUUUUUUUUUUAAAAUAAAAAUCAACAAGUCUCUUACGUUAUCCAUAUAUAAUAUGUGGAUGUACAAUUAUAAACUUCACCUCAAACAAUUUGGUAUUUUGAUCCACAAUUUUGACAGUGGCAAAGAAUGGAAUGGUACCAAAUCAACAACUUGCACACAUCAAAUCAGACCGGCUACCGAUUUAACGUACGAAAGUGAUCCACCUCCGGAAGUGACGAUCGUAAAGGAAGUGCUAAAAAACAUGUCGACGCCGGUGGUUUUGCUCGACAUAACCAGAUUAUCACAGCUGAGGAAAGAUGGUCACCCAUCAAUUUAUACUGGUCUAAAAGGAAAUGAUUGUAGUCAUUGGUGCCUAGCUGGUGUUCCUGAUACAUGGAAUGAAAUCUUAUAUGCAAUUCUUACAAGUAGGAAAACUUAAUUCAAGAUUAUAAUUUUUUUUUCAAUUUAAUGUAUUUAGUUAAUAAAAAUUAAUUUCCCAUUAAUAGAUGAAGAAUUUUAAAUUUAAUAACAUAGGUGUAGCCAUCAAUUUAAUGUAUUUUUUACCCGAACCCAAAUUAAGUCAAGCUCAAACCAAUGGAAAACCUACAAUAUUAUUCAUAAUAAUAUUGAAACUUUAGAUUUUUUUAUUAGUAUUAUAUAUUUUAAUAAUUAAUUUUAAAUAUUUUUAUUAAUAAAUAGUAUUCAGGUCGCGCCAGCCCAAUUUAAAAGAUAUUUAACUCAAUAUAAAUUCAACAUAUUAAAUGAAUAAUUCAAAUGUCAAAAUGAGCAAAGGAAAAUCUAGAGUUGUAAGCUUUGCAACUUUAAAUUGGACAUGAGAGUUUCUUUUAUUGGAUACAUGCCACAUUAUUUUUUAACAAAAUUCCUUUAUUUUAUCAAUUGAAUUUAAAUUAUUAUAUUAAUAAAAUUAUUUAAUUAUUUAAUUGUGUUUCAACCUUUUACAUAAAAUAAAAUUUUCUCUUUUAACUUUUUCAUCAUUUAAUUUUUCACUUUUUAAAAUCACCCUCAAUUUCAAAUAUAAAUUUACUUGUGUAAAAAAAAAUCUAAAUCUGUUAAUUGCAUCUAGAACUUUUCAGAGUUGGUCUUGUCAAAAUUUUAAGUCUAUUUGCUAGGCCCAAGUUUGGCCUAAAAAAUAGACUUAAAAUUUUGUCUAAAUUUAACCCGGAUAAAAUAUUAAAAUCAGGCUCGACUCAACUCACCUGAAUUAAUUUUUCUAUAAAAAUAUUAAAAAUAAUAGGUCAAAAUACUAAAAAUAUUAAAAUAAAUAUUUUUUAAUAAUUUAAAAAUAAAUUUAAAAAUAUUUAUACUUAGAUAAAAUUAACAAUAAAAUAAUUUUUUAAUGUUUAUUAAAAAAUGGGCCGGACCGGGCUCGGGCUUAUGAUAUUUUUCCCGGGCCGGGCCUGGAAAAAUAUCAGGCCCAUAUUUCGAGCCGGGCCAAAAAAAAUUUCUGGGCCCGACCCGGCCCAUGGACAGGUCUAAUCUUAGACCUUUUCAGUGUUGGUCUUGUCAAAAUUUUAAGUCUGUUUGCUAGGCCCAGGUUUGGCCUAAAAAAUAGACUUAAAAUUUUGUCUAAUUUUGACCCGAAUAAAAUGUUAAAACCAGACUUAGACUCAACCCACUUGAAUUAAUUUUUUAUAUAAAAAUAUUAAAAAUAAUACGUCAAAAUAUUAAAAAUAUUAAAAUAAAUGUUUCCUAAUAAUUUAAAAAUAAAUUUAAAAAUAUUUAUACUUAGAUAAAAUUAACAAUAAAAUAAGAGUUAUAUAAUAUAUAAAUAAUAAUAAAAUAAUAGUAACAACAAGAAAAUAGUAAUUUUUUGUCUUUUUGUUAAUUCAUAUCGGACCGGGCUUAACCCGGUUGAGAACGGUACUUAUAUUUGUACAAAAAAAAAAUCAAAAAAAAAUGUGAACGGUACUUAACCCGGUUGAGUCGGAGCUCCAUGACCCGAACAGCAAUUUAUUUUUCAAUUCUUCUUCGUUACGCAAAAAGGAAAAAAAAAAAAACAGCUCAUGAAAAUGGCAUGGUCAAAUACUCUGCUUCAGAUUCACAUCAAAUCCCCUUCGAUCCCUUCUCUCCAUUUCCCACAUUCCCUCCCAAAAAGCUCCCCAUUCCUUCUUAAUCCUAACCCUAUAAAUCCCAUUCCCAGAUCCCUCAGAAUGCAAUUCCUUCACAGACCCAACGCUGUCCCACUCGUAUCAAGAGCCAUGGACAUCAUCCAAUCGUCUCCUCCCACGUGGCAAUCCGCAGUCCUCAGUAACCUCUUGAUCUUCGUCGUCGGCACCCCACUUUUAGUGGCGGGGCUUUCUCUCUCCGGAAUUUGUGCUGCGUUCUUGCUUGGCACUCUCACUUGGCGCGCUUUUGGCUCCCCUGGGUUUCUCCUCGUUGCUUCGUACUUCGUUAUUGUGAGUUGCUAAUAAUAUAUUAUGAAUUGUAGCUGAAUUAUGGGAAUUAAGUUAAAUUUUGGAAAUUGGGUUUUGAUUUUGUAUCCAUCUGGUAUUAAAAGUUGCUUGCUUUGGAGAAUUAGCUGUCAUUGUUUGGUAGUAUGGCAAGGAAAAUAAACUUAAUUUAUGUCGAAAGGUUACUUUUUAAUUAGUUAGCUAUUCAAGUUUGAUUAGUUGUAUUUAGAGAAAUUGAUUGUACUAGGUGAAAUGAGAUCAAAAGAUUAACAAAAGUUACUUGAUGGUUUCUAGCUUUUUAGCUGAAAUAAAGUCCUGUAUGAAAUGAUAUAAUAUUUUAGUUUUCUAUUAUGGCUUGUUUUCCUUGCAAAGUAUGAAUCUUGAAUUAGUUCCUGCCUCCCUCUUCUAAUUCUCCUUACCCAUUUCUAGUUGAAAGUUAAUUGAAAUUCCAUGUGAUUUUGUGUUAUAAUUCCAGUUCAUAAUCUGAAUGGAGACAAUAAAUUUGGAUGAAGGAGCUUUAAGCAGUGGGAAAAAUCCAUAAUAAUUUGUAAUUCUCUAAAUCUCUAAACAAUCUUACAUCUCUUUGUCAUGCCUUUCAAACAUAGUUGGUAUAACUAUGUUCAAUUGUCUUAGCUAUUGUUUAAUCAUUUUUAAUUUUUCAUUCCCCCUGCUCCCCCAAAAAAAAAUGUUUGUCUGAGCAAUGAGUCUUUCUCAAAAUCAAUUUCCAAGGCCAUUUUAUUUGAUUAUGACUUUGUGAGUAAAACAUGUUUGUAUUUGUUAGGGAACCGCAGUAACAAAAGUGAAAAUGGCUCAAAAGGAGGCCCAAGGGAUUGCUGAGAAGAGGAAAGGAAGAAGAGGACCUGGGAGUGUAAUUGGGUCCAGUGCUGCUGGUUGUGUAUGUGCUGUUCUAACAAUAUAUGGAGUUGGAGGAGAGGCAUUUACACGUCUUUGGCAACUUGGUUUUAUUGCUAGUUUCUGUACUAAGUUGAGUGAUACAGUGUCCAGUGAGAUUGGGAAAGCAUAUGGCAAAACAACGUAAGUAGUGCAUCUCUGUUUGUUAAUGUAUAGGCGCUUUAGAUUAACUGUAUUAAUAAUUCUCCUUAGUUCAUUCUAAAGAAAGGAUAUUUCAAAUCAAGUGGAAUUUAGAUCCCUUAUGGUUCUUGCUAUAUUCGAGCUCUAUUAUUGUCAUAUAUGCUGGUGAUAAAGGUCGCUUUGACAUCCUAUAUAGAAACAAAAUUUGUGAGUGUUAAUAUUGCCUCAAAUCUUUUUUUUUUUCUUCAAAGGUUUAUGUCAAUUGCUACUCUCUUUUUUUUUUACUGUUAAACUACACUUUAGAAUUGCAAAUAUAAAGUGUGUGAUGUGCCAAAAUGAACAGGUACCUGGUGACAAACUUUCAGAUUGUUCCUAGGGGAACAGAAGGAGCUGUCAGUGUUGAAGGAACUGUUGCUGGACUUCUAGCAUCUAUACUGCUUGCCACUAUUGGUUGUCUAUUGGGUGAGGUAGUACUUGCUAUGUACUCAUACUAUGUGAAUAAUUUGUUCUGCCAUUCAUGAUACCAUUUUUUUUUAAUAACAAGCAUUAUUGUGAUCAUUACAAAAUGUUUACACCUUGUAAGAACCUGGAAUUUUUUCUAGUCUCUGCAACAAUAGACUAAUUGGUGGGGUGGUGCCUAGAUGGAAUGAUUUUGCAGAUAUAAUUUGUUGAAGGUGUUUUUCAAAGGGAACUCUUAGCAAAAUAGCAGAUCAUGAUAUAUUUAUAAAUUGAUUUUGACAUCUCAGUUUAGGCGUGUACGACCUUUGUGAGCAUUAUUUUGCUGGGAACUUAAAUUUCAAUUUAAUAUAGUUCAGGUAUUACAAUUUGGUAAAUUGGAUAAUAUUUUCAAGGGGAAGGAGAAUUAAAUUAGUUGAAACCGAUUUUUAUUGUUAGUGGUUUUUUGUAUGUGAGUGGAUGAGGUUGUCUCUCUAGCCUUGCUGCAUCUUUAGCUAGGAUUUUCUCAAAAAUCUUGUAUAUAUCCCUAAGGUUAUGGUGUUGUUCAUAGUAUUGACGCCAUAACCUCUAUACACUUUCAAACUGAAUAUGAUCAACAGCUUCUAGAGAAUGCAUAAAUGAAAUAUGGGUAUUUGAAUUUAUAGAGAUGUUCUAAGCUUCUGUUUUUUGCUUUUUCAUUUAUCUUUGCAAGCAGAUAAAUGUACCUGAGGUAUUGAUAUGUGUAAUAGCAUCCCAGAUUGCUAAUCUUGGUGAGAGCAUAAUUGGUGCUGCAUUCCAAGGGAAAGAAGGAUUUCGUUGGGUAAGGAAUCAUUUGAAUAAUAGGAUGGUUUCUGUCAUCCUGUUUUCUUAACCAUUUUUUCUUAAAUUUAGUGCCUAUGUAUCUUCUAGAUUUUAGUGUUACCGAUGAAUCAGGCUUGAUUCUAUAUGAAUGUAUGGUUUGAUGUGGUAUAUCGAUGAGAUGAUUACAUGUAUAUCAUUUUGUGGACUCUCAUCAUGUUUGGAUCUGGCUGCACUCCUAAAGCUGUAGUGAGGAAGAAUUAUAUACCCACUGUUUUGGGGUAAAGAAGAUCGAAGAGUAAAUUUAGAGAGAUCAGCCUGUUAUAAAACUGCCUGCUAAGGAUUAAUUCUAGUCUUAAUUUUCAUUCGAUGAAAUCACGGUAUUGUGCAUGUAAAAGGCUGUUAUGUUGGUCUGAUUCUUCUUUUUGCUUUGAAGUAUCCAUGUUCAACAUAUAGUCACACAAGAAAUAUGGAGAUAUGACCUUCAAGAUACAUGAUAAACUUUAGCACAAAUCUCUAUCAGACACUUACCUGAAUUUGAGCGAAAUAUCUGGGUUGGCCAUAUAUAAAUCUGCCUAGGAUCUAUCAUCUUAGCAUGUUUAUAUGCUUUUCAUUAUAAGGCUGAAACUUGGAUUCUUUUACCAUAUUGAUUUUGGUUUUCAUCUUGCAGCUGAACAAUGAUGCUGUUAAUGUCAUCAACAUAUCCAUAGGCUGCAUUUUGGCAGUCUUAAUGCAACAACUACUCCAAAACUGGCAAAUGUAAGUUCACCCCAUCAUCUCUUUUGCGAUGUCAGGUAAUUAUUGCAGAGUUCAUCGACACUGCAAUCGACAUAUUGCAAUGUGGGGAAAGAAAAGAAGAAGAAGAAAGAGAAAGUCUUCAAUGUAAUGCAAGAGAUGAGCACAAAGGUGCAACAAUUAUAGCAAUGAUUUUGCUAACCUUGAAAGAUACUCAAAUGAUAUGGAAAAUCAUUAGCAUAACCAUUUGUUCCAUGAGUAUAUUUUAAAAAGGCUUCUCUCUUUUAUAGUCUUGGUAUUCAAAGAUGUAUUCCUUUUAUCAAUCUCCAGUUAGAAAUGAAUUAGAUGCUUUUUAAAUUGCAUUUCUUAACCAAAAUUAUUGGCUUUUUUUUUAUUGUUGUUGAGCCGCACUGGAUUUAUGGGUGUAAUUGAAGCACAAGCUUGACUUGGAACUUUUAUGUUCAAAGUUCGGCCCGGGCCCAAGCUUGAGUUCAAUUAAGCCAUUUGUGAAUAUAUCAACCAAUUGUUCCUUUGUAAAGACAUGUCUAGUUUGGACUAAACCAUCUUGGAUUUUUUUUACAAGGUGAGAGUCAAUCUCUAUAUGUUUCGUUCUCUCGUAGUAUUCAGGGUUGGUUGCAAUCUGAAUUGCUGCUUGACUAUCAUAGAAUAAUAUGAUUGGUUCUACUCGUUUAAAUCCAAGUUCCUUCAGUAGUCCAGUCAACCAAACUAACUCAGCCAUAGUUCUAUACUUUGCCUUUGCUGAAGAUCGUGAUACUGCAUUUUGUUUUGUUUUGUUUUUUCCAAGAGAUGAGACUUAAAACUUCUGGAGGAUGGUCAGGAUGGGUGUUUGGUUUACAAGGUAAAGAAAACGGUGAAGGUGGAGUUUGUGAGGUUUUCUUUUUACCUUUCCCUUUGGAGGAGGAUGAAGGUUGGAUCAUGAAAUUUUCUGGAAGUUUUUCUGGUGGUCUAGAAAGAAUGUCUGCAAGAACAUUGGUUUUCCCUUUUAUGUGGAGGACAUUCUGUCACUAAUCGCUUUGACAUUGGACUUGAAGCCCAAUUCGAAUCACAAUAUGCUACAAGUUAUGGAGAACCAACUACAGCACAGAAUAAACCUUGUCCUGGAUCCUUUUUAAUGUAUCUGACUAUUCUAAGAGCAGCUUUAUAAUGCGACUUCUUGGGUCGUUGCAUAAACUGACUGGAUGUUGUACCACAAACGUCAUAUCUAGCCUUGUAUGAGUCAAGUACAAAAGCCUUCUAAUAAGCCUUUGAUAUAAUGAAACAUCUGUCAAUACCUCAUCAUCAUGAUUCAUUUGCACCAUCUCAUCUUACUGGAGAUGUCAAGUUUUGAUUUUGUUCUAAAGGAGUGACAACUAUCUUUCCUCCCCCUUACCUCGUGUCUGAAAUUAAUUCAAGAGCAUAUUUGCGUUGAUUCAGUACAAUUUCAAACUGUGAUCUUGUGAUUUCAAUGCCAAGAAAAUACUUUGAGAUCACCUAAAUCUUUCAUUUUGAAAUUUUGAUGCACAGUUCCUUUAAGCUCAUUUAUAAGCUUGGUAUCAUUUCCAGAAAUCAACAAAUCGUUAACAUAUAUCAACAUGACAACCAGCUUAUAACCUUUCUUCUUGAUAAAACGAGAAUAAUCGUACUUACUUUGUGAAUAACCAUUUAGAAGAAUAGCUUUAGUAAGCUUUAGAUUCCACUGUCAGACUUAGCAAUUGACAUACUCUAGUCUCUCUUUGAUUGCGAAAAUCGUCUGGAAGAGUCAUAUAAACCUUCUCAUGUAAAUCUCCUUGCAUUAUAGGCAUCCAUUUGAAACAAGGGCCAACCAAACUAUACAGCAAGAGCAAUGACCGUGCAAAUUGUGACUUGCUUCGCAACAGGGGAAAGUGUCAUGAAAAUAAAAAACCUGCCUGCUGAGUAUAACCCUUCCUAACAAGUCUGGCUUUAAAUCUUUCAACCGAGCCAUCAGAGCUGUACUUGACCUUGUAGACCCAUAUGCAACCAAUGGGCGUUUUACUAGGAGGUAAAGGAACUACCUCCCACGUGACAUUUGAUUCCAAUGCUUGAAUUUCUUGAUCCAUGGCCUUUAUCCAAUGUUUAUCCUUAAUUGCUUCACUUUAGGUUUAAGGUUCAAUAAUAUGGGAAAUGGAGGCAGCAAAAAAUUGUGUAUGCAAAGGUAAAUGAGCAUCAGCUAUACAAUUAGAUAUAGGGUACUAACCUUUAUGGAGUGAAGAAGAUAAAGAAGAGCAAUUUAAAUCUUUCAUCCAUGUAGGAUCCUUAAAAGAACGAGUAGUGCGAUGUAAAGACAGCUGGUAAGGUAGUAGACUACGAAGGUAAUAAGGACUGGUUGGGAAAUGGAGCUGAAGAACGACAAGGAGCUAAGGAUGAACAUUUCAAAUGGGAUUUUUCCAAUUCAAAGCUGAAGUAGGUAAUCUGUUAACAAUAUAACAAGCAGCAAGGAUACACUCGCCCCAAAAUUUGGUAGGUACAUUAGACUGAACUUUGAAAGCACAUGCUAUUUCUAACAAAUGUCGAUGCACACAAGAACUUUGAUGUAUUAUGCCUAAGAAGAAAAAAAAGGAGUAUAUUCAGAGUUAAAGAACUCAGUACUUAUGACUUCCAAAAGUUUUAACAACAGUUGAAAAUUGCGUGUGAACCAAGGCUAUAAACUGUUUCAAAAUGACAAUAGUGUCGGUUUUAAGCUUAAACAGAUGAACCAAAGAAAAAGGAGAAUCCGCUCGAGAAUAACUAAUAGGAAAUGGCAAUCGUGUUUGUUUAGUAAGAGGACGAACAUGGCAUGGACUAAUAUAGUCACUGUUCCAAAAUGAAAGAAACAUGGCCAAGUCCGGCAUGCCAAAGGAAAGACUGAUCAUGAGAUGUCAAAAAGGAAGAAAUGGGAGAAGAUACAAAAGAUGGCAAUUGAGGCUGUUGAUGCACCAGAAUGUAAAGAUCAUUCUGUUCUUUACCAAUCCCCUUCACUUGUCCACUGCAAAGUUGCCGUAAAAGGCAAAAAUCGGGAUAAAAGGAUACAAAACAAUGUAAGUCUCGAGUUAACUUGAAAACGAAAAUUAAAUUGAAAUGAAAGUCUGGGACAUGAAGGGCAUUGGUUAACUUGAUAGAGGAGGACAAGACAUAGGAACCCAUGUGAGUAAUAGGGACGGAUUUACCAGUGGGAAAUUGGACAAAUGAAGAAUGAAAAGUAAAAGGAACAAGAGAAUCCAAAUAUUGGCAAUCAGAUAUCAUGUGGUUGGUGGCCCUCGUCUCCAAAAUCCAUUGGAAAGAUGCAGGCCAAGAAACCAUACCUGCCAUGUGAGCAGCUACUCCAACAGUUGAAGUGAACUCAAGACUGAGUAAAUUCAAGAUCAGUAGAUACUGUGCCUGAAUAAACACAGGUGCAAAUACUAUGGUAGCAUUGUUAGUCAUAGUUGACCUUUGUUUUGUAAAUUUAAAAUCAACAGGAUACCCAAUAAGCUUCUAACAAGUUUCCCGUUUGUGACCUUUAAUCUUUCAAUGGUCACACACAUCUUUCAAUGGUCACAGAAUACAAUGUUGUAGGUUCAGAAGGAAAAGAUAUGCCAGAAGAAUGUUGUCUUUGAGCUUCCUCUUGAACAAGCACGGAAUUAGCUUAAUUAACAGAAGGUAAGGGUUCCAUUAACAAAACCUGACUUCCAACAACAGCAUAAGAAUCAUUCAGGCCCAUCAGAAACUGAAAUAACCACUGUUGUUGAAUAAGUUGUUGAUUCAUGCGGGAAUUUUCACAAGAAAAAGAACCAAAGCAUCGUAAUCCCACAAAAGCUUCAAUCGUGUAAACAAAACUGAAACAGAGUAAGUACCUUGAGCAUGGGAAGCAAUCUCACCAUGAAGAACCAUCGACUUUCUCAUAUCGUUCUUGAAGUUCUUUCCAUGUUGACAAAAAUAAACUGUGCGGUAUAAUUAUAUAAUUAACGUCGCUCAAAAUUAACAUAAAAUUUCAAUAUUUGUAAAUUCGAAUAAAGAAGGUGAAAUUCAAUUAUAUUACUUUAUAUACUCAGUGCUUUCUAUGUAAAUUAUUUUCAUUAUUUUAAAUAUAAAAUGUUUAUAUUAACAUGAUAAAAAAUAAAUUAAAUUAUAAAUUAAAUAAAAAAUAAAAUUCAGUUUUAGUUACAUUCAAAUACUCGAUUUUUGGGGUUUUCUGCGCCCUAAUAGUAGGAAAAGAAAAUUCUCAUCAAACCCUAAAGCCCAUAAAAGAAAAAGUGAGAAGUUUAGUUGAUCUAUCAGAAUCUCAAGCACUCACCCUUAAUUUGCAGUAAGUUGCGAGUCUGCAAUUCUUUAGACCCCUUUUCUCAAUUGAUUUUCUUCUUUAACCAAUCGUUUCUCUCGCGCUCUGUUUCUUUUAGGAUGGCCGAUGAACAUAUUUCCACAGUCCUGGAGCAGCUACGACGAAUCAUGGCCGACGAAAGAUUUCGGAACUCGGAGUUUCAGAUAAACUUGCUUGUAUGGAGACUCGAAGCUUUUCAAUCUAUGAUUCUUUAACAUGGGGACGGGCUAUUUUCGGUUCGGCUAUUGGAGCGUGGGAUUACUGUUCAUGCACUCGAUCAAGUGCUAUAUAACAUAGAAGAUGUAAUUAACGACGUCUUACAUUUAGGAGUAUCUACUGAAUUAGCAGCAGCAGGCCUUGAGAAGUUUGCUUCUACUCAAUCAAAAGCAGCAUCAGCAGAAACAGCCACUCUUUACAUCUUGCGCAAGAGGUUGGAAGAAUUGGAGGAGGUAUUGAUUGGUAAUCCGCAUGAAUCGCAUCCCUUGCACUCUAAACGAUCUUUUUUUGUAAAAUUGUCAAAGUUAUAUGGUCUAGAUGUGGUUAAGAAAGAUAUAAUAAAUGUAAUUUUGGGUGAAAGUUUCAGGGAUAGUAGCGACAGCAUUAAAACCAUCAUUAUUGUUGGCAUGGAAGGAACGGGGAAAACAUAUCUUGCGCGGUGCAUUUGUACUGAUUGUCAAGUUCUGGAAAUUUUUGACAACAUAAUUUGGGUGAAUGUUUCGGAUGAUUUUGAUUUAGGUAAAAUUGCAAGAAAAAUUAUUCUGUCUCUUGAAGGUUUGGAGCAUGACUCUUUGCGUCUCCUAACAUUAGUUCCAUUGCAAAGUCUGUUAGAUAGAAUUCAGCGAAAGAUUGUUAACAAGAAAUCACUUCUUGUUUUAGAUGGUGUGGGGAGAUAUGAUUGUGAUGAUUGGGAAGCACUUAGAGCUGUUUUUCAACAUGGCAUGUCGGGGAGUGGGAUUCUAGUGACUACUCAUGAGCACUCGGUUGCAGGAGCAAUGGAAUCAUCUUAUAAAUUUUGUUUGGGAAAGCUGUCUGAUGAGUUGUGUUGGAUGAUACUUCGUGAAGUUGGAUUGAAUGAUGAUACUCUUGAAUAUGCGGUAGAGGAUAUAGGAAGGGAACUUGCAAGGAGGUGUGAAGGACUACCCUUUGCUGCAAAGGUUUUGGGAGAUGCUAUACGACAUUAUGACUUUGGAAUAAGAGGAUGGGAUGUUUUUCUGAGAAAUUGUAUCUGGAAAUCUCCUAGAAUACCCAAAUAUAUGUCUAAAAUUCUAUCACUAUCUUAUUGCAAUCUACCUUUGUCUGUAAGACGGUGCUUAUCGUAUUGGGCUAUCUUCCCCAAAAGCUUUGAGAUUUCAAAAACUCUUUUGGUGCAACACUGGAUGGCACAAGGUUGUCUGUACUCAUCUGAUAAUUUAGAAAUGGAACUAAAAGGUGAAGAGUACUUUAAAUGCUUAGAAGCUCAUUCAUGUUUCCAAUAUUGUACCAGAGAUGGUGGUAUGCUUACUUGUAAGAUGCAUAGCUUAGUACAUGAUUGUGUCCAAUCUUUGUCCCCAUAUGAUUUAAUGAUGAGGUUCGAGUCUGUUAAACAGCUGACCUUGAAUUUAUCUUCUUGGACGGAGGAGGUCAAAGUUGUUGGCACUCAUCAUUUGGUAAUGAUGAUUGCUCAAGGAGCUGGUUUUCCCAUGGACAUUAGUGGUGCAGAGAAAUUGAGGACCCUUGUUGCUGUUACUCAAGGGUGUUUGAUAACUAGUCAAGCAUUAUCUAACUUAUUUAAACAAUCCAAACAUCUGAGGUUAUUGGAUUUGAGCUUGACUAGUGGGUGGCAUAAUUGUUUUGGGCCAUCCGGACAAGGUAAUAUACUAGAUGAAAUUCCGGUGGAAAUCUGCAGAUUGAUUAAUUUGAGGUACCUUAGCUUGGCUGGCAGCAAAGUAUUGAAGAUAUUACCAGAAACAUUGUGUGACUUGCAUAAUUUGCAAUCCUUGGAUCUUACUGGUUGUAGUAGUCUUAGAAAAUUGCCAGAUGGAAUGGGGAAAUUAAUGAACUUGAGGUAUUUUUAUACCUGGUGUUGCUCUAGUAUAACUUCCUAUCCAAAAGGGAUUAGCUGCUUAACUUCUCUUUGAGAAUUAACCAAUGUCAUUGCUAGAGCUGAUCACAAUGAUGCAAAGGAAUUCACUCUUGGAGAUUUUGAAAAGUUGAACAACCUUUGUGGACAUGUUCGUGUGAAACUGGUAGGGAAUGCGAUGGAUGCAGAUGAGGCUAUUAGAGCUAACCUUUGGAACAAGAAGGAUCUUGACCGUAUCAGAAUAAAUCUGGAUGGGGAUAUAGGGAAAGAAAGCCAAGACGUUAUAAAGAAAGCAUUAAACCCGCCUUCCGACUUGAAUAUAGAGUUCGUAGGUUGGUGGUUCUAGUCCAGAAAUGUAAGGAUGCUGCAAAGCAACAGGUAGUCUCUCUGUCUCAUUUUCUCUUUUGUUGUAGCUUUGAUGGUUCAAAUUCAGUAUUUACUCCUAUGAUUCAUUCAAACCCAAAUUUCAGUUGUGUUAUAGUAGUUCUAGUUUCUGUUGUUAUCAUCUGAUUAGAUGGAAUAUUAUGAAAUCUCUUAUAACAUUACAAUGACAAAGAUAUCGGCUUGUCUAUCACAUGAAAUUUCUCUCUUGCUAAAGCAUGCUCUGAAUGAAUCACUUUAAAACGGCAAGAUAACUUAGAUUAUCCUUAUUUUCUUUUGCUGGACAUACAUAUCCCGUGAGAGACAUUGUCGUUAUCGGUGGUACUGUAGUUAAAGUUGGAGUAUAUUUUUAGUAUUUUAGUUUUUAUAUUAGGAUUUAAUCAGUUAUUAAGAUGGAUUUUUUCUGGAAAAAACAUGGAUACUUUUUUCUAAAAUUUUUUAUUAACUCUUUUGAAAUUUGUUAAAUUUUUAAUUAUUUUUAUUAGUUUUUGAAUUUUUAUGAAUUAUAGGUAGGCUACCACACGAAUUGAUCACGUCAAUAUUGUUAAAAUUUUAAUAAUCUUUUUAAUUCAAAAGAAAGUAAUAUAACUAAAUUGUAAAGGUUAAGUGUAAAAGUCAAAAUGACAAAAUAAGUCAACAUUAAAAGAUUAAAUUUAUCACGAUGCCUUUUUUAUAUACUCAUAAUUAAUUAUAAUAAAAAGUUAACUUUAUUCAGAUAUAUUUGUUAUUUUAAAUAAAUAUUCAGAAUACAACUUGAAAAUAAUCUCAUGUUUAUAAUUAUAACACGAAAACUUUACUUACUAUAUAAUGGAAGAGUAUUUGGUAUAUUAACAGUGUGCCUUUUUUUAUUGCACAAGUAUGUGUAAAAGAUUGAUAUAUGUCUUUAUUUUUUAAUAUUUUAUUAUACUUUCUAAGACACUUGUCAAUCUUUUAACUUUGCUUAUAAAAUUUAAAAAUUCCACUAAUAAUCUCACCUAGCAAAAUGGAUUAAAAACAUUUAAAGUAAUUUAGUUGAAUUAUGAUAAAAGGUCAAUGUAUUCUAAAAUGCUAAAUGGCAUAAAUUUGAGUUUGUCAAAUUCUCUAGCAUUGGGAGGUAAGUCAAAUUGCAAACUAAGUUGAAUAUUUUUUGGCUUUUCAGUAAUCAUAUUCAUGCUAAUAUUUUUAGAUUUAAUUCUCACUUUCAAUAUUAAAAGAGGGUUCAAAUGCAACUUGGAGUCAACAUGAACAUGAUACUUUGAAAACCCUAAAGGGCACUUGCACUCUUGUUUUGGAGGUGAGGUUAAGAAGACCUACAACAAGUUUUAAUAGAAUUUGAUAUAGUUGAAAAAGAUUCAGAGGAAAAUGGUACCAAAAUCUACAGUCGUGGAAUACGAUGACUGUAUUAAAAUAUAUGAAAUUGGUUGAUGGUUUUAUUUAUUGUCUCUUAAUAUUUUAACUAAUCAAUUAAGUAGUAAUGAGAAGGACAUGACACUUAAUCAUUAUAGUUUCUAGUUAAAGUUUAGGAAGAUGCAUUGACAUCAAUUCACUAAUUUUUUAUGAAAAAUGUUUUUAACCGGUUCAUAUCCCCAAUACCAUUGAACGUUGAAUCAAAUGGUUUUGUUGAUUAGAGAAAGACACUAAGAAAUGUAGAGGAACAUGUAUGCGUAAGAGAGAAUUUGAGGCACAUUUAAUAAGUUAACUUUGGAAAUUUUAUAUGUGGAUAAUAGCAACGAAGAAAGAGACUGUUGAGAAUGAUCAAACUUGGAGCAUAUGUUUAGAUCCAUGUGGAGGUACCUAUUAGGUAAGUGAAACAAGCAAUUGAAAUGAUGGAGAGUUUAGUACACCGGUAUCGUACUAUGAUAAUUUAUGGUCAUUUUUAAUUAAUACAAGUCAAAAAUAAUAAUAUUUAAUAAACCUAAAAUUAAUGGGCAAAUAGUGAUGAGUUAUCCUAAAAUAGAAUUGAAGAGGAUAAGGUCCUACAAUUAAUAAUAAGAAAAGUGAAGACUCUUUGAAAAGAUUAAGGAUGUACUUUGAUUAAGAGUGGUUAUAAAAAAAAAAAUUGGGGGGAAGGGAUAGAGUGGAGUAAGGAAAGUGGUGUGAUUGCCCAUUAACAUAAGUAAGAAAUAUGCGAAUGAUUGCCCAUUAACAUAUAGAGUAGGUAAAAUUGACUUGUUUUUCUAGAAAGACAAUAGAUAAGCCUAAAAAGUUAUAAAAAGUAAUUGUUAAAAUAGUUAAAAUGAGAGGAAAAAAUAAGAUAUUUUUGUUUAUGAGAAUUAAGUGUCGUGAGUCGGGACGAAAAGAUUAAUCAUUGUUACGACAGUAAAUACCUUGAUUACAACGAAAAAGAUAAAAUACCAUUUUACUUUAUAGAAAAUUCUCAUGAUUUUAUAAAAUAUACCAUGAAUAUAUUAAAUCAUAUAAAAAGCGUAAUUCUAUAACUCAUACCUAAUUUAAAUACAGGAUGGUAUUUAGAAUGAUUAUAAGAAAAUGCUUGUUCAUGAAUGUUGUGAGUUUUCCGAAUCUUGGGGACAAUGUACCCUCUGGCUCCCGUCAGGAUUCACCUGGUAAUUUAUAAAAAGGAAUAAACAAUCACUUGGUAACUCACAACUCACAAGGCAUAAAAUAUAAUCACGUCAAGCAGCAAAACACAAACCUUUUUUAAUAUUCCAAUCUAAUACAAGUGAUAAUAUCAACUCUUAGAGCCCUAACUCUUAAAGUAUCAGCACAUAAUUUUAACCACUUACUUUUAAUAAAUACCACCAUCACUACCAUUAUCACCAUCGACAGAGCCUCUCAAUUCAUAUGUCCUGCAAAAAAUGGUGUCAACACUAACAAAAAAACCAAAAUUAUAUCAUUAAAAUAUAUUUGUAUUUCUUAAAAGGCAGAUCAUUCAGUUUUUCUGGACAAGUUUCCCUAUGCAAUCUAAUACAAGUGAUAAUAUCAACUCUUAGGGUCUGUUUGAUUGACGGAAUUGAUUUUCCGGAAAAUCAUUUCCAACUUUUCCAGCGUUUGAUUGGCGGAAAACAUUUUCCAUUUGGAAAAUGAACUCCAAAACAAGGGAAAAUGAGUUACAUUUUAGGGAAAAUGUCUUACUCUUUCAAUUUCUAUAAUUUUAGGCUUUUCCCACCUACCUCUAAUUACACAAAAUAUUUUCAGAUUUAAUUUACUAAUUUUGGCUUUUACAAGGUCAAGAUUUGACUAUCCCAUCAAAUGUCCCAAAUUUAUAAUUUGGUCCCUCUUCUCUUUUCCAUGCUUCAAUCUAACCCCUUCUUUGCUUGUUUUUGAUUUAAAGUGCCCGAAUUUUGUUCCUGUCAAUAUUUAAACACAAAACGCACCAAUUACCAGGGAUUAAUUUGAGAAUAAGUCGAGUUGAACACGUAAAUUAUGCAAAAUGAACAAGUUAUCAUUGACCAUUAGUGCUACGUCAGCACAAACAAACGGUGUUAGUGCAGAGAUACCAACCUAGGUGACAGAAUAUAAAUUCAGGUACCAAUUAGAUAAAAAAAAAUCAUACACCAAAUAAAUACUUUUGAAUAAGUUCGAAAAUAGACGACAAAUUAUCCUUUCUUUUCUCUUUUUAUCUACCUGUAAUAUUUGAAUAUGAAAAGAAGUUACACAACUUUUCAAUUUCAAUAGUAGUUAUUUAACUUUGCCUAGUUGAGUUUUACAUAAAAUUUCUUUCUUUCGUUGAACAUGCUCUCAAUGAAUCACUUCAAACCCCCAAGAUCCUAAUAUUUUGCAGAACAUAUCAAUUGAGAGGCUCUAUCGAUGGUGGUGGUGGUGUUAGAAUCCGUUUAUGCUGGUGGUAGCAUUUUGUAUUUUUUUUUAUCGUAUUUAUUAAAAAUAAGUGGUUAAAAUUACGUGUUGAAAAUUUAAGAUUUAGAGCAUAUCGCCACUCGUAUUAAAUUGUAAUAUAAGCAUCGAUUGUAAAAAGAAAAGUUUGUGUUUUGCUUGUACUGUCUCAUAAAAGACAUUAAGUAAUUUCGUUGUCGUGUUUAUAUUUUAUGCCUUAUGAGUUACCAAAUGGUUGUUCAUUCCUUUUUAUAAAUUACUAGCCGAAUCCUCUUCAGUGAAGGAGCUUGAAAAUUUUUUGGGAGGGUCGGAAUUAAAUUGUAUAUUUGUAUGAUGGUAAAAAUAGAAUUUUAUAAUUUUAAUAGCUUAUAUCUUUAUAAUUUUUAAAAGGUUAAAUCAAAAUUGUAUCAUUUUAAGAGGUCAAAGUAUAGUUUUACUAUUACUAAUUUAAAAUUUUAUAAAUUAUAAAGGGCCUAAAUUAAAAUUUACUAUUUUAAGGGGGCUAUGGCGCCUUGGGUCUCCACUACAUUAUGCCACUGAUCCUCAUGGAAGACAGAGGCUACCUUGACCCCCAAGAUUUAGAAAAUUGCCAUUUGACCUUUUUAAUUUUAUAAAAUUUUUAAUUUAGUUUAUUAAAAUUCUGUAAAUUUUCAUUAAACAAUUUUUAAAACUUUUAAUUAGAUCUCUCAAAUUCUUUUUGGAAAUUCUUAUUUUCUCAAUUAAUUUUUUAAUUAAACUAUUCAGAAUUUUUGAUAAUUCUCAUUAAACCUUUUUAAAAUUCUCGAAAUUUUAAUUAAAUUGGUAAAAUUUGAAAAAUUUUAGUGAAGGGAAUCCCUCCCACAUAUUGAUCAAGAAAGCUUUGAAAAAAUAUUAAUUAAUUAUAUGUUUGAGAGAUUAAUAAUGUACUAUUUGGCUCCCAACAAUAAUAAUUCACUCUUAAUUUUGCUUCUUUUCCCUUUUUCUUUUACUUGUUUUUGUGAAAGAUAUCAUAAUAUAUGUUUUAAAUAAUUAAUGUAAUAAUAGAAAUAUUAAAAAAUAUAGUUAAUAGUAACAAUAUUUUAUACAAGCACAAUGACUUAUUCAAUUCUCCAAUUUUACAAAAAGAGACCAAUAAGUGAUUAGAUGUAAUGACAGGUCACAUUGCAUUCCCAAAAGAACUGCCUAAGUUCGAACAUCAUAAGUAAUAUAAAAACUUAAACAAAGUCAUGUAACAACCCAUAUAUCAAGUAUCACCAAAUACCAUUUCAUUCUUAUUCCAUUGUUUAGUUUCUAUUUUCAAUCAACUGAAUAUCGUCCGAUGGAACUAUAGCAAAACGGGCUCAAAUACACGGGAAUAAGUUGGUCACACAAGUUGACAGUAUAUUAGGGCUGCUCAGACAAGUUGACAUUACAACAGAAUUGCUCACAUAAACUGAUAUUAUAUCAAGGUUAUUCAUCUGGGCUAAACCUUCAAUAUGUAUAACCCGAGAAUUUGAGACAAGCCCAAGAACUCAUCCUAUGUAAAAGGGGUGCCAAACCCUAGUGCAUAGUAGGGUAUGUUGCCGCCCCUUAGUGUUUUGAAUAAAGGGGAACUGUAGUAUCAUAUUAAAACAAUACUAUUUAAUUACUCAUUAUUCAAGUAAAACUUUUGUACUAUUUUCCUAAAAUAGGAUCUAUGAAAUGAUUUAAUUACACCUAUCGCUGUUAUUUUAUCAUAAAAUAGUGGUAAUUUGUUUAUAAGAAUAAAUUCUAUAUUCUGAAAAGCUCAAAGUUUUCGAUUUCUAUAUAGAGAAUUAACUUUCUCACUAAAAGUUCAUGAAAGAUUGGUUGAACUGGGCAAAAAAAUUGGUCGAAUUAGAUGCGAUUGAACUGGUUGAACUAAAAUAUUUUAAUAUAUUUUUAUUUUUUAUGAAUUUUUUAUGAUUUAUUUAAUUGAAUUAGACUAAUCAAUCAAACCAAUUGAAUCAAUUGGAUCAACAAACUAGUAACCUUAUUGGUUUGAUCAUCGAUUUAGUUUUUAAAACCUUAGAUUUCGUCAUACCGUUUCAAUUAUUAUACCUUAUAAAUAAAAUAUAAAGUAAACCAGUGGUGAAAUUAGGGGGAUUGGCAAGGGCCCUGGCCCUCCCUAAAAUGAUUUUUUUUUUCAUAUGGACCCUCUAAAAAAAUUAAAAUUUUAAAUUAAUAAAAAUAAAAUUAUACUUUGGCUCCCCUAAAAUAUAAAAAUUUGAUUUAAUCUAUUAAAAAUUAUAAAGAUGUAGUCUAUUAAAAUGGUGAAAUUGUAUUUUUCUAUCGUAAAAAUUACAAUUUAAUUUUAGCCCAUAAUUUUUUUUUUCUAAUUUCGCACCUGAAAUAAGCUAUAUUUGAUUAAAUUUAUUAUUUUACCUUACAUACAAAACACAAAAUAAACAUUUAACUAUACAAAAUUAAUUGAUGAAUUGUUUUACUCAGUUGAAAGUAGAACAAAUAAUUGAUCCAAGAGGAAAGUGAAAUUUAUCCUUUUAUACGUCGAACAUUAGCGAAAAGGACAAAAAAGAAAUUUUGGGUUAUUUGGCUUUUGUUUCCUGCUGCUCUCCUCAAUCCAUUGACGCUGUUUCACCCCCUUUCUCUCGAUUUCUCAAUGUUUCUUUUCCUGUAAUUUGUUGUGAUUUGAAGUAUAAAUCAGGGAGAAGUAAAAGCUAUCAUAAAAAUGGCGGAGGCAAUUCUUACGGUAGUCUUGCGACAGAUAACAACAAUCUUGAGUGACCAAGCGGUAAAAGAGAUGACGAUGUGGGGAGACCGCGAGGCUGCUCUCAAAAAUCUUGAAACAUAUCUGAAAUCCAUCCGAUCCGUUCUCAAAGAUGCAGAGGACCUUCAAAUUACAGACGAUGCAAUCAAACUGUUGCUAGAAGAUCUGAAAAUUGUAAUUUAUGAAAUCGAGGAUGUGUUGAAUUUAUGGAGCUGUAAAGUACGGAAGGCAGAAUCUGUUCGUGCCAAGGUAAAUUGUCUACUUGAAUUCAUUGCAUAUCGUCGUAGUUCUGAUAGAAUAAAGAAGAUUUGUGAAAAACUGAGUCCAUUUGAGCUGAAAAACAAGCUGGAUCUGGGCAAGAGUAAAAUUAUAUCUCCUCUGCGGAACAAAGAAAGUACUAGCUAUUGUGAUCUAUCAAAAAUUAUUGGUCGAAGCGGAAUAAAAACUGAGUUAGUGUUCCGUUUAGUUUNNNNNNNNNNNNNNNNNNNNNNNNNNNNNNNNNNNNNNNNNNNNNNNNNNNNNNNNNNNNNNNNNNNNNNNNNNNNNNNNNNNNNNNNNNNNNNNNNNNNNNNNNNNNNNNNNNNNNNNNNNNNNNNNNNNNNNNNNNNNNNNNNNNNNNNNNNNNNNNNNNNNNNNNNNNNNNNNNNNNNNNNNNNNNNNNNNNNNNNNNNNNNNNNNNNNNNNNNNNNNNNNNNNNNNNNNNNNNNNNNNNNNNNNNNNNNNNNNNNNNNNNNNNNNNNNNNNNNNNNNNNNNNNNNNNNNNNNNNNNNNNNNNNNNNNNNNNNNNNNNNNNNNNNNNNNNNNNNNNNNNNNNNNNNNNNNNNNNNNNNNNNNNNNNNNNNNNNNNNNNNNNNNNNNNNNNNNNNNNNNNNNNNNNNNNNNNNNNNNNNNNNNNNNNNNNNNNNNNNNNNNNNNNNNNNNNNNNNNNNNNNNNNNNNNNNNNNNNNNNNNNNNNNNNNNNNNNNNNNNGCAUCUUUCUAACACCAACAACAUUACUGCCAUCCUAAUAAACCAUAAGUACCAUUUCCACUCCAUCAUCAUCAUCAUCUUUCUGUUUUCACUUCUCUCUCAGCUAUAUGUUACUUUUUGUUAACUUCUAUAUGUAUAUAAUCUAAAGAAGCCUAAGCUUCUUAUUUAUAUACAAGCAGAACAUUUUGCAUCCCACUUAUUCAAUAUAAUAUAAAAAUAAUAUAUAAUUAAUUAAUUCCUCAAAAAUUGGAUCAAUCUAGGCUUCUUAUUUACGUAAAUUCCUUAUUGCAAAAACUCUUGGUAGAAAUUCGUUAGGAAAGGAUGAAUGGACCACAAGAAUGCUUAUCAACUCUUGACUUUGGCGUCCAAUGCUAAAUUUAUUUUAAAAUUUCUUCAUGGAGACAAGAUGGGAUGACAAGAAUGAUAAGUUUUAAGUCAUUUAAGUUUACACAAUUUUAAUCACUCAUAAAAACAAGUAUUGACAUUCUAUUAAAGAAUUUAAACAUGGCUUAACGUUGAUUUUAAAUCUAAUGUUGAUGUUAAUCUUGAAAAAAGAAUGGCCAAAAAAAAUAUGAAAAGUGAGAGGUGGACAUAAAAUAGUGUAGUUGGGGUUAUAAAAUUCUUCAUGUAGACAUAAUAUUUUUUUUAUGCCUUUUUUACACUUAUAUAGAGUUAGUCUUGACUUUGCUUUAUUAAUAGAAAUUUUAGGUCUUCAUUUUUUGUUUUAUUCAUGGACAUAAUAUUUUCUUAUUUUUAUUUUAUGGUCUAUGAUCGAGGUUUAUGACUAUCCCCUUUCAACAACGUCGUCUCAACUGUUCAAACAUACACUUGCAGGUAAAAUAAUACUUUUUAAAAUCACAAAUAUUUAAAAUAAUACAUUGCAGCUAUAUAAAUGCUUUCUUGUUUAAGAUACUAAUAAAGUAAUUAACAAAGUAAUUAUUAUACCUAUAAUAAUUCAAAAUGCCACUUGUUAUCUAAUGAAGUAUAGGGGUGUAAAUGAGACAUCCGUACCCGCAAGCUAUUCGAAUUUGGCUCAAAAAAUUUUGAAAUUGAUUCGGUAAUUAUUGAGCCGAGCUAUAGGUCGAUCCGGAUUCGAGCUUAGUAAUACUUGACUCGAGUAGUUUGAGAGCCUUAUUGAACUUUUUAUAUUUUUAUAUUAUUAGAUUACAUUAUUGCUAUUAAUAUAUAUUAUUAACCCUAAGUUUAAUUAUUGAGGCGAGCUCAAACUCGAGUACAAAAAUUGAUAAACAUAUUUAAUUUCGAGCUUAAAAAUAUAUGUUCGAUCGAGCAUCAAGCUUUGAAUUUCAAAUUAAACUUGAGUUUAACAGUAUUGAGUUCAAAUAGAUUCAAUUACACCCUACAAUAAAAUAUACCAACAAAACCUACAUUCCAUCUUUGCUAUAAAUUUUAUGUAUGUGUGUGUUUAACGUGAGUUCCAUCUAUGUCCAACUUGAUGACGAUGAAAGUUCCUAUGGUGUAAAAAGUUUUAGUUAUGUGGAAAAAUAAGGCCUUCUCUUCACACGUUUAAUAUGCUUACUUGUGUCGGUCAUUUCGAUCUUCACAUCAAUUUUCAAAAAGUUGGAAAACUUAUGUCUGCUUUUAUGAUUCUUUUAUGUGUGUGUUUAACGUGACUUCCUUGUGAGUUCCAUCUAUGUCCAACUUGAUGACAAUGAAAGUUCCUAUGGUGUAAAAAGUUUUAGUUAUGUGGAAAAUUGGUGGAAAACUUACGUCUUUUUCACUUGCUUUUAUGAUUCUUUUUACAUGAUAUUACUAUAUAAUUAAAUUGAAAUACUGAUAAAUUUGAACCCAUAUGAUGUAAGUCUAGGCAUCAUCUAAUUUAUUGAUAUUUAAUUAAUUAAUAUAUAUACUUUCAAUUAUAAGAAUUGAAACAUAACUUUCAAGUCAAUUGGAGUAUGCCCCUGUUACACGUCAAAAGAAGUAGAUUUUGAACUCAACAUGAACCUGUGAGAUUUGAUGCCUAAAAUAUAGGUAUAAGGUUUCAAUUCAUGGAAAUGUUGGAAAUCUUGGAAAUUUCUUAGUCUCCUCUCUUUGGAUGUUUUUGAACAAAAAUGUUUUAAGUCUCUUCCGAUGCUAAACUUCUGAUUGGUCGUCGGUUCACUGACCCUUUGGUACACAGCAAUAUGAAGCAUUGGCCAUUCAAGGCCAUUGCUGGUCCUGGUGAUAAGCCAAUGAUUGUACUACUAUAGAUUUGAAUAUUUGUACACAUUUGAUCGGCUCUUCGUAAAUUUAAAUCUUACAAAUUCGGAUAAUAUUUGAACUUUGAAUGUAUGUUUUGUUGGUGAGAAUAUAAAGUUGAUAAAGAUUUGGUAAAUAGAGUAAAAUAUUAUUUUUAUUAGAAAAAUUAUUUGGUACACUGCCAAUCGAGGUAAUUAAAACAUGUCAUUAUAAAUAAUAAAAUUAUGAUGACUCAAAUAUACGAACACGUCAAAAUUUAUGUACAACGAAUUAUUAACAUGUAAAUGUAUAAUACGGUACGCAAAAAUAAGAUAAUUGCUUGUUUUUUUAAUUGAAUUGUUAUAACAUAUUAUACAAAAUACAUUGUGACUUAAAGCAUAAAAUGAACUUGAUAUCAAAAUAUUAAAUUUUUUUUAAAAUUCAAUGAUACGAAUAAUUAUGUAAAAUAUAACAUGAUGCAAAAUAUCUUGAGAGGAAAAGAGGAAUAAAGAAUUGCAUUAUUUGUGAGGUUUUAAAAUAUUCCAGUUUUAGAUUCAAUUUUCUAGUAUGUUUGGUUUAAUUUUACAUUAGAUUUCCUUUUCAGUAUGCACUAGUGAACGCUUAGCAGUCAGUUUAAUUUAAUUCAAAGAGAUAUUGCAUAUACAUAAUAAUGGAUUAUGAUUUUACAUUAAAUUUCAUAGAAGAAAAAGAAAUAGAUGGUUGAAAAUGAUAAAACCAUAAGAUAAAAGAGCUUUUAUUCAAAAUGCAAAAAUCAACAAAAUAUUCAUUAUCGCUCAACUUAGCAUAAUUAAACAUUUAGGUGUGGAAACAAGUCACAAUUUGAGUAGCUAAACACAUUGCUUGAAAAUGUGAUAAGUAAGAAAAUUGCCCACAUUUGAGUAGCGACAUGUGGUGAAGCAUUUCCCAACGAGAGAAAACUAAGCUCUUCACCAGUAUGGAUUUAUGUAGAGGACAACAAAAAUUGUCAACAACACAACUACAUAAGAAACCAAAAAGCUCACAAAAAAAUCAUAAGUAUCUAUCAAACCAUCUUCUCCUUUAUCUUCUGAUACAAUUGAUAUCGCUGAUGGUGAAUCGGUUUUGGAACAACUUUUAUGCAAUAUAUCUCCACAACGAAAAGGAUUUCCCUCAUAACUGUUUUCAAUAAAGGUCCCAAAUUGAGCUUUUGGUUCGGGAAUACUACCUGACAAAUUGUUAUAUGCCACGCUGAAAACCUCCAAAGAGUUCAACUCUACCAAUUGAUUGGGGAUUUCACCACACUCAAGUUGUUGUAAGAAAGGUCCAAACUCUCAAUGUGCUGAAGUUUUGAGAAUGAUGAGGGUAUAACUCUGGUCAACUUAUUGUGUGACAAGUUUAAAGAAUGGAUUUCACUCAAGUUCCCUAAUUUUGGUGGGAUAUGACCAGUUAAGUUUUUGCAAGAUAAAUCAAUCCCAAUAAUAUAUGAAAGGAUGUUGCCCUUGUACGAAUAGAACCCACUCUUUGUUGUGAACUCUAUUACUUCUUCUAAGUAGCUGUCAGGGUUGUAAGGAUUUAUACCCCUUUCCCAUUUUCUCAUCACAAUGGAUGUUGAUUCAUCCUUUUCUAUAAAUGGAAGAUAGAACCCAGUUGCUAGACUCUCUUUCUCUUUCAGUGGAAGAGAUAAAUUUCCCAAACAAGAAGGUAUAGGACUAGAAAACAUAUUUUGAGAAAGAUCUAUGAUGCUUAAAGAAUGCAACUUGCAUAACUCAAUAGGAACUUUAUCAUGAAAAUGAUUAUCUUUCAGGAGAAGAACACUCAAAGAAGAAAGCGUGUAAAUCCAUUUUGGAAUACUACCUGUCAAAUUGUUUCCUCUAAGAUCUAAAGUCACUAUUGAAGAGUUAUUAUAAAAAAGCAAGUGAUAGUGUGCCUCUCAGUCUAUUCCCGUGGAGGUGGACAUGCUCUAUGUAUGGUGGAUUAAAACAUGACGGUAUAGAGCCAGAUAAAUUAUUUUGAGAAAGAUCCAAAAAUUCCAACCUAUUCAACUUUCAAAAUUCCAUUGGAAUAGAACCUUCAAAACCAUUGUUGGACAAAUUUAAUCUCCACAAAAAUGAUGCAUUCCCUAUCCAUCUUGGGAGCUUUCCAUGCAACUUGUUACUGAGAUCAAUUUCGCUUAGUGAAUUUGGAAACUCAAAAAGAAAUGUUCACACAAAGUUUUUUCCAACAUAUGUCUGUCAUUUGUGGGGUCUUGAAUUUAAUAUCAAUGGUUGAAUUUUCAUAGCUAAUAUGUGCGCAAAAGGCCUAGUGGGUGGAAUUUUAUGUCAGGAAAGCGUUUCUACAAUGACAUAAUUAAUUGCAUUACUUUUCAAAGAUUGACUAUUGACUUUGGUGAGCUUAUUAGGUUAAAUUCUGCUGCUGGUCACUGUUCUUUGUGAAAGUUGUAAAUUUAGUCUAUUUACUUCAAUUUGAUCAAUUUUAAUCCCUAUACAUUUUGAUUUUUAAAAUUUUAGUUGUGACCCAAACAAUAGAGUUAAAUCAAUUUAAUUAAAACCAAUUACUAGUCCUAUAUUAUGUGUACAAUUGUUGAUUUAGUCCAUACUCUCCAAUUGGAUCAUUCUAAGUACCUAUAUUUUUCAAAUUUUAAAAUUUCAGUCUUGAUGCAAAUGACAAUCCUUAGUCCGUUAACUAGAUUUUUAGUAACAUAUGAAAAUAAUAAGAUGAUAUGACAUUACAAAUAUGAUAAUAUUUUUGCGUUAAAUAUGUCAACAAUGACAUAAUUAAUUGCAUUAACUUUCAGACGUUGACCAUUGACUUUUGCUUCAACCUUGAGCUUAUAUAGCCCCUACAAUAAUUUAGGUUAUGGAAAUAAUCUUACAAUUAAUGCCUGAGAAAUUAUUAUAGAUCAAUUUAUAGUUUUAAUCCCUAUAAUUACUCAAUUGAAUUGAAGAUUCAGAUUUUCUUAUUUAAUUUGAUAUAUUUUCUUCUCUUAUUAAUGUUAAUGUUAUGGAUUAGUUUUUUUAAGACAACAUUAUUUUAUUCAAUGAAUAAUAUCAUACAAUUCGAGGAGAAAAUAACAAACACUCGUUGUACUCGUUAAAGGACAAGUUCCAUCAACACAACAAAACCUUUAACUUCAACAUUAAUAGAACAUUAUGGCAUGUUGAAAUCGGCUCUGUCACAACUCAAGCACAACAUAUCAGGAGUGAUUACAAGCACUUAAUAUGGUAAGAAAAUUAACCCCGGAUGGUCCAAAGCGGUGGGCAUAAAUCAGCAAAAGAACUGAGCAUCCACCAAACUAGAGGGGAUGCGGCGACAAAACUAACCCUAAAAUUACUCUCAAAAGCAAGACUAAAAAGCGUACUACAAGAGUAGACAAAAACUUCGAAAAGUAAAGACUUAUUAAACAAUGGAAAAAUAAACAAAAAAAACAUAUAAAACUUAAGAUAACAUGAGUCUAAACCGAGUCAUGAAAUUAUUUAUUAUUUUGAAACUCUCAAAACAUAAACAAAUUAAGAAGUCAACGAAGAGGUACCCACUUUCUAAAAGAAAGUGUUGGUGGUCGGUGGUGUUUCAAUGAUGAUAGGCAUUGUCACCUGUUCAUCACAACUUGUAAAGAUAACAAAAAUACCCACAAAAUAAAUCUGUAAAUUGAAAAGAACGAAGACUCAUGGAGUGAAUGAGAAGAAGAAAAAUAAAAAGGGUUAAUAGAGACAAAGCAGGGCGGUAACUAGUUCAGAGGCUAACACCGCUGCUAGGCUAAAAAAAGAAGAAGAAGCAAACAUGUUAUGGAUUAGUUAAAAUAACUAACAUCAUUGAAAAUUUCAUUACUUGGCUGAUUUGGAUUUUUUUUUUUAAAAAAUUGAAACUAGAAACCAUAAAUGAUCUAACAUUUAGAAACCAUAAAUUGGGUUCAAUUGCUUUGCUGUCCAACUCCAUCCAUCUAAAAUCGCAAGGAUGUACCCAUGUUCAAUAUGCAGUACAGACCCAAAAAUUGACCAUAUAAUGUGGCUCAAGAGAAUUUUCGAAUGGUUUUAAAGAAUUAUGAGAACACAAUGAAUAAAGUUAAGGCAUCAUUUAUUCAGCUUGCUAUAAUGCAGGUCAUUCCAAUAAAGAAGCAUUUUUUAACUAUAUUUUCCGUUACCCCAAUAACAAUGGCACAGAAUGUUCUCCGAUGAACAUAGAACUCACCAUUUUUAGGAACACGUGUAGUUGAGGAUGAGAAUUCGGAUCAACUGUAACUUCAAAUGGUGGAAUGAAAACAUUGUCCAGAAUAUUCUGAAAAGAUUUUUCAAUUCCCAUUUGCUUGUACACAUUAUACAAUCGUGGUGACUGCAGAAUUAAGUCAAAAUCAAGUGAAGAAGGUUACCUUUGACUUGAGAAAUAUAUCACAGAGAGAGAGAAAGAGAAAACAGUAAUCUGGAAAGAUGAUGCUUAAUAUGGACAUGAUACCCUAGAAACCGAUCGAUCUUAAAUUUUAAUUUCUAAAAUAUUAUUAGCUUGUGCAUACUUUCAAAUACUUUUCAUUAGAGUUACCAUAAGACUAAUUUUUCCAAUUUUAGAUGAUUCAAGAAACUAUUUGGGGGCAAUUCUUAAAUAAACAUGUCCAAACAGUAGUCAUUAACAAGAAAGCAUCCAAGAAAACCAGCAGUUAAUACUUAAAUUAACAUUAUCAAAUGGAGAUGUAAAGAAGAAAGAAUCCUACUGCAAAGCUAGAUAGCAGGAGAAUCACUAGAAUGAAGAGAAAUACUAUUGGCACUAUACCUGGAUUAACCAAACAGUAGUCUCACUAUAAAUUUCAUUGUUAAUAAACCAACUUGCCAAACUGGUCCCAUUCACUUUGUUUCCUUCCAUAUAUGGACACCCUGUACUCUGCCAUCUAGAAAAUAUAUAUAUUAUUCAGUGUAGUCAGAGGCGCAAGGAGCACUCUAGGUGCUAGAAUCCUUUUAUUGUACAAGGCACAUGGCGCACAAAAAAAAAAAAAAACUUGCUUAUGUUAAGGCACAUGUAUGCGUGUUUUGGUAUGUCCAUGUCUGUAUAUAUAUAAGCCGAAGAUAUAUAAUUAUAAUAAUAAACUAUAAAAGUGCUCCAGUCUGAAGUACAGAACAUGCCAAAUUUUCUUUCUUUUGUCAACCAUAUGCAUAUUUCCAUAUGAUGCCAUGCCUGGUGUUGAAUACUCAAAUAUUGAGAAGUUGAGAGUUCGAUAUUAUCCCUUUGUUACAAUUAAGAAACAAUUAAAGAGAUAGUAAAGAGAACUUCAAUUAGAAGGCCUUUUCCCCCUACAUGCACCAGGCAGGCGCUUAGCCUGAAAAGGUCAAAGGCCCUUUUACUGUCUGGUGAUAAGGCAAAAAACAUUGGACAAAGUUGGUGGGAGGAUAGAAUACUAAAAGAGCCCAAUGUUGUCACUUUUCUAAAGUAAGCUCAUAUGCCUUUUUUGUACCCAAACAAUAUCUUACCCUUUAAUUUGUACCUAAAGAAAUUAUUUCUAAUAGAAAGUUUACUUUUGUUAUGAUCAAUGCUGGAGGCCAAAACUGAUUUGGGCUAAGGAAUUGGUGGUGAGAGUUGGAAGGCAAGAAGAAAGAAAGUUCUUUUGAGUGUUAUAUUUUUCAAAAAAUACAAAUUGUUCAUUUUUUUUACCACAUCAUCAUGCCAGGUCAGCUUCCAUGUGGAUAAAGAAAAUUUUGGCGGCAUUGAAACAGAGGCUUCAUGGGCUUUUAGUAAUUUAGCCCUUGGAAGGAAUAUGACCAUCCAAAAAAAGGCAGUUGAUGCUUUAAGGUCAAUUAGCCGAAACAAUAACAACAAUUCCUAGGCUUCAAUAAAAUAAUUUAGACAACAAAUAAAGCUUGAAGGUUGAGUUUUGCACUGCAGCAGCAUUGGGCUUUACAAGGUGAAAACCCACAUUGCACAAAAAUAUCAAAGUUUCAGAUCUAUCAUAAUUUAAAAUUCUAACUAAACUAAACGCCAAGAAUGCUGAAUGCCUAAUCAAAAAACAUAAGAUUAACCCAAGGACCUAAUUGGGUAUGCUAAAAUUUGUCUUGGAAUGAAAUUAAUAAUAUCCUUACUAUUUCACUUUUUUUUUCUUCAUAUGUUUGGUGUGAGCAUGAUACAGAUUAGACUGAUUUUAAAGUAAAAGUAAAACGAUACCAAACCUAAACAUUUUGGUUUUUUUUUAAUUUUUUAUCAGAGCCCUGUUUGAUGCAUUUUUAGUUUUGUUUUCUAAUAACAAAUGGAAAGUUAAUUAAAAAAAAACCCUAAUCCAAUGAGUUCUUUUAUAGAUAUAAGAUAAGUCCUGCAAAGUUUUUGUUUUUUAGAAAUAAAAUUUUAUUUUUGUUUUUUAAUUCUUCAUACCUAUUUUAAUAUCUAAGUUCCGGAUUCCUAACUGCCCUUUCAAUUAUAUAGUAUUCAAGAUUUGAACUUAUAUUUUUCUAUAAAAAUAUAAUGUAUUUUAUUAUUGUAUCCUACAUUCAUUAAUACUUAGUAGAAAUAACCUAAUAAAAUGAUUUUUUUCAUAUAUUAAUAGAGAUAAGAUUCGUGCAAAAUUGUUGGUUGAAAAUUCAUUAGGAAAGGAUGAUUGUACGAAUGUACCAUCAUUAUAAGUGAGCUCAACGAUAAGCCUCCUAUCAAUCACCAGUGUGCAGAAAACAUUUGAAAUCGAAACACCCGUUCAUACAUCAUACAUCAUCAUAAGUGAGCUCAACGAUAAGCCUCCAAUCAAUCACCAGUCUACAGAAAACAUUUGAAAUCGAAACACCCCGGACAUCUCCAACAAAUCUGCCAUAACGUUAGCAUCUCUUCCAUUUUUUCUAAACAAAACCUCACUAAGCUCAUCAAAUGUGCCAAUAUUUCCAAGGCCUAGAUUUCUCAUUGAUACACCAAGAAAGCUCGACUAUGGAGUCGGAUUCAACCAUAAGCUUUCAGUCUAUAAUCCACUAGGAAUCCAAAAAGAAACACUCUCGAACACCUAAAGAACCUGAAACAUAGCAAUGACAUGACCCUUUGAAUUUCUAAGAACCUCACCUCACCACGUCGAGCUAAGAUUACCUAAUGUCGAACCUUCACGGUUAAACUUUUACCAGCCUUCACCUUACUCUUGAUAUGAUGAUUAUGGAUACUCCCUUCACAAUCCCACAAACACUCCCACCAAAUUGACUCAACAAAAUUUGCACCUAUAGGUUUUCUGUUUAUAUUUGAUUUUGUUCACACAUUGCCUAAAACUACUCAUGAUCCCUCUCCAACCUAUAAAUACGAGGAUAAUGCGCUUCAACGCGCUCAAACCCACGUCCUCCUACAUUAGCAACAAUACUCAUGUCAAUCGAGUUAAAACACAAUCAAUAGAUUUUUUUUAAAAAAAAUCUUUAAAUGUUAUAUUAUUAUAUAAGAAUUUGAAACAUGACUUCCGUAGGUUUUAAAUCUAAUGUUGACACUAAUCUUGAAUAAGUCAUUCCACUCCCAUCUUAACUAAUGGCCAAAGAGAUAUCAAAAGUGGGAGAUGGCCAUAAAAUUGUGUAGUUUGGGUUAUAAAAUUUUUGGGCAAACUACAUAUAUUAUCAUUUAAUUAUAUAUUUUUUUCAAUUUAAACACUUAAAGUAAAAAAUUUAUAAUUUAAGCACCCACAUUAUAUAGUUUAGUUAUUUUGAUCACUCCAGUUAAAAUAAAAAAUGGCAAACUGAAGCGACAAUUAAAAAAAUGUAUAAUAACAAAUUUAACCCUCAAAUUUUAUAUAUUAUAUCAAUUACAUAUUACAACUAAUUUUAUAAUUAUUGAUAUUGAAUAUGUCCCUCACUACGUUAGGGAUUUUUUUUAUAAUUUGUAUUUAAUUAAUAUUUAAAAUUAAUUUCAAAAUAUGUGAAAAUUUUAUAAUUAUUUGGUGUUAGUCCCUUUAUUAUACCCAAAUUUAGGAUUAAGCCCCUAUAUUUUAAUUUUGACAUAAUUUGUUUCUUUCACUUUUAUAAUCUCAUUAAUUAUUUCAAGUAACUAACACUUUUAACAAUAUUGCCAAAUAAAAUAAUGUCAUAUUUUUUUUUCUUAAAGCCAUCACUUCUAACUAAAUCAUGACUUAAUCACUUUCUAAUUAAUCAUACUAACUUAGAUUUUUCUUUUGUUGGAAUCAGUACGUUUAAGGAAAACCCACCUUAACAUUUGUAGAUGUCUUCAACAAUUUCCUAAGCACGAUACAAUAAAGCUUGGUGUGUAUAAUUUUGUUUUAUGGAAGCUCCAAAUUAUGUUGAUUCUUGAAUGAUACGGUCUGCAUGGGUUUGUUUUGGGUGCUAUUAGUGUACUAGCACAGUUUGUAGAGGAUAAAUAUGGGAGAUUAGUAGAAAAUUCUGAUUAUGUUUUACAUGUGCAACAAGAUAAGCUAUUGGCUUCUUGGUUACUUUCAACUGUUAGUGAUGAAAUCCUAGCCUAUCUUACUAGUGCUCGUACUAGUUAUUAUAUGUGGGAAACUAUUGAAAAGAAGGGUUGCGACUAAGUCCACGGUAAAAUUGUCCAGUCAUGUGUUGUAUUCACAGAAAAAGGGUCAUUUGUUUGUUAAAGAAUAUUUGUCUAAGAUCAAGUCCAUGUGUGAUAUGUUGGUUGCAACGGGUUGUUUGAUUUCAAAUCAAGAAAUGGUUAGCAUCAUUCUUGCAAGGUUGCCAGUUGAGUGUGAAUCAGUACGGGUAGUAGCUUCAGCUACUGGUGUGUCACUUGAUCUGUUGAUUGAGAUGCUGCUUGAUUGUGAAGCUCGAAAAUUGAGUUCUUGAAUAGUGUUCUCGUACAACCUAACAUAGCUAGUAAACAAGAUUGUGAUGAGGGUGAUCGGACCAAGGGUUCUGAUUAUAACAGUGGCUAUCAAGGGAACAAACAGACAUAUAUAGGUGGUUUUCAAUGCAAUAGAGGUUCCAUCGAGGUUGAGGCCGUGAGGGUUGUUUUUCUAACAAUCGGCCCCAAUGCCAGUUGUGUGGUAAAAUUGGACACAUUGUCCAAAAGUGUUAUUACCGUUUUGAUGAAAAGUUUUGCAGGUAUUGCUAGGAUGGUAAUAUGGUAUAGUGGGCUGCAUCUUGAUUGUUUGUUUCUCAUGCUGAGGCUAUAAUUUUAAUCAUACCUAUUAUUGUUUCUUGUGUCCUGCAAUUUCAUCAUUUGCAGGCUGUUUCACUAAUUGCAUCCUAUUUACAAGUUCCCUUGUGUUAUCCUCUGCGCUUGGGUGGUUCUCGCUCAUAUAUUAAUGACCAUGCGUCUUCAAUAGACCAUGCAUCUUCUGAUUUGUCAUUGGAUACAACACUUUCAGCAAAUGUAAAGCCGGUAGAAUUUCCGCUGUUUUUAGAAGGUCAAGACACGACAAGAGCAGCAUAUGCUGUGUUCUUGUUAAACAAGGUAAGCUUUUGCAUAUUAGUAAUUUUUUUUUCCAAGAUGAAUUAUUCUCCUUUGGCAUUUUAUAUUAUAUAAUUAGUCACUACAAAACAUAAAUAAAUAAUAAUACUCCAUUUUUACAAUAAAAAUUCACUAAAGAAAAUACAUUUGAAGUCUAUCAUUGCUUUUUCGAAUAAGAGUCGGUCAAGAAAGUUAUGCGCAAAUACUUAUAUCUUUAUUUCAGAUGCUUUCAAUUCUAUUGUCACUUAAAUCCAAGUACUUUAAAUUUGUCAAAUUAUUCAAUUUUGAAAUUCAAUCCCAAAUAUUGAUCAAUUAUAUAUAUUCAUGAUAUGAUAAAAGCAAAGACAUCUUUCAACAUUAACUUUCCCUUAAACAAAAAUUGGUUUUAAAGUAAAAAAGAAACAUAUAAAACCAGUCUAGCUUGAAUAUGAAUCAAUAUAUAAACACUAUACUUAUACCUUGGUUUGAGAUGCUUUCAAUAUUGUUGUCGCUUAAAUACAAGUAUUUCAAGUUUGUCAAAUUAUUCAAUCCCAAAUAUUGGUUAGUUAUAUAUGAUAUGAUAAAAUCAAACUUGAACAUACAUUGAUUUUUAAAGUUGAAAAUUACUUGUUAAUUUUUUUUCUUUCUUACCUAUAUGAAAAUUUUACUAAAGUAAAAGUUGAAUUACAACGGAUAAAAAGAAUGGAAAACUAGGUACCAAGCCUAGAAGACCAUCCUCAAACUCCACUAUACAAAUAAAAACUACUCAAACUCCACUAUACAAAUAAAAACUAACACCGGACCAAACUUAAUUUACCUCUUAGAUGACUUGAUCCUUCAAACUGGUUGUAUGAUAGAUCUAAAUACCGGAGAGAUGAAAGCUCACUCAAAGAUAACAAAAUGCUAUCAUUCAAGUAAUUGUAACUUAAGUCAAGGAUCUCCAAAUUACUCAAUGUGAAUGAUAGCUUUCCAAAGCCUGUAGAAGUGUUCUUUUAAACAUAUACAAGCAGUUAGUGACUUUUCUUCCAUAAAAUAAAAUAUAAGUAAUUGUAAAUUAACAAUGGUGAGAAUAGUGGAAUAGUAAAAGAUAUAAUUAAGGAAAAAAAAUAAAGGCACGACCUUCAUUUUCAAGGUUACCACCUAUGGCAUUUCCCGACAAAUAAAGUCUCUUCAAUUCCUCAAAAGGAAGAAACAUAGAGGCAUUGAGAUACCAGACAAUGAGAUUCCUAUUAUCCAUGCCGUAUUCCCAAUUGUCUUCCCAUUUUGUAGAAAUAAGGGAGAGUUGUAUGAGUCUCCUAGUGGUGGUGUUACACUCAAAUCCUUCCCAUUUACAACAAUCUGAACCCUUCACCUCAACCCAACUUUGCAAUGGAUUACGAUAAACGAAGAAAGGCUUGAGAUGCAAGAGAGCGAUUCUCUCAUGCUCCAAACAAGCAUCAGUAGUACACCAUCUGCAUCCUUCUAACACCAACAACAUUAUUGCCAUCCUAAUAAACUAUAACCAUUUCCACUCCAUCAUCAUCAUCUCUCUGUUUUGUAUACAUAUGGACUACAAUUCAAGUUUCAUGCUUAUAAUUAUACCAAAUCAAAGUUCAUGUAUCAAAUUGCACAUUAAAUCAAAAUUUAUGUAUACAUUUGAUAUUUAUCUCAUUUAUGGGAGAUUAACUUUCUAAUGGUAUUGUUUUGUUUACAUUAAUCCAAAUAAUAGGAAAUGAUGAAUUAGUUUAACGCAAAUUGUAAUUCUAUUAAUGUUUCUUCUCAAACUUUUGGUUGCUCUUAUUUACAUGUUUUAUUAAUUGAUAGAUUUAAAUUCUUGGAAUAUAUUCGGUUAGAAUGAAGUGCCCCGAAUCCUUAUUUAAAUAAAAUACAGUGUUAAAAUAAAAGAAAAGUAAAAUCCCUACAGAAUUAUACUUCUUUUAUUUUAUUUUAGAAUAAGGCUUUUUAAAUCUUAUUAAACUCCAUCUAUUUGAUAUUGAUUAGAAUAAAGAGUUUCACUCCUAUUAGAAUAAAGUUUUACAAGCCUAUAAAUAGACAUAGUCUACUCCUCUUGUAAUUAAUUCAAAUUCGACAUAGUGAAUUUUCUUCUCCUCUGCCCGUGGUUUUUUCCCGAAAGGGUUUCCACGUAAAAUUUGUGUGUUCUUUAUUUUUCUAUUUCUAUUUUCUUUGUGAUAUAUUAUCAUUACCGACAUUUAUUUUCACAAAUUGGUAUCCGAGCUUCUGGGUUGUUCAUCGCAAUCACUGUAAUGACGUCUUUGAAGUAUGAAAUUCUACUGUUGGAUCGCAACACCAGAUUCGCAUUUUGGCAGAUAAAGAUGCAGGCAGUUCUUGCACAGAUGGACUUAGAGAAAGCCCUGCUAAGGUUAGAUAAGAUGCCUUCAACAUUGAUGGAGGAAGAGAAGAAGCACAAGGAUUGAAAGGCGUUAACACAAUUACAUCUGCAUUUGUCUAACGAAAUUUUGCAGGAUGUGAUAAAGGAGAAUACCGCCGCUAGAUUAUGGAAGACGUUGGAACAACUAUGUAUGUCGAAAACUCUAACUAGUAAGCUGCAUAUGAAGCAGCGUCUUUAUGCUCAUUGUUUGGAGGAAGGUGCGUCUAUGCAUGAACACUUGACAGUGUUUAAAGAAAUUCUCUCAAAUUUGGAGGCCAUGGAGGUUCAGUAUGAUAAGGAAGAUUUAGGGUUGAUUCUACUUUGUUCGUUGCCCCCGUCUUAUUUAACCUUUAGAGAUACAAUUUUAUAUAAUCGCGAGUCUUUCACAGUUGAUGAGAUUUAUAAUUCUUUAACCUCGUAUGAUAAGAUGAUGCAUCUUAUGGUUAAAACUGACUCUCAAUGAGAGGGUCUCAUUAUUCGUGAGAGAUAAGAUCAGAAUAUUGAUGAUGAUCAUGGAAGGACACAAGAACGGAAUCCUCGUGGUAAAUCUAAAGGUAGAUCGAAGUUUUCAAACAGAGGUAAAACUUGUAACUUCUGCAAGAAGAAAGGGCACAUUAAAUCUAAGUGCUAUAAGCUACAGAAUAAGAUCAAAAGGGAGACUGUGAAUCAAAAUGGAAAACAACCAGAAAAUUUUGGUAAGGCUAAUGUUGUAGAAUACUACAGUGAUUGUGAACUUCUAGUCGCUUCUGUCAAUAAUUUUAAAGUGAGCGAGGAGUGGAUCCUUGAUUCGGGUUGCACCUUCCACAUGAGUCCCAAUAGUUAUUGGUUUACAACUUACGAAAUAGUGUCUGAAGGUGUUGUUUUAAUGGGAAAUAAUACUUCAUGUAGAAUUGCAGGUGUUGGAACAAUUAAAGUUAAGAUGCUUGAUGGAGUUGUCAGAACACUUAGUGACAUAUGACAUGUUCCAAAAUUGAAGAGAAAUUUAAUUUCAUUGAGUACUCUUGAUUCAAAAGGGUACAAAUACACAGCUAAAAGUGGUGUUUUGAAUAUUUCUAAAGGUUCCCUCAUUGUGAUGAAAGGAUAGAGAAAGACUACCAAGUUUUAUGUUUUGCAAGGUUCUAUUGUUACUGGUGAUGCAGCUGUCGUAUCCUCUUCCUUGUCAGAUGAUGAUAUUACUAAACUUUGGCAUAUGCGCCUAGGGCAUAUGAGUGAGAAUGGCAUGGCAGAAUUGAGCAAAAGUGGACUUCUUGAUAGGCAAUGAAUUUGCAAACUGAAGUUCUGUGAGCACUACAUUUUUGGGAAGCAAAAGAGAGUUUGAUUCACCAGAGGAAUCCAUAACACAAAGGGAACGUUUGAGUAUAUUCAUUCUGAUCUGUGGGGGCCAUCCAGAGUACUUUCGAGAGGUGGAGCUAAUUAUAUGCUAACUUUUAUUUAUGAUUUUUCCAAAAAAGUGUGGGCGUUCUUCCUGAAGCAGAAAAACGAUGUGUUUUUUGUAUUUAAGUCUUGAAAAACCAUGAUUGAAAAACAAACGGGAAAGUAAAUAAAACACCUCCGCACAGACAAUGGCUCAGAGUUCUGUUUUGAUAAGUUUAAUAAAUUGUGCAAGUCAGAAGGGUUCAUGAAACACUUGAUAGUUCAUCAUACUCCACAGGAAAACGGCGUUACAGAAUAAAUGAACAGAACGAUCAUGGAGAAGGUUCGAUGUAUGUUGUCAAAUACCAACUUACCAAAGUCAUUUUGGGCUGAAGCAGCCUCUACUGCAUGAUUUUUAAUCAACCGAUCUCUAUCCAUUGCCAUUGAGAAAAAGACUCCACAAGAGGUAUGGUCUUGUAAUCCUGCUGACUAUUCUGAUUUAAAGAUUUUUGGUUGUCAUGUGUGUGUGCAUGUUGAUAAUGGAAAAUUGGAAUUGAGAUCCAUUAAAUGUGUUUUUCUUGGUUAUAAAGCUGAUGUAAAAGGGUAUAAGUUAUGAUAUCCUAAAAAUAGAAAAGUUGUGAUUAGCAGAUAUGUUAUUUUUUAUGAAACUGCUAUGCUACCUAACUUAUCUCUUAAAGAAUCUCUCAAUAAAGAAAAUCAAAAGUAGGUGGAGCAUCAGAUUAAUACAGAAUCUACAACAGAGUCGACUACUGAAGCCAGUACAAAAAUUCAAAAUAGAGUUGCUCCUUCACCAUAAUACUCUAUCGCCAAAAAUAGAACUAGAAGAGAAAUUAGACCUCCAAAGAAGUAUGUCAAGUCUGAUCUAGUUGCUUAUGCUUUAAAUGUGGCUAAAGAUAUAGAUGUAAAAUAAGAGCCAUCUAAUUAUUCUGAGGCGAUUAGUUGUGAAGACUCAGAAAAGUGGAUGUUUGCUAUGCAAAAGGAGAUGGAAUCACUCCACAAAAAUAAAAUAUGGGAUCUUGUGAAACUUCCUAAAUGUAAAAAGAUUAUUCGUUGUAAAUGGGUGUUUAAAAAGAAAGAAUGGACUCCAAGAGUUGAAGAACCCAGAUAUAAAGCAAAGUUUGUUGCAAAUGGUUACAGUCAAAUUCCAGGAGUGGACUUCACAGAUGUGUUCUCUCCAGUUGUGAAGCAUAGUUUGAUUCAAGCUUUACUUGGUAUUGUGGCCAUACAUGAUUUGGAGCUUGAACAGUUAGAUGUAAAAAAUGCUUUUUUGCAUAGAGAAGUUAAGGAGGAUAUUUACAUGCAACAACCAGAGGGUUUUACAGUCUCAGAAAAAAGGACUAUGUUUGCUUGCUGAAAAAGUCUCUUUACAGUUUGAAACAGUCACCAAGACAGUGGUACAAGAGGUUUGAUUCAUUUAUGACUUCUCAUGAUUUUAAAAGAAGUAGCUUUGACAGUUGUGCUUACUUUAAGAAAAACAAUGAUGGUUCUUUUGUGUAUCCACUCUUUUAUGGUGAUGAAAUGUUGAUAGCAGUGAAAGAUAAAUGAGGGAUAAGAAAGGUCAAAGCCCAACUAAGUGAAGAAUUUGAGAUGAAAGAUUUGGGACCAGCAAAGAAGAUACUUGGUAUGGAGAUUCUCAAAGAUAGAAAAGUAAGUAAAUUGUACCUAAGUCAAAAGGGGUACAUUGAGAAAGUUCUUUGCAGAUUCAAUAUGCAGAAUGCUAAGCCUGUUAGUACUCCUUUAGCAGCCCAUUUUAGACUUUUAUCGGCUUUGUCUCCACAAUCAGAUGAUGAGAUUAAGUACAUGUCACAUGUUCCAUACUCUAGUACAGUGGGAUCUCUCAUGUAUACUAUGGUUUGUUCACGUCCAGAUUUAUCAUAUGUAGUUAGUGAAGUUAGCAGAUACUUGGUGAAUCCCGAUAAAGAACAUUGGAAAGUAGUUCAGUGGAUUUUAAGAUACUUACGAGGUACUACUGAUGUUUCCUUACAGUUUGGAAGAACUAGAGAUGAAGUCAUUGGGUAUGUUGAUGCUAAUUUUGCUGGAGACUUUGAUAGAAGAAGAUCUCUCACAGGUUAUGUCUUUAUAAUCGGAGGUUGUGCAAUCAGUUGGAAAGCCACUUUGCAAACUACAGUUGCUUUGUCCACCACUGAAGAUGAGUACAUGGCGAUUACUGAGGCUUGUAAAGAAGCUAUUUGGUUGAAGGGACUCUUUAGUGAACUCAAUAAAGGCUUUCAAAUCAAUACAGUAUUUUGCGACAGUCAGAGUGCUAUCUUCUUUACAAAAGAUCAAAUGUUUCAUGAGAGAACAAAACACAUUGAUAUUCGGUAUCAUUUUGUUCGUGAUAUUAUUGCUUGUGGUGAUAUUGUUAUGAGCAAAAUUAGUACUCAUGAAAAUCCUGCAGAUAUGAUGACUAAGUCACUUCCUAUAACCAAGUUUGAGCAUUGCUUAGACUUGGUUAGUGUUCAUUGUUGAAGUUAAACCCUUAAGGGGUUUUAUGGAAUAGGUGGAAAACUUGAUCGUUGAGAGUUCGCGAUGAAGAACUUGUUCAUUAAGAAUUCGUGUCAAUGUGGAGAUUGUUAGAAUUAAGUGACCCGAAUCCUUAUUUAAAUAAAAUACAGUGGUAAAAUAAAAUAAAAGUAAAAUCCCUAUAGAAUUAUACUUCUUUUAUUUUAUUUUAGAAUAAUAUUUUUUAAAUCUUAUUAAACUCCAUCUAUUUGAUAUUGAUUAGAAUAAAGAGUUUCACUCCUAUUAGAAUAAGGUUUUACAAGCCUAUAAAUAGACAUAGUCUACUCCUCUUGUAAUUAAUUCGAAUUCGACAUGGUGAAUUAUCUUCUUCUCUGCCCGUGGUUUUUUCCCGAAAGGGUUUCCACGUAAAAUCUGUGUGUUCUUUAUUUUUUCUAUUUUUAUUUUCUUUACGAUAUAUUGCUAUUAUCGACAUUUAUUUUCACAUAUUCUAAUUAAUUAGAUAUUUCCUUCCUUCCAAAAGCCUUUCAAAAUAGGUUUAGUUUGACCAAGAUACUCUUGUAGAAAAUUUUAGUUUUGUGGGAAAACGAAAAACUAGAUUUAUUUUUUAUUCUAAUUGGUUUCAUAUGCAAGGUAUAUAAACUUUUGUGUCGCUGCAAUUUUUUUCCAACAUAUGUAUGUGAUUUGUGGGGUUUCAAUUUUGAAUUUUUUUUAUAAUUUAAUUAAAUUGUGAAAGUAUUUGAAAGUUUUUAAGUUGAUACAAUGUUUAGAACUACCCCAACACCCACCCAACCCUUAAAUAGGAGGAUAAACAUGCUUCAGCACGCUCAAACUCACAUUCUCCUACAUCUAUGAUAAUACUAAUGCCAACCGAGUUAAGACUCAACUAGCCUUGAAUUUUGAAUUUUACUUCUGAUAUAUUUUGAAUUUUGAAAUUUUAAUUUUGACCCAAACAGUAGCAGUUAAUUUAAUUUGAUUAAAUUUAAUUACUAGACCUAUAUUAUGCGUACGAUUAUUGAUUAGUCUAUACUCUCAAAUUGGGCAAUUCUAAGUACCUAUACUUUCUGAAUUUUGAAAUUUCAGUCUUGAUGCAAAUGACAAUUGUUAAUCUAUUAAUUAGAUUUUUAGCGAGUAAUAUGUAAAAAUAACAAACUGGCAUAACAUUACACAUAUGAUAAUAUGUUUAUUGCACCGCAUUUGAAAAUAGCCGAAUUUAACAAAUAUCGUUAGUGAGGAUUGGAAAUUAGAGUCUAGGGAUUAAAUCCACAAGUUCAGUAAAUUACAAGAACUAAUGGUAGAAUUUAACCUUUAUAUAACCUUUAAAUUCUAACCGUGGUUUGCACACUACUCAGCCGACCAUUGGCUGUGGUGGGAACACAAACUGUUUGAAUUUGACAUCAGUGAUUGAAUUUUCAUAGCUAAUAUGUACGUUCCUUCAAUUUCUCCAUAGGAGGGAGUGGAAUACAUUAUAUAAGGUAAUAUUUGAUAUAUUCGGUAAAUGAAUAAUUGCAAGAUAUCUCAUUAUCUAGUAAAAUAAAUAAUGAAAAUUUUAUAAAUAAAUAUUAAUAAAAUAUUAUUACAUAUAUCAACAAUGACAUAGUAAGUUGCAUUAACUUUUAGAUGUUGACUAUUGACUUUUGCAUCAACCUUGAACUUACAUAGGCCCCUACAAUAAUUUAGGUUAUGGAAAUAAUCUUGCAAAUAAUGCUUGAGACAUCAUUAUACAUCAAUUUAUAGUUUUAAUUCUUGUACUUACUCAAUUGGAAUAAAGAUUUAGUUUUUUAUUUUCUUUUGAUACAAUGUCUAGAAUUAUCCAUAGCCCUUUUCCAACCCUUAAAUAAAUGAAUAAUGUGCUUCAGCGUACUCGAACUCACAUCUUCUUACAUUGACAAAUUGCUGAUGCCAAUUAGUUAAUGUUAAUGCUAUACUUUAGUUAAAAAUAACUAACAUUAUUAAAAAAUUCAUUAGUUGGCUCAUGUGGAUUUUUUUUCAAAAAAAUUGAAAUUAAGAACCAUAAAUUCUUUAAGACUUAAAAAUUAAAAUUAUGUGGUUAUUAAAAAAGAUUUAUUUUUUAUUAAAUUAUUAUUUAAAAUAAAUUUAUCUCAUCAUAAUGAUAUGAUUUUUUUCUUUAAAAAAUCCACAUUAACCAACUAAUAGAAUUGUAUAAAGCUGCCACCAAUCUCUUAGCAUGAUGGCAAAAGAUUCAGAGGCAGCCAGAAAAUCUUUUGAGGGGCGUGAAUAAAGUUAUAUAUUUUUAUAAUAGCAAAAGUGAAAUUUUAUUAUUAUAAUAGUUUAUAUCUUUAAUUUUUAAAAUAUUAAAUAAUUUUUUUCUUAUUUUUGAGGGGAUAAAGUAUAAGUUUAUCAUAUACUAAUUUUAAAAUUAUAAAAAGACUAAAUGUGAAAUUUUUCAUUUUAAGGGGUGGGGCCCUGUCAGGUCUCCUUGGCUUCACCUUGAUAAAAGUAUUAUGUAAUACGUAUAAAGUUUGAGUUUAAUCCCAAACAAUCUCAUUUCUUAUCCCUCAUUAUAAAAUAAUAAAAUAAAUAGAGCAAUUGAUAUGAGGAGACAAGUAUAAUAGGGCAAUUUUAACCUGGGCCAGAUUUCAAAACAAAACCCAAACCAAAUAAUAAAAGAGUCCAAAAUAAUUAAAACAAUCCAUCCAUUUUACAAACAAACCCAAAUUAGCAGCCCAAAUACAAAUUAAAACUCAAUAACCCAAAACUAACUAUAGCCCAAUUAGCUAAACACUUAAACGCAACAAAAAAAACCCUAUCCCCCUAAGCCUCCAACGCUGCAUGACCACCUACGCCGCACGUCGUCGCUGCCGCUCGAGGCUCGCCUAUCUUCGACCAUCCACGCAUCUGACACUUGCAAAACCAAGGCAACACGCAACAACAAAGGCCAAAUAGAGGAAACAACAAGGAAACAGACAAAAAAGGAAGAAACAAACAGUUUUGAUUCGGCUAUAAAAGCCCGAAUCUCACCCUUGUAAUUUUUUUGCGAACAUUAGAAAAUAAAAAAACAAAAACAACACUUUCAAGGUGAAUUUCUACUUUUAUUUCUGUUUUAAAUACUUAUUUGAUUCUAUAUUCAUAUUUUUAUUUUAUUUUUUAUAUAUAUACGAAAAUAAUAAAAUAAAAAAAGGAAGAAAGGGCUCACCGGAGACGCCCCGUGAUCGUGCCGUCAGAAGGCUCUUCUCCGUUGUUGCCAUCGGAUCCGAGAGGGGGUCGAGAGUCUUCCUCUUUCGCUUUUUUGGGUCGAGAGGGCUGGGCUUCCAAGGGAGCUGCGAAACGGGGGCUAAAAAUGCCCUUUUGCGCAACACCGACCACCGGCCACGACAGCACUACGACGGCGACCAUGGCCGGCCAAGGGGUGGGCUGAGAGAGAGACCAAGAGAUACUGAGAGAGUUCUCUGUUUUUUUAGAAAAAUGAAAGUUGAACCGUUUUUUUCUUCUUUUUUUUUGCUAUUUAUAUAGGGUAUAAUACGACGCCGUUUUGGACUUAAGCAUCAGUGGCCAAAACAAUGCCGUUUUGCAUCAGACCUGAAAAUCGACUCGAAUGCGGCCAGGAUCUGCGCGUUUUAGCUUUGAGGAGCUAUUUGCAUAUUCAGCCCUUCCGCUUUUGUAGUAUAGUGCAAUCUGGUCCUCGUUGUUUUUAUAUUUUGGCCGCAUAAUUUUUUGAUUGUUUUACUUUGGUCCGAGCUGAAACGCUGCGCAUAGGGGCUAGGAAUAUUGCCCAGUCGGUCCCUCAUUCCUUAAGCGCGCUCUAUUUCAGUCCCUAGCAACCCUUUUUUUUAUUUGUAAUUUAAACCCCAAAUUCUGGGUCGAUUUUAGUAUCAUCCUUAGUCCAUUUAAUUUAUUUGUUCACUAUUUUUUAUUUAAAAAACUCUUUUAUUAUUAUUUGUUUUAAGUUUUUUUAUUUAUCAUUUAUUUUAAAUUGUUUUACAUACUAUUUAUUUAAAUUUUUUAUAUAUUAGUCAUUUUAAACCAUUAUAUGUACAUUAUCUUUUAAAUUUUUAUAUACAUAUAUUUUUUUUAAAAAAAACUGUUGUAUGUUUCUUAUUUAUUUAUUUUAAACUGUUAUUAUUAUUCAUUUUAAGUUUUUAUAUACUGUUUAUUUGAAGCCGGUUAUUAUUUAUUUUUGAAUUGUUCUUAUAAAUUAUUUACUUUAAAUUAUUAUUUACUUUGAAAUUUUUUUGCAUAUUAUUUUGUUUUGUUUUUUUUAUUGUUAAUAUUAGUAUAAAAAUUAUAUACAUUGUGUGAUUAUUACCGCCAUGUGUACUAUAAUUAGUUUCUUCGUGUUUUCAUAUUAUUAUCACUCAUUAACAUAACAUUUUUUUCAUAAAUUGUUAUUUUAUGUUCUAUGUUAUCAUUCCAUUUCACUUCAUCACUUCGAAAGUUGCAUUCAAUUUGUAUUUACCCAUAAUAAACCGUUCUAUUUUGUCACAAAUAAAACAAAUGCACCUCGUUCAAGCAUUGUACUCACAAUUAUUCAAAACGGGGAAAAGUUUUAAAAUAAGACAAUAUUUCGCAUUUUGGAGAUUUGAGAAAUUGUACCCUAACUUACGGGGUUUCAAUUUUCUCGUUGAACCUAAAUAGCAAAAUAUCCUUCUAAUUUUCAAAAUUUACGAAAUUCCAAUAAAGUUAAAGGCUAGCUUAUUCUCAAGGGUUCUAAGUGUCGUGUCCUAACUUACGGGAUGUGACAUUUAUUAUCUCGAGACGAGAGGAUCUUUGACAUUCGUUUCAAUUUAUUCAAGCAAAUUCUUUUAAAUUAAAAUAGCGUUAACAAAAGGGGGAUCGUGUUUUAAAUUCUUUCGAAGUUUUUCAAUUUUUAACAUUUAGACAUUAAUUAAUCAAUUGAAUACCAAUUUUGGGCGUGACGAGGGUGCUAAUCCUUCCUCGCAUGUAACUGACUCCCGAAUCCGUUUUCUCAAAUUUCAUAGACCAAAAUCACUGUUUUGAUAAAUUAAAAUAUUUUAUUAAAACAACUAAAUUAUGAGGUGACCUAAUCACACCUCAUAAAAAAAAGAUUGGUGGCAACUCUCGUUUUAAUUUCCAUUUUCAAACCAACGUCGACCCUUUUAAAAAAAUGGUUUCAAUAUUAAGUUAUAAGUUGAAUGAAUUAAAAAUAUGUGAAAAGUGUAAAUAGAGACUCUUCAAUCUCAUUUCCUCUAAUGCUCUUUUUUUAAAUUUUUUUUUAAAUUUUUUAUGUACCUUUUAAAUAGUUAAUGAAAAUAAAAAUAUUUUGAUAAUUUUCACUUCGAAAUGCAAAAGCCAACAACAGUUUUUGACUACAAAAGCGGUGUGUUCUUCAUCACUUCUCAGUGGAAAAACACUUCUGCAAUGUAACAACACUUUUAACCCAAAACGGCUUUUUCACCACAAUAGAGAAUGCACCCUAAAAUUGUAAAUAGAAAAAAGAAGGAUCAAACAUUGUUUCUACCCUGUUUUUGUCUCCUCUUUGAAAAUACUUUCCAAAAAGUUUUAUCAUUUUUUUUUCUGUUUACAAAUUCCUUAUAGAAGUGCUUUCUUUUGAUCCACUUGCAUCAUUGUAAUAAGUUUGCAUUGCCUUCUAACUUUCUAUGUUGAUUACAGUUUAUUAAGUUUUCUGUUGGAUCUUAUAGUCAAAUUCCUUUACAUCAUGUAUGUUAAUUUGCUUAGCCCUGAUAAAUGUUAGAUAUAGGGUUAUCAGUGUCGAAACCACUUUUUUGGCGAACAAAAAUUAGUUGUUGACUUUAAAAACGAAAGUUGGAGUCGCCAUCGAUCCUUUAUUGGGGUGUGAUCGGCUCACCUUAAAAACGAUUUUGGUCUGCAAAAUUUGAGAAAACAGGUUCGGGAGUCGGUUACGCAUGAGAAAGAGUUAGCACCCUCUUAACGCCCAAAAUUGGUACCGAAUUAAUUAAUUAAGGUCUUAAUGCCGAAUAUCGAAAAUCUGUGAAGAAUUUAAAAAUACGAUCCUCCCUUUUUGUUAAUGUUAAUUUUAUAAAAGAUGCUUGGAUAAAUCGAAGCGAAUGCUAAAGACCUUUUUGUCUUGGAAUAAUAAAAUGUCACACCCAAUACGUUAGGACAUGACAUUUUAGUCCUCGAGAAUAAGCUUGUCUUUUGAUUUUCAAAGCUCGUGCGGUGAAGUUUAAAAAGGAUAUUCAAUUGCUUUAACUCAGAUGAAAAAUCGGAGCCCAAUACGUUAGGGCACAAUUUCUCAAAAUUCCGAGCAUUGAAUAUUGCCCUUAUUAUUAUUAUUUUUAAAAUCUUCAUCUCGAGAAAAUGACAUGUCAUAUCCAAUAUGUUAGGACACGACGUAUCGAAUUUUCGAGAAUGAGCUUUUUAUUUAUGCUUUAAUUAAAAAAGGAUACCCGGUUUCUUAGAUUCAACGAGGAAGAUUGGAAUCCAAUAAGUUAGGACACAAUCUUUUCGAGGAUCCUAAAUUCCGAGUGUCGCGUUAUUUUUGAAAAAAAACUUUUUGAAUAAAAAUGCUCUCGAUACUUGAAUGAUAUUAAACGUAACCUUUUAACAACGAAUAAAAUGCGACGGGACGAUAAUGUAUAACGCGGAAUGACGAUUUGUAAACAAAAUAUACUCUAACGAAUGACAAAUAAUCAAUAAAAACAAAUAAACAUUAUCAUACAUAUAAGAGCAAUAAUCACAUGUAAAUAUUAACAUCAACAUUUGAAAGCUAAUGACCUAAAAGCCUAUCGCAAAUACAACAAAUUUAAAAUAACUAAAAAAAAAGCAUGAGAGAAAAGAAAUUUGAAAUUAUCAACAUAUAUACACAAAAUACACGUAUAUAAAAAUUUAAAAGAAAUAAUUAAUAGGAAGACUUGAAAUAAUUUAAAAAUAGAAUUAAAAAUGAAUAAUAAUAUCUAAAUGAAUUUUAAAAUAAAUAUUAUAAGAAGAAAGUCAAAAUAAAUAAAACCCAAAAUAAUACACAUAUAUUAAUCUAAAUAGGUAAUAGAUAUAAAUUACGUAUUAUAAAAGAAAACUAUUUAAAAAGGGUAAAUUCUAUUGGAUUAACAUAAAAAUAUAAAAUAAUUUAUUAUGAAAUUAAAUAAUAAUAUAUGAUAAUAAUAUAAAAAAACUUAAAAUAAUAGUGCAUAAUAGAAUAAAAUAAUGAAUAUAAAAAGGUUAGAUAAAUUGAUAAAAAAUAAUACUAAUAAUAAUAAUAGUAGCAGUAAUAAUAAUAAUAAUAAUAAUAAUAAUAAUAAUAGUAAUAAUAGUAAUAAUGAUAAAUUAAUAUUAAAGUAAUUAAUUUGAUAGCAAAAAUAACAAAACAGAUUACUAAUUUGGAAUUAAAACAGAAAUUUAGGGGUAAGACGUGCAAUAAAAUGAAAUGAAAAGGACCUAAUUGAAAUUAAUUUAAAAUCAGACUGACUAGCAAAGAAAUUAAACGCACAAGUCUCACCUGGCAAUCAAGUCAGAUCAUCAGAAACGGCGUCGUUUCGAACGUUUGUCUCCUCAACUGACAGAAGGACGAAAUUGAAAGAAAUAUCGAAUUAUGUGGCAAAAUUAAAAAAGACAAAGAAGGAUUAAAAUGAAGUAAAUAAAAAACAGAAGGACCAAACAGGAGAAUAAGCCAUUGAAACAAAACACGCGGAUCCUCCCCGGGUCAAAUCGGAUCAUCGGGUCAACCAACACGGAGACGUUUUGAAGCCAUUAAAUCGGGCUUAAACGGCACCGUUUUAUUAUCGUUAAAAACCUAAAAAAAUAAAACCCUAAUAAUUUGUUUUGCCAUCCUAAAACAGAUCAAGAGCCUAGCCUUCUCCCCACCGGUCUCCACUCACGAACCCAAUCUGACUCCGAUUCAGACGGAGCAAACCAGAUUCCAAUGGCGUCUGCUCUGGUAAGACGCUUCUUCUCUCCCUCUUUUUUUUUCGUUUGGUGCCAAAGAAGAAAACAAAGAAUCAAAGAAAUAAAAGAGAAAAAAAAACGAAGAAAAUCACCUUUCGAAAAAACUUUCUGUUUUGAUUUUUUGUUUGUAUUCAAUAUGCGUAAAAAAGGAUUACAAUGGCCUUCUCCCUCUUUAUAGCCGAAUAUUCGAAAUAAAAUGAAAGAAAAUACAAAAAAUUCUCUCUGCUGCGUUGUUUUCGUCUUCUUUGCAGGUAAGGAGGCUAGCUGGCGUAAGGAGGUGGUGGACGUGGCACAGCACACUCGGGGAAGGCCCUGGUGGCUGCGGCGCUGGAAGGAGGGCUGUUGCAGCUAGGGUUUUCUGAUUUUUUUUUGGGCUAGGGUUGGGUUGAUAGUUGUAUUGGGCUAGGUAUUUGGGCUGGGUGUAGUUGGACUAGAUGUAUCUGACUUUGGGUUUGUACCGGGUCACUGUAAAUGGGUUUGGUUUUUGUUGUUAUUGGGCUGUGAACUAUUUGAGUUUUAAUUAAUUUUUAUUUAUUUGGUUUUUUAUUGUGGGCUGGGCAAAUUGGGUAUUACAAUCAGCUAAUUAGGAAAGACUGUGAUGAUAGUCACACCUUACAUCCAAAAGCAAAGCUUUUUUUACAUGUGUAUGUAAGGUUGCUAAGCAAAUCUGGUGAGCCUUCACUGCUGUUUUAAGGUUAAGUUAAUGUUCCUUUUCGGCAAAGAACAUUAUCGAGAUCACGGUAUUUUGAUCGCCUUUUGCUUCUUGUUAUUCGUUCUGAAACGAUUGCAUAAUCUUUACUGUGAUUGCAGGAUAUAGAGCAACUUUUGAAUUUCAUCGCUGUAAAGUGUUUAGGACCACGACAUGUUCUUGCAAAUUUGAAGAAGCUUCUAAGGUCUGUCCAGUCUUCAGAAUAUAUAGAUACCUGAAUUAAUUUUGAUUUUGUAGGAUCAACUAUAAUUAGCUACUUAUUAGAGUAUGAAUAGACAACCUCACCUUCUUCACACACUGACACGUGCGGAUUUUUUGCCAAUCCCAUUUCAAAGGAUCACACUUUUUUGUUGUUUACAGAAUCAUAAUUAAUGUUAAUUAAAGUGGAAUAUUUCAGAUUUCUGAUGAUGAGCAUAUUCUUGAGUAUUGCAGUAAAAAAAUGGGUGCGGAACUUAUUUGAACUUUGAAUGUAUGUUUUGUUGGUGAGAAUAUAAAGUUGAUAAAGAUUUGGUAAAUAGAAUAAAAUACUAUUUUUUAUUAGAAAAAUUAUUUGGUAGACUGCCAAUCGAUUUAUAAUUAUCAUGACGCAAUAUUAAGGGUAAUUAAAACAUGUCAUAUUACAAAUAAUAAAAUUAUAAUGACUCAAAUAUACGAACAUGUCAAAAUUUAUGUACAACGAAUUAUUAACAUGUCAAUGUAUAGUAUAAUAUGGUACGCAAAAAUAAGAUAAUUGCUUGUCUUUAAUUGAAUUGUUAUAACACAUUAUACAAAAUACAUUGUGAAUUAAAGCAUAAUAUAAUCAUGAUAUCAAUAUAUUAAAUUUUUUAAAAAUUCGAUGAUACGAAUAAUUAUGUAAAAUAUCACAUGAUACAAAAUGACUUGAGAGGAAAAGAGGAACAAAGACUUGCNNNNNNNNNNNNNNNNNNNNNNNNNNNNNNNNNNNNNNNNNNNNNNNNNNNNNNNNNNNNNNNNNNNNNNNNNNNNNNNNNNNNNNNNNNNNNNNNNNNNNNNNNNNNNNNNNNNNNNNNNNNNNNNNNNNNNNNNNNNNNNNNNNNNNNNNNNNNNNNNNNNNNNNNNNNNNNNNNNNNNNNNNNNNNNNNNNNNNNNNNNNNNNNNNNNNNNNNNNNNNNNNNNNNNNNNNNNNNNNNNNNNNNNNNNNNNNNNNNNNNNNNNNNNNNNNNNNNNNNNNNNNNNNNNNNNNNNNNNNNNNNNNNNNNNNNNNNNNNNNNNNNNNNNNNNNNNNNNNNNNNNNNNNNNNNNNNNNNNNNNNNNNNNNNNNNNNNNNNNNNNNNNNNNNNNNNNNNNNNNNNNNNNNNNNNNNNNNNNNNNNNNNNNNNNNNNNNNNNNNNNNNNNNNNNNNNNNNNNNNNNNNNNNNNNNNNNNNNNNNNNNNNNNNNNNNNNNNNNNNAUGGUCUUCUAGGCUUGGUACCUAGUUUUCCAUUCUUUUUAUCCGUUCUAAUUCCACUUUUGCUUUAGUAAAAUUUUCUUAUAGCUAAGAAAGAAAAAAAAAACUAUUAACAAGUAAUUAUAUAUAUAUAUCAGGUUUUCAAUUGCUUUCAAGACUCAAUAACUUGGAAACUCUCGAUUUAAGUCGGAAUUCUUUUAAGAAUAGCAUUUUGUUCCAUAUGAGAAAUCUUUCAUCCUUGAAGACUUUAAGAUUGAGCGGUAAUCAGUUGAAAGGAAGGCUGGAUCAUAUUCAAGGUAGACUAAUUUUACCUGUUUCUUUUUAACUUUAAAAAUCAAUGUAUGCUCAAGUUUGAUUUUAUCAUACGAUGAAUGUAUAUAACUAAUCAAUAUUUGGGAUUGAAUUUCAGGAUUGAAUAAUUUGACAAAUUUGAAGUACUUGGAUUUAAGUUGGAACGACAUUGAAAGCAUCUCAAACAAAGGUAUAAGUAUUUGUGCAAAACUUUCUUGACCGACUCUUAUUCCAAAAGGCAAUGACAGACUUCAAAUGUAUUUUCUUUAGUGAAUUUUUAUUGCAAAAAUGGAGUAUUAUUAUUUAUUUAUGUUUUGUAGUAACUAAUUAUAUAAUAUAUAAAUCAGGUUUUCAACGGCUCAUUAAAUUGGAAAUUAUUGAUAUAAGUUGGAAUUAUUUGAAGAAUAGCAUUCUUUAAAAUAAAUUCAUGUUGAAGGAAAAGUUGUUGCAAUAAGUCAUUUGAUUUUAUCAUAUCAUGAAUAUAUAUAAGUAAUCAAUAUUUGGGAUUGAAUUUCAAAAUUGAGUAAUUUAAGUAGGAAGGUAUCUCAAACAAAGUAUUUAUAUAUUGAAUCAAUUCAUGGGAAAGCUUGUAAAUUGGCUCUUCCUUCUCAAACAAUCAUUUUUCCUAACUUUUUAUAUCUUGAAUGAUAUUAACUAUACUCAUUAUUUUCUUCCAAUGAUAGAUGGAACACAAUGGAGGCUAACAAACUUAGAGGAACUUGAUUUGAGUGGUAAUCUCUUUCGGAACAACACAAUUUCCUUUCCUCAAGGGCUUUCAAGCCUAAAGUCUUUGACUUUGUACAACAACCAUUUGCAAGGCUCAUUAGAUACUAUAGGUACCAAAGCUAUAACUUUGUUUUUCUUGAUAAUUCUUUCUAGAACCUUUUAAAAUUAAUUGUUUCAAAUUUGAACAUUCACAUUUCACUUUUGAGGAUUUUCAUCUUCACUUCCAGUUUUAGAUUUACUUUUUUUUUCAUUUUUAUUUCAUUAAAAUAUUAAGUAGAAAUUAAAAUUAUUAACAUAAUGAUUUUUUAAAUUGUACGUGGAUAUGUAUAGGAUUGAGCAAUUUAACAAAUUUGAAGAAACUCGAUUUAAGUGGGAAUCAAAUUGAAAGCUUUCAAACCUUUAAAGGUAUGCAUUUAUAUUUAACUAAUUACCUAAAUUCUUACAUAUAAUUAAAUUUUAUGCCAAUUCAUUUCAGUGAUGAAAUUAUAUAAAUCUUUUGUAGAUGGUGGUAGAAAAUUGGAGUUGACCCACUUGGAAGAGCUUUAUUUAGAUGGAAAUCACUUCAAUACUAGUGUAUUUGCAUCCCUUAACAAGCUUUCAAAUUUGAAAUCUUUGAGCAUAAGUGAGAAUCAAUUGAAAGGAUCAAUAGAUAUGAAAGGUAAAAAUAUUAGUUUUUUAACAAGAAUAUAAUAAUGUUUGAAGAGAAUAUAAUGAAGUUGAUUUGUUGUUUUUGUUUUCCUAGAUUUGGAAGCAUUUAUCAAAUUAAGGGAACUAGAUAUGAGCUAUAAUGAAUUGAGAGAUUUUGUGAUCCACCAAGGUAUCAUUUAAUUAAUUUUCCUUUUUUUUUAAUUUAGAAAUUUAGUUUUGAUCUAUGAUAUUAUAAUAACAGUUAUUGUCAUAAAUAUUAAUAAAGUUAUAUCAUAUCAUACUUGAAAGUAAAAUAUGGGUUUGGUGAAACAUUUUCUAAACCCUCCAUUAUAAUGUGUUUCGACUUUGGUUUGAAACUAAAAUUCUUUAAAUUUUUCAUAAUUUUUAAAUAUUAAUGUUUAUAAUUAUUUUGUUUGUAUAACUAUGUUUUUAAAAUAAUUUAUUGAAUUUUUAUGAGAUAAAAAAUAAUUAUAACGAUAAAAAAUGAUAUUAUAAGUAAAAAUACAUAUAUUUAUGGGAAAAUAUGUAAUAUAACUAUAUUUUAAUUUCAUAUAUUUUUAAUAGUAUAAAACAUAAAAAUACAUAUUAGAGUUAAAUAAAUGGCAUUUUUUGGCCAAAAAUAAAUAAAUGUCAAUUUUGAAUAAUAUAAAAAAAAACUUCAAUUUUAUGAAAUUUAAACAUACAUUUUGAGGUGUUUAAACUUUUUUUUUUAACUUUUUAUAAAUUUCAAAAUGCACAUGUUGUUAAUUUUUUGGUUUUAAAAAAUGUGAUAGGUCUAUGUACUCUUUACAAAUUUGUAAUUUAAUUCUUGUAUUUUUAUUUUCGGGAAUUUGAUCCCUCUAUUUUUUAAAUUUUAAAAUCCAAGUUCAAUUGUUAACAUUGUUAUUUUUUUAAAAAAUAAUUUAUUGGUGUUGACAUUUUAAAAUAAAAGAACUUGGUAGCGAUGUAACUAAAAGAUGAUGUAAUGAACAUGGAUUUAAUAAAAUAAUUUCAACCGUAUAAAUAGUUAGACUUGAAUUUUGAAAAAAAAAAUUUGUAAAGAGAAAAAUAUGCACAUUAGAUUUAAAUAAAAAUAAUAUUUUUUUUAGUUUAAAAUUUUCUAUUUUAUAAUAGAACCAUUGAUUUAAAUAAAUGAGAUUUUGAAGAAUUUCCAAAAAAAAAAAACUAUGUAGGUGAAAUUUAAAUAGAGAAUUUGAUAAGCUGAAAUUCUCUUUUGGAAUUCAUAAAUUUUAAAAUUCAGAAGCAUGUAUUUUGACAAUUUUGAUUUAAUAUGGUGAAUUUAAUCAAAAAAUUAUUUAUUAGAUUGUAAAAUAUUUCUUAACAUUUAUAAUUGAGUACAAAGUAAAUUAAGUUUAAGGGAAAAUAUUGGGUACUAUUAAUGAAAUUCUUUUCUUUUAUCAAUUUUUUUUUAAAAAAAUCGGGGUGGUACUAUUAAUGAAAUUCUAAACUUCAUAAGUAGGAUUGAGAUAAUAACAAAUUUCUUAUAUGGUAUAGUAAAAUAUUAAAAAAUAAAUAUUUAAAAGAAAUAGGUUAGUGGCCAUUUUUUAACUUCACUUGUAGAGUUAAAAAACUCCAUUACCAGUACCAAAUACUAACAUUAAGGUUAAAUGCUAAUUGAUUUCAAACAUAUUUGAGUUUUUUAAAAGAAUAUUCUCAUAUAUUUAAAAGAAAACAACACAAAGUUAGAAGAUCUCAUCUUGAAGGGUAAUUCAUUUACCGGUCCUCUCACAUUACCGUCAGCUCCUAACUCUAAAGUGUCUUUAAUUGACAUAUCCCAAAACAAAUUGCAAGGUCAGAUUCCAACCAACGUGUGUUCACAUUUUCCACAUUUGAGCCACUUAUUCUUAUCCAAGAAUGCCUUCGAAGGUGAUAUCCCUCCUUGUUUGAGUGGCAUGAAGGAUUUAUCGAUUUUAGAUUUAUCAGACAAUCAAUUGUCUGGAAGAGUACCUGAAGAGUUAAUCACAAAAAACUCGUUGACCAUUUUGAGACUAUCAAACAACAACCUCAGUGGACAUGUGCUUCCUGUGAUUCUCAAUGCAAAUGGGCUGUCAAAAUUAUAUUUGGAUGGAAAUAAUUUUUCUGGGGAGAUGGCAAAUGUUGAUGUCUCUAUUUCUGAGUUUCCAACUUCACUAAGGGAAAUUAAUCUCGGAAAUAACAAGUUUUAUGGAAACCUCCCAAGAUGGAUGGGGAAUGUGUCAUUUUUGGAGAGAUUAGCUUUGUCCCAAAAUGGUUUCGAGGGUUCUAUUCCAAUGGAAUUUUGCAACUUGAAUCGCUUGGAAUUUUUGGAUCUCUCUGAAAACAAUUUAUUUGGCUCUAUACCGUCCUGCUUUAAUACCCUAAACAUAAAGCAUGUCCACCUGCACGGGAGUAGACUAAGUGGCCCACUACCAAUCGCUUUUUAUAAUAUCUCUUCACUGGUUACGUUAGAUCUUAGAGGAAACAAUUUGACUGGUAGUAUUCCAAAAUGGAUUGGCACACUUUCUUCAUUGAGUGUUCUUCUCUUGAAAGAUAAUCAUUUUCAUGGUGAAGUUCCAGUUCAGUUAUGCAAGUUGGAUUCUUUAAACAUCAUAGAUCUUUCUCAAAAUAUGUUUUCUGGUAUUAUACCUUCUUGUUUGGGAAAUUUAACCCUUUCAACGGAAACAAAUAAGAUUCUAACUGAUUCGAAAAUUAGUCCAAGGUUAACAGGGGACGGAUUAGUGAAAACAUUGGGAGCUCUCGGAAAUUAUUACUAUCCUGAAGGCUACUUAGAAGAAGUAAUAGAGUUCACAACAAAGAGUGGGUUCUUAUCGUAUGAGGGAAACAUCCUUACAUAUAUGACCGGGAUUGAUUUAUCUUGCAACAACUUAACUGGUCAUAUCCCACCAGAAUUAGGGAACUUAAGUGAAAUCUAUUCUUUAAACUUGUCGCAUAAUAAGUUGACAGGAGUUAUACCCUCAUCAUUCGCAAAACUUCAUCAAAUUGAGAGUUUGGACCUUUCUUACAACAAUUUGAGUGGUGAAAUCCCCAAUCAGUUGGUAGAGUUGAACUCUUUGGAGGUUUUCAACGUGGCAUACAACAACUUGUCAGGUAGUAUUCCCGAACCAAAAGCUCAAUUUGGGACCUUUAUUGAAAACAGUUAUGAGGGAAAUCUUUUUCUUUGUGGAGCUAUAUUGCAUAAAAGUUGUUCCAAAACCGAUUCACCAUCAACGAUAUCAACUCUAUCAGAAUAUAAAGGAGAAGAUGGUUUGAUAGGUACUUAUGAUUUUUGUGUGAGCUUUUUGGUUUCUUAUGUAGUUGUGUUGUUGACCAUUUUUGUUGUCCUCUACAUAAAUCAAUACUGGCGAAGAGUUUGGUUUUCUCUCAUUGGGAAAUGCAUCACCACCUGUCGCUACUCAAAUGUGGGCAAUUUUCUUACUUAUCACAUUUUCAAGCAAUGAGUUUAGCUACUCAAAUUGUAAUUUGAUUUUCACACCUAAAUGUUUAAUUAUGCUAAGUUGAGCGAUAAUGAAUAUUUUGUUGAUUUUUGCAUUUUAAAUAAAAGCUCUUUGAUCUUAUGAUUUUAUCAUUUUCAACCAUCUAUUUCUUUUUUCUUCUAUGAAAUUUAAUGUAAAAUCAUAAUCCAUUAUUAUGUAUAUGCAAUAUCUCUUUGAAUUAAAUUAAAUUGAAUACCAAGCGUUCACUAGUGCAUACUGAAAAGGAAAUCUAAUGUAAAAUUAAACCAAACAUACUAGAAAAAUGAAUCUGAAACUGAAAUAUUUUAAAACCUCAAAAACAAUGCAAUUCUUUAUUCCUCUUUUCCUUUCAAGUUAUUUUGUAUCAUGUUAUAUUUUACAUAAUCAUUCAUAUCAUCAAAUUUUAAAAAAUAUUUAAUAUUUUGAUAUCAUGUUCAUAUUAUGCUUUAAUUCACAAUGUAUUUUAUACAAUAUGUUAUAACAAUUCAAUUUAAAAAACAAGCAAUGAUCUUAUUUUUGCAUACCGUAUUAUACAUUUACAUGUUAAUAAUUCAUUGUACGUAAAUUUUGACAUGUUUGCAUAUUUGAGUCAUUAUAAUUUUAUUAUUUGUAAUAUGACAUGUUUUAAUUACCCUUAAUAUUGUGUCAUGAUAAUUAUAACUCGAUUGGCACCAAAUAAUUUUUCUAAUAAAAAAUAGUAUUUUAUUCUAUUUACCAAAUCUUUAUCAACUUUAUAUUCUCACCAACAAAACAUACAUUCAAAGUUCAAAUAAGUUCCACACCCAUUUCUUUACUGCAAUACUCAAGAAUAUGCUCAUCAUCAGAAAUCUGAAAUAUUCCACUCUAAUUAACAUUACGAUUCUGUAAAAACCAAAAAUGUGUGAUCCUUUUUUAAAGCUCUUUUUUUUUUCCUUUAAUGAAAUGGGAUUGGUAAAAAAUCCGCACAUGUGUCGUGUGUGAAGAAGGUGAGGUUGUCUAUUCAUUCUCUAAUAAGUAGCUAAUUAUAGUUGAUCCUACAAAAUCAAAAUUAAUUCAGGUAUCUUUAUAUUCUGAAGACUGGACAGACCUUAGAAGCUUCUUCAAAUUUGCAAGAACAUGUCGUGGUCCUAAACUCUUUACACCGAUGAAAUUCAAAAGUUGCUCUAUAUUCUGCAAUCACAGUAAAGAUUAUGCAGUCAUUUCAGAACGAAUAACAUAACAAGCAAAAGGCGAUCAAAAUACCGUGAUCUCGAUAAUGUUCUUUGCCGAAAAGGAACAUUAACUUAACCUUAAAACAUCAGUGAAGGCUCAUCAGAUUUGCUUAGCAACCUCACAUACACAUGUAAAAAGCUUUGCUUUUGGAUGUAAGGUGUGACUAUCAUUACAGUCUUUUCUAAUUAGCUGAUAACCCUGUAUCUAACAUUUAUCAGGGCUAAGCAAAUUAACAUACAUGAUGUAAAGGAAUUUGACUAUAAGAUCCAACAGAAAACUUAAUAAACGAUAAUCAACAUAGAAAGAAGGCAAUGCAAACUUAUUACAAUGAUGCAAGCGGAUCAAAAGAAAGCACUUCUAUAGGGAAUUUGCAUUUAAGGCAUCGUAAACAGAAAAAAAAAUGAUAAAACUUUUUGGAAAGUAUUUUCAAAGAGGAGACAAAAACAGGGUAGAAACAAUGUUUGGUUCUUCCUUUUUCUAUUUACAAUUUUAGGGUGCAUUCUCUACUGUUGUGAAAAAGCCUUUUUGGGUUAAAAGUGUUUUUACACUGCAGAAGUGUUUUUCCACUGCAGAAGUGAUGAACAACACAUAGCUGUUGUAGUCAAAAACUGUUUUUGGCUUUUGCAUUCAAAAGAGAAAAUUAUCAAAAUACUAUUAUUUUCAUUAACUAUUUAAAAGGUAUAUAAAAAUUAGAUUAAUUUAUAUUUUAUAUAUUAUUAUAUUAAAUUGUUUAAAUCUUAUUUAUUAUUAUAUUUAAUUUUUUCAAAAUAUUUUAUAUAUUAUCAAUUUUACAACUAAUUAACAAAAUAUUUUACUAGGGAAUACGUAUAUGUGAAUAUCUAUAAAUGGCAUGCCUGGAUAUGCAUAUCCUUUGAUAUCAAAUAUUUUGAAAAAAAUAUUAUCAAUUCCACUGAUAUAUUAUCAAUUCCACUGAUAUAAAGCUCUUUAUAUUACCAAUAUAAAUAUAAAUAUUUUGAAUAUAAAUAUCCAUUGAUAUAUUAUCAAUUCCACUGAUAUAAAGCUCUUUAUAUUAUAAAUAUUUUAUAUUUUUUUUCAAAAAUAUGGAUAUGCAUAUCCUUUGAUAUCAAAUAUAAAGGUAAUAUUUAUAGGAAUUGUUUUUUAAUUAGAUAUUUUUAUAUAUCAGUGGAAUUGUCAAAAUAUUUUCAUUAACUAUUUAAAAGGUAUAUAAAAAGAGCUUUAUAUUGCCUCAAGCGCAAGGCACAAAAUGAAGCGCUAGCCUGUGUGCAGUAAAGCGCAAUACGUAUAUGUGAGAGUUUUUGCAAGUCUGUGUGUCUAUAACAUAAAAGUUUAAGAUAUAUAGUAAACUCUAAAGUGUGGUCUGGUUUAUCCACAAAACUUGAAAUUUUUUUAUAGGUGAAUGCUCAAAUAUUGAGAAUUAUAGAGUUUGAUAUUAUCCCUUCCUUAUUAGUAAAGGUAUAUCAAAUGAAAACAGUGAAAAAUAAAAUAAAUUAUUGAGAAAUUCAACAAGGCAGGUUUUUCUAAUGCCCAUUGCCUUACAAAAAAAGUGUGCCUAGGUGCACCAGGCAUGCGCUUGAUCAAAUGGACCUCACCUGGAAGGGUCCAAGGCGUUUUGUUGUAUAAAACUAAGGCGUAGGCAUGCCUAGGCGCAUGCCUUGACGACACUGACCAUAUGUUGGCUUUAUUGCAAAGCAUUAGCAAUUCAAAACUACUAGCACAUUACCUAAUCUACUACUGCUAGAAUAGGACUCAAGUUCUUGCUCCUGUGCAGGUCCAACCAAGAUCUUUACAGGAUACAGUAAUGAAACUUGUGAUAUCAUAUAUUGUUGCCUUGCUCGAAGCUUCCUUUGCACAUUUUUAAGUUUAACACAACCCCUUUCUUCAGUGAGUAAUCUAUUUGCUUCCUGUGAUAAAAACAACAUAUAAUCAAUCAUGCCAUGCAUGCAAGACUACCAACCAUCUUAAAAAAGAGACAAAGAAGUAGGACAGCAAGAAGGGGAUAACCCUUGACUAUGCAAAGGAAUUCAUAGAAUGAGAAUCAUCUCAUCUAAGCCCCUCAACCACCUUCACAGGGGGUGGAGCUGCAAAAAGAGAUGUCUUAUUGAUCCAAGAGGAGAAUAAAUAACAUCUAAAGCUGAAUAAGAAGAAACCUUCAAAUGUAUCAUAAAUUCAGCAUUCAUGAUAAUAUCAAAAUGAAAUUCCAAAGCUAAUUUAAGCUAGAAUAAAAAUGCUUCACCUGUAAUCGCUUCCUUGCUACAGAAAGAGAGGUACCAGCAACCAACAAUGAUCUUACUUCAGUACUAAGCAUUUCCUCCUGUUUUUUAGCAUCCUCUGUUGCAACUUUGCAACGAGUUGACAUUUUGCCAUAACUACUUUCCUUGCCUCUAGUCUCUCACGCAUUUCCUCAAGCUCGUUCAGUUUAUUCAAAGACUCAUUUUUUACCUGCACAGCAUGUUCCCGCCCAUUAAUCAGUGGGCCAAUUGAUUAGGUCACAGAAGACAAAACUAAAUUACCACUCACCAGGUCCCCUUGAAGUGUCAUAUGGCUUUAACAAUUCAACGUGCAAUAUCUAGUAAAAGUAAAAUAAACAUAGAAGAAAGCAAAUGCAAUUCUUAAACGCCUUUAAAUGGACAACAUGAAACAGUUUAAGAGCCCUAUAAAACAGUAAAGUGGAAAAAAAAUCUGAAAAGGAAAAAGAAAUGAAUUGAAACAAUAAAUCCAUCAGGUACAAACAGCAACAAAACUUGAAAUAAGCUUUGGCUUUAGCCCAUUAAAGCCCGGGCAUCCAGCCAAAUAAACAGUGACUGCCAUGUCAACUUUUUGAGACGGUAGAAAAGAGAUCGAAAAUCUCAAUUUCCAAAAAUAAGGACAUAAGAAGUAAAAAAAUGCACUUAUUCUUACAGUAGAAGAGCAAAAUGAAACUAAAUGAAGCAUAAGGGAACUGAUGCGAAUUGACAUUGUCAUUUUUGGGACUAAAAAGAAUACGCAGAUUGAAUAUUUAAGAUUUGGAAGGGAAAAGUUCCAUUCACCAACACAAUUAUCGUCGCCCUUCAUCCUAGUAAAGCUUAAUUGACAAUUUUUCUGUCUCGUGUUCUUGCUAAAGCAUUUGAGCAACCCAACAGAAAUCAUUAUAUUUCAAACUGAAAUGAUUGGCUUUAUCAAUUUCACAACCUAUACCGCCCAACCUAGUAAGUAAUUUAGGUGCAGACACCAGAAAUCUAUUUCCUUUGCACUCUACAACUAAAUAGCCUACCACUUAUCAAUCAAACACAGCUGAAAACUUCAGUGAGGAAACAUUAUGAAAACUGAAAAAACUAUAACUUCAACUUGAUUCAUAGCUCGGCAAGUUCAGGGAAUUGGGACUUCUACCACCAUGAUCCAGUUCGAUGUGAAACAGUGAUCUAUAUCACGCAUAUCGGUUCCCGCAACAAGAGGUAAAACAGCAAAUUAGGUAAACGAUGAUCCUACUAUAUUUCAGAAUAGCAACAUUGAGCAUGAAAGCUAAAGUUAUAGCAUAUUAUGGGUCCUUGCUCUCUACAACUACAUAUAAAAUUACUAAACAAUAUUACUACAUUAAGGAUCCAGAAAAACUUUGUUUCAAUUGUUGAUCACUUGAUCCAACUAUUUUAGAAAGUUUAUUCUUCUUUUUCCUUUCCCUUAUUUUCUAAAUCAGGAAAAACAGUAGCACAUAAACUGGAUUACUACUCCAAGUUUCUAAAAUUUCAGCAAUAUCCCUUUAACCUUUUCACUCAAGUCACUACCCCCCCAAUUAACAAAUAUAUUCCCAGUUUCCCUUUCACUUCAAACCCCCUUUUUUUUUUCUCUACCCAAAUUCAGCUUAAGUUCAAAAACCCAAAAUUGGUUUGCUAAAAAUACAUAAUUUUCAAACACAAAGGUAACCUAAUUUUAAUCAGAAAAAAAAAGCAUUACCUGAAUUAGUGAAUGGAGUUUCUCUUGAAGACUUUGUUUUAAAACUAUCUUAUACUAUUUGCUUUAAAUCGAUUUUUAUUAGCUAUUUAAAACUCGUUUUCAUGUAUUAUUUAUUUUUUUAUCACUUAUUUAAAUUGUUUUACAUAUCUAUUUUUUAAACCCUAUUUUAUUAUAUUUUACUUAUUUUAACUUUUUUACAUAUUUCAUUAUAAAUAUUAUUAAUUAUCUAUAUUGAGUUUUUCAUUCCAUAUGUAUUACUUAUUUAGAUAAAUAUAUACUAUUUUGUGUAUUACUUAUUUUGAUUUUCUUCUUAUACAAUAUUACUUUAAAAUUCAUUUAGAUAUUAUUAUUUCACGUAGUAUUUAUUUUUAUCUUCAUUUUUUAUUUAUUUCAAACUCAUAUAUUGUUUAUUUUGAAAUUUUAUGCAUAUGAUUUAUUGUUUAUAUUGAUGAUUUUAAAUUUCCUUUCUUGCAUGUUUUUUUUAUUUAUUUUAAAACUUGUUAUACUUUAUUUGUGUUAAUUUGCUUAGUUUUUCUUUCAAAAUUAACUUAUAAUUCAUUAGCUUUUAAUGUUAGUAUUUGCACAAUAUGUGAUGUAAGAUUAUUGCUUUCCUGUAUUGCUUAUCUGUAUAUAUUGAUUAUUUGUCAUUCAUUAGUAUACAUUUUGGUUUACGAAUUGACUAAUUUACCAAAAAAAGCCAUUUUUUUAUAAAUUACCGAAAUAGGCCGGUUUUUUAAUUAUUUACCGGAAUGGGCCAUUUCCCCCGAAAUCGCGCCACGUCGAAGCGAUGUCAGGGGACGGGGCAGAAGGUCGCGUCCACGUCAGAGCGACCUACUGACGUGGAAGGAAAUCGCUCCCCUGAGGGCGCGAUUUCCUUCCACGUCAGCAGGUCGCGCUGACGUGGACGCGACCUCCUGUCACUUUGCGCGGUACCGGGAAUGCGAUUUUGACCCUGAUUUUUACGCCUAGGUUUUAUGGCUUUUAGGGUUUAGGGUGCAGGCUUUUUAGGAGUUAGGGGUCCGGGAAAAUUAUUUUUCGAGUUGACGUUUCUGGUUAAAUAGUGGGAAAUCGCUUAUACUAGGAUGCUAUUUAAGAAGAAAUUGUGAAAUAGUGGCCUCGUGGACGCGAUUUCGCUACAGUGGUCAUGUGAGAAAUAAUUUUUUUAGACGUUUUCUGAGGAAAUAGUAUAAAAUCGCUGAUACCAGGAUGCUAUAUGAGAAGAAAUUGUGAAAUCGCGCCCUCGUGGACGCGAUUUCGCUACAGUUGGUCAUGUAGGAAAUAAUUUUUUUUGACGUUUCUGAGUAAAUAGUGUCAAAUCGCGCCCUCGUGGACGCGAUUUCGCUACAGUAGCAAGUUUGGGCUGAGGUUAUAAAUUAGGCAGAGAAUUUUCUUAGAAUGCAUAACUCAGAGCAGAAACAUUUUAGGUUAGGGUUAGGGAAUUUAGAGUUUCAAAAUGAGUGAAUGUAUUAGUGCUGUUAUUUACUACGAUGGUGAGGUUUGCCACACCGAGAAUGGUGUUGUUUUUUUGUCGAAGAAUACGAUGCGACUGUCAUUUAGCCAAAACAUAGAUUUGACAGAACUCCGUAAAAGAAUUAGGCGUAAAAUCUUCGGAACCACGCCAAUGAAAGUUCAGUCAAUGACGUAUCGAUUUUGUUCUUCUGUUGAUUCGGUGACAUAUGACUCGUUCGACAUAAAAGGUGCUCGUAGCUUAGAGGCAAUGGUGCAGACUCAUCUUGCUAGCGGAGCAACUUAUAUUGAGUUAUAUGUACAAUUUACGUCACCAAAUGAUGUACUUUCGUCCGGUGUUCGAGAUGUAUACACGACCCCUGGCCGACACUCGGUUAGUGUGUUACAAAAUACGGAACAGCCCAUGUUCGGUAGCGGUGUCGAAUGCACAUCCCCCCAAGACACUCUGUCGGUGGAUGGGACAUGUACGUCGGUGGCUCGACGGUUGACGCUGGAAAUACGAGCUGGUACGUUCAUUCUCUUAUUUUAUUUUAUUUCAUAUUUUGGGAAAUUUAGAACGAUAAGCGAAAAUGAAUAUAUUCAGAUUAGCAGGGGACAUGACCCAUUUGUUUAGUGUUCUUGUUUUGCUUCUUAAGAUCCACACAAUCAAGUCUUGUGCUGGUACGUUCAUUUUCCAAAUAUUUACUUUACUUUUUGUUUCUGGGCUUAUUUCAUUUUAUGUUGUACUUUUUUCCCAGUAAUUUACUGCUUAAUAUAAAAGAAUCGAAUAUUUAGGUUAAAUUGUGGGUGGGUUUUUGCUAGUUUAUUGAAUACUCAAAUUGGAGCCAUGUAAAAUGUGGAAACUUUAGCUUGAUAGAAAAUGUGACCCCCUUUUUUUUUAAUGUAUGGAAUAAAAAUUUUUGUAUUUUGUGAAUUUUUUUUUAGUAAUUUGAAUUUGUAUGUAUGUUCAUUGGAAGUUUAGAAGCAAGGAGUUCUGAUCAUUAGGACUUUAUGUGAUUCAUUCAUUUUGAGUUAUAGUGUAGUUAGUUGUUGGAUUUAGUGUCACUGUUGGCAUCUUAUUUUAGCUGAUUUCCUUUCUAUUUGUACCGAUAAACCUCUAGAGGUUUUGAAAUUAGCAACUGAUUUUUUUUAUGUGUGAGAGUUUUUAUGGAAAUCAAUAAGCUAAUUACAUUUUGCAGGAUCAUACAGUCGGGUUAGUGGUUUUUAUGUCAUGCUGGCCUAUGGUUUUGAGAUGAACAUCAUGAAAUCUGUAUAAGAUGAGGGUAUUAAACUAUAAACAUAGCCGAGGUAGCGAUUUAUUUCGUAUCAUGCUAUUGGAAGUUUUUUUGGGGCGGCAAUGUCAACUAAAUUUAUAUUCUUUUGAUCAAGUCGAUUAUUUCCAGUUGCACAACUAGCUUGUUGGAAAUAUUUUCUUUCUUUGCUCCUGUCCUUUUCACUUUCAUAUUUUAUGGGUGGUGUGAUGAUGGGAAGAUUCAUGGGUGGCUAAAGCCAUCUUACUCACUAGAAGUGAGGCUGUUAUUUUUAGAAGUUAGAGAUGCUAUAUCAAUUGAGGAUGCCGUGAGCAAAAGCUUGCUAAUAAUAAGUGACUGUUCAUAUGCGUGGGUUCUAUCACAUGUUGAUGGAGUAUUUGGUGCUCUUUCUUCACUAAUUUCAUAUGUAUAGAUAUAAUUGUAUAACAUCUCGACGUUGAUUACUGUUACGAGGGGAAAAAAACACAGCAUGUAAUGAAACUCAAAAAGUAGGAAUCCUAGAUCCUUGUAUUCAUUCAUAGGCAUUUUACAACAUUUGAUUUAACUUGAGCAAGAUUCCGUUUUGGGCCUGGUCUUUUCCUGUUCGUUCCCUUGUUUAUAUAUGAUGAAGUUGGUUCAGCAUGCAGGAAACUCGACAGCAUGCAGGCCAUGAAGACCAAGUCGUGCAGGAGCUGCUGGAACGAGCUGAACUUUUCCUAUUUUGUUCAUCUAGUAAUCUUAAGUUAAUGUAAUGUACUUUAGUUCAUUUAGAACUAUGUUAGGUUUAUGAUUGAUGUAAUUUUGAUGACAAUUGAGCUGUUAAGUCAGCUUUGUUUAAGUGUGUAAGCUUAGUUUUUCAAGUUUCAAUGUAUUAGUGGUAGUAGGUGAUGAUUAGGUAUCAUUAUGCAGAUUUUGACAAGCAAAUUGCUUGGUUUAUGUAUUGGCAUUAUGCCAUUGUUCAACAUAUGAAUGAAAUCAACUUUGUUCAUCAAUAUUCUCUCAAAUUUCCUCAGCUUAUUUUCUUUUUUCUUCAACUCGAAAUUGUUUGUUUGCUCAGCAAGAUUCGAGGCUUGCUCGACAAGAAACUUGCUGAGUCUGUUUGAUUCUGCUGUUGCACCAACAAUUGGUAUCAGAGCUUAUUUCUUAAGGGACCUGUUAUACAAAUCCAUGGCUUCAUCAAGUUUUUCACCAGCUGCACCUCAAGUCUUCAAUGGAGAAGGCUAUCACAUAUGGGUGGUCAAAAUGAAGACCUACCUGCAGGCAUUUGAUCUGUGGGAGGUGGUCAACUCUGAUGUUGAACCAGAGCCACUUAGAGCUAAUCCAACAGUGGCUCAGAUCAGGCAGCAUGCUGAUGAAAGGACCAAGAGGCACAAUGCUAUGUCUUGCAUCCAAAACUCAGUGUCUGAUGUGAUUUUCACAAGGAUUAUGGCCUGUGAAUCACCAAAACAGGCCUGGGACAAGUUGCAGGAAGAGUUUCAAGGGACUGAGAGGACAAGGCAACAACAGUUGUUAAACUUGAGGAGAGAUUUCGAGAAUUUGAAGAUGAAGGAAGAAGAAACUGUCAAGCAAUAUUCUGACAGGAUUAUGGCUGUGGUUAACAGCAUCAGGCUCCUUGGAGAGCAGUUCAAUGAAGCUAGGAUAGUGGAGAAGGUUAUAGCAACUCUGCCUGAGAGGUAUGAGGCAAAAAUCUCAUCUCUCGAGGACUCAAGGGACCUGUCCACCAUCUCCCUGACAGAGUUGAUCAAUGCUCUAUAUGCUCAAGAGCAGAGGAGAGCAAGCAGACUGGAGGAGCACCAAGAAGGUGCCUUUCAGGCAAGAACAAAUACUUCCUACAAAGGCAAGAAGGCUUGGAGAGACAAGCCAAAGGAUGAUGCUGCAAGGAGAGAAGGUCAAACUUGCAAGCACUGCAGAAAGGCUGGUCAUUCAGAAGAAAAAUGCUGGUUUAAUCCAGAUGCUGUGUGUCAGCAUUGUAAGAAAAAGGGCCAUGUUGAGAGAGUUUGUAAGAGCAAUGCCAAAACAAGGCGCAAUCAGGCUCAACAGAUGAAAGCUGAGGCUCGAGUAGCUAAGGAGGACAGUGACCAAGAGGAGCAAGUCUUUACUGUGUCAUGCUCAGCUGCUCAGGAAAGGUCCUCAUCUGGUUGGCUCCUAGACAGUGGAUGCACCAACCACAUGACACCUGAUGCUGCAAUCUUCAAGUCUUUAGACAGAAGCUGCAGAACUAAAGUCAAGAUAGGAAAUGGUCAUUUUAUUCAAGCUGAAGGCAAGGGUGAUGUUCUGAUAUGCACUCUUACAGGUACCAAAGUGAUUUCAAAUGUGCUGUUGGUGCCUGAAAUUGACAGAAACCUGCUCAGCAUAGCUCAGUUGCUGGAAAAAGGUUACUUAGUUGUGUUUAAAGACCACCAAUGCCAAAUCAGUGAUCCAAGUGGAUCCAAACUGAUGGCAGUCCCUAUGGCUGAUAAGAGCUUUGUGGUUGACUGGACAAAAAAGUCAGACAUUGCCUACACAGCCACUUCAGAUGAAUCCAAGCUGUGGCAUCAAAGACUGGGACAUGCCAACUUCAGAUCGAUGGCCCGAAUGAUCAGAGAAGACCUGGCUGAAAACUUCAUCAACUCAGUAGACCAUGAUGAUGUAUGUGAAGUAUGUCAGCUAGGAAAGCAGGCCAGACUCCCAUUUCCCUCGAAUCAAGCCUAGAGAGCCUCUGAAAAACUCCAACUGGUGCAUACUGAUGUGUGUGGACCUAUGAAGACUGAGUCAUUAAGUGGAAACAGGUAUUUCAUACUGUUCAUUGAUGAUUUCUCGAGAUAUUGCUGGAUUUACUUCUUAAAACAGAAAUCAGAGGUGGCCACUGUGUUUUGGAAGUUCAAAACUGCUGCUGAGACUGAAACAGGCUGCAAGGUGAAGACCAUAAGGUCUGAUAAUGGGACUGAGUACACCUCAGCUCAGUUCCAAGCCUUCUGUGAUAAGGCAGGCAUCAAACAUCAACUUGCCAACACAUAUACACCUCAGCAGAAUGGGGUAAGUGAAAGGAAGAAUAGGAGUUUGAUGGAUAUGGCCAGGUGCUUGAUGAUUCAGAAGAAUCUGCCUAAAGCACUAUGGGCAGAAGCAGUUAACACUGCAACAUACAUUCAAAAUAGACUUCCAACCAGGGCUUUGGAUCAAAAGACCCCAUUCGAGGCCUGGUUUAGCUUCAAGCCAUCACUGGCUCAUCUGAAGGUCUUUGGAUGCAUCUGUUAUGCACAUGUACCUGCUGUUAAAAGGGACAAAUUGUCUGAAAGGGCUCGACCUGGUGUUUUGGUGGGCUAUAGCACUGUUAAGAAGGGCUAUAGGAUUUUAGAUCCUUCAACAAACAAAGUGUCAGUAAGCAGGGAUGUGGUAUUUGAUGAGAGGUCAUGUUGGAACUAGGAAAGACAUGAACCUGAAGAAGUUUUUGAAGAACUUGCAGCAGACCAAGCUGAGCCAGACCAAGAUGUCCCUGAAAUGGAUAUUGAUGAUGAACCAGUCAGAGGAACAAGGCCAUUGGCUGAAAUUUAUGAAAGGGCUCAUGUAGCCAUAGUUGAACCAAGCAACUUUGAAGAGGCUGAGGCUCAGCAAGGGUGGAAGCAGGCAAUGGCUGAGGAGAUCAGCAUGAUUGAGAAGAACCACACCUGGAAAUUGGUUGAAAGGCCAGUCAAAAGGAAAGUGAUUGGGGUGAAAUGGGUGUACAAAGCCAAGCAGAAUGCUGAUGGUACCUUGAACAAGCUGAAAGCAAGGCUAGUUGUCAAGGGGUUCAGUCAGAGGUAUGGCUUGGACUACCUGGAGACCUUUGCACCAGUGGCCAGGCUCGACACCAUCAGACUGCUGAUUGCCUUAGCAGCACAGCUUGAAUGGAAGAUCCAUCAACUUGAUGUGAAAUCAGCUUUUCUGAAUGGUUUCUUAGAUGAAGACAUCUAUGUUGAACAACCACAAAGGUUUGAAAUAGCUGGCAGAGAGCAUAUGGUCUACAAACUGAAAAAGGCCCUAUAUGGAUUAAAGCAGGCUCCAAGGGCCUGGUAUAGCAGAAUUGAUGGCUACUUGACUGAUCUAGGAUUCGAUCGAAGCAAGAGUGAGCCAACACUGUAUGUCAAGAAACAAGGGACACAAAUACAACUCAUUGUGUCCCUGUAUGUUGAUGAUCUUCUGGUGACAGGAGGAGAUCGAGUAGUGCUGGCUGAUUUUAAGACCAAGAUGCAGGAAGUGUUUGAAAUGUCUGAUCUUGGGGAGAUGUCAUACUUUCUUGGAAUGGAGGUGUCUCAAGUAUAGAAUGAGAUAUUUCUAAGCCAGAGAAGCUUUGCCACAAAGAUUCUGACCAAGUUCUCCAUGCAAAACAGCAAGGCAACUAAAACACCUAUUGCUGUUGGAGAAAAACUAUCGAGCCAAGGUGAUUUUAAGAAAGUUUGUGAAACAACCUACAGGAGUCUAGUUGGUUGCUUGCUAUACUUGACUGCCACUAGACCAGACAUUAUGUAUGCUGUAGGAUUGCUCUCAAGGUUCUUGCAUUGCUGCAAUGAGAAGCAUUUCCAAGCUGCAAAGAGAGUGCUGAGAUAUGUCAAAGGCACUUUAAACUAUGGUUUGAAGUACAGUAAAGAAGGAAAUCUGAAGCUGAUUGGCUACACUGAUAGUGACUGGGCUGGCUCGAUAGAUGACAUGAAAAGCACCUCAGGGUAUGCUUUUAACCUUGGUUCAGCCAUGUUUUGUUGGAGCUCAAAGAAGCAAAGUCUAGUAGCUCAAUCUACUGCUGAAGCAGAGUAUGUGGCAACAGCAAGUGCUAUCAACCAAGCCAUAUGGCUAAGAAAAAUAUUGGCUGACUUGAAUGUGCAUCAAGAGCAAGCUACUGAGAUCUUCUGUGACAACCAAUCUGCAGUAGCAAUUGCUAAAAAUCCAGUGUUCCAUGGAAGAACAAAACAUUUCAGCAUAAAGUUGCAUGUUGUUCGAGAAAUGGAGCAAGCUCAGGAAGUAAAGCUGGUCCACUGUAAUUCAGAAGAUCAACUUGCUGACAUUUUAACCAAAGCUCUUAGUGUCACAAGGUUUGAAUAUCUAAGAAAGAAGCUAGGUGUUUGCUCCAUGCAAACCAAGGAGGAGUGAUGAAGUUGGUUCAGCAUGCAGCAAACUCGACAGCAUGCAGGCCAUGAAGACCAAGUCGUGCAGGAGCUGCUGGAACGAGCUGAACUUUUCCUAUUUUGUUCAUCUAGUAAUCUUAAGUUAAUGUAAUGUACUUUAGUUCAUUUAGAACUAUGUUAGGUUUAUGAUUGAUGUAAUUUUGAUGACAAUUGAGCUGUUAAGUCAGCUUUGUUUAAGUGUGUAAGCUUAGUUUUUCAAGUUUCAAUGUAUUAGUGGUAGUAGGUGAUGAUUAGGUAUCAUUAUGCAGAUUUUGACAAGCAAAUUGCUUGGUUUAUGUAUUGGCAUUAUGCCAUUGUUCAACAUAUGAAUGAAAUCAACUUUGUUCAUCAAUAUUCUCUCAAAUUUCCUCAGCUUAUUUUCUUUUUUCUUCAACUCGAAAUUGUUUGUUUGCUCAGCAAGAUUCGAGGCUUGCUCGACAAGAAACUUGCUGAGUCUGUUUGAUUCUGCUGUUGCACCAACAAUAUACCUCCACUGUGCCAUUGUGUAUUUGUGUUCGAUUUUCAGUUCUGUCUCACAAUCCCUGUCAUGUCUUAUGAGUGAUUUUCUGGCUCUAAAUAUCUAUGAUAUAUUUGUGCAGGCAUUUCACUGAAGACUCAGGAACUCUAUGCUAUUGUCUUUGCUACUCGUUACUUGGACAUAUUCACUAAUCAUAUCUCGCCUUAUAACACAAUCAUGAAGCUAAUAUUCCUGGGCAGCUCUUUCUCAAUUGUAUGGUACAUGCGGUAUCACAAAAUAGUUCGUAGAUCUUAUGAUAAGGACCAGGAUACAUUUCGACAUUACAUCCUUAUACUCCCUUGCCUGAUUCUUGCCCUUCUUAUAAACGAGAAGUUCACCUUCAAAGAGGUAUCGACAUCCUUUUGUUUGUUGGAAUAUGAUAACAGUAUGUUCAUAUUAAUUACUGGUUAACUUAGAAGCUCCCUAAACUGUUUAUCUGUUUUAUAUUAAUUAUUCAUUAUUAUCCUUCUGGUUAUAUUUUUAUAUAUUGAUUAUUGUCUUAAAAAAAAUUGUUGAGCAGGUCAUGUGGACAUUUUCCUUGUAUUUGGAAGCUGUUGCGAUACUUCCUCAGCUUGUAUUGUUGCAAAGGACUAGAAAUAUUGACAACUUGACUGGACAAUAUGUGUUUCUCCUUGGGUAACCACUGUAUUCUUUAAAAAUCCUAAUCAGUUGCAAGUUUUCUAUUUUAUUACCUUGCAAUUUGCAUGAAGGACCCUUAUUUCCUGGCUCAGUUCCCUAAAAUGUUGCCUCCUUCCUGAGGAAACAAAAGAGAGAAAGUCUCUAAAUAGAGUUGCCAUCAUAUUGCCGCUUGGUUGCCACUGAUUUCUUUUUGAUGAAAAGUUGAUAUGAUUAUAUGUUGGACCAAAGUUAUCUAUUUUCAGAUGUGAUUAACUGCAGUUGAAUUUUGCGAGUAUGACUGUUCUUGUGUAACUUUUGUUAUGUGCUUUCAUGUCGUUUUUAGUCUUUUACACUGUGUUCUGUCUAUCUUUGUUUGCUAUUAUCCUAAGUUAGGAGACAAGGUGCCAUUAGGAGCAAUGUGACGUCAAAAUUCAUUUCCCUUUAGCCUUCAGUUCUACCUUUUCUUCCCUUUCUUUAUGUAGUUUUUGGGAGUUGGGGAUCACAGCGAUGAUAGUCGGUACAUGUGACUUGAAAGAUGCCUAAAAACUUCAAGAGCAUAGUGUUGUAUAAAUCUUUUGGAGAAAUUUUUUUGGUACAUUGAUGCCAACUUACAAUAACCCUUGCCACUACAACCGUGGCUUUGUUGGCUUAUGUAUGCACUCUCUUUGUCUUUAUAGGUCACCAAAUUCCUAAUGUCUAAUUCUUGGUUAUGGACUAAUAUAGUUGCUUGUUAUUGCAGUGCAUACAGAGCAUUGUACAUAGUGAACUGGAUUUAUCGGUACUUUACUGAAGACCACUUUGUCCACUGGAUAAGUAUGUACUCUUCUCUGUCUCCCUUCAUCUUUUACUCCAAGUCGGUAGCCAUGGGUGUAUGACGAGUGUGUCAAUAUAUCUACCCCAACACAUUUGUGAUAUACUAUGCUAUAUGUGUUAUUUCUAACACCUUGUUUACAUGAUUGCUGCCUUUCAGCUUGGAUUUGCGGUCUUGUCCAGACAUUGCUUUAUGCUGAUUUCUUCUACUAUUACUUCCAGAGGUAACCCCCUUUCUGACACUCUGGAAAGCACUUCAUACCUAUGUGAAUGAUUGCAACUUAUUUGAUUAUUAUGCCUGCAGCUUGAAGAACAACAUGAAGCUCCAAUUACCAGCUUGAGAUUUUAAUGGUGCAAGUUUUGUAGUAGCAUACAUAAACUUACAUCAUAUGGGUUCAAAUUUAUGAGUAUUUCAAUUAAUUUUAAUUUCACUAUGUUAUAUUGUAAUAUCAUGUAAAAAGUAUCAUAAAAGCAGGCAUAAGUUUUCCACCAAUUAGAACAUUUUGAAAAUUGAUGUCAAGCCCGAAAUGACCGUCACAAGUAAGCAUAUUAAACGUGUGAAGAGAAGACCUUAUUUUUCCACAUAACUAAAACUUUUUACACCAUAGGAACUUUCAUCGUCAUCAAGUUGGACAUGGAUGGAGCUCACGUAAAAAUAAUUUUUCAUAUAAAAACUAAAAACUAGAAAUUGACUUGUAAUAAUUCUCAAGGUUAAGGUUGACGUGGUCAAUAGUAAUGAACUUAUGUUUAAGGUUUGGGUUAUUUUUCUCAAUUAUAGAUUAGUAUUUUGUUCAUUGUAAACUUUGCUAACAAAAUUUAAUAUAUGACACAUAUCUGAUUUAAUUUAUUUUUAUUUUAUAAAACUUUCAUUAUUUGUUUUACUCAUUAAUGAAAUUUGGUGUGAAUACAUUAAAUAUUACCUUUUAUAUAUUUCACUCCCUCUUACUAUAUCUCAAUGGAGAAAUUGAAGGUCAUUCAAGGAAAUGGUAAUGUCCAUUUUCCACAAAACUAAAAUUUUCCACACGACAGAAACUUUCUUGGUCAAACAAGUUGGAUUUGGCUUCACCAAUAACUUAAUAAUCUGUACUAAAAUUUUCCACGCAAUAGAAUACGAACUCGUUCUCGUAAAUAUUUUAAAAAAUAAAAAAUUUAAUAUUAUGAGUUAACGAAUUAUCAAUUUAAUUAAAAAAAGUUGAAAGAUACAUUUUUUAAAAUUUUAUGAAAUUAUAUAUUAAUAUAAUUAUAAAAUUAUAGUUUUAACUUUAUAAAAUUUAUUAUUUAUCUUUGAUCUUGAAGAGAGACAAAGUAAAAUACCUAUUCUUGGAGCCAUAACGACAACUAGGAUUAUGAUUGCACAUUUUCUAAGUCUUCAUUUUUGUUAAUUAGGAAAGCUGAUGGGCAUCUCCACUAAGUUUCCACCCACAAGAAUAUACGUAUUAAUUUGUUUUUCUCAAUUUCCAUGAGGGGGGAUAUAAGCUUAAAGUUGACGUAGAAGUCAAUACUCAACAUUUGAAAGUUAAUGCAGUGAACUAUGUGCUUGUUGAUAUAUGAAAUGAUAUUUUCUUAACAAUUUCCUCCAACUAGUUCGUAGAUGGUGCUAUAUUACAUCACAAUGGGUAACCAAAUGUAUAUAAUUGAGAUUUUUAAGCAAAUAUUAUAUUUUAUCUUUAUCCAUGAAUAGUCUAAUAAUAAGGAUUAAUAUUUGGUACAUUGUCAGUGGAGUUUUUAAAUUCCAUAAGUAGGGUUAGAGGAUUGACACAUGCCAAUUUUUUAAUGUUGCUUGUGGGAUGCACUUGAAUUGUGGUUCAUAGAAGGAAAUUAUUAUAUAAAGGUUUAAUUCUACCAUAGUUCUUGUACUUUACUGAAGUUGUAGAUUUAAUUCCCAGACUUUAAUUUGAUAUUUUAGAUAUUUGUUAAAUUCAUAAAGUCCUACUAUUUCCAAAUUUGGUGUGGCAAACAUAUUAUCAUAGGUGUAAUAUCACUAAAAUUCAAAAGAAUGAGAAAUUUGUACAUAUUAUCAGAUGUCAAUAUCAAGUUGAGCAUUUCAAAAUCUAAAGUAAUAGUUCAAGUAUUUAUUUUUCCAUAAAACCAAAAUUUUCUACAUGAUGGCUUUUUUUUUGGCUAUUAGUUAAGAGGAAUUUUUUUAAUAACCCAAUUUAAUUAACUAAUUUAAAAAAUGGUUCAAGUAAAACUCAAGUCAUAUUAAAAAUAAUUAUUUAUAAAUUUUAUGUUUCAAAAACUAAUGAAUGUUCAAAGAAUAGUGAAUUAUUAAAGAGAAGUUAUAUGAUAAUGGAUUGUUUUAAAGUAGUGGUCUAGUAGAAAUAAAUAGUUUUUUAUAAAAAAAUAUUAUAUAAAUAAUUAAAUUUUAUAGUUACUCCUAUUUUUUUUAAAAAUAGUGAAUGUAAUAUUUUUUAAAAUGUUAAAUUAACUCAUGAUAUUAAUUAAAUCAAGAAAUUUUAUAAUAAUAGAGAUGAAAAAAACUAAAUUUUCAAAAUCAAAACCUAAAACGUGCAAGAAUAAAAGCAAUCUGAAGACUUAAAAUUUCCAUUAAUAAAACCAAAAUCAAAGAAGUAAAAUUUCCAUGAAUAAAACCAAAAAUGAAGACCUAAAUUUUCCAUUAAUAAAGCCAAAUCAAGACUAAGUUUGUAUAAGUGUAAGAAGGGUAUAAAGGAAACUCACAAGAAAGCCACAUGAAGAAUUUUAUAACUCCAACUACACGAUUUUAUGUCCACCUCUCACUUUUCAUAUUUUUUUUUGGCCAUUCAUUUUUCAAGAUUAACAUUAGCAUUCUUGUGGUCCGUUCAUCCUUUCCUAACCAAUUUCCACCAAGAGUUUUUGCAAUAAGGAAUUUACCUAAAUAAGAAACCUAGAUUGAUCCAAUUUUUGAGGAAUUAAUUAAUUAUAUAUUAUUUUUAUAUUAUAAUGAAUUAGUGGGAUGCAGUAUGUUCUGCUUGUAUAUAAAUAAGAAGCUUAGGCUUCUUUAGAUUAUAUACAUAUAGAAGUUAACAAAAAGUAACAUAUAGCUGAGAGAGAAGUGAAAAUAGAGAGAUGAUGAUGAUGGAGUGGAAAUGGUUAAGGUUUAUUAGGAUGGCAGUAAUGUUGUUGGUGUUAGAAGGAUGCAGAUGGUGUACUACUGAUGCUUGUUUGGAGCAUGAGAGAAUCGCUCUCUUGCAUCUCAAGCCUUUCUUCAAUUAUCAAAAUCAAUUGCAAAGUUGGGUUGAGGUGAAGGGUUCAGAUUGUUGUAAAUGGGAAAGAGUUGAGUGUAACACCACCACUAGGAGACUCAUACAACUCUCCCUUAAUUCUACAAGAUGGUUUGACAGUAUGGGAUACAAAACGGAUAAUAGGAAUCUCAAUGCCUGGUAUCUCAAUACCUCUAUGUUUCUUCCCUUUGAGGAAUUGAAGAGUCUUUAUUUGCGGGGGAAUGCCAUAAGUGGUAACCUUGAAAAUGAAGGUCGUGCCUCUAGUUUUUCCUUAAUUACAUCUUUUAUUAUCCCACUACUCUUACCAUCGUUAUUUUGCAAUUACUUAUAUUUUAUUUUAUUUUAUGGAAGAAAAGUCACUAACUUGUAUAUAUUUAAAAGAAUAUUUCUAUAGGCUUUGGAAAACUAUCAUCCACAUUGAGUAAUUUGGAGAUCCUUGACUUAAGUGAAAACUACUUGAAUGACAGCAUUUUGUUAUCUUUGAGUGAGCUUUCAUCUCUCUGGUAUUUAGAUCUAUCAGGCAACAAAUUUGAAGGAUCAAGCCAUCUAAGAG